AAAGAAGUAUUAAGGUAAACCUAACCAUAGCAUGAAACAUUGACACGGCACAUUAUAAAGAGUUCAAUCCAAAUUUUAUAGUAACACUAUUAUAUUUAAAUAGUGAUUAUUCUAACACAUGGAUAAUUAAUUAAGGCACCAGGUUGCGCUUGUGACCAGGAAAGACAAACUUAUGAACUUGCAAGCAUGGUAAUCAGAUCGACAUCCACACAAUGUCAAUAUGAACAUUGUCUUGAUACAACUUUAUUUGUAUUUUAUUUCAGAAUUUAAACAACUAGUUUGGGCGGGUCACACACGACGUUGUGUGACACUUUAUUUGUCACCGCUGCAUCGACAUAUCCAUCGACUAAACAACGGUGAUCCAACUAUAUAUUACUAGAGACCUUUCCUUAUCAGUAGGCACCAACUCCGGUGCCAACGCUGAAUGGCACACUAGUGGUGGUUCUAUACAAGGGCACAUUGACACGGCACAUCGUUGGCAGGGUACGGAGCGCAAUGGAAGUCAUCACCUCAAGCUGAGCUAUCUGGUGUGGAUGCAAAAAGGUACCCUGUGCCAAUUGUUGUUGUUGAGGUUGUUGCCCGAGUUGCUGCUGCGACUGCUGUUGGGGUUGGGAAACGCAUUGGCCCAACUAUUGCGGUUGCUGCUGCUGAGUUUGGAUGGAACCCUGAACCUGUUGUUGUUCUUGCAGGACGAUGGAGUAGAUGAUAGCACGGAUUGCCUCAUAGCGGGAUUGCUGGGGGAUUUGCGGCAACUGCUGGCAACAUUGUUGUUGCAUCACAUGGCAACUGCUCUGCUGCAACAUUUGCGACCUAGCAAGACUUUGUGGCAUUGCCACAGGGCUGCAUUGCUGCUGGAGGAAUACCUUGCAUGGGUUUAGUUGCUGCAAGAUAGAUGGAUGAACAAAUGGUAUUUGUUGUUGCGGUAGAACUGAUUGUUGUUGUUGCGAAAAUGGUGGUUGUUGCGGUAGUACUGGUUGUUGUUGUUGCGAAAAUGGUGGUUGUUGCUGUGAAAAUGGUGGUAGUUGUUGCUGCGAAAAUGAUGGUUGUUGCGGUAGAACUGGUUGUUGUUGCUGCAAAAAUGGUGGUUGUUGCUAUGAAAAUGGUGGUUGUUGCGAUAGAACUGGUUGUUGUUGCUGUGAAAAUGGUGGUUGUUGCUGUGAAAAUGGUGGUUGUUGUUGCUGUGAAUAUGGUGGUUGUUGUUGCUGCGAAAAUGGUGGUUGUUGUUGCUGCGAUAAUGGUGGUUGUUGUUGUUGCUGUGAACAUGGUUGCUGUUGUGGAAAUGGUUGUGGUUGUUGUUGGAUAGGUUGUUCUUGUUGUUGGUGCCAUAAUGUUUGUUGUGGUGGUAAUGGUUGUUGCUGCGAUGGUCUCUCCAAACCAGGGAUGUGGCUAUUCUCCAUUUGUGCAAUGGCACUUGUCGCCGCAACGGCGAGGAGGGCAAAGAUGAGGAAGGUCUUCAUGGUGGAUUGGUGUUAACUAGUGUUGCUUGGUUUUGAUGCUUGUGCUUGUGACGAUCUUUAUACUUCAUGCCUAUUUAUAGUAGCCCGGGCACCACCUUUUUCUUCUUUGCAUUAGCUUUAAUAAUUUUGUUUGGAUGCAAAAAUGAUUUUUGGUACAAUGUGUUAGGUUGCACUAGCUACACGCGUACUUUUGGAUUGAUCAUCAAAGUUGCUUUUUAGUUGUGCAUAUGAUCACACAUAAAGUACAGAAACCUUGAUGUUUGGUAUAUAUGACUCACCUUAUUCACUUUACAUGUCACACACUUAUCUGGAUAGUAUCACUUUUGCAACCGAGUUUGGAACCUUGUAUAGGCUGUCAUCCAUAAACAAGAAAGGCAAAACUUGUGUAGGACUAAGUGUAGAACUAACUUUGUAUUUUUCCUCUAAAAUGAUUAGAUGAACCGACGCCUAUAGAGCAUGACAUGACUCAUCGAAUUCCCUUUACAUGUAAAGGAUGGUAAUUGCUUACAAGCUACUCCUACUAGCAUAUAUCCGGUCCUAACUCUUGACACGUCAUCAUCAGUUUCGCCUAUUUUUUUAGAUAAAUCAUCAGUUUCAUCUAUUUGUGAAGGGUUUUUUUGGGGGAAAUGAUAGUUUUUUUAUGCUAGGGGGAUUUUUUUGGGGGGGGGGGAUGACGCUAGGGGGAAAUGAUAGAUGGGGCUGGAACAGAGGCCCCCAGCCUGGAGCGAGAGAUUAGGCCCAACAUAAGUGCCGUGUGUUAGGGCACCAAUUCGAUUUGGGCUAUAGUUCUCGUAGGCCCCAACGACACAAGCCCAGCCCACACUCCGCGGAUCUGCGUCCCUCCCUUCCUCGUCCUCCUCGCCGGCCGGACCGCUCGCCGUCGCAGCCUCUCCCGGACGCCCACCGCUCGCGGCCCCUCCACGUACCUCCGCGGCAGCGGAGACGUCAGCCUCCCUCCCACCCUCAACAUCCGGCCCCCCACCACCACCACCACCGCUCGACAAAAAAGGUCACUUUUGAAGCUCCUCCGUCGAUUGUGGGCCGUACGUCGACGGCAGCCACUCCGACCUCCCCAUCAACACAAGGUAUCGAUUUGUUUCGUCUGUCUCUUCCAACGAUUCAAUGCACAUAAAUCCGAGAGGCAGACCCAUCUCCAUGCUAGCUGCACGGAUUAGGAGGGUCAGGCAUCAGAAUUCAGCUGGGAAGCCUGACAGUAAUGUACAUUUGUGGCUUUAGUAGCUGAAUAUAACUAUGUGCUUUCUGAGAAUUUCACUUCAAAAGUUCCAAUAAUCAUCAAAUUUCCCCCUAUGCGCGCUAAGCAGGUGGACCAUAUAUUUCUCAUGUCGACGAACGAAAAAACAAAACUCCACAACUAGAAGUCUAUGAUAUUGACACGGAACCGUGCUGUAGGGUCGCAAGUAAAAAUAUGAAAAGCAUGCCUAAUAAGCGAGAUGACGCAGUUCCUGACCGCCCCGCUACGACUAUUGGUUCCAGCGUGGCGUUUGAAUUAUGCCGCGCUAGAUGUCUUUUGUCCGGCGAGGAACAAGUGGGGUCAAGCGUGCUUCGGCAAUUCCCGCCGUCAGAAGACUUCCUUGUAGUCCGGUGUAGAGGUGAGGUUGUGGGGAGAUACAUCGACUAGCACUACUAGGGAAAAGGCUAGCAGCAGCGCGGGUUUUAGAUGUAUCAGUAGUGCGGGUACCCGCGCUACUAAUACGGCGCUACAGCUAACUCAUAGCAGUAACGCGUGAGCACCCGCGCUACUGCUACACAAGUGUAGCAGCAGCGCGGUUAUGAGAAGCUCGCUACCGCUAGUAGCGCUAGCGCUCUUUGGCCGGACGCUCUACUGCUAUUGAGGCGCUGCUGCUAACUUUUGUACACUCGCUACUGGUAAUUUAAGUAGUUUUUUGGCAUAUUUGUUUUGUAUUUGAACCGGCUUUGUAGAAGAAUCUUUAGCACAUAGAAAUGUCAUCAUGAUACACAUACAAAUGCCUGCGAGACCACAAAUGUAAUCAUAGCAUGUACAUACAAAUAGUCUCUUCAUAAUCAUCAUCCAACACAAAGUGAUAUCUUGUCAUCAUCUCGAAAAUAGCAAUACAUGCAAGUCUCGAAUACUUGCAACUACAACAACGUCAUCCAUCUAAACAAAGGUAUACGCAAGAAGUGCUAUCACUAUGAGUGAGAGCGGAACCAUGCAGUACAUGAGGUGGCGGUUAUGAGUCCUCUCUUGCGCUAGCGUGAACCUCAAGUAACUAGCUUCUCCUUCUUGUCUGCUUUUGAAGCCUUUAUGGCUGGCGCCCGUGAACCCAUUCACUUGCGCCUGACACUCAUGCCACUCGUUGUACACCCCCGGAACCUUCCCUUUGUACACGACAUAGCAUUUCCAUCUCGCCAUCAAGAAACUAGGUACCUGUUAGAGAUGCAUGUUCAUGAAGAGGAUGUACAAUCAUAUAUAUGCAACAAAAUAUACUAGAGCAACACUAAGAAAGAAAGGUUAGCAACUAGAUGCAACAUAUACAUUACGCAAAUUAAUUAACUAGAGGUACGCAGGUCAUCGUACGCAAACUAACAAAGUAGCGUUACGCAAGUUUGGCAGGGACCAUGGACAUCACAAAGUUUCAUCGCUACAAAAAGUAUACAAGUUCAACCGACACAUAUCAUCAUCAUCGGCAUCAUAAAUCACUAGAAGUUCCAUCCUUCCAUAUCAUCGAGGACGAACCCUAGCUGCUUGAACGGCGUGAGGUCUAGACGUUGCAUGCCUAUGCGAGUUCGGACGUCAGCUCGCGAUAUAGGGCCGUGGUGGAACAUCCCCUUCUCAUCGACGACUUCUUUCAUGAUGAUCAUCGCAAUGUCGCUUUGGAUGCGAAAGAAGUCAUCUCUAAGUUUAUAAUUCGCUUCUCCAUGAGAUUCUAGCCACUUGUGGAUAUGAUCAUCAUUUCUGCUGUUAAUGCGAAGCUUUUGGUGAUCCGUGUUGAACUGAAUCAUGAGAUGGACGAUGUAGAAUCCAUCCUUCUUGCUUGGUUUUGGGACGUGGAUGCAGGAGAAGUUAGUUUUAUGCGCGAAACCCAUCUUCUUGUUCCUUUGUUUCCUGAUAUGCACGUGGCCACCUCUAAAGUUGAAGCCUUGGAGAGCAUCAUCUAGAAUAUUCAUUAUGUGGGUGUAGUCCUUUUUCUCGUAGUCUCUAGAAGGGUCAAAAUACACGGCGUGGGAGACUUGCGGGUAAAGAAUGAUAAGGACGGCGCGCCCGUUGCUGCGGGGAAAAGACACCUCAAAUUAUUCCCCAUAUGAGAGAGAAGGAAUGAUUGAAAUGUACGAAAGGGUUGUCCGGAACUGACUUACUUUGGAUGAUAAGGCACGAGGACAAUUUCCCGGUCCUUAUUCUGUACCAUGAAGUUUUGGAGGUACUCCCUAGCAGUUUCACGCUCAAAGUCGCCGAGACUCAAGAAAGACUCGUGCAUGUAGUACGGAUCCGCCACACAGAUUUGCGAGACUUCUUCACUCUUCACGACGGAGCUCAUAUGUAGCGCAAAAAGGCGGACGAUAGUAAAAUCAAGCCGCCUUGUUAGAAACAUCUCAAAGAUAUGGUCAAACCGCAGGAAGAACACCUCCGUGGGCCGUGUGUCGACGUAGCACUUCCCCUCAGGCACACGAGCUGCGUAUGUCGGAUAUCCUGGAUCCUUUGAGGCUAGUAGGCUUUUCUCAGUCGACAGCACGUGGUCGUGCAGUCUCCUGAGAUUCCCUGAUAGUGCCUCCAGCGGUUUCGGCGGUAGCAUCGGCUCGCCCGUGAGAUGGAACAUGACCGCACCUUUCACGGGUACACGCUCUUCAGAAUGCAUCGUCUGGCUGCUGUGUGCUCUGGCUUGUUUGGAGGCAGUUACCUUCCCCAAUCUCUUCCUCUCCUUUUUCUUGGGCACACCUUCCAGACCCUUCCUUAACCCCUGCCCAAGUGUUCCCGGGCUAAGUAUUGUACGACCCUCACGCCCGGCUAGUUGAGCCUGUGUUGAGGCGGCAUCUUCAGGCGUGUCCUGUGAGGAUUUCAUGAAGAGAGACUUUUUGCAUUCCAUGGUACGGCCCUGCCCGGGCAUAUCAUCCAUAUCCUCAUUAGCAAGCUGAUAGCCCGAUUCGUCAUAUGGUUGACUCAUCAUAUCUAUGUCACAGUCAUACGCGUUUGUAUUGAGGUAAUCCAUCGGGUCGACCUCCGUCUCAUCAUCCAUUCUCUGUUCUACAGGAGAAAUUACAUCAGCCAGUACUAUUGCACCCCCUUCAUCAUGUCGUCCGCCGCUCUCACACGGCACUACUACAGGAGCUGGUAAUUGCGUAGGUGGGGUGGUGGUCUCCGCACAUGCUUGCUGAUGUGUGGUAGUUAUUGGUGUGCUCUCGGCCGGCUCCAGACGAAUAAGAUUCUUCGGCCAUAGCAGCACCCAACCCUUGCAGCGUCCAAUCCGCGGCGGGGUCUCGUCGUCCGCUCCCACCUGCUGUACUGGAGGAGGCAAAUCCUCGUGCCCCGAUUUCACACUGGUCAAGCUAACCCUGAAGUGCCCAGCGGGGAUCGGCUGGUUGUGGAAUGUGCGUUGAGAGGGGUCCAUUAUCAUCCCCUUUCCCACGUCCACCUUCUGGCCUUUGAUCAAGUAGAGUAUGGUGCAUGGGGUUUCUUUCGCCUGCAAACACAUAUGUCUGUGGUGUAAAACAACCGAAAGGCAACAAAAAUGGAAUAUUAUAUAUAUAUAUAUGUUGGUGCGACAUGUAAUUACCGUGACGGCGUCGAGCUCAGCCAAAGACGAAGGCCCACCUAGCGCGCCUGAGACUGAGGACGGGCUGCUAUGAGCUGGAGCGGCUGCGAGAGGAGGCCCGGUUGCUUGAGCAAGUGAUGGUGCGAUGGUGUUGUUCAUGGAGUUGCUCGCGACGAAACUGGGCAUUGGGAAAUCAUGUACCGUCUUGUCUGGAUUUUCCUUCGCCCAGUUGAUGAUAACUGGAACCAAGUUAGUAGCGAAAUCAUUUCUGCAGGCAUUUACAGCUGCAUUGACUGCCUGCUGUAGCAACUCAUAUUUGUCCUUGGCUGCUUUUUUCGCGUCCUCGGCUGCUUUUUUCUCGACCGCAAGCUUCACCUUUGCGUCGAUGUCCGCCUAACUAAACUUCUUUUUCUGCUUCUUGGCCUCCGGGCCGUCGUUGUAAAACACCUUCCACGUGGCGCCGUCUCCAGCGCCGUGCACACGACCAUAUUGCGGCCGCUGGUCCAACGGGAGUCCCUUAAGUUCGUUCAAGGCCCAGUUGAGAGGUGUGUCCCACUUGGGCCUCAUCGGAGAAGUAGGGCUUUCGGCUGCAAGCCGGUGUUGCUUCUCCAGUAGUCUAAUCAAUUUCCUCGUGAUCUUGUCCGUGUAAAAAACCUUUUUCUCCUUGUCCCACUUGUAGCGGGCCCUGAUGAAGUCAUGCUCCAAGGGGUUGGUGAACUUCGCGAAGGGGUCUGGGAGACCCGCGGCUUCACGUUCCGCGUCCUCCUUAUCCCAUAUGGGCCUUUUACCGAGGUAGCCACGGCUUCCGAGGCGAUGCUUCCCCAUGUUCCGGAGCUGAAGGCUUUUGAAUUUCGCAGCCUUAGCCUUGGCUGCCUUGGUAGCGCAAGUGUCCUUGAACUUUUCGAACUCCUCUUCCGUAAGUGUCGGAUUUUCCUCCAGAAUCUUGGACAGGGGUUCAUCAGCCUCAAUAGCUCGUUUCACCCUCCCUUUCCAGGAGGCCAAAUCAUUGCUGAACAUGCCCAUGGCGUGAUUGUUAAUCUUUUUCAUCUUCGGAUCAUCCCACGGUUGUUCUAUGUUAUCAUCCCGGUCGGGGAACUUGAAUCUCUUCUGCAACUUCGUUAGGAGCAACUGCGUCAAAUGUUCUUUACUCCUUAAGUCAUCAUCGUUGAUGCUCGCGCAUUCCCGUAGGAUGCAUCCUACUUGGUUCCCAUAGCACUUGCGAGGUUCUUCCGGCUCUAACGGCUCAAACUUUCCAGGUGCCAUCUUUGUGAUCACAAGUCGUCCAAUCCCUAGUUUGUUAGGUUUUCGUAUCCUCUGCUUCUUAUGCUUCCUCUUUUCGGUAUCGGCAUCGGGGCCGGUACCUUCCCCGCCGGUCUCGGCGCCGCCAUCGGUGCCGGCGCCGUCGGUGCCGGCACCGUAGGUGUCGAUGUCGGCGUCAGUACCAUCAUCGAGGCCGACCUGCAAACCUUGCUUAGCAGUCAAAUAGUCGAGGUACUCUUGUUCACCCUCAUAAUCCAUCUCGUCUGCAUCUUGGUCAGAAGGCCCAGUUUCUUCGUUGUUCGACAUGUUUCCUAUGAUUAAGUGGCCUCAUUUAUUUCUAAAAGUAUGAAUAAAUGAGAAAUGACAUAAAAAGAAAUCUAUGUGCCAACACUCGAUAUGCCAACUAUGUAGCACAAAUCAUGCCUUUAUUCACGGGAAAUUUCGGCAUGACCUUUGCUAAAAAAUGGACAUAUCGAGCGCCUGAAAUUCACCGAAACGGAAAUGAAUCAACAUUCCUGCGCAACAUAGGCCACUCGGAUCAUUUUCCAAACAUGACAUGUCCAAAACAUGACAUAUGCACAUAUCACAUGUCCAGUUCAAAUUUCCAUAUAAAUUCAGCUAAUUCAUAACUAAAUAGAUAACCUAAUUAAUUAACAUGAAGANNNNNNNNNNNNNNNNNNNNNNNNNNNNNNNNNNNNNNNNNNNNNNNNNNNNNNNNNNNNNNNNNNNNNNNNNNNNNNNNNNNNNNNNNNNNNNNNNNNNNNNNNNNNNNNNNNNNNNNNNNNNNNNNNNNNNNNNNNNNNNNNNNNNNNNNNNNNNNNNNNNNNNNNNNNNNNNNNNNNNNNNNNNNNNNNNNNNNNNNNNNNNNNNNNNNNNNNNNNNNNNNNNNNNNNNNNGGGGGCGAGCGACAUGGUCGGGGGCGAGCACGCCGGAGUCGGGGUCGAGAGCGGGACAGGGGCGAGCGCCGGGGCUGGCACCGGCGCCGGCAGGGUCGGGGGCGAGCGCCGGGGCCGGGUCGGGCACGGCGGAGCGACGGGGGCCGGAGAGAGAGUGGGGAUUUGGGGGGAAAUGGCGGGAUGAAGCUGGGCGAGUGCGAAUUUUGGGUUAAGUGGACGUAGCAGUAGCGGGUUAUGUCAAAACGCGCUGCUACUAUAUUCUGUAGCGGCAGCGGUUUAUGAGAAACACGCUACUACUAUGGUGCGUAGCUGCAGCGCUUUAUGGGAAACUCGCUACUACUAUGGUGCGUAGCGGCAGCGGUUUAUGAGAAACACGCUACUACUAAGAUCUAGCAGCAGCGGUUUUGUGGAAACGCGCUGCUACUGCCGUCGCUACUGCCAGGUUUCCUUUUUCUUUUCCUUUAUUUUAUCCCACUUUUAUUUCCCGAGGGCAAUGAACGAAGGGAGGGCGAUAUAUAUUGCAUCAUUUGACGGUUAAAUAUGUAUGCAAAAUAGGAACAUAUAUAUUACACAUCAUUGGACCCAUGCAUAAUAAUGACUAAGUGUGUAUACAAAUUAAAUAGGAACAUAUAUAUAUUACACAUCAUUGGACCCAUAACAUACGUUUCCUCAGUGCUGACGUUUUCGUUUUUGAGUCAGCUUCUUUCCCUUCUUGUUCGUCGAAGAAUAAUUGAGCCCCUCAUUGUGACUUUGCCUUUUCCAUGGAGUACGAUUUUUCUUAGGUAAUGUAGUAUUGAUUCUUCUUUUGACGUAUACUUCAUCAUCAUCAUCAUCUUCCCUCAUUGGGUUGCUGUACUGAUCAUAGUCUUCCUCGUUGGCGACUCCAUCCAUUCCAAUGAUGUUCCUUUUGCCUCUCCUCACGACAACACGGCUGGGAUUGCGCGGGUCAGUUAUGAAGAAACAUUGUGUCACGUGCUUAGCGUGUACCCAUGGCUCGUUUUUUGCGAUAGCGUUCAUGGUAGCGCUCUUGGCGUCGGGUAUAGUCAUGGUAGUGAACAUCCGGCUUUCUCUUUCGACAUUCUUAGCCCAUCUGACACGGAACAUCAUCGUGCUGUGCAGUCCAGAGUAGUCAAGCUCCCAGAUCUCCUCGACCCUUCCAUAAAAUCGUUCAGUUGUGCCGUUGUCGCUGCCGGUCAUGCAUUCCAUCGUCACCCCUGAGUUCUGAUCAUCACUGUCCAUAUCUUUUGCCUCUGUGUAGAAUGUGUAUCCGUUGAUAUCAUAUGCCUGAUAGGUUACGAGGUUGGGCGAGGGGCCAUGUGCUAAGGCGUAUAUGAGCAAUCCGUCCUUAGAGCCCUCCUCCGGUGGAUUAGCAAUAAUAUGCUCUUUGAACCAAUGCAGGAAAGUGGAGUUGUGCUCUCUAGUAACUUCGGCGUCCGUCCUGCAUACCCCCCGGUCACGAUACUUCUUUGUGAUAAUUUCUUUGUGCAGUGCCACGAAAGGAUCUACCUCGUCUAGGUGUUGUAGCACUACCAAGUUUGCUCUGUCAAAGUCGCUGCGUCGAUCUGAGUAUGCCACGUGCAGUUCCCUGCGACCGUUGCAGUGACCAUCUCCUUUGAGCCUCCCAUCGUGCUUGUUAACGGGCAAACCAACACUAACACCAGGCGGCUGGUCUGCGCCAUAUAAAAAAUUCUCACAGAAAGAGAUGCACUCUUGUGCCAAAUAGCCCUGGACGAUGCUUCCAUCCGGACGGGACAUGUUACGAACGAAUCCUUUGAUGAUCCCAUUCAUCCACUCAAACGGGAUCAUGUUGUGCAGGAAUGACGGCCCCAGGUCUAUUAUGUCAUCCACAAUAUGGACACACAGAUGCACCAUCACGUCGAAGAACGCGGGCGGGAAGUACAUCUCAAGCUCAUUCAGUAUCACAACGAUCUCUUCCUGUAGCCUUUGGAGCUGCUUCACACUGAUCGACUUUCGAGAGAUGACAUCGAAAAAGUUGCAGAGACCAAUAAGCGUGUCACGGACGUGCUUGUCCAUUAUCCCUCUAAGGGCAACAGGUAGUAUCUGCGUCAUCAUCACAUGACAGUCAUGAGACUUCAUCCCGCUGAACCUUUUCUUGUCCGUGUCUAGAUAUCUGCUUAUCUUGCCACAGUAACCGGAACUAACUUUCACUCCGGUAAGGCACUUAAAGAAUUGAUUGAUCUCAGCCUGACUUAAGGUGAAGCAAGAGGGGGGGCAAUAAUCUUCUUUCUUUAAUUUCUUGCCCUUCUUCUCCCGUGCCUCUGUCUUCGUCUCUGUCUCGUCUGACAUUUUACGGGGCGGCAUCUGCAGAUCUUCCCUGAUUUUCAAAUCUUGCAAGUCUUUUCUUGCCUUCGGCCCAUCCUUGGUCUUAUCCGGCAUGUUCAUCAGUGUUGCGAGCAAGCUCUCAAGGACAUUCUUACAGAUAUGCAUUUGAUCAAGGCAAUGAGGUGUAUCGAGUUUGUGCCAGUACUCCAAGUCCCAGAACACGACCUCGUCUUCCAUACCUUCAGCAGCGGCUCCGGCGCCUUUCUCAUCGUCUUUCCCGGCGCGGGGCACUCAUUCCAGUUUUUCAAUAGCUCAUCGAUUUCGGCACCGCUCCGCUUACGUGGAGGUCCUCGAUGCUCAGCGUGACCAUUGAAUAGAUCUCCACGGUUUCUCCACGGGUCGUCCUGUUCAAGCCAUCUUCGAUGCCCCAUGUACAUGAUUUUCGCAGACCCGCCAUCUUUCCUUGACGUUAGCUGCUGAGACGUUGUAUCAUCCAUGCACCGCGUGCAUCCGCAAUAUCCAUGGCACACCUGGCCUGCCACAUAUCCGUAACCGAGAUAGUCCUGCACUGUCGUGAUCAGCGCGGCUCUCAUGUUGAAAUACUCACCUUUGCUGGCGUCCCAUGUCUUGGCCGGUGUUUUCCAUAACGUGUCUAACUCCUCUUGAAGUAGCCCCAGAUACAAAUUAAUAUUAUUUCCUGGUUGUUUCGGCCCUUGAAUAAGCAUGCUCAUGUGAAUGUACUUCGAUUUCAUACACAACCAGGGGGGGAGGUUGUACAUCCAUACAAACACGGGCCAUGUACUAUGGUUGGUGUUCUAGUUGCCAAAUGGAUUCAUGCCAUCGGUACACGCGCCGAGCACGAUGUUCCUUGCAUCACAUUCAAAAUACCGUUAGAAGCUGUUCAACGCUCUCCACUGGCUUCCAUCCUUCACGUGUCUCAGCUUCGGAUCAUCUCCAUCGUCGGGCUUCUUCCUCUCCGCGUGCCAGCGCAUUAGCUUUGCUUCCUUGGGAUCUACAAAAUACCUCUGAAGACGGGGAGUGAUCGGUAAGUACCAUACAACUUUCUGGGGACAUUUCUUCCCGGCCUUCUUGUAUCGAGAAGCAUUGCACACCGGACAGCUUGUUUUUUCCGCGUGCUCCUUCCGAUAAAUUAUGCAAUCGUUGAUGCAUGCAUGGUAUCUAACGUGUGGCAGAUCAAGAGGGCACACGAUCUUCUUGGCCUCAUCAACACUAGUAGGACAUAGAUUACCCGCGGGAAGAAUAUCCUUUAGGUACUUGAGAUGGUCAUCGAGGCUAGUGUCGGUCCAUUUGUUUUUAGCCUUCGUCUUCAGGAGUUGGAGCGUGAAACUCAACCGGGUCACCUCAGGAUUGCAACCAUCAUACAAUGGAGUGUUCGAGUCUACCACCAGUUGCUCCAGCUUAGCCUCCUCUCUAGAAGCAGCUCUCUCAGUACUCGUCUCCUUGCGAAGCAAUGCUUGAACAUGAGGGUCCCGCACAAUUGAACUUAGUACCGACGAACUCUGCUGCGUGGAGUCCAUGUCGUUCUCUCCGCCGCCAUGUCCGGCCCCUUCUCCUCCGCCAUGUCCGGCCACUUCUCCGCUGCCAUGUCCGGCCUCUUCCCCGCCGCCAUUAUCGAUCAUCUCUUCGUCUUGCCCCGUGUCAUCAUUGCCUGCCCCGUCGGCAUCCUCAACAUCUUCAUCCUCAUCUUCAAUUAUCCACCGAGUAUAGCCAUCCAUGAAACCAGUCAUGAGCAGGUGCGCUUCGACACGACCAUCGUCAUGGGGGUCGAGCCAAACUAUUCCUUUGCAUUUUCAACACGGACAUAAAACCUCUGUCCGGUUAUUUUCUUUCAUGUCUUGCACCGCCGACCGCAACCACCUGUCCACCAUUGUUCCACUGACCAUCGUCAACUCUGCACGGUAAUAAUAAAAAAAUUGAUUGUAAAAAUGCAUGCAUGCAUCAAAGUCAUAAAAAAAUUUGGCAUGACCUUCCCUAAAAAUAGGACAUAUAUGGAUCUAGAGUUUGCCCGAAAUUCGCCGAAACGAAAAUAAAUCGACAUUUCGGCAAAACAUAGGCAACUCAAAAGCACAAUUUGGCGGCGUCAACUCAUGCCACAGACACAAUUUCCACAAACAUAUCACACAUACACAUAAACACAUUUCCAUUUUGCAAAAGCAUGAAAUUUUCAUCACCUCUAUCUCGAUGGCCGGAGAUGAUGUUGUAGGGAGAUCAAAAGUGCACAAAGCUAUUCUUGACAAAGAUAGAUCUAGUUAGGGGGCAAAUAGGUCACUUAACUAAAUCCUACAUCUACCUAGCUACCUAAUUUGGAAGGAGACAACUUCAACUAGUGGAGGGGGAGGAAAAAGAGAAAGAAGAUGCAUUAAUUAAUGGAGGUGGUGUAGUUAUGUAGGAGUAAUGAAGAGAGAGAAGGUGGAUAGAGAANNNNNNNNNNNNNNNNNNNNNNNNNNNNNNNNNNNNNNNNNNNNNNNNNNNNNNNNNNNNNNNNNNNNNNNNNNNNNNNNNNNNNNNNNNNNNNNNNNNNNNNNNNNNNNNNNNNNNNNNNNNNNNNNNNNNNNNNNNNNNNNNNNNNNNNNNNNNNNNNNNNNNNNNNNNNNNNNNNNNNNNNNNNNNNNNNNNNNNNNNNNNNNNNNNNNNNNNNNNNNNNNNNNNNNNNNNNNNNNNNNNNNNNNNNNNNNNNNNNNNNNNNNNNNNNNNNNUGUGGUGGAGGGAAGAGAGGAGAGGGGGAGGUAGGGGGGAAGGGAAAAAAGGAAGGGGGAGGGGAGGGACGGGUUGGGGGUUGGUGGGGUUAGCAGUAGCGCGGGAGAUAAAACGCGCUGCUGCUAAGAACUUAGCAGCUGCGCGCUUUGCGGUAAGGCGCUACUGCUAACUGGGACAAAAAAUUGUGGCAAUUUGAAACUUACCAGCAGCGAUCUCGAGGAAACCGCGCUACUACUACGUACUUAGCAGUAGCGCUGUUAUUGCGACCGCGCUACUGCUACUUAGAGUUGGGGGAACACCGCCGGUCGAUAUUUGUAGCAGCGCGUUUCUUGUCGAGCGCGCUACUGCUAAAUCUUUAUCAGUAGCGAGUUUACGUAACCCGCGCUACAACUACUUAGCAGCAGCGCUCUAUUUUGAACCGCGCUGCUGCUAAGAUUCUGUGUAUAGGCUUUUCCCUAGUAGUGUAGGAAGGAAUGACCACAUGAAUGAGCAUACGUAUGAUGUGAUUAAGUCUCUCGAUUGGGUAUCUGGUGCCUUAUGUACGGUGUCUUCUUUUUGUCAAGCUAUGACAUCUUUCAGUUUGAGUGUCUGAUAUUAGGGUUGCAUACGUUUUGUUAUUCAGUUGCCUGUUGUGAACUCUACGGUUAUAUCAUCUCGAUGUGUGAGUCAAUGUGUUUGAACCAAUGUAGAGUUUCAUGUGAAUGUUACAAGUGUGAUUGAUAUGUUCAUGUUAUCCGCGGUUGCCUUGGUAAGAAACUGAAAGAGCAAACCGUUAUCGUGCUAGGACAAAAGUCAUCACUCAAUAUAAGUGCUUCUCUAGAACAGCCACACCUUGUGAAAGAAGAUGGCAAACACCCAAUCAUGUCUGGUUCGAUAUGGGCGUGGCUAUGGGUAGCUUAUAGCGACAUGGAAGCCAGCAUCGCUGGAAGAAACGCCCGGGUGGGCCGGCCUAGAGACAUUUCUUGAUAUCUACCCUUAGUUUUGUUUUUCUGCCCUUCUUUCUUUAUAUUUAUAUUUUUCCCGACAUGUUCACUACUUGAUGCUCAACUGGGAUCUCAUCCUUCACAAAUACGGAGAGCCAUUAUUGUUAGAGUUAAUCUUGACAUGUGUGUAUGUGCAUGUGUGCAUUGCAUGUUAGUGGUCUAGAGAUGGCCGGGUCGAUGCGUCUGUUCUGUGCUGGAGUGAGUCCAGCAGUUUGUUUUGGUCAGGUCGUGGUGGCUAGAGCCAUUCUAGGAGAGGAUCAAGUCAAGUUGUUAGCUGAACUCGGCUGGGUAGUGUUUGGCCGUUGAGGAUAGGCUGUACUAGUGGUGGGCAUGGCCGUGCAUAUAGCUAGCGAUUAGUUACACUAGUAGAAAACCACCCAUUAGUCCCGGUUCGUAAGGGCCUUUAGUCUCGGUUCAGGAACCGGGACUAAUGGGUCGUUACUAAUACCUCCACCCAUUAGCCCCGGUUCAAACACGAACCGGGACCAAUGUGCCUCCACGUGGCCCUGUGCGGCGAGCCCAGUCAGGGGGCCUUUGGUCCCGGCUGGUGGCUCCAACCGGGACCAAAAGGCAUCCACGCGUCUGCAUUCUAGUGGUUUCUGGUUUUUGUUUUUUUUUUGAAAGGAGGGGGGUUGGGGGUUUUGGGGAGUUAAUUUAGGUGUUUCGUAUAUUGUGUUAACUAGCUAAUUAAUAGAGAGAAGUGUCCUCUCUUAUGUCCGUGCUUGGUCGACGCUACGUAGUAUAUAUACAUAAGUAAUCGAGAGAACCAUUCAGUACAGAAGUUCGUCAUGCAUACCGAGAGAAGUGAUCGAUCGACCUCUCCUUCUCCGAGAGAUUGGUCGAACAACAAGUUUUUUACUGGCUACAUACAUGUACAAUAUGUAUAAGAUCUCUUAAUUACAAACCCAUAGCAUUUGAAAUCAACUUCCACAUGGUAUUCUCCGGCUUUACUGAUGACGUGUUCAAGAAAGAAUCCCGCUAAUUCCUCUUGAAUUGCUUUCAUGCGAUCUGGUUCUAGGAGUUCACCCCGCAUCUGCCACGUCUAAUUAAUUUGAAGAAGGGGGUUAAUUAAUACAUAUAUAUGAAUGAAACUCAACAGAAAAUGAUGGUGUAAUAAAAUGAAAUUGUGAAUAUUAUUGCUUACGCACUUCAUAUUGUCUUCUAGAGUAGCCCCGCUUGUUUCUCAAAGUUGCGUUGUGGAUGAACUCGCACACGUAGUAUCCACAAAAAUCAUUCCCUUCCUCCUGUCACAAGCACUUUACGAGAAACAGAGGUCAAUCAAACUGAUAAUGAAGCAUUAUAAAUGGCAUUGAUGAAAGUAUAGCUAUAGAAUCAACGGGAGAUGCACGCAACUAGCUAGCCAGUAGUACUUACUUUCGGGUAUACAUAUCGCAGCUCCUUCGGCAGUCCCGGAGCUUGUGCGGUGAACUGUUUCCGAACCCUGCAAGACAAAGAAAAUAAUUAUUAUUACUUGAGAUAUCAGGAAAUGAACAAAAAGUUGCCGAUAUGGUGCGAUAAUGAUCGAUUGAACUUACUUGCUGAGCAUUUCAGUCAUGUCCACAUAGGUGCUGGGAUCUUUCCGUCUCGAGUCUAAGACGGUUACUAGUCCACGCUCAAGCUUAAUCUCCAGAAGAAUAUAGUGGUACCUGCGCACGCGUGCAUAACUCAUCAAUUACAUUAACCUCGCUCGAGUAAUAAGGGAAACCGAAUAUGCACACGACAGUAACACUCACGGGCCGUUGUAAGGAAAGAGUAUGGUAUCUUUGUUUUGAUUUUUGAUCAACGAUUGUAGCAAGUUGUCCUCGGCCUCUUCGACGUUCUUUUCAACCAGAAAUACAUCUAUGAUAUUUGUGUUAAUGAACCCAAUAUCAUAAAUUUUUUGUUUUUUGCACUCGACGAUCUUCAAUCUGCAUAAUAUAUUGAGGAUAAUUAAUUAUAAAUACAUGCAAUGAAAGAUCCGAGCUAUAUAUAGAGACUUAAUGUCAGAAAUAGUACUUACAUGCAGUAGCAAAAGACCAUUAAUUUAUCGAGGGCCUUUUGAUUGAAGAACUCAAAGAACUCCUCAAAUGGAACACACAACAGAUCAUUUGAAAUGAGGUCGUGCUCCUCUUUAAUAUUCAAAUACAAACUGUUCGUCCCCUCAGACUCUCUGCAGGUUUUCAUGUACCAAUUAUGGAAUCUUCGCAUCAUUAUUGUCAGAGAUUUUUCAUCUUUGACGAGAGGCUUCCCGUACUCGUAUCUGAAUACGUCCACCUCCAUGAAAUCAGGAAGUGCAUCGUCAGGCAGGUAAUCUUCAAGAUUGCCAUAACCGGCCACCGUCCCCGGAGGAUUAGACACAUUGAGCGGGGGGCACGAUUGCUGUGCUUGUUCGCCGAGCUGGGCAAUUUUUUUCCCCUUUGCUCGUUGUUCUUUUGACCUUUUAUCAUUGACAGUAGUUCCCGACCGCUUGGCUUGGAGAUAUGUCUGUUCAGUAAUGCGCUCAUAGUUGGUUCUCGGCGGAGACUUUGGUGGUUUCCUCAGGGCAUCGAGAGUGCGCUUUGCUUUCACCGGAUCUACCUUCUCCUCCGGAGGUGGAUGUCUCUUUGCUUUCACCCCUUCAAAGAACUCCUUCACGUGGGCCUGCACGAUCGUAUUGUUUUCCUCCUUGGUCCUCUCGUACGGUAACUUCUCUAGAGGCUUUAGAGGUGGACCGUAUCUGUAUUGCCUCUCUCUUCUUGUGCUGCUAGACGCCGGAGCAGACGGAGCGGCUGUGGCGUCUGUCUUCUUCCGUGCUUGCUUAUGAGGCGGAGGAGAAGGACUACGACGCGCCGGAGCAGCCGGGGCGGCGGCGGGUCUCUUCCGCCCUUGCUGGCGAGGCGGAGAGGAGGAGGCGGAGUGCCGCCACAUGCCGGAGAAGGAGGCGGAGUGCCGCCAUGCGUGCCCUGAUCGUCACUCGCCGGAGGAGGAGGCGGUGGAGGAGGCGGAGUGCCGCCACGCGUGCCCUGAUCGUCACUCGCCGGAGGAGGACGCGGUGGAGGAGGCGGAGUGCCCUGACUCGCUGAAAGAGGAGGAGGAGGCGGAGGCGUCCAGUUCAGAAGGUUGAUGAGCUCCUUCUGCCAUAGGCAUGGAGUCUUCAGAGCAGAACCCAGCCUAGUCUCCCCUUCACCGGUAGUGUGCUCAAGCACGAGGUCCUCAAAUCCCUCCGUUAUUUCAUCCACCAUCACCUUAGCAAAUCCUUCUGGAAUUGGCUGGCAGUGAUAAGUUGUGCCGGGUCCACUAGGAUAAACUUGGCCAACAGCCGCCUUGACCUUCAAAUUCAUCCAUCACACAAUAAUGUGGCAAUUUUGAGACUCCGUGAUACCAUCCACGGGAUAGCUGGCAGGAGCCGUCAAGACAUGCUCCGGCUGAAGCAGCUCAGUGGAAGCCACGCUGCUUCUCUGCUGAGAUGGCGGGGUAGCUUCGGGGGAAGCUUCGGCAGGUCGUUUGUUGUGAUCUGCUGCUUCUUGUUCCUCUAGCCCCAUUACCCUUUCGUGCAGCGCCUGCAUUUGGUCCUGCUCCAGUUUCUUCCUCCUCUCGUAGGCUUUGUAAACGCCUGCGUCCAGAAAACCAACCUUCCACGGAAUGGAGCCUGGCGUGCCUCGUGUCCGUCCAGGGUGCUCGGGAUUCCCAAGGGCCAUUGUGAGCUCGUCCUUCUCCCUGUUUGGAAGGAACGUCCCUCGUUGUGCUGCAUCGAUAUAGUGUCGAAGGUUCUUGACUGGUGUUUGCAGUUGCUCGUCCGUCCACUGACGCUUCCCUGUUACAGGGUCCAAGGUUCCGCCAGCCCCGAAGACCCAAGUCCGGCAACGGUCUGGCCAGCGCAUUGUCUCUGGUUCGAUUCCUUUUUCAAGCAGAUCAUGCUCAGCCUUGGACCACUUAGGCCGGGCUUUGAGGUAGCCACCUGACUCCGUGCGAUGGUGAAGCUUCUUCUUCGCAGCAUUUUUCUUGUUUGUCUCCGACAUCGUCUUACUCUUUUCCGAUGUCUUGUGGGCCACAAAUGCGGGCCAGUGAUCUUUGAUCUUCUCAUAUUUGCUGAUGAAUUCUGGUGUCUUUUUUUUCUCGAGAAACUGGUUCAGCUCUUUCCUCCACCUCCUCAUUAGGCUUGCCAUCUUCUUAAGAGCACAAGACUUGAUUAAUUGCUCUUUAACUGGCUUCUCCGGAUCCUCCUCUGGCGGUAGGGUGAAAUUUGCCUUCAGCUCAGUCCAAAGAUCUUCUUUCUGCAUAUCAUUGACAUAAGACACCUCAGGGUCUUCAUCCUUAGCAGGCUUAUACCAUUGCUGGAUGCUGAUCGGGAUCUUGUCCCUAACAAGAACCCCGCACUGAGCAGAAAAUGCCUUCCUUGUCCGGAUGGGUUCAAUCGGUUCGCCGUCGGGCGCGAUUUCUAUGAUCUCAAACUUUUCAUCCGAGAUCAACUUUUUCUUCGGGCCUCGUCUCCUUACCGAAGUUGUGCUCGAUCCGGAGGGCUAGAAAUUAUAAGGAAGAAAGACGACAGUAAUUAAUAUGUGUACAUAUACCAAAACAAUGGAUGCAUCAAUUAACUAGUCAGCACGGGCUUAACUAAUAUAUAUAUACCUGGCCGGACUCGGUUCGGUGACCGGAGCAGUCAGCACGGUCUCCUUGUACCUCCAUUGUGUCACCGGAGCCAUCAUGAACAUAGUCCUCCUCUUGUACCGGCAUUAAUGGGUCGAAGCCAUCAUAAACAUAGCCCUCUUCUUCAUCCAGUCCUUCCAGCUGACCAUCGGUGUCGAUGAGAAAUGACGCAACAUCAUCACUUCCAUUUGCGAUUAUGUCCCCCAACAUCGCUUCUGUUUCUUCGUCUCGGGAGUGCUCCAUAGUUUCUGCAAAUAUUUACAACAUGUCAAUUAUUAUUCAAACAUGGUACAAAUGGAUAUAUAUAUAUAUAUAUAUAUAUAUAUAUAUAUAUAUAUAUGAAAAUGGAUUGGUACUCCUAGGAGUACAUACUCUCACCUACACCCGUCAUCGUUGGAAACAUUCAUCCCGCUAACUACUAAAAAAAGAGCUAACUAACUACGGAUAAAGCCUUUGGAUUUAAAAAUUAGUUGAACCGCUUCCUUUUUUUUCAGCUCUCGUAGGCGUGCCUUCCAGGGAUUCCAUUUGAAACGGCGUUCUCAUCUCUUGCCAGCACCCAUGAACAUAAAAAAACAGAGCAUCGGCUCGCCUCCGCCCCGCCGACUGACCGGAAGACUUGGUCGACAUGGCCGACGAUGAUCCCCGUGCUUCUUCCCUCGCAAACUAGGCUUCAACCACCACGUCCAUCAAUCAGAGGAAGAUUGAUUCAUCAUCUGUAGUUUGCGAGGGUACGUGCAAUUGAUGUUUCCCGAUUUUUCUGUUCGGCUACCACAACCGUGUUCAUGUUCCCGCUGACCCCUUGAUCCAUUCCUGUCCAGUAUGUCAUCGUCCGAGAAGAAAAUAGGACGGAGAUGAUUGAUCGGCCAGAUUGAUCGGCCAAGUCUACUAGUACCACUGGUGGAAAAAAGGCCUUUGGUCGCGGUUCGCAACUGCCAUUAGUCGCGGUUGCGCAACCGCGACCAAAUAAGCGCGACUAAAGCCCCCCACCUUUAGUCGCGGCUGCUUAAGAACCGCGACUAAAGGCCCGUCCAUGUGGGCGCCAGGCGGCCGUCGGGACGGAGGACCUUUAGUCGCGGUUCUUCUGGCCAACCGCGACUAAAGGCCGCCACAGGUUUAGGGUUUUAGCCCCCCCCCUAAACCUGUUUUCUGUUUAAUUUGUAUUGUUUUAUUUCUUUUGUGCUUUAUUUUAAUUUUGAAGGAGUUUCAUAUAUUCUACGGUACUACAUACAUGCAUAUGAAUGUACAAUUUCAAAUAAAUUUGAAAUUAGAACCAAAAAGAAUUCAAGAGGAAUAUACAAUAUAUAUUCAAUAUCAUCGGAUGACCAUAUACAAUUUUGAACAAGUUUCCAUACAUGAUUUAAUGCAUAUAAAGUUCUACGUCCUCGUAAUAGUGUUCUCCUUUAGGAUGGAGGACUUCCCUGCUGAACCAUCCAGCUAGUUCCUCUUGAAGUGGUCGGAAGCGAGCUUCUGGACUAAGCAUCCACCGGAGGUUAUUCCUCUGAGCAUUGGUAUCACUCGGAACCCGCUCAGAGGUGUAUCUCCGGAUCAUCUCACAGACAUAGUAUCCACAUAGAUUGGUCUCCGGUGGCUGAAUAUCCCCAGCAUUCUUAGCCACUGACCUUUUGAAUUCUAGCUCUUUUUUGAAUUCACCGACCUUUGUAUCUACGAACCGUCUCCAAACCCUACGAGGCAAAGAAAAUUAAAUGAACAAGAGAGUUAUUAGUUACUUGAUAUUAGGAAAUGAACGAAAUAGGCCGAUUGAUAUAGAGCGCAAAUGAAUGAAAAUAAUUACUUCUGCAGCAUUCUUCUCAUGCCGCCCCAAAGCUUUGGAUCCAUAUUCACAGAGUCGUGGACGAGACAUUCUGAGGUGUUAACUUUAAUUACUAGCAGAAUCCAGUGGAACCUGCGGACACGAUACAUGCACAGUACGUCAUGCAUAACUCAUCGAUUAGCCGGCCACAUACCAUGCAUGGAGUAAACAAAAGAGAAUGUGCUCAAGACACAAACACUCACCCAAAAUGGUAAGGAAAUAGAAUAUCACUUUUGAGUUCCUGCUUUGUAAGAAACUGCCACAGGUCUACCUCCACGUCGGCGGGGUGACGCUCCAACACAUGUCCAUUAACGAUGUGUGGGUCAAUGAACCCAACAUCAUGGAUGUUCCUUACUCUGCAUUCCUUAAUCUUCAUUCUGCAUGUAUAAUAGCGGACACAACAAUAUAGUUAGGACAUAUAUAUAGUGCAGGCAAUAUGAACGAGAUGGGGUAGAAAUUAAUAAAUCACUUACAGAACGUAGCAACUGAUGAUAGAUUUAUCGAGCUCGCGCAGAUUGAAAAGCUGGAACAAUUCACUCAGUUCAAUUUGUACAUAGUAAUGUUUGAAGUGAUGCUCAUGUCUAACUUCCGCAUAAAUAUAUUCUUUGGCGUUUUUAUUUUUUAUGUAACCCUUGUACCAUUUCAGCAGACCUUUCAUUUGUGGAGGUAGAUCCUUUUCCUGCGCAGGCUCGACGAGAGGCCCAUUCUUGACAUAUGUAAUUACUACCUCCUUCACUGGCGCCUCAUCAAGGCCUAACAGUUCACGAAGAGUAAUACCUAAGUUGGCCGCUUGUUCUAUGGCACUCGUUACAGUCAAUCCCUGUGCUGCCGCAGCUUGUAUGAUCUCGGGGGCAUCCGGACAGAAGGCUUCCACUAUAAGCGGGGCAAUCGAUUGUUUACUUUGUUCCCCGAGCUGGGCAACUUGUUUCCCGCUUUUUUUACUUUCGGCCUUCUCCCGCUCUUUGUUCUCCUUGAACAUGAGUGCCUGCCUGCGAAGUUCACGUGCAUAGUCGUUAGGCAGAUUCUUCGCGGCUUGGGACGGUGUGCUCAAAAAUGACUUAGCCCACUUGUUUUGCUCAUCAGAAAAUACUGGCUUGGGCUCGAGCUCUCUUUUCUUCUUGCAGUCCGCCUUCCAUUUCUCCAAAUCAGCAGCCGCGGCCGCGUCGACUUCCUCGGCACUACGUUCCCAAGGCCUUGUGGGGAGAGGCUUCAGUGAUGGCUCCGGUACCUUUGUGGUCUUAGGUACAUAAGGGUCCGGGUUAAUAAUCCAGGACUGCUUCUGCUUCUUUGCCGGAGGUGGAUUGGGGGGCGGCGUCUGAUCACCCGCCGGACGAGGACUGGGGGGCGGCGGCUGAUCACCCGCCGGACGUUGUGGACUGGGGGGCGGCGUCGGCUGACGUGACGGAGGUGUAGGUGAACCGCCACCACCACCACCACCACCACCACCGCCACCGCCACCACCACCACCGUAGGGGGGUGGACUUGUUGUCCUUGGCGCCUCGCCUGGAAACUUGAUAAACUUCUUUUGCCAUAGAAUGAAAUGGCGCUUGACAUCUCCAAGUCUUUUCUCCCCUUCAGGUGUAGCAAUGUCAAUCUCCAGGUCCUCAAACCCUUGGACUAUGUCCUCCACCGUGACACGAGCAUAGCCAUCUUGAAUGGGGUUGUUGUGGUGGAGUGCUCCAGGUAAACAUGGUAAAGCACUGCCGAUGGCUACCUUCAUGGACAUGUUCCCGAUAGGAUAAUACAGAUGACAUUCUUCUCCGCUGCUGGCUUCCGAGAUCUGCUGGAUGAUCUUCAUGCUGCACCCGAGCUGCAUCUCUUUCGGCUACUAGUACACUCAUGGUUUUCUUCAUCACAUCCAUUUCCGAUGCCAACCGCGCCACAACAUCUGCUUCCCGAUCCACCUUUCUCUUACGGCUUCUGUAACCGUACGGGUCAUCGUUCUGGGGGAACCCUAUUUUCCACGGAAUGUGCCCCAUGCCUCGUACACGUCCUCCGUGUUCAGGAUUCCCGAGGGAUUUUGUCAGCGCGUCGUUCUCUCUGUUGAACUUGAUCUUCCCCUGUUGAGCAUCCCUCAUUGCGUUAAUAAGGGCUUGGGUGGGUUUAAUUAAUUUGCCCCGGUAAACACACUCCCCUGUCUCCGGGUUCAGCGUUCCCCCAUGCCCGUACCACCAACUUUUGGCCCUUGGGUCCCAUCCCUCCGUACCUGCACGGAUUCCUCGCGCCCUCAGCUCGUUCUCCAUCUUCUCCAACCUAGGCACCCAAAUGCGAUACCCUCCUGGCCCCAUAACAUGAUUGUACUCCUUCUUAGCCGCAUUUUCCUUAUUUUUUCGAUAUUUGAAUGAACUGCUCCGAUUUCUUUUGCUUCACAAAUUCUGGCCAAUCAUGUUUCAGUUUCUCAUAUUGUCCUUUGAAAUCCGGAGUCUUGUUCUGCUUGACAAAGUCAUGGGCUAGAUUUUGCUUGAAUUUCCGGAAUGCGUCGGCCAUCUUAUGAAGAGCGAACUGUUUGACUAGCCUCCUCCUCUCCUUGUUUUCUUCAAUCUUGUUACCCUCCUCAUCGAAUUUGUUGUAUUCCGGAGGUAGAACGAAAUGUUCCAUAAGCUUCUUGAAGCAAUCUUUUUUUGUUCUCUUAUCGACAAAAGUGAAACCAUCAAUUCGUGCCUUCUUUGGCUCAUUCCACUCCUGGACGGUGAUCGAGACGUUGUCUCUAACAAUGGCUCCGCAUUGGCUGACAAACUUGGUGGCGUUCUUGCGGGGCUCCAGCGGCCUGCCGGUUGCACUGUCGACAACCUCGAUGGUGCAUGUUUCUCCUUGUUUCAUCGUCUUGGUUGCGCCACGCUUUGACGACGUACUCGAUUGUUUCGACGAUCCGGCCGAGGGCUAAAAUAAGAAAGAGUCGCGCGCGUUAGUACACACAUAUUUAUUCAAAUCAGUUAGUUUGUAUCACCAGAGGCUCAAUGUAUAUAUAUACCUCGGCGCCGGAGGUGGUUGCUACAUCCAUUUGAAGAUCGUCGUUUAUCGACGUUUGUUCGGCAUCAUCUUGCUGACGGCGCCCUUCAUCUUCACCGUCAAGGUUCAGAUAAGAAGAGAUAUCAUCUUCUUCUUCUCCGGUCGGCACAUAUAGAAUAUCGCCGUUUAUGAUGCCGAACAUAUGUGCUUCACCGUCCGGAUCAUAGUUGUCCAUAAUCGGGUCAGCUCUAUCGUCCGCCAUUAUGUCAGUCCUGAAAACAUGUAGUAAAAACAAAUUAAUUAAGUGAAGAAGGGGGGCGGUGGCGGUGGCGGUGGCGAAAGGGUGGUGGCAAAAGGAGGGGGCGAGGAAGGGGUGGGAGAGGGUGUCGCGGUAGAGCGCGAGACGGGGCGGCACGAACGUCAUUUUGUGAAGAAACUUUGCAAGCAAUUAAACAUUUGUCAAUGUUUGGUAAAAAAAAUACAGGUAGCGUCUGUUGCUCCUAAUGAUUGGAAACGGUUUCCAAUUGCCAACGAGGAUUUAGAUCGACUACUACUACUAGUUGCAUUGCUCCCCAUCGGGACGAUGUUGCUCCUAAUCCCCUCCUUUGGAAUCUAUAGUACUAGUGCAUACUAGCUGGCCGUUGACCGUUGUUGCUCAUCGCGUUUUCUCAAAGUCCACUGAUUUUGCUCAGGGCCAGUUCGGAGAUUUUGCUGGUCCACUGAUUUUGGAUCAACGCCGGGAUGGCAUGGGCGCUCGGCGAUGAUGCGAAGUAGACUUGCACAGGCAACGUGAUGUACAUGGAUGUGUCAGUACGGUACGCUCGGCGAUGCCACGGUAUGGAUGACUUCUCGAGUGGAGAUUGGAGAACCAAGUUCGCCGGUGAAACGUCGGCUCCUGAUCAGAUCUGGGGGUCGCGAACUAGCGAUUGGAUCUCGGAAGGGAGUUAGGAAAGCGAACAGACGUGCGUUCAAGGCUACAACUUUUUUUUUCAGGAUCUUGAAAACAGCUACGCGUUCAAGGCCCGGUCCUGAUUUUGCUCAUCUACCCGGGGCGGCGUUCGCACUGCGCGAGGGCCGACUCCGCGGGGUGCUGCCGCGUCGCCUCGUCGACGCUGAGCGAGUUGGCGAGGACCGUGUACAUGGUCGGCACGUCGCCGGCGGAGAGGGUCAUGCUGUCCCCGACCAGCGGCGGCCACGGACGGGGAGGGCGGCGGCGGUGACUGGGAAGGAAUGAUAGGAGAGGAAGGAAGGUCGCGUGGGGUUGAGGGCGGNNNNNNNNNNGGCGAGGAGGGACUCCUUGGCGGAGAGGCGCUCCGUCUCGCGGGCGUAGCUGGCAGCGGGCUCCCACGCCUGCGCGUACACGUCGUCCCGCCGUGCGUUCAAGGCUACAACUUUUUUUUUUAGGAUCUUGAAAACAACUACGCGUUCAAGGCCGGCCCGGUCCUGAUUUUGCUCAUCUACCCGGGGCGGCGUUCGCACUGCGCGAGGGCCGACUCCGCGGGGUGCUGCCGCGUCGCCUCGUCGACGCUGAGCGAGUUGGCGAGCACCGUGUACAUGGUCGGCACGUCGCCGGCGGAGAGGGUCAUGCUGUCCCCGACCAGCGGCGGCCACGGACGGGGAGGGCGGCGGCGGUGACUGGGAAGGAAUGAUCGGAGAGGAAGGAAGGUCGCGUGGGGUUGAGGGCGGGCGAGCGAGGCGGCAGUACCGAGGCUGGCCGGCGGCGCGCGCGCGGUGGGCGAGGGCGACGGCGGGCGGCGUCGAGGGCGAGGGCGACGGCGGGCGGCGUCGAGGGCGCGGCAGAGACGAACAGGCGAGAAACGGCGGGCGGCGUCGAGGGAGCCUUGUAUUUAUAGCCCCCCCNNNNNNNNNNNNNNNNNNNNNNNNNNNNNNNNNNNNNNNNNNNNNNNNNNNNNNNNNNNNNNNNNNNNNNNNNNNNNNNNNNNNNNNNNNNNNNNNNNNNNNNNNNNNNNNNNNNNNNNNNNNNNNNNNNNNNNNNNNNNNNNNNNNNNNNNNNNNNNNNNNNNNNNNNNNNNNNNNNNNNNNNNNNNNNNNNNNNNNNNNNNNNNNNNNNNNNNNNNNNNNNNNNNNNNNNNNNNNNNNNNNNNNNNNNNNNNNNNNNNNNNNNNNNNNNNNNNNNNNNNNNNNNNNNNNNNNNNNNNNNNNNNNNNNNNNNNNNNNNNNNNNNNNNNNNNNNNNNNNNNNNNNNNNNNNNNNNNNNNNNNNNNNNNNNNNNNNNNNNNNNNNNNNNNNNNNNNNNNNNNNNNNNNNNNNNNNNNNNNNNNNNNNNNNNNNNNNNNNNNNNNNNNNNNNNNNNNNNNNNNNNNNNNNNNNNNNNNNNNNNNNNNNNNNNNNNNNNNNNNNNNNNNNNNNNNNNNNNNNNNNNNNNNNNNNNNNNNNNNNNNNNNNNNNNNNNNNNNNNNNNNNNNNNNNNNNNNNNNNNNNNNNNNNNNNNNNNNNNNNNNNNNNNNNNNNNNNNNNNNNNNNNNNNNNNNNNNNNNNNNNNNNNNNNNNNNNNNNNNNNNNNNNNNNNNNNNNNNNNNNNNNNNNNNNNNNNNNNNNNNNNNNNNNNNNNNNNNNNNNNNNNNNNNNNNNNNNNNNNNNNNNNNNNNNNNNNNNNNNNNNNNNNNNNNNNNNNNNNNNNNNNNNNNNNNNNNNNNNNNNNNNNNNNNNNNNNNNNNNNNNNNNNNNNNNNNNNNNNNNNNNNNNNNNNNNNNNNNNNNNNNNNNNNNNNNNNNNNNNNNNNNNNNNNNNNNNNNNNNNNNNNNNNNNNNNNNNNNNNNNNNNNNNNNNNNNNNNNNNNNNNNNNNNNNNNNNNNNNNNNNNNNNNNNNNNNNNNNNNNNNNNNNNNNNNNNNNNNNNNNNNNNNNNNNNNNNNNNNNNNNNNNNNNNNNNNNNNNNNNNNNNNNNNNCGAGGAAGACCAAUCGGCUUAAGGUCAGGAACAAAGUCAACACAAAACUCAAUUACCUCCUCAUUUCCAUAGCCCUUGGCGAUGCUUCCUUCUGGCCUAGCACGGUUACGAACAUAUUUCUUUAAUACUCCCAUGAACCUCUCGAAGGGGAACAUAUUGUGUAGAAAUACAGGACCGAGAACGAAAAUCUCUUCGACUAGGUGAACCAGGAGGUGCGUCAUAAUAUUGAAGAAGGAUGGCGGGAACACCAACUCGAAACUGACAAGACAUUGGAUCACAUCGUUCUGUAACCAUGGUAGAACUUCUGGAUUGAUUACCUUCUGAGAGAUUGCAUUGAGGAAUGCACAUAGCUUCACAAUGGCUACUCGAACAUUUUCCGGCAGGAGCCCCCUCAAAGCAAUCGGAAGCAAUUGCGUCAUAAUCACGUGGCAGUCGUGAGACUUCAGGUUUUGGAACUUUUUCUCCGCCAUGUUUAUUAUUCCUUUUAUAUUGGACGAGAAUCCAGACGGGACCUUCAUACUGCUCAGGCAUUCAAAAAAGAUGACCUUCUCUUCUUUGGUCAGAGCGUAGCUGGCACGACCUUGAAACCAUUCCGGAUGCCGGUCAUCAGGGUCUUUCAAACGUUGCUGGUCCUGCCGUGCUUCCUUUGUAUCAUUUGUCUUCCCAUACACGCCCAAGAAGCUUAGGAGGUUCACGCAAAUAUUCUUCGUAACGUGCAUCACGUCGAUUGCAGAGCGGACAUCUAGGACUUUCCAAUAUUCUAGCUCCCAGAAUAUAGAUUUCUUCUUCCACAUGGCUGCGUUCCCGUCUGCUCCCUUCGGAACUGAUUGUCCGCCAGGACCCUUUCCAAAGAUGACUUUCAAAUCCUUGACCAUAUCAAAUACCUCAGCACCAGUGCAUUCCGCAGGCUUCGGCCGGUGAUCUGCCUUGCCGUUGUAAUGCUUGCCUUUCUUUCUUACUGGAUGAAUUUUCGGAAGAAAUCGAUGAUGCCCAAGGUACACGUUCUUCUUACAAUUUGGCAAAUGUACACUUUCAGUCUCAUGUAAGCAGUGCGUGCAUGCAUUGUAUCCCUUAUUUGACAGUCCCGAAAGGUUACUAAGAGCAGGCCAAUCGUUGAUGGUUACGAAAAGCAACGCUCGUAGGUCAAAUUCCUCUUGUUUGUGCUCAUCCCACACACGGACACCACCCCACAGCUGUAAAAGUUCAUCAACUAAUGGCCUUAGGUACACAUCGAUGUCGUUGCCGGGUUGCUUCGGACCUUGGAUGAGCACUGGCAUCAUAAUGAACUUCCGCUUCAUGCACAACCAAGAAGGAAGGUUGUAGAUGCAUAGAGUCACGGGCCAGGUGCUAUGGCUGGAGCUCUGCUCGCCAAAAGGAUUCAUGCCAUCCGUACUUAGAGCAAAUCUUAUGUUCCUUGCGUCAGCUGCAAAAUCUUUGAACCAUCUGUCGAUCUUUCUCCAUUGCGUUCCAUCUGCGGUGUGUCUCAACUCCCCGUCCGACUUACGGUCCUCUUUGUGCCAUCGCAACAACUUGGCAUGCUCUUUGUUCCUGAACAGACGUUUCAACCGUGGUAUUAUAGGAGCAUACCACAUCACCUUGGCGGGAACCCUCUUCCUGGGUUUCUGGCCCUCAACAUCGUCACCAGGGUCAUCGCCUCUGAUCUUAUAACGCAAUGCAGUGCAUAUCGGGCAUUCAUUCAAAUUCUCGUAUUCACCGCGGUAGAGGAUGCAGUCGUUGAUGCAUGCAUGUAUCUUCAGAACCUCUAAACCUAGAGGGCAGACAACCUUCUUUGCUUCGUACGUACUGGCGGGCAACUCGUUAUCCUUUGGAAACAUACUCUUCAACAUUUUCAGCAAGUUUUCAAAUGCCGAGUCAGCUACACCUGCCUCUGCCUUCCAUUUCAGCAAAUCCAGUGUGCAGCCCAGCUUUUUCAGACCAUCAUCGCAUCCGGGGUACAGCGCCUUUCUGUGAUCCUCUAACAUGCGAUCCAAAUUCUCCCUCUCCUUUUCAGUUUCGCAGCGUCUCCGUGCAUCAGCAAUGGUCCGACCAAGAUCAUCAACGGGAUCAUCACGUGCCUCUUCUUCACCUUCCCCUUCACCUUCAGCAUCCUCCAUGAAAGUAUCACCGAGAUGAGCAAGAUAGCUUUCAUCGAUGAAAUCAUCCCCUUCUUCAUCUUCUUCCAUUAUAACCCCUCUUUCUCCAUGCUUGGUCCAACAAUUAUAGCUUGGCAUGAAACCGUGCCGAAGCAGAUGCAUGUGAACAUCUCUUGAGGAAGAGUAACCCUUCUGAUUCUUACAGAUAACACAUGGACAGAUAACAAAAAACCCCUGCUUGUUCGCAUUAGCCACUACGAGGAAAUCUUUCAAACCCGUAGUGAACUCGCCGGAGAGUCGGUUACCGUACAUCCAUUGCCGAUUCAUCUGCAUUAUUAUAAUAUAAAAUAUAUAAUUAACCAUCAUGCAUUUGUUAAACUAACUAGCUACAAACAAUAUAAAUUAAACAAUGAACUGCACACAUGCAUAUUUUAUCAAUGACACAUCAAAGGUUCAUCAAGUUGCUAACCGCGAUCGAGGAGUGUGGCUCCAACACUUCAUGUCAUGUUUGUUUCAUGCUCUUGGGGCAUUUCAUCAAACACCUUAUGUGCAUAAGAGGAACCAAAAGCAAACCUACACCCACUUGUGAAGAGAAUGGCUCCAAAUGGCUAAGUGUUGGCUGCUGGAUGGGUAUAUAUAGGGGAGGGGCUUUAGUUGCGGUUGGCUUGGCAAACCGUGACUAAAGGUGCCCGAAGGCCUUUAGUCGCGGUUGUCCUGGCCAACCGCGACUAAAGACCCUCACGUGCGCCAGCUGGCCACCGAGCGCCCUGAGCCCAGGCCUUUGGUCGCGGUUCACCUCCAGAACCGCGACUAAAGGUCCCAUUAGUCGCGGUUCCUACAGCUUCGCGACUUAUGGGGCUGGACGGAAGCUUGUUUUUCCACCAGUGUACUAGGUAAGGUGUCGUUCCAGUCAAAUUGAUGAAUUCAUCUUUUGUUACCUUUGUUAUAGGAAUAUAGGCUGCAUUUAUUAGUCAUAUCGAGCUCUCAAGGAGUCAAGAUCUUGUUAACUUACUAAUAAUUUCUAUAUACCUGCAGCGUUAUGGCCUAUGGUGCAGGGCAAAGACAACAAGGACGACAUGCGGCGGCGACGUGGCCAUGGUGAAGCUACUUCGUCCGGCUACCCCAUGGUUGGCGUGUCUGCCGUCCUCUCAAUCUAUCACACGUACGUCCGGUGCAUGCAUGGUGUCGGGCCGAAGAGCACACAAAUCUACAUCCAGGCCCUGGGCACUAGCAACCGCUGAUGCACUUAGCCACUUACCAAUGUAUUCCUAUUGUACGUAUAUAAUAAAGUGGUUAGUACGUCGACGUAGAAAUAGUUAGUAGCUUGCUUUGCACUCACACAAUCGAGUCAUGAUUGUUACUGAUGAUCAAAAUUUUAUGUAUUUUUUAUGCCGGAUGGGUUUACUACUUCUUCUUCGGUUGUAUAUAAAGCUUCCAAAAAAUUAGUAUAUAAUCCUCCAGAAUAAAUCAGUAUAUAGUCCUCCAAAAAAAUGAGUAUAUACACUUUGUAACGCAGCAUAUACCCCAUAAAAAAUGUAGUAUAACGCUGCAGAAAUAAGACAUACUCCUUUUCUAGUUGCAUAUACCCAAUCACAAAACUACACUGAAAUAAUUAGUAGUACAUACUCCUUUUCUAUUUUGGAAAGGAACGUCCAUUUCCCUCUUCAACAAGUGCUUUAUUUUUCUAGGGGUAGCCUUGUGUUUUUACUGCCAUGCGACGACAUUACAAAAUGUAUUACACCCAUUAUUCAUCUAAUUUUUUAUAUACCCUUUUAUGCAUACUUUGAAUUUAUCACUCAUUUGGGCGACCAGCCCGCUCUCUCAUUGCAGCGACUCGACUCUCACAUAAAGCCAGUAUAUACUCACGUAAAAAAAAGCAGUAUAGACUCCCUUACUGAAAAAGAACUAUAUACUCCCCUACCAAAAAAAGUAGUAUAUGCUCCAUUACCAAAAAGGCAGUAUAUACUCAUAUACAAAAGGUGGUAUAUACUGUCUUCCCAAAGUAGUAUAUAUCUUUUUCCUUGCGUUAGAGAAGUAGUAUAACCAGAACAGAUAGUUCAUACUUGUGUGCUGAAAAAAGUAGUAUAUAAAUAUAUAUGUAAGAGUGAGUAUGGUAGAUAUGUAUCGGUCCUUACAAAAAAAAUCAACCACUGUUAUUGUUUAUUUGCACCGAACUAACCUUAUCUGUAUGCUAGGAUCCUUGAAUCUCUCAAUCUGUUGAUGCACAUGCAUGCGUCGGCCGGUGGAGCAAUUAGCAACUAGAUCUAAUAACUGCCAACCUGUUCAGUCCAUGGGAGUACAUACUCCUGGGAGUAUAAAAGAGGAGUCUAUAUAUAUAUAUAUAUAUAUAUAUAUAUACGGUGGCGCUAUUGUGUGCGUGAGCGCAGAUUUACUUAUCGUGCGCGCCGGUCAUUGCGUGCGCCACUCGUAUUCCUAAUGAUGGUAAAAUUCCUGGCAGAAAUAGUAAUAUAAUUUAAUUGGUUACUGCCUGCCACCACCACGGUAGCGAUUUAAUUGGUUAGGUCUACUAGUAAAAAUGCAUAGCAGAAAAAGUAAAAGAGCUAAAAGUAUUACUGUUGGAUGCAUCGGUCCCCGCUUCGACUGCCUACUAGUAAAACACCUCAUAAAAGUAGUAAUAGGAUUACCCUACACGCAUCAGCCCCUUGCCAUACUUGUGAACAGGUAAACUUCAUGUGAAGAAUAGUACUGGAUGGUAACUGUGUUACCAUAGAACGGACACUUGCUAUUAGCUAGCUACAUGGUAAUUUUAUUACCGCUAACUUUCAUCGGUUUAAUACCUAAUCAUGUUACCACUUAUUUUCUUAGUAGUAUUGGAUGGUAACUAUGUUACCACAUGACGAAAAAAUUGCUAUUAGCUAAUAGCUACACGGUAAUUGCAUUACCACUCAUGUGUAGAAGCAUGAUACACGGUCUUUUUUCCAAUUACGUUUGGUCGAAGACGCAAGGGUUUGCUAAUCGCUAAAGUGGGGUCGAAGCAGUAAUAAGUUUCCAACCGUUACCAUGUUUCUUAAGGUAUGUUACGUAUGGGCGCAAGACAUGUUCUUUAAUAGGAGCGGGACAACGGUUGCUUAGACGGAGAAUGGCGCGCAGUCUGGCCGGAGCGUAGAAUUAGACUUCUGCGCUCAGGCUUAGUUUAGCACGUCUAUAUAUAUAUAUAUAUAUAUAUAUAUAUAUAUACAUACAUGUUAGUGGCCUCGACGCUGCUUCUCUAGGGUUUGGGGUCGCCUCGACACAACGCUUCAAGGGUUUGGGGUGGCCUCGACGACAACGUUUUUUUAACUUGAUAAAUUUGGGUGGCCUCGAGAGAGUUAAUUUGUCGGGUAGGGGCGCGGCGGGAGGGGGUAGGAGACCAACAUCGUUUUCUCUCUAGGGUUUGGGUGUCCUCGAGAGUUAUCGGGGAGGGGGUAUCGGUACCACCCCCUAGCUCGUGUUGAAGUUUCUUCUUUCUCCUCUAUUCCUUUCUUUCUUCUUCUCCUCUUCUUUUUCUUCUUCUCCCUCGAGAAAGGAAAAUANNNNNNNNNNNNNNNNNNNNNNNNNNNNNNNNNNNNNNNNNNNNNNNNNNNNNNNNNNNNNNNNNNNNNNNNNNNNNNNNNNNNNNNNNNNNNNNNNNNNNNNNNNNNNNNNNNNNNNNNNNNNNNNNNNNNNNNNNNNNNNNNNNNNNNNNNNNNNNNNNNNNNNNNNNNNNNNNNNNNNNNNNNNNNNNNNNNNNNNNNNNNNNNNNNNNNNNNNNNNNNNNNNNNNNNNNNNNNNNNNNNNNNNNNNNNNNNNNNNNNNNNNNNNNNNNNNNNNNNNNNNNNNNNNNNNNNNNNNNNNNNNNNNNNNNNNNNNNNNNNNNNNNNNNNNNNNNNNNNNNNNNNNNNNNNNNNNNNNNNNNNNNNNNNNNNNNNNNNNNNNNNNNNNNNNNNNNNNNNNNNNNNNNNNNNNNNNNNNNNNNNNNNNNNNNNNNNNNNNNNNNNNNNNNNNNNNNNNNNNNNNNNNNNNNNNNNNNNNNNNNNNNNNNNNNNNNNNNNNNNNNNNNNNNNNNNNNNNNNNNNNNNNNNNNNNNNNNNNNNNNNNNNNNNNNNNNNNNNNNNNNNNNNNNNNNNNNNNNNNNNNNNNNNNNNNNNNNNNNNNNNNNNNNNNNNNNNNNNNNNNNNNNNNNNNNNNNNNNNNNNNNNNNNNNNNNNNNNNNNNNNNNNNNNNNNNNNNNNNNNNNNNNNNNNNNNNNNNNNNNNNNNNNNNNNNNNNNNNNNNNNNNNNNNNNNNNNNNNNNNNNNNNNNNNNNNNNNNNNNNNNNNNNNNNNNNNNNNNNNNNNNNNNNNNNNNNNNNNNNNNNNNNNNNNNNNNNNNNNNNNNNNNNNNNNNNNNNNNNNNNNNNNNNNNNNNNNNNNNNNNNNNNNNNNNNNNNNNNNNNNNNNNNNNNNNNNNNNNNNNNNNNNNNNNNNNNNNNNNNNNNNNNNNNNNNNNNNNNNNNNNNNNNNNNNNNNNNNNNNNNNNNNNNNNNNNNNNNNNNNNNNNNNNNNNNNNNNNNNNNNNNNNNNNNNNNNNNNNNNNNNNNNNNNNNNNNNNNNNNNNNNNNNNNNNNNNNNNNNNNNNNNNNNNNNNNNNUGAAAACACUUUUUUUUGUUUUCUUUCUUGCUUUAUUUAUUUUAUUUUGUUUCUACUUGCAAUAAAAUACUUAUUGUUGUUUUUUUGUUUUGUUUUCUGCAUUAUUUAUUUUCUUUUGUUUUUUGCUUUAUUUUUUAAUUCUUUUUGCUUUUAGUUUUAGGAAAAUUAUAAACUUUCUAUUAGUGCCAUUACUUUUCAAAUUUGAAAACACUUUUUUGUUUUUUAGUUUUCUUUCUUGCUUUAUUUAUUUUAUUUUGUUUCUACUUACAACAAAAUACUUAUUGUUGCUAUUUUUAAUUAUUACGAAGGCCAAACCAUAAGACAUUAAAGCAUUUCAAAUGAACUCUGAAAAAGUUGAAAGUUGGCAUGGUAUCAUAAAUUGACCCACACAUAGCAUGUGCAUGUACAAAACGGACAAUGUUAUCAUACUCGUCAGUUACAAAGUUGGCAUGGUAUCAUCAUAAUAGUUGCGGGAGAAAGUCUUCACUUUUUCUUCGCUUGUGUCAUUUGCUUAUUGCGCCGUAACCAUGGAUAAUCUUCAUCGUUUAUCAGGAUGCUGGGGUCAGCCUUGACUUUAAAGGGAGGAAUUUCAUGAAACUUUUCAUAAUCUUCAGACAUGUCUGUCUUGUCCUCCUCUCCCACGAUGUCCCUUUUUCCUGAAAGAACUAUGUGGCGCUUUGGCUCAUCGUAUGAUGUAUUCGCUUCCUUAUCUUUUCUCUUUCUUGGUCUGGUAGACAUGUCCAUCACAUAGAUAACCUGUGCCACAUCAUUGGCUAGGACGAACGGUUCGUCAGUGUACCCAAGAUUUUUCGGAUCCACUGUUGUCGUUCCGUACUGUGGGUCUACAUGUACCCCGCCUCCUGACAGAUUGACCCAUUUGCACUUAAACAAAGGGACCUUAAAAUCAUGUCCUUAGUCAAGUUCCCAUAUGUCCACUAUGUAACCAUAAUAUGUGUCCUUUCCCCUCUCGGUUGUUGCAUCAAAGCGGACACCGCUGUUUUGGUUGGUGCUCUUUUGAUCUUGGUUAAUCGUGUAAAAUGUCUUCCCAUUUAUCUCAUAUCCUUUCCAAAUCGUAACAGUCGAAGAUGGUCCCCUGGAUAACAAGUACAUCUCAUCACAAACAGCGUUGUCACCUCUGAUACGUGCUUCCAACCAACUGCUGAAAGUCCUGAUGUGUUCACAUGUAAUUCAGUCGUCGCACUGCUCCGGGUGUUUGGAGCGCAGACUGUUCUUGUGUUCAUCCACAUACGGGGUCACCAAGGUAGAGUUCUGUAGAACUGUGUAGUGUGCUUGAGACCAAGAAUAUCUGUCCCUGCAUAUUAUUGAGUCCCUUCCAAGCAUGCCUUUUCCAGUCAGUCUCCCCUCAUACCGCGAUUUAGGGAGACCUAUCUUCUUAUGGCCAGGAAUGAAGUCAACACAAAACCCGAUGACAUCCUCUGUUUGAUGGCCCAUGGAGAUGCUUCCUUCUGGCCUAGCGCGAUGAGGGACAUAUUUCUUUAGGACUCCCAUGAACCUCUCAAAGGGGUACAUAUUGUGUAGAAAUACGGGGCCCAAAAUGACAAUCUCGUCAACUAGAUGAACUAGGACGUGCGUCAUGAUAUUGAAGAAGGAUGGUGGGAACACCAGCUCGAAACUGACAAGACAUUGCACCACAUCACUCCUUAGCCUUGGUAUGAUUUCUGGAUCGAUCACCUUCUGAGAGAUUGCAUUGAGGAAUGCACAUAGCUUCACAAUGGCUAAUCGGACGUUUUCCGGUAGAAGCCCCCUCAAUGCAACCGGAAGCAGUUGUGUCAUAAUCACGUGGCAGUCAUGAGACUUUAGGUUCUGAAACUUUUUCUUUGCCAUAUUUAUUAUUCCUUUUAUAUUCGACGAGAAGCCAGUCGGGACCUUCAUACUAAGCAGGCAUUCAAAGAAGAUUUCCUUCUCUUCUUUGGUAAGAGCAUAGCUGGCAGGACCUUCAUACUGCUUUGGAGGCAUGCCGUCUUUUUCGUGCAAAUGUUGCAGGUCCUCCCGUGCCUCAGCUGUAUCUUUUGUCUUCCCAUACACGCCCAAGAAGCCUAGCAGGUUCACGCAAAGGUUCUUCGUCACGUGCAUCACGUCGAUCGAAGAGCGGACCUCUAGGUCUUUCUAGUAGGGUAGGUCCCAAAAUAUAGAUUUCUUCUUCCACAUGGGUGCGUGUCCCCCAACGUCACUCGGAACAGCUAGUCUGCCGGGACCCUUUCCAAAGAUUACGUGUAAAUCAUUGACCAUAGCAAGUACGUGACCACCGGUACGCAUGGCGGGCUUCUUCCGGUGAUCUGCCUCGCCUUUGAAAUGCUUGCCUUUCUUUCGACAUUGAUGGUUGGUCGGAAGAAAUCGACGAUGGCCCAGGUACACAUUCUUCCUACAGCUUGCCAGGUAUAUACUAACGGUGUCAAGUAAACAGUGCGUGCAUGCGUGGUAUCCCUUGUUUGUCUGUCCUAAAAGGUUACUGAGAGCAGGCCAAUCGUUGAUGGUCACGAACAGCAACGCCUUUAGGUUAAAUUUCUCCUGUUUGUGCUCAUCCCACGUACGUACACCGUUUCCAUUCCACAGCUGUAAAAGUUCUUCAACUAAUGGCCUUAGGUACACAUCAAUGUCAUUGCCGGGUUGCUUAGGGCCUUGGAUGAGAACUGGCAUCAUAAUGAACUUCCGCUUCAUGCACAUCCAAGGAGGAAGGUUAUACAUACAUAGAGUCACGGGCCAGGUGCUGUGAUUGCUGCUCUGCUCCCCGAAAGGAUUAAUGCCAUCCGCACUUAAAGCAAACCAUACGUUCCUUGGCUCACUUGCAAACUCAUCCCAGUACUUUCUCUCAUUUUUCUCCAUUGCGACCCGUCAGCGGGUGCUCUCAACUUCCCGUCUUUCUUACGGUCCUCACUAUGCCAUCGCAUCAACUUGGCAUGCUCUCCGUUUCUGAACAGACGUUUCAACCGUGGUAUUAUAGGAGCAUACCACAUCACCACUACUAGGGAAAAGCCUAUACAUAGAAUCUUACCAGCAGCGCUCUUCAAAAUACAACGCUACUGCUACUUAGCAGCAGCGCGUGUCUGCCAAACACGCUGCUGACUUGGAAGUAGCAGUAGCGGGUGCAUCGCAUACAGCGCUACUGCUAUAGUUGCCAUGACCUUGCCCCCCCCCCCCCNNNNNNNNNNNNNNNNNNNNNNNNNNNNNNNNNNNNNNNNNNNNNNNNNNNNNNNNNNNNNNNNNNNNNNNNNNNNNNNNNNNNNNNNNNNNNNNNNNNNNNNNNNNNNNNNNNNNNNNNNNNNNNNNNNNNNNNNNNNNNNNNNNNNNNNNNNNNNNNNNNNNNNNNNNNNNNNNNNNNNNNNNNNNNNNNNNNNNNNNNNNNNNNNNNNNNNNNNNNNNNNNNNNNNNNNNNNNGCAAACGCGCUACAACUAUCCCUACCUUAUCCCCAUGCGCACGACCGGCCCUCUCACUCACACUCUCACUCUCGCCCACGUCAACCGUCGUCGUCCGUCGCCGCCGCCGCCGCCUUCGUCCGUCCGCCGCCGAGGUACUCCCCUCCUUCCGUCCCUCCUCCAUCCUCCUUGCACAUCCUCCCUCCGCCUGUGGCCGCCCCUCCUUCCUCCGCCGCUGCCCUCCUCCCUCCGCCUGCGGCCGCCCCUCCUCCCUCCUCCGACGGCAGCCCUCCUCCCACCGCCCUCGACCUCGCUGCCCCUAGCUACCUCUCCGUCGCCCCCCACCCCUGCCACUAGUUAGUACUAGAUUUAGUAGUAGUAGAUGUUAAUUUAGGGUUAGCUAGUACUAGAUGUUGCUUAGUUAGUACUAGAUUUUUAGUAGUAGUAGUGGUAGUUGAACUACUUUAGUUGUAGUUGAACUAGUUUAGUAAGUAAAUUAAUAAACGAGUUGAACUAGUUGAAUUAAUAGAACUAAUCUAUUUUUAGUAAGAUAAUUAAUAUAACUAGUUGAACUACUUUAUUUUUAGAAAGAACUAAUUUUUUUCUAUUUAUAUUAAGUUUAUAUUUAGUAAGAACUAGUUGAAUUAAUAAAACUAGUUGAACAUGUCAUGUUUGUUGUUAGUGAUAACUUAUAUGGUUUCAGGUGACCUCCGUCGUCCCCGUCACCGACCCCCUCCGACAUCCCCGUCGUCGUCCCAGUCACCGACCCCCUCCGACAUCGAGGUGAGACCAGCCAAAUAUCCUUGUAUAUCUUGUGUUGUUGCUCAAAUUGGAUAUGUGGUUGCCCAAGUGGCCGUUCAUGUAGUUUACAUCUCCGAGUGGCCUAUGUUUUGCCGGAGUGUUGAUUAAUUUCCGUUCCGACAAAUUUCAGGCGCUCGAUAUGUCCUUUUUUAGCAAAGGUCAUGCCGGAUUUUGUCGUGAAUUCUGGUAUGACUUGUGCUAGAAUAUGUACAAGUUUAAUCUUUGAAUUAUGAUUGUAGGAAAUGUCGUACUCGGACGACGAAGGUCUCCCGGGGGAGUGUAGCUGGUGCCACGACGAUCGAGGUAUGUGCGAUAGGUUCGUUCGGCUGGACGAAGAUCGGCGCUUCAACAUUAAGCUCGAGGAGACCUUCGAUUGUGAAAUGGUACGCAACAACGACAAGUGUUUUUUCUCCAUUAAGCAUGACUUCAACUAUUUCAACGUCUAAUUUUCAUAUUUUACAAUUCGACUAGCUUAUCCCAUGCCAUGCAAGACGCUAUGUCUUGGAGAGGAUGGGUUUUGAAGACCAUGAAAAUUUCAAAACAAAGAAAAUACACCUAAGGACCCAUCAUGAUAUGGAUUUUGAAGUAAACCUGUGCAAUGCUCAGAGCGCAACCCAUUUUGGUUGCCAAAAUUGGGAAGCACUUUGCAAAAUGUAUGGUUUUUAUGAGGGUAUGAUUGUCACCAUGGAUCUUGGUGAUCCUGACAGUGAGGAAGACAAUAUGGACAUUUGGGUCCUUGUUGAUACGCUUCCGAUUGUACCGCUAUGUGACUUUCUCAAACAUAGUUAUUAACUAAUUUAUAUUGUUUAUUUCAAAAUAGUUGAUAGCUUAUUUCCAUUGACAGCUUAUUUUGAUUCUUCAAAGACUGUGCGGAAGAUGGUAGAUAAAACCCACUACACCGAAGGCACCCAAUUAACGUAUAAGGAGAAAAAUCAUCUGAUCGCAUUUUGUACUCUUCUUGAGAAUUACAAUGACUAUAAUCGAACUCCUCCAGAUUAUGGUGAAUAUGUGCCACUAGUGCAUGUGUUGAACAACGAUAACUUAUCUGGAGAUACCCUGGUAAGAUUUUUUACUAUUACGACAUCCGUGUAUUUUUUGCAUACUUCUAAAACUAGUACAUCAUUGCUAACUACGAAGUUAUUAUUAUGUUUUUCAACAGAAACUCCCGAUGGAUUGUGUGCCUCAUCUGAUGUCUCUGCAUGGUCGCCUCUCAGUUCUGAACAUACUGCCAGGUAAAUCUACAGAGCUCACCUAUGCAUAUCAGAUUUCUAAAACCCGUGAACACAUGAUCAUCAGAGAAUGGAAGAAAUGUAUGGACAUUCGCAAGGAGGUUCUUGGAAGUAACAUUCAGCGAAACGUAAGAAUGGGAGACAGGCUAAUCUCCAUUCUCCAUAAUGGAGAGUCAGGGGCUAUCUUGUUUUUUGUUAUUUUACCUUAGAAAAUGUAGUAGGUCUUAAUCGAAUGUAAUAGGUCCUAUGAGGUACAAUAUGUUUAUUAUGUGGUAAUGUGUUAGAGUUGAUAAUGAUGAUCUUGAGGAGGUGUUAUGUGAUGUCAAUGAUGAAAACGAUGAUAUUGAGGAGGUGUUAUAUGACAAUGAUGUAUUAUGAUGCUAAGUUGUUAAUGAUAUGAUGAUGAUGAUGAUAUUAUUAUAUCAUUGGGUGAAAGAACCGUGGAUUAGUUUCAAGUGGAUGGACAUCCACUUGAAACUAGUCCACGGUUCUUUCACCCCAUGAUGUAAUAACUCAUUAUGAUGUAAAAACAAUCUCUAAAUUCCUGUUGUAUGAAAACUUGUGUAAGGGUGUAUGAAUACAACAUGAAAAAGAAAAGAAAUAAAAUACUAAAUAAUAGUAGUAGCGCGGGUAAGGAGAAGCGCUACUACUAAUUACCAGUAGCGAUGUUCUAAAGAACCGCUGCUACUAAGUCAAUUUAGCAGUAGCGCGUGUCAAGACGCGCUAUUGCUAAGCAUUAGCUGUAGCGCCUUAUCAGUAGCGCUCCUGCCCGCGCUACUGAUAGGCCCAAAACCCGCGCUGCUGCUAGGCUUUUCCCUAGUAGUGCACCUUCGCAGGAACCCUCUUCCUGGGGGGCUCGCCGUCAACAUCACCAGGGUCAUCUCGUCUGAUCUUAUACCAUAAUGCACCGCAUACCAGGCAUGCGUUCAGAUCCUUAUAUGCACCGCGGUAGAGGAUGCAGUCAUUAGGGCAUGCAGGUAUCUUCUGCACCUCCAAUCCUAGAGGGCAUACGACCUUCUUUGCUGCGUAUGUACUGUCGGGCAAUUCGUUAUCCUUUGGAAGCUUCUUCUUCAAUAUUUUCAGUAGCUUCUCAAAUCCUUUGUCAGGCACAGCAUUCUCUUAAAGGAAAUAUGCCCUAGAGGCAAUAAUAAAGUUAUUAUUUAUUUCCUCAUAUCAUGAUAAAUGUUUAUUAUUCAUGCUAGAAUUGUAUUAACCGGAAACAUGAUACAUGUGUGAAUACAUAGACAAAACUAUAGUCACUAGUAUGCCUCUACUUGACUAGCUCAUUAAUCAAAGAUGGUUAUGUUUCCUGACCAUAGACAUGUGUUGUCAUUUGAUUAGUGGGAUCACAUCAUUAAGAGAAUGAUGUGAUUGACAUGACCCAUUCUGUUAGCCCAGCACUUGAUCGUUUAGUAUACUGCUAUUGCUUUCUUCAUGACUUAUACAAAGUUCCUGCAACUAUGAGAUUGUGCAACUCCCGUUUACCGGAAGAACACUUUGUGUGCUACCAAACAUCACAACGUAACUGGGUGAUUAUAAAGGUGCUCUACAGGUGUUUCCGAAGGUACAUGUUGGGUUGGCAUAAUUCGAGAUUAGGAUUUGUCACUCCGAUUGUCGGAGAGGUAUCUCUGGGCCCUCUCGGAAAUACUCAUCACAUAAGCCUUGCAAGCAUGUAACUAAUGAGUUAGUUAUGAGAUGACGUAUUACGAAACGAGUAAAGAGACUUGCCGGUAACGAGAUUGAACUAGGUAUUGGAUACCGACGAUCAAAUCUCGGGCAAGUAACAUACCGAUGACAAAGGGAACAAAGUAUGUUGUUAUGCGGUUUGACCGAUAAAGAUCUUCGUAGAAUAUGUAGGAACCAAUAUGGGCAUCCAGGUCCCGCUAUUGGUUAUUGACCGAGAAUGGUUUUAGGUCAUGACUACAUAGUUCUCAAACCCGUAGGGUCCGCACGCUUAACUUUUUGAUGAUAGUUUUAUUAUGAGUUUAUAAGUUUUGAUGUACCAAAGUUUGUUCGGAGUUCCGGAUGUGAUCACGGAUAUGAUGAGGAGUCUCGGAAUGCUUGAGCCAUAAAGAUUGAUAUAUUGGACGACUAUAUUCGGACACCGGAAAGGUUCCGGGAGUUUUCGGAGAAAACCGGAGUGCCCGGGGGGUUACCGAAACCCCCCGGGAGAGUUAAUGGGCCACAUGGGCCUAGGUGGGAAGAGAAAGGGGCGGCCAGGGUGAGCCGCGCGCCCCCUCUCCCUCUAGUCCGAAUUGGACUAGGAGGGGGGGCGGCGCCCCCUUUCCUUCCCCCCCUCUCUUCCUUCCUUCCCCCUCCUAGUAGGAGUAGGAAAGGAGGAAUCCUACUCCUACUAGGAGGAGGAUUCCUCCUCCCUUGCGCGCCCCAAGGGGCCGGCCGGCCUCCCCCUCCCUCCUUUAUAUACGGGGGCAGGGGGCACCCCAUAGACACACAAGUUGAUCUACGGAUCGUUCCUUAGCCGUGUGCGGUGCCCCCUUCCACCAUAUUCCACCUCGGUCAUAUCGUCGCGAAGCUUAGGCGAAGUCCUGCGCCGGUAGAACAUCAAGAUCGUCACCACGCCGUCGUGCUGACGGAACUCUCCCUCGACACUCGGCUGGAUCGGAGUUCGAGGGACGUCAUCGAGCUGAAUGUGUGCUGAACUCGGAGGCUCCGUACGUUCGGUUCUUGGAUCGGUCGGAUCGUGAAGACGUAUGACUACAUCAACCGCGUUGUCAUAACGCUUCCGCUUACGGUCUACGAGGGUACAUGGACAUACACUCUCCCCUCUCGUUGCUAUGUCAUCACCAUGAUCUUGCGUGUGCGUAGGAAAAUUUUGAAAUUACUACGUUCCCCGACAGUGGUAUCAGAGCCUAGGUUUUAUGCGUUGAUGUUAUAUGCACGAGUAGAACACAAGUGAGUUGUGGACGAUAUAAGUCAUACUGCCUACCAGUGUGUCAUACUUUGGUUCAGCGGUAUUGUGAGAUGAAGCGGCCCGGACCGACAUUACGGGUACGCUUACGCGAGACUAGUUUCACCGUUAUGAGCACUCGUGCUUAAAGGUGGCUGGCGGGUGUCUGUCUCUCUCACUUUAGUUGAACCGAGUGUGGCUACGCCCGGCCCUUGUGAAGGUUAAAACGGAGUCUAUUUGACAAACUAUCGUUGUGGUUUUGAUGCGUAGGUAAGAACGGUUCUUGCUAAGCCCGUAGCAUCCACGUAAAAUUUGCAACAACAAAGUAGAGGACGUCUAACUUGUUUUUGCAGGGCAUGUUGUGAUAUGAUAUGGUCAAGACGUGAUGCUAUAUUUUAUUGUAUGAGAUGAUCAUGUUUUGUAACCGAAGUUAUCGGCAACUGGCUGGAGCCAUAUGGUUGUCGCUUUAUUGUAUGAAAUGCAAACGCCCUGUAAUUGCUUUACUUUAUCUCUAAGCGGUAGCGAUAGUCGUAGAAGCAAUAGAUGGCGUAAACGACAACGAUGCUACGAUGGAGAUCAAGGUGUCGCGCCGGUGACGAUGGUGAUCAUGACGGUGCUUCGAAGAUGGAGAUCACAAGCACAAGAUGAUGAUGGCCAUAUCAUAUCACUUAUAUUGAUUGCAUGUGAUGUUUAUCCUUUAUGCAUCUUAUCUUGCUUUGAUUGACGGUAGCAUUUUAAGAUGAUCUCUCACUAAAAUUAUCAAGUAGUGUUCUCCCUGAGUAUGCACCGUUGCCAAAGUUCAUCGUGCCGAGACACCACGUGAUGAUCGGGUGUGAUAAGCUCUACGUCCAUCUACAACGGGUGCAAGCCAGUUUUGCACACGCAGAAUACUCAGGUUAAACUUGACGAGCCUAGCAUAUGCAGAUAUGGCCUCGGAACACAGAGACCGAAAGGUCGAGCGUGAAUCAUAUAGUAGAUAUGAUCAACAUAAUGAUGUUCACCAUUGAAAACUACUCCAUCUCACGUGAUGAUCGGUUAUGGUUUAGUUGAUUUGGAUCACGUGAUCACUUAGAUGACUAGAGAGAUGUCUGUCUAUGUGGGAGUUCUUAAGUAAUAUGAUUAAUUGAACUUAAAUUUAUCAUGAACUUAGUACCUGAUAGUAUCUUGCUUGUCUAUGUUUGUUUGUAGAUAGAUGGCUCGUGCUGUUGUUCCGUUGAAUUUUAAUGCGUUCCUUGAGAAAGCAAAGUUGAAAGAUGAUGGUAGCAAUUACACGGACUGGGUCCGUAACCUGAGGAUUAUCCUCAUUGUUGCACAGAAGAGUUACGUCCUGGAAGCACCGCUGGGUGCCAGGCCUGCUGCUGAUGCAACUGACGACGUUAAGAACGUCUGGCAGAGCAAAGCUGAUGACUACUCUAUAGUUCAGUGUGCCAUGCUUUACGGCUUAGAACCGGGUCUUCAACGACGUUUUGAACGUCAUGGAGCAUAUGAGAUGUUCCAGGAGUUGAAGUUAAUAUUUCAAGCAAAUGCCCGGAUUGAGAGAUAUGAAGUCUCCAAUAAGUUCUAUAGCUGCAAGAUGGAGGAGAAUAGUUCUGUCAGUGAACAUAUACUCAGAAUGUCUGGGUAUAACAAUCACUUGAUUCAACUGGGAGUUAAUCUUCCUGAUGAUAGUGUCAUUGACAGAAUUCUUCAAUCACUGCCACCAAGCUACAAGAGCUUUGUGAUGAACUAUAAUAUGCAAGGGAUGAACAAGACUAUUCCCGAGCUCUUCGCGAUGCUGAAAGCCGCAGAGGUAGAAAUCAAGAAGGAGCAUCAAGUGUUGAUGGUCAACAAGACCACUAGUUUCAAGAAGAAGGGCAAAGGAAAGAAGAAGGGGAACUUCAAAAAGAACGGCAAGCAAGUUGCUGCUCAAGAGAAGAAACCCAAGUCUGGACCUAAGCCUGAAACUGAGUGCUUCUACUGCAAGCAGACUGGUCACUGGAAGCGGAACUGCCCCAAGUAUUUGGCGGAUAAGAAGGAUGGCAAAGUAAACAAAGGUAUAUGUGAUAUACAUGUUAUUGAUGUGUACCUAACUAGAGCUCGUAGUAGCACCUGGGUAUUUGAUACUGGUUCUGUUGCUAAUAUUUGCAACUCGAAACAGGGACUACGGAAUAAGCGAGCACUGGCCAAGGACGAGGUGACGAUGCGCGUGGAAAACGGUUCCAAAGUCGAUGUGAUCGCGGUCGGCACGCUACCUCUACAUCUACCAUCGGGAUUAGUUUUAGACCUAAAUAAUUGUUAUUUGGUGCCAGCGUUGAGCAUGAACAUUAUAUCUGGAUCUUGUUUGAUGCAAGACGGUUAUUCAUUUAAAUCAGAGAAUAAUGGUUGUUCUAUUUAUAUGAGUAAUAUCUUUUAUGGUCAUGCACCCUUGAAGAGUGGUCUAUUUUUAUUGAAUCUCGAUAGUAGUGAUACACAUAUUCAUAUUGUAGAAGCCAAAAGAUGCAGAGUUGAUAAUGAUAGUGCAACUUAUUUGUGGCACUGCCGUUUGGGUCAUAUCGGUGUACAACGCAUGAAGAAACUCCAUACUGAUGGACUUCUGGAAUCACUUGAUUAUGAAUCACUUGGUACUUGCGAACCGUGCCUUAUGGGCAAGAUGACUAAAACACCGUUCUCCGGAACUAUGGAGAGAGCAACAGAUUUGUUGGAAAUCAUACAUACAGAUGUAUGUGGUCCGAUGAAUGUUGAGGCUCGUGGCGGAUAUCAUUAUUUUCUCACCUUCACUGAUGAUUUAAGCAGAUAUGGGUAUAUCUACUUAAUGAAGUACAAGUCUGAAACAUUUGAAAAGUUCAAAGAAUUUCAGAGUGAAGUAGAAAAUCAUCGUAACAAGAAAAUAAAGUUUCUACGAUCUGACCGUGGAGGAGAAUAUUUGAGUUACGAGUUUGGUUUACAUUUGAAACAAUGCGGAAUAGUUUCGCAACUCACGCCACCUGGAACACCACAACGAAAUGGUGUGUCCAAACGUCGUACUCGUACUUUACUUGAUAUGGUGCGAUCUAUGAUGUCUCUUACCGAUUUACCGCUAUCGUUUUGGGGUUAUGCUUUAGAGACGGCCGCAUUCACGUUAAAUAGGGCACCAUCAAAAUCCGUUGAGAUGACGCCUUAUGAACUGUGGUUUGGCAAGAAACCAAAGUUGUCGUUUCUUAAAGUUUGGGGCUGCGGUACUUAUGUGAAGAAACUUCAACCAGAUAAGCUCGAACCCAAAUCGGAGAAAUGUGUCUUCGUAGGAUACCCAAAGGAGACUAUUGGGUACACCUUCUAUCACAGAUCUGAAGGCAAGAUUUUCGUUGCUAAAUUCGGAUCCUUUCUAGAGAAGGAAUUUCUCUCGAAAGAAGUGAGUGGGAGGAAAGUAGAACUUGAUGAGAUAACUGUAUCUACUCCCUUAUUGGAAGGUAGUUCAUCACGAGAACUGGUUCCCAUGACAACUACACCAAUUAUUGAGGAAGCUAAUAAUAUUGAUCAUGAAACUUCAGAUCAAGUUUCUGCUGAACCUCGUAGGUCUACCAGAGUAAGAUCCGCACCAGAGUGGUACGGUAAUCCUAUUCUGGAAGUCAUGUUACUUGACCAUGAUGAACCUACGAACUAUGAGGAACCGAUGAUGAGCCCAGAUUCCGCAAAAUGGCUAGAGGCCAUGAAAUCUGAGAUGGGAUCCAUGGAUGAAAACAAAGUAUGGACUUUGGUUGACUUGCCCGAUGAUCGGCAAGCCAUUGAGAAUAAAUGGAUCUUUAAGAAGAAGACUGACGCUGAUGGUAAUGUUACUGUCUAUAAAGCUCGACUUGUUGCGAAAGGUUUUCGACAAGUUCAAGGGGUUGACUAUGAUGAGACUUUCUCACCCGUAGCGAUGCUUAAGUCUGUCCGAAUCAUGUUGGCUAUUGCUGCAUUUCAUGAUUAUGAAAUUUGGCAAAUGGAUGUCAAAACUGCAUUCUUGAAUGGAUUUCUAGAAGAAGAGUUGUAUAUGAUGCAGCCGGAAGGUUUUGUUGAUCCAAAAGGUGCUGACAAAGUGUGUAAGCUCCAAUGUUCCAUUUAUGGACUGGUGCAAGCAUCUCGGAGUUGGAAUAAACGUUUUGACAGUGUGAUCAAGGCAUAUGGUUUUAUACAGACUUUUGGAGAAGCCUGUAUUUACAAGAAAGUGAGUGGGAGCUCUGUAGCAUUUCUAGUUUUAUAUGUUGAUGACAUAUUAUUAAUUGGAAAUGAUAUAGAAUUUCUGGAGAGCAUAAAGGGAUACUUGAAUAAAAGUUUUUCAAUGAAAGACCUCGGUGAAGCUGCUUACAUAUUGGGCAUCAAGAUCUAUAGAGAUAGAUCAAGACGCUUAAUAGGACUUUCACAAAGCACAUACCUUGACAAAAUUUUGAAAAAGUUCAAAAUGGAUCAGGCAAAGAAAGGAUUCUUGCCUGUGCUACAAGGUGUGAAGUUGAGUCAAACUCAAUGCCCGACCACAUCAGAAGAUAGAGAGAAAAUGAAAAAUGUUCCCUAUGCUUCAGCCAUAGGCUCUAUCAUGUAUGCAAUGCUGUGUACCAGACUUGACGUAUGCUUAGCAAUAAGCUUGGCAGGAAGGUACCAAAGUAAUCCAGGAGUGGAUCACUGGACAGCGGUCAAGAACAUCCUUAAAUACCUGAAAAGGACUAAGGAUAUAUUUCUCGUAUAUGUAGGUGACAAAGAGCUCGUCGUAAAUGGUUACGUCGAUGCAAGCUUUGACACUGAUCCAGACGAUUCUAAAUCGCAAACCGGAUACGUGUUUAUAUUAAACGGUGGAGCUGUAAGUUGGUGCAGUUCUAAACAAAGCGUCGUGGCGGGAUCUACAUGUGAAGCGGAGUACAUAGCUGCUUCUGAAGCAGCAAAUGAAGGAGUCUGGAUGAAGGAGUUCAUUUCCGAUCUAGGUGUCAUACCUAGUGCAUCGGGACCAAUGAAGAUCUUCUGUGACAAUACAGGUGCAAUUGCUUUGGCAAAGGAAUCCAGAUUUCACAAGAGGACCAAGCACAUCACGAGACGCUUAAAUUCCAUUCGGGACCAAGUCCAAGUGGGAGACAUACAGAUUUGCAAGAUACAUACGGAUCUGAAUAUUGCAGACCCGUUGACUAAGCAUCUCUCACGAGCAAAACAUGAUCAGCACCAAGACUCCAUGGGUGUUAGAAUCAUUAUUGUGUAAUCUAGAUUAUUGACUCUAGUGCAAGUGGGAGACUAAAGGAAAUAUGCCCUAGAGGCAAUAAUAAAGUUAUUAUUUAUUUCCUCAUAUCAUGAUAAAUGUUUAUUAUUCAUGCUAGAAUUGUAUUAACCGGAAACAUGAUACAUGUGUGAAUACAUAGACAAAACUAUAGUCACUAGUAUGCCUCUACUUGACUAGCUCAUUAAUCAAAGAUGGUUAUGUUUCCUGACCAUAGACAUGUGUUGUCAUUUGAUUAGUGGGAUCACAUCAUUAAGAGAAUGAUGUGAUUGACAUGACCCAUUCUGUUAGCCUAGCACUUGAUCGUUUAGUAUACUGCUAUUGCUUUCUUCAUGACUUAUACAAAGUUCCUGCAACUAUGAGAUUGUGCAACUCCCGUUUACCAAAAGAACACUUUGUGUGCUACCAAACGUCACAACGUAACUGGGUGAUUAUAAAGGUUCUCUACAGGUGUUUCCGAAGGUACAUGUUGGGUUGGCAUAAUUCGAGAUUAGGAUUUGUCACUCCGAUUGUCGGAGAGGUAUCUUUGGGCCCUCUCGGUAAUACUCAUCACAUAAGCCUUGCAAGCAUGUAACUAAUGAGUUAGUUAUGAGAUGACGUAUUACGGAACGAGUAAAGAGACUUGCCGGUAACGAGAUUGAACUAGGUAUUGGAUACCAACGAUCAAAUCUCGGGCAAGUAACAUACCGAUGACAAAGGGAACAAAGUAUGUUGUUAUGCGGUUUGACCGAUAAAGAUCUUCAUAGAAUAUGUAGGAACCAAUAUGGGCAUCCAGGUCCCGCUAUUGGUUAUUGACCGAGAAUGGUUUUAGGUCAUGACUACAUAGUUCUCGAACCCGUAGGGUCCGCACGCUUAACGUUUCGAUGAUAGUUUUAUUAUGAGUUUAUAAGUUUUGAUGUACCGAAGUUUGUUCGGAGUCCCAGAUGUGAUCACAGACAUGACGAGGAGUCUUGGAAUGGUCGAGACAUAAAGAUUGAUAUAUUGGACGACUAUAUUCGGACACCGGAAAGGUUCCGGGAGUUUUCGGAGAAAACCGGAGUGCCGGGGGGGUUACCGGAACCCCCCGGGAGAGUUAAUGGGCCACAUGGGCCUAGGUGGGAAGAGAGAGGUGCGGCCAGGGUGGGCCGCGCGCCCCCUCUCCCUCUAGUUCGAAUUGGACUAGGAGGGGGGGCGGCGCCCCCCUUUCCUUCCCCCCCUCUCUUCCUUCCUUCCCCCUCCUAGUAGGAGUAGGAAAGGAGGAAUCCUACUCCUACUAGGAGGAGGAUUCCUCCUCCCUUGGAGCGCCCCAAGGGGCUGGCCGGCCUCCCCCUCCCUCCUUUAUAUACGAGGGCAGGGGGCACCCCAUAGACACACAAGUUGAACUACGGAUCGUUCCUUAGCCGUGUGCGGUGCCCCCUUCCACCAUAUUCCACCUCGGUCAUAUUGUCGCGAAGCUUAGGCGAAGCCCUGCGCCGGUAGAACAUCAAGAUCGUCACCACGCCGUCGUGCUGACGGAACUCUCCCUCGACACUCGGCUGGAUCGGAGUUCGAGGGACGUCAUCGAGCUGAACAUCUGCUGAACUCGGAGGCUCCGUACGUUAGGUGCUUGGAUCGGUCGGAUCGUGAAGACGUACGACUACAUCAACCGCGUUGUCAUAACGCUUCCGCUUACGGUCUACGAGGGUACGUGGACAUACACUCUCCCCUCUCGUUGCUAUUUCAUCACCAUGAUCUUGCUUGUGCGUAGGAAAAUUUUGAAAUUACUACGUUCCCCAACAUCUCUGCCUUCCACUGCAGCAAUUCCAGUACGGUACCGAGCUUUGUGUUGCCAUCUUCGCAAUUGGGGUACAACCCUUUUUUUUGGUCCUCUAGCAUGCGAUCGAACUUCAGCUUCUCCUUUUGACUUUUGCAUUGCGUCCUUGCAUCGACAAUGACCCGGCGGAGAUCAUCAUCAUCGGGCACAUCGUCUGGUUCCUCUUGAUCUUCAGCAGCUUCGCCUGUUGCAGCAUCAUCGUGCACAUCGUCUGGUUCCUCUUGAUCUUCAGGAGCAUCACCGUAUUCAGGGGCACAUAGUUGUCAUCGUACUCUUCUUCACCGUCUUCCAUCAUAACCCCUAUUUCUCCGUGCCUCAUCCAAACAUUAUAGUGUGGCAUGAAACCCUUGUAAAGCAGGUGGGUGUGGAGGAUUUUCCGGUCAGAGUAAGACUUCGUAUUCCCACAUAUAGGACAUGGACAACACAUAAAACCAUUCUGCUUGUUUGCCUCAGCCACUUCGAGAAAAUCAUGCACGCGCUUAAUGUACUCGGAGGUGUGUCUUGAACCGUACAUCCAUUGCCGGUUCAUCUGCGUGCAUUAUAUAAUGAAGUGACCAAAUUAAUAGAAGUUCAUCAUCACAUUAAAACCAAAGUACAUACAUAGUUCUCAUCUAACAACAUAAAGCUCUGCAGAGCAUCUAAAUUAAUUAAACCAUACACUGAAACUAUGUAAAACAUUUCAAUGCGAAAACAAAUGCAACCAUAAUCGCAACCAAUGUAACAACUGAUCCAACGGCAUAAUGAUACCAAGCCUCAGUAUGAAUGGCAUAUUUUCUAAUCUUUCUAAUCUUCAAGCGCAUUGCAUCCAUCUUGAUCUUGUGAUCAUCGACGACAUCCCCAACAUGCAACUCCAAUAUCAUCUUCUCCUCCUCAAUUUUUCUAAUUUUUUCCUUCAAGAAAUUGUUUUCUUCUUCAACUGAAUUUAACCUCUCGACAAUAGGGUCGGUUGGAAUUUCCGGUUCAACAACCUCCUAGAUAAAUAAAAUCUAUGUCACGUUGGUCGGCAUAAUUGUCAUAAACAAUAAAUGAACCAAUAGUUAUGAAAAGAUAAUAUAUACCACAUCCGAAUCAUAGACAGGACGAGGGCCGACGGGGGCGGAUACCAAAACCAUCGCACUAUAUAAGAUGCAAUAAUAAAAGUAAGAAAAUAAUACAAGUAUCUAUCUAAACAUACAAGUAAGAAUAUUUUUCCUUUCAGAAAGAAGAUAAGAACAAGAGGCUCACCACGGUGGUGCCGGCGAUGAGAUCGGCGCGGGUGAUCGACGACGAUGAAGACAAGGACGGGGCGUGACGGACCGCUAAACCUAGACAAAUAUUGAGGAAAAUGGAGCUUGGCGGUCGAGCUUGGAGGGGAGAAAGCUUAAGUAGUGUGGCUCGGGCAUUCCAUCGAACACCUCGUGUGCAUAGGAGGUGAGCUAGAGCACCACAAAGCUCUCCCCUCGCCGGCCACGAAAAACAGAGCACUGGGAGUGCUCUGCUCGCGAGCGGGGGGUAUAUAUAGGCACCACCAUUGGUCCCGGUUGGUCGCACGAACCGGGACUAAAGGUUGGCCUUUGGUCCCGGUUCGUGCCACCAACUGGGACCAAUGGUGGUGGGCCAGGAGCGAGGCCCAUUGGUCCCGGUUCGUCCCUCCAACCGGGACCAAAAGGUCCAGACAAACCGGGACCAAUGGCCCACGUGUUGGGUUUCGUAGUAAUUUCAAAAAAUUUCCUACGCACACGCAAGAUCAUGUGAUGCAUAGCAACGAGGGGAGAGUGUUGUCUACGUACCCAACGCAGACCGACUGCGGAAGCGAUGACACGACGUAGAGGAAGUAGUCGUACGUCUUCACGAUCCAACCGAUCAAGCACCGAAACUACGGCACCUCCGAGUUCGAGCACACGUUCAGCUCGAUGACGAUCCCCGGACUCCGAUCCAGCAAAGUGUCGGGGAAGAGUUCCGUCAGCACGACGGCGUGGUGACGAUCUUGAUGAACUACAGCAGCAGGGCUUCGCCUAAACUCCGCUACAGUAUUAUCGAGGUAUAUGGUGGCAGGGGCACCGCACACGGCUAAGGAAUAGAUCACGUGGAUCAACUUGUGUGUAUAGAGGUGCCCCCUGCCUCCGUAUAUAAAGGAGGAGAGGAGGGGAGGCUGGCCGGCCAAGGAGGGGAGGCGCAGGAGAGUCCUACUCCCUCUGGGAGUAGGAUUCCCCCCAAUCCUAGUCCAACUAGGAUUCCUCGGAGGGGAAGGGAGAGAGGGGGGCCGGCCACCUUCUCCUAGUCCUAAUAGGACUAGGGGAGGGGGAAGUGGCGCAGCCACCUUGGGCUGCCCCUUUCUCCUUUCCACUAAGGCCCAUGAAGGCCCAUAUGGCUCCCGGGGGGUUCCGGUAAUCCUCCCGGUACUCCGGUAAAAUCCCGAUUUCACCCGGAACACUUCCGAUGUCCAAACAUAGGCUUCCAAUAUAUCAAUCUUUAUGUCUCGACCGUUUCGAGACUCCUCGUCAUGUCCAUGAUCACAUCCGGGACUCCAAACAACCUUCGGUACAUCAAAAUGCAUAAACUCAUAAUGUAACUGUCAUCGUAACCUUAAGCGUGCGGACCCUACGGGUUCGAGAACAAUGUAGACAUGACCGAGACACGUCUCCGGUCAAUAACCAAUAGCGGGACCUGGAUGCCCAUAUUGGCUCCUACAUAUUCUACGAAGAUCUUUAUCGGUCAGACCGCAUAACAACAUACGUUGUUCCCUUUGUCAUCGGUACGUUACUUGCCCGAGAUUCGAUCGUCGGUAUCCAAUACCUAGUUCAAUCUCGUCACCGGCAAGUCUCUUUACUCGUUCUAUAAUGCAUCAUCCCGUAACCAACUCAUUGGUCACAUUGCUUGCAAGGCUUAUAAUGAUGUGCAUUACCGAGAGGGCCCAGAGAUACCUCUCCGACAAUCGGAGUGACAAAACCUAAUCUCGAAAUACGCCAACUCAACAUGUACCUUCGGAGACACCUGUAGUACUCCUUUAUAAUCACCCAGUUAAGUUGUGACGUUUGGUAGUACCCAAAGUGUUCCUCCGGUAAACGGGAGUUGCAUAAUCUCAUAGUUACAGGAACAUGUAUAAGUCAUGAAGAAAGCAAUAGCAACAUACUAAACGAUCAAGUGCUAAGCUAACGGAAUGGGUGAAGUCAAUCACAUCAUUCUCCUAAUGAUGUGACCCCGUUAAUCAAAUGACAACUCUUUUGUCCAUGGCUAGGAAACAUAACCAUCUUUGAUAAACGAGCUAGUCAAGUAGAGGCAUACUAGUGACACUAUGUUUGUCUAUGUAUUCACACAUGUAUUAUGUUUCUGGUUAAUACAAUUCUAGCAUGAAUAAUAAACAUUUAUCAUGAAAUAAGGAAAUAAAUAAUAACUUUAUUAUUGCCUCUAGGGCAUAUUUCCUUCAGUCUCCCACUUGCACUAGAGUCAAUAAUCUAGUUCACAUCGUCAUGUGAUUUAACAACAAUAUUCAUAUCUGUAUAUGAUUAACACCCAUAGUUCACAUUAUCAUGUGACCAACACCCAAAGGGUUUACUAGAGUAAAUAAUCUAGUUCACAUCUCUAUGUGAUUAACACCCAAAGAGUACUAAGGUGUGAUCAUGUUUUGCUCGUGAAAGAAGCUUAGUCAAUGGGUCUGUCACAUUCAGAGCCGUAUGCAUUUUGCAAAUAUUUUAUGUCUACAAUGCUCUGCACGGUGCUACUCUAGCAAUUGCUCCCACUUUCAAUAUGUAUCCAGAUUGAGACUUAGAGUCAUCUGGAUCGGUGUGAAAACUUGCACCGAGGUAACUUUUACGACGGGCUCUUUUAUCACCUCCAUAAUCGAGAAAUAUUUCCUUAGUCCUCACUAAGGAUAUUCUUGACCAAUGUCGAGUGAUCUACUCCUAGAUCACUAUUGUACUCCCUUGUCAAAUACUGAGCAAGGUAUACAAUAGUUCUGGUACAUAGCAUAGCAUACUUUAUAGAACCUAUGACUGAGGCAUAGGGAAUGACUUUUCAUUUUUUCUAUUUUCUGUUGUGGUCGGGAUUUGAGUCUUACUCAAUUUCAUACCUUUGCAACACAGGCAAGAACUCUUUCUUUGACUGUUCCAUUUUGAACUAUUUCAAAAUCUUGCCAAGGUAUGUACUCAUUGAAAAUCUUAUCAAGCGUCUUGAUCUAUCUCAAUAUAUCUUGAUGCUCAAUAUGUAAGUAGCUUUUACUGAGGUCUUUUCCUUUUAAAGAACUCCUUUAAAACACUCCUUUAUGCUUUGCAGAAAAAUUCUACAUCAUUUCUGAUCAACAAUAUGUCACUCGUAUAUACUAAUCAGAAAGGCUAUAGUGCUCCCACUCACUUUAUUGUAAAUACAGGCUUCUCAAAAAGUCUGUAUAAAACCAUAUGCUUUGAUCAACUCAUCAAAGCGUAUAUUCCAACUCCGAGAGGCUUGCACCAGUCCAUAGAUGGAUCGCUGGAGCUUGCACAUUUUUUUAGCACCUUUAGGAUUGACAAAACCUUCUGGUUGCAUCAUAUACAACUCUUCUUUAAUAAAUCCAUUAAGGAAUGCAGUUUUGAUAUCCAUUUGCCAGAUUUCAUAAAAUGUGGCAAUUGCUAACAUGAUUCAGACAGACUUAAGAAUCGAUACGAGUGAGAAAAUCUCAUCGUAUUCAACACCUUGAACUUGUUGAAAACCUUUCGCAACAAGUCGAGCUUGGUAGAUAGUAACACUACUAUCAGUGUCCGUCUUCCUCUUGAAGAUCCAUUCAUUUAACAUGGCUUGCUGAUCAUCGAGCAAGUCAAUCAAAGUCCAUACUUUGUUCUCAUACAUGGAUCAUAUCUCAGAUUUUAUGGCCUCGAGCCAUUUCGCGGAAUCUGGGCUCAUCAUCGCUUCUUCAUAGUUCGUAGGUUCAUCAUGAUCUAGUAUCAUGACUUCCAGAAUAGGAUUACCGUACCAUUCUGGUGCGGAUCUUACUCUGGUUGAUCUACGAGGUUCAUCAGUAUCUUGAUCUGAAGUUUCAUGAUCAUUAUCAUUGGCUUCCUCACUAACUGGUGUAGGUGUCACUGAAACAGUUUUCUGUGAUGAACUACUUUCCAGUAAGGGAGCAGGUACAGUUACCUCGUCAAGUUCUACUUUCCUCCCACUCACUUCUUUCGAGAGAAACUCCUUCUCUAGAAAGGAUCCAUUCUUAGCAACGAAUGUCUUGCCUUCGGAUCUGUGAUAGAAGGUGUACCCAAUAGUCUCCUUUGGGUAUCCUAUGAAGACACAUUUCUCCGAUUUGGGUUCGAGCUUAUCAGGUUGAAGCUUUUUCACAUAAGCAUCGCAGCCCCAAACUUUAAGAAACGACAACUUUGGUUUCUUGCCAAACCACAGUUCAUAAGGCGUCGUCUCAACGGAUUUUGAUGGUGCCCUAUUUAACGUGAAUGCGGCCGUCUCUAAAGCAUAUCCCCAAAAUGAUAGCGGUAAAUCAGUAAGAGACAUCAUAGAUCGCACCAUAUCUAGUAAAGUACGAUUACGAUGUUCGGACACACCAUUACGCUGUGGUGUUCCGGGUGGCGUGAGUUGCGAAACUAUUCCACAGUUUUUCAAAUGUACACCAAACUCGUAACUCAAAUAUUCUCCUCCACGAUCAGAUCGUAGAAACUUUAUUUUCUUGUUACGAUGAUUUUCAACUUCACUCUGAAAUUCUUUGAAAUUUUCAAAUGUUUCAGACUUAUGUUUCAUUAAGUAGAUAUACCCAUAUCUGCUUAAAUCAUCUGUGAAGGUGAGAAAAUAACGAUAUCCGCCACGAGCCUCAGUAUUCAUCGGGCCACAUACAUCGGUAUGUAUGAUUUCCAACAAAUCUGUUGCUCUCUCCAUAGUACCGGAGAACGGUGUUUUAGUCAUCUUGCCCAUGAGGCACGGUUCGCAAGUACCAAGUGAUUCAUAAUCAAGUGGUUCCAAAAGUCCAUCAGUAUGGAGUUUCUUCAUGCGCUUUAUACCGAUAUGACCUAAACGACAGUGCCACAAAUAAGUUGCACUUUCAUUAUCAACUCUGCAUCUUUUGGCUUCAACAUUAUGAAUAUGUGUAUUACUACUAUCGAGAUCCAACAAACCAUUUUCAUUGGGUGUAUGACCAUAGAAGGUUUUAUUCAUGUAAACAGAACAACAAUUAUUCUCUAACUUACAUGAAUAACCGUAUUGCAAUAAACAUGAUCAAAUCAUAUUCAUGCUCAACGCAAACACCAAAUAACACUUAUUUAGGUUUAACACUAAUCCCAAAAGUAUAGGGAGUGUGCGAUGAUGAUCAUAUCAAUCUUGGAACUAUUUCCAACACACAUCGUCACUUCACCCUUUAACUAGUCUCUGUUUAUUCUGCAACUCCCGUUUCGAGUUACUAAUCUUAGCAACUGAACUAAUAUCAAAUACUGAGGGGUUGCUAUAAACACUAGUAACGUACACAUCAAUAACAUGUAUAUCAAAUAUACUUAUGUUCACUUUGCCAUCCUUCUUAUCCGCCAAUCACUUGGGGUAGUACCUCUUCCAGUGACCAGUCUCUUUGAAGUAGAAGCACUUAGUCUCAGGCUUAGGACCAGACUUGGGUUUCUUCACUUGAGCAGCAACUUGCUUGCCGUUCUUCUUGAAGUUCCCUUUCUUUCCCUUUGCCCUUUUCUUGAAACUAGUGAUCUUGUUAACCAUCAACACUUGAUGCUCUUUCUUGAUUUCUACCUUCGUUGAUUUCAGCAUCAUGAAGAGCUUGGGAAUCGUUUUCGUCAUCCCUUGCAUACUAUAGUUCAUCACGAAGUUCUAGUAACUUAGUGAUGGUGACUAGAGAAUUCUGUCAAUCACUAUCUUACCUGGAAGAUUAACUCCCACUUGAUUCAAGCGAUUGAAAUACCCAGACAAUCUGAGCACAUGCUCACUAGUUGAGCGAUUCUCCUCCAUCUUUUAGCUAUAGAACUUGUUGGAGACUUCAUAUCUCUCAACUCGGGUAUUUGCUUGAAAUAUUAACUUCAAUUCCUGGAACAUCUCAUAUGGUCCAUGACGUUCAAAACGUCUUUGAAGUCCCGAUUCUAAGCCGUUAAGCAUGGUGCACUAAACUAUCAAGUAGUCAUCAUCUUGAGCUAGCCAGACGUUCAUAACUUCUGCAUCUGCUCCUGCAAUAGGUCUGUCACCUAGCGGUGCAUUAAGGACAUAAUUCUUCUGUGCAGCACUGAGGAUAAACCUCAGAUCACGGAUCGAAUCCGCAUCAUUGCUACUAACAUUUUUCAACACAAUAUUCUCUAGGAACAUAUCAAAAUAAACAUAUGAAAGCAACAACGCGAGCUAUUGAUCUACAACAUAAUUUGCAAAAUACUACUAGGACUAAGUUCAUGAUAAAUUAAAGUUCAAUUAAUCAUAUUACUUAAGAACUCCCACUUAGAUAGACAUCCCUCUAAUCCUCUAAGUGAUCACGUGAUCCAAAUCAACUAAACCAUGUCCGAUCAUCACGUGAGAUGGAGUAGUUUCAAUGGUGAACAUCACUAUGUUGAUCAUAUCUACUAUAUGAUUCACGCUCGACCUUUCGGUCUCUGUGUUCCGAGGCCAUAUCUGUAUAUGCUAGGCUCGUCAAGUAUAACCUGAGUAUUCCGCGCGUGCAACUGUUUUGCACCCGUUGUAUUUGAACGUAGAGCCUAUCACACCCGAUCAUCACGUGGUGUCUCAGCACGACGAACUUUGGCAACGGUGCAUACUCAGGGAGAACACUUCUUGAUAAUUUAGUGAGAGAUCAUCUUAUAAUGCUACCAUCAAUAAAAGCAAGAUAAGAUGCAUAAAAAGAUAAACAUCACAUGCAAUCAAUAUAAGUGAUAUGAUAUGGCCAUCAUCAUCGUGUGCUUGUGAUCUCCAUCUCCGAAGCACCGUCAUGAUCACCAUCGUCACCGGCGCGACACCUUGAUCUCCAUCGUAGCAUCGUUGUCGUCUCGCCAAUCUUAUGCUUCCACGACUAUCACUACUGUUUAGUAAUAAAGUAAAGCAUUACAUCGCGAUUGCAUUGCAUACAAUAAAGCGACAACCAUAUGGCUCCUGCCAGUUGCCGAUAACUCGGUUACAAAACAUGAUCAUCUCAUACAAUAAAAUUCAGCAUCAUGCCUUGACCAUAUCACAUCACAACAUGCCCUGCAAAAACAAGUUAGACGUCCUCUACUUUGUUGUUGCAUGUUUUACGUGGCUGCUACGGGCUUAAGUAAGAACCAAUCUCACCUACGCAUCAAAACCACAACGAUAGUUUGUCAAAUAGACUCCGUUUUAACCUUCUCAAGGACCGGGCGUAGCCAUACUCGGUUCAACUAAAGUUGGAGAGACAGUCGCCCGCAAGCCAUCCAUGUGCAAAGCACGUCGAGGGAACCGGUCUCGCGUAAGCGUACGCGUAAGGUUGGUCCAGGUCGUCUCGUCCAACAAUACCGCCGAACCAAAGUAUGACAUGCUGGUAGGCAGUAUGACUUGUAUCGUCCACAACUCACUUGUGUUCUACUCGUGCAUAUAACAUCAACAUAAAUAACCUAGGCUCGGAUGCCACUGUUGGGUUUCGUAGUAAUUUCAAAAAAUUUCCUACGCACACGCAAGAUCAUGUGAAGCAUAGCAACGAGGGGAGAGUGUUGUCUACGUACCCAACGCAGACCAACUGCGGAAGCGAUGACACGACGUAGAGGAAGUAGUCGUACGUCUUCACGAUCCAACCGAUCAAGCACCGAAACUACGGCACCUCCGAGUUCGAGCACACGUUCAGCUCGAUGACGAUCCCCGGACUCCGAUCCAGCAAAGUGUCGGGGAAGAGUUCCGUCAGCACGACGGCGUGGUGACGAUCUUGAUGAACUACAGCAGCAGGGCUUCGCCUAAACUCCACUACAGUAUUAUCGAGGUAUAUGGUGGCAGGGGGCACCGCACACGACUAAGGAAUAGAUCACGUGGAUCAACUUGUGUGUAUAGAGGUGCCCCCUGCCUCCGUAUAUAAAGGAGGAGAGGAGGGGAGGCUGGCCGGCCAAGGAGGGGAGGCGCAGGAGAGUCCUACUCCCUCUAGGAGUAGGAUUCCCCCCAAUCCUAGUCCAACUAGGAUUCCUCGGAGGGGAAGGGAGAGAGGGGGGCCCGCAGCCACCUUGGGCUGCCCCUUUCUCCUUUCCACUAAGGCCCAUGAAGGCCCAUAUGGCUCCCGGGGGGUUCCGGUAACCCUCCCGGUACUCCGGUAAAAUCCCGAUUUCACCCGGAACACUUCCGAUGUCCAAACAUAGGCUUCCAAUAUAUCAAUCUUUACGUCUUGACCAUUUUGAGACUCCUCGUCAUGUCCGUGAUCACAUCCGGGACUCCGAACAACCUUCGGUACAUCAAAAUGCAUAAACUCAUAAUGUAACUGUCAUCGUAACCUUAAGCGUGCGGACCCUACGGGUUCGAGAACAAUGUAGACAUGACCGAGACACGUCUCCGGUCAAUAACCAAUAGCGGGACCUGGAUGCCCAUAUUGGCUCCUACAUAUUCUACGAAGAUCUUUAUCGGUCAGACCGCAUAACAACAUACGUUGUUCCCUUUGUCAUCGGUAUGUUACUUGCCCGAGAUUCGAUCGUCGGUAUCCAAUACCUAGUUCAAUCUCGUCACCGGCAAGUCUCUUUACUCGUUCUAUAAUGCAUCAUCCCGUAACCAACUCAUUGGUCACAUUGCUUGCAAGGCUUAUAAUGAUGUGCAUUACCGAGAGGGCCCAGAGAUACCUCUCCGACAAUCGGAGUGACAAAACCUAAUCUCGAAAUACGCCAACUCAACAUGUACCUUCGGAGACACCUGUAGUACUCCUUUAUAAUCACCCAGUUACGUUGUGACGUUUGGUAGUACCCAAAGUGUUCCUCCGGUAAACGGGAGUUGCAUAAUCUCAUAGUUACAGAAACAUGUAUAAGUCAUGAAGAAAGCAAUAGCAACAUACUAAACGAUCAAGUGCUAAGCUAACGGAAUGGGUGAAGUCAAUCACAUCAUUCUCCUAAUGAUGCGACCCCGUUAAUCAAAUGACAACUCUUUUGUCCAUGGCUAGGAAACAUAACCAUCUUUGAUAAACGAGCUAGUCAAGUAGAGGCAUACUAGUGACACUAUGUUUGUCUAUGUAUUCACACAUGUAUUAUGUUUCCGGUUAAUACAAUUCUAGCAUGAAUAAUAAACAUUUAUCAUGAAAUAAGGAAAUAAAUAAUAACUUUAUUGUUGCCUCUAGGGCAUAUUUCCUUCACCACGUGGCCCGGCCGGCCCCCGGGGCUCAAGAACCAGGUCCAAUGCCCCCAUUGGUCCCGGUUUUGGAUUGAACCGGGACUAAUGGGCUGGACCGGCCUGGACCAUCGCCCCCUUUUCUACUAGUGUUAGUGCAUGGUGGUUAGUGAAGUUAGUGGAGCAUGGUGUGAGUGCGUGGGUCAUGGUUGAGUGCCAGACUUUGUAUAAAUUGUCAUUUGAGUCAAUGAGAAAAUGUAAGGCCGAGAGGGCCAGUGCAAAGAUGUAGCAUUUGUGGUAGCCAAGGGAGAUUAACUGGGCAAAGCUAUGUGUUCUUCCUUGGUCUAUGCGUGUGUGUGUUCUGUGUGUGUUCUCUCUCUGCGUCCUUGUGUUCAUGGGAGUGUUUUUGAGAGAAGCCAGAAGAGAGAGUUGUGAGAGGCAGCUCGAGGUAGAAGAAGGAGCGGUGCUGCUCCGAGAGGAGGCGGCGCCAACAAUUAUUGACGAAAGGGAUAUUAUAUUGCGCAAGGUAUAAUCAGACGCGUCGGGGAUGGAGCGACUACACACAUAUGGGAUCACAACUGGAUUAUGAGGGAAAGCUAUAAGAGGCCAAUAAAUAAGUUAGUGCAGAUCCCCCCUCAGAAACAUUUUAUGUAUACACGUUAACAUUUCCCAGAUAUAUGAUUAAUAUUUUUAGAAAACUUCUAUUUUUUAUGUGUACUUUUUAUACAUUUUGUAAUAUCAGAAAUAGUUUUUAUAGAAGGUUUAACAUUUUUCAAAUACAUGAUUACCUUUUUGUAAACUUAUAUUGUUUGACGUUUACUUUUUUCCAUAGACAUAGUGAGGGGUUAUAUCUAAGGAAUAGGCCCAAGUACAUGUAGGCACAACCAAAGGCCCAUGUUAAUCAAGGAUGUUCCACAAGACAAAUGGGAAAACACACCGGGGCUAAUGGAGCUACAAGGCCAAGGCAUCGGAUACAAGGGGAGAGUCAACUGUGUACAGUCAGAUUACACAACCCUUAACAGACAAGACUCAUCAGUUGGUCCACUAUAGGAAUCAGGUCAUUUGCCGUCAGCCGAGAACAGAUGCGAAGGCUUUGCCGUGAGCAAGUUGACGACAAACACAAUCAGCAAAGACUAUAUCAGCAAAGAGCUAAUUUGACGUCAACUUUUCAUCGCGCUGAUGACAAAGACUUUGCCGUCAAUUAAACUAUGUGUUUGUCGUCUGUAGAAAAAACACAAAUGGCAAAGAAAUUAAACAAAUGGUCAUUUUAUAAUAAUUUUUCGAAAUGUAUAUAGUGUAUUUUAAAAUGUUAAAUAUGUAUCAAGAAUUAUUUCAUAAAUAUACAGAAGAUGUACAACGUGUAUGAAAAUUAUGUAGACAUCAGAACAUAUUAUAGAAAUGUUAAUCUUGUAUUUAAAAAUGUUAAAUACACAUAAAUAAAAAUGUUUUUGAUGUACAUAAAAAAAUUGUACAUCGUGUGUGAACAAAGUAUGCAUUGAAAAAAAAAUCUUGUUGGAAAGAAAAUCUCGUGCUAUAUACGAAAAUGUAAAAGGUGUAUGAAAAUAAUUAGAUAUAUGCUUAACGAAAAAAAGGAAAGAAGGCGCAAAAAAAUCCGAUCAACACCAAGAUAGGAACAAGAAAACCUGAAGAAGACCAUUGAAAAAAAAGAAAAGAAUACAAGAAAGAGGAAAAAAAACAAAAAAAUGAAGAAGCUGAUGCAGAACAGGGAACUUGGUGAAAACGAAUAAAAAUUGAUGAAAACCGAGAAGAAAAACAAGAAAACUGAAGCAAAAAAAUAAUAAAAAUAUGUAAAAAAAUGAUGAAACAUUGCAAAACACUGAAAUACUAUGAAAACCAAAGGAAGAAAAGACUCAAAAAGAAGAACAUACAGCGAGCGAAUGAACAACAACUGAGUGAACGAGCGACCAUGCGAGAACACGUUAAUUGUCCGGCCCAUACUUGUGGACUCCAGAGGCGAGCCAGAAUAGGCGAGAUAUAGCUAUGACGAUUUGAUACCCUUCACAGCUUCACGAAUGCUAUAUCUCGCUCACAGCGAAAGUAUAUUUUGUCUGGCCUGAAGGUGCAAGAAUAGCAUCAGGUCGCUGUAAGGUUUGUGAUCCUACAAUGAGAGCUCCGAUAAGAUUAAAGUUCAUUUUUCUGACAACCUUUGGUCGUUCGUUCGCGCUCAGGUCGUCCGCUCACUCGAUUCCACGUACUAGUUUGGUUAUGUUGUUUUUUUCAUUUUGUUCUUUUUUUGUUUCUUCACUGGCUUUCUUUGGUUUUUAUAUCGGUUUUCUUUGUUUCCUUCACGUUUUAUUCCUGUUUUCCUUUUUACUGGUUUAUUUAUUCCUUUUUUUCUUUGUUUCUUUCUUGGUUUUCUUUGUUUUUCUUUCUUUUGAUGUCAAUCUUUUUACAUACGCAUUCAACAAUUUCCGUAUACAUCAGAAACAUUUUAUGUAUACACAUUAACAUUUCCCAGAUAUAUGAUUAAUAUUUUUGGAAAACCUCUAUUUUUUAUGUGUACUUUUUGAUACAUUUUGUAUAUAUCAGAAAUAUUUUUUUAGAAGGUUUAACAUUUUUUUAAAUACAUGAUUACCUUUUUGUAAACUUAUAUUGUUUGACGUUUAUUUUUUUCCAUAGACAUAGUGAGGGGUUAUAUCUAAGGAAUAGGCCCAAGUACAUAUAUGGCACAACCAAAGACCCAUGUUAAUCAAGGAUGUGGUCCACAAAACAAAUGGGGAAACACACGGGGGCCAAUGGAGCUACAAGGCCAAAGCAUCGGAUAUAAGGGGAGAAUAAGUGUGUACAGUCGGAUUACACAACACUUGACAGACAAGACUCAUUAGUUGGUCCACUAUAGGAAUCGAGUAAUUUGCCGUCAGCCGAGAACAGACUCGAAGUCUUUGCCGUCAGCAAGUUGAUGACAAACACAGUGAGCAAAGACUAUAUCGGCAAAGAGCUAAUUUGACGUUAACUUUUCAUCCGCUGAUGACAAAGACUUUGCCGUCAAUUAAACUAUGUGUUUGUCGUCUGUAGAAAAAACACAAAUGGCAAAGAAAAGCAUCUUUGCCAUCAGCAACUGAUUCACAUGUGUCGUCAGCCAGACUCGUCUUGUCACUAGCCUCAAACAUCACAGAUGGCAAAGAUUUUUUUUUAUUUUUAAAAUUCCGCGUCGACCACCCUAUCGCUCGUGCAGCCACCGCCUGGCCGCGCUCGCCUCCCUGCUCACAUGCCCUGCCAGCUUGCGCCGUUGCCAUCCGGCAGCGCUCGCCCGACCCUGCUCAUCGCCCGGCCGAGCUCGCCCGCCCUGCUCGGUCGCGUCGUCGGCAGCUGCCCUGCUUGCACACGUACCUGCCCAGCCUUGCUCAUACCGCCGGCCACCCUGCUCGCUAGAGAAAGGAAGGCGAGAGAGGAGGCUCGGGGGAGAAAGAAAAAACAAAGGAGAGAGAGAGGAUGCUACCACUGCCACAUCACCAAUACGCAUGAUCGAUCUGCAAGAUGUGCUCUCUCUUUUGCCGCCUCUGAUGGCAAAGUAUGUCUUUAUCGUCUAUAAUAAGAUUACAAACAGCAAAGUGAGCUCUUUGCCGUCUGUAAAAAAACGGACGACAAACAAACUUUGUUGUCAGCUGCCGACGGCAAAAAGUGCUCUUUACCGCAGCCUCGAUGAGAAGCUGAAGGCAAAGUGCCCCACAGACGGCAAAUUAGUUGAUUCCUGGGUGGUUAUGAGCAAGACAGGAGCAAUAACCCUAUCUACACUCGGUCAUCUGGAAGACAGGAGUAGUCGAACCAUCUAUAGUCGGCUACAUCUGAGGUUACCGUGACCCUUACGAUGCAUUCAUUAUCGCCGUUACUCAAUGGAGUAGUUAAAUACGUCAGUUAGCAAUAAUAAUAGCCACGAACAGUCAAUCAUGCAUGUGACCAUCAAUAGCAUUUAUACCAACCCAUUACGGCACUUCCUCCUAGCACACUCUAUAUAAGCCAGGAGUAGGACAUGAGAGUGAGGGAUGAACUCUCUCACAGUAUAACCUACGCCAAGAGCAGGAACACCACAUGAAUAGAGAUUACCUCCACCAACGUACUCCCAUCCGUUUUAUGUACCGAUCAAUGUAUAUAAUGGCUUCUACAUUCACAUCCCGUAGUAUUGUCAGGAUUAUAUCCACGACAGAAACUAUAUUUUGUUAUACAUCAAGAACAUUUUAUAUAUAAAUAUUUACAAUUUUUUAAAUACAUGAUUAAUAUUUUUUCAAACAUAUAUUUUGUAUGUCUCCUUUUCAUAAUCUUUGAUCCCUGGAAGUUUCAGAUUUUUUCCGAUUUGUUCUCAUUUUUUUAUGAAUUUACUGUUCAUGAGGGUGUAGGGGCACCCAGGAGCUGUUAGGCAUAAUAUUUCUGCUGUUGUUGUCAUCAUCAAGGGGAAUGAGAAGGGUUGAAGUUUUCGUUUUCUUUGAGGGGGAAAUCAGAGUUGGGGGCUGGAAGUGAGUGAUUAGGCCCAACAUAAGCGCUGUGUGUGUGUGUCUCGUCACGGGCACCAAAUUCGAACUGGGCUAUUGUUUUCUGAGAACCCAACGUCACAAGCCCAACCAACAGUCUGCCGAUCUGCAUCUUCCUCUCCUUGUCCAUCCUCCUCGUUGGCCGGACCGCCUCGAGCCACGGCCGCUCCCUGGCGCAGCGUCCUCCCCUUCCUCUCCACCCCCAAAUUCUCUUGUAUCCUCUUCUGAUCUCCUUCCUUACUUCCUCUCGCUGAUGGUCUCCACAAGAAGGUCUCCGAGCUCCUCGGAGGGUUCCGGCUGUACGUCGACGCAGCCUCUCCGACCUCCCCAUGAACAUGAGCUAUCGACCCUGAAAGCCUGUCUCUUCCAUGAUUCGAUUCACAUGAAUUCACGAGCCGCAUGAAUCAUGAAGGUCAUGGAGCAGAAUUCAGUCGUGUAGCCUGACAGUGAUGUACAUUUGUGGCUUUUCUGGCUAAAUAGCUCUGUACCCUAUGUGGAUGCCACUUCAAAUAAUCGUCAAAAUAAUUCUCCUGCACGCGUUAUACAAAUGGCGAAGAAGAAGUUCGCGUGGAACAUUUCGUUUCUUAUUGAUGUCCGAGAGAAAAGCUCCUAGGAAGUUCAUCCGCUCGGUGGAUUAUAAGUUUAAGUUUGUUACAACAUCCAAUCAUCCAUAUAAUCUCUGUGUUUCUUCUGUUUUCUACCAGUCAUAUAUCAUAUGUGCAUCAGAGGAAAAAUGCUUUCAGCAGUCAUGUUGGAGCGCGCAUACCAAGUUCCCACAUUGCAAAUAUGAUCCUAGCCAUUAAUAUGUUUCAUUCCACAUUUUCUUGAUCUAAUUUCUAAAUGAUUGGACAACCUGUUAUAGUCUUAUAGAAUUAUGAGCCGCCAAAUCCACAUUUCUCUUGGUCUAAUUUCUAAAUGAUAAUGUGCAGCAUCUAUCUCCUGGUGAACCUUUUUUUCUUGCGACUGUAUCUCCUGAUGAACCUAGUUUUCUCUAGGUAGCACAAUAAUUGUACUGGUUUGAUGUAAAGGACAUAAAUACAAGGGAAUAAAUUGGAAGCUUAUUUCAAAUUAACUAGCUAGUGGUGUUUGUGAAGUUCAAGAAAAAGCUGGUCUUUUUCUCGACAAAUAAUUUAACAUGCAAAGAAUCAAUAAAUGUAUUUGCAAGAAAGCAAACAUAAUUAACGAUAAAACUGGUUUAUUGUCACUGUAGACAACGGUAGUAGUUGGAACUAGAUACAAACCAAUAAAAAACAAGAUCUCAAAUCUCCAACCAAUAAAGAGUUCAACCCAAAUUUUACAGUAACACCAUUAUAUUCAAAUAGUGAUUAUUCCAACACAUGGAUAAUUAAUUAAGGCACCAGGUUGCCCUUGUGACUAGGAAAGACAAACUUAUGAACUUGCAAGCAUGGCAAUCAGAUCGACAUCCACACAAUGCCAAUAUGAACAUUGUCUUGAUACAACUUUAUUUUUAUUUUAUUUCAGAAUUUAAACAACUAGUAUGGGCGGGUCACACACGACAUUGUGUGACACUUUAUUUGUCACCGCUGCAUCGACAUAUCCAUCGACUAAACAACGGUGAUCCAACUAUAUAUUACUAGAGACCUUUCCUUAUUAGUAGGAACCAACUCCGGUGCCAACACCGAAUGGCACACUAGUGGUGGUUCUAUACAACGGCACAUUGACACGGCACAUCGUUGGCAGGGUACGGAGCGCAAUGGAAGUCAUCACCUCAAGCUGAGCUAUCUGGUGUGGCUGCAAAAAGGUACCUUGUGCCAAUUGUUGUUGUUGAGGUUGUUGCCCGAGUUGUUGUUGUGACUGCUGUUGGGGUUGGGAAACACAUUGGCCCAACUGUUGGGGUUGCUGCUGAGGAGUUUGGAUGGAACCCUGAACCUGUUGUUGUUCUUGCAGGAUGAUGGAGUAGAUGAUAGCACGGAUUGCCUCAUAGCGGGAUUGCUGGGGGAUUUGCGGCAACUGCUGGCAACAUUGUUGUUGCAUCACAUGGCAACUGCUCUGCUGCAACAUUUGCGACCUAGCAAGACUUUGUGGCAUUGCCACAGGGCUGCAUUGCUGCUGGAGGAAUACCUUGCAUGGGUUUAGCUGCUGCAAGAUAGAUGGAUGAACAAAUGGUAUUUGUUGUUGCGGUAGAACUAGUUGUUGUUGUUGCUGCGAAAAUGGUGGUUGUUGCGGUAGACUUGGUUGUUGUUGUUGCAAAAAUGGUGGUUGUUGCUGUAGUACUAUUUGUUGUUGUUGCGAAAACGGUGAUUGUUGCUGUGAAAAUGGUGGUAGUUGUUGCUGUGAAAAUGAUGGUUGUUGCGGUAGAACUGGUUGUUGUUGCUGCGAAAAUGGUGGUUGUUGUUGUGAAAAUGGUGGUUGUUGUUGCUGCGAAAAUGGUGGUUGUUGUUGUGAAAANNNNNNNNNNNNNNNNNNNNNNNNNNNNNNNNNNNNNNNNNNNNNNNNNNNNNNNNNNNNNNNNNNNNNNNNNNNNNNNNNNNNNNNNNNNNNNNNNNNNNNNNNNNNNNNNNNNNNNNNNNNNNNNNNNNNNNNNNNNNNNNNNNNNNNNNNNNNNNNNNNNNNNNNNNNNNNNNNNNNNNNNNNNNNNNNNNNNNNNNNNNNUGGUUGUUGUUGCUGCGAUAAUGGUUGUUGUUGUUGCUGCGAAAAUGGUGGUUGUUGUUGUGAAAAUGGUGGUUGUUGUUGCUGCGAUAAUGGUUGUUGUUGUUGUUGCUGUGAACAUGGUUGCUGUUGUGAAAAUGGUUGUGGUUGUUGUUGGAUGGGUUGUUGUUGUUGGUGGUGCGAUAAUGUUUGUUGUGGUGGUAAUGGUUGUUGCUGCGAUGGUCUCUCCAAACCAGGGAUGUGGCUAUUCUCCAUUUGUGCAAUGGCACUUGUCGCCACAAUGGCGAGGAGAGCAAAGAUGAGGAAGGUCUUCAUGGUGGAUUGGUGUUAACCAGUGUUGCUUGGUUUUGAUGCUUGUGCUUGUGAUGAUCUUUAUACUUCAUGCCUAUUUAUAGUAGCCCGGGCACCACCUCUUUUCUUCUUUGCAUUAGCUUUAAUAAUUCUGUUUGGAUGCAUCUAAAAUGAUUUUUGGUACAAUGUGUUAGGUUGCACUAGCUACACGCGUACUUUUGGAUUGAUCAUCAAAGUUGCUUUUUAGUUGUGCAUAUGAUCACACACAAAGUACAGAAACCUUGAUGUUUGGUACAUAUGACUCACCUUAUUCACUUUACAUGUCACACACUUAUCUGGAUAGUAUCACUUUUGCAACCGAGUUUGGAACCUUGUAUAGGCUGUCAUCCAUAAACAAGAAAGGCAAAACUUGUGUAGGACUAAGUUUGCAAUCGGAGGGUUCUUCUAGACUCGAUUUCUUUUCGUAAAACUAACUUUGUAUUUUUCCUCUAAGAUGAUAAGAUGAACCGACGCCUAUAGAGCAUGACAUGACUCAUCGAAUUCCCUUUACAUGUAAAGGAUGGUAAUUGCUUACAAGCUACUCCUACUAGCAUAUAUCCGGUUCCAAGCCUAGACACGUCAUCAUCAGUUUCGUCUAUUUUUUUAGAUAAAUCAUCAGUUCUAUCUAUUUGUGAAGGGUUUUUUUGGGGGGAAAUGAUAGUUUUUUUAUGCUAGGGGGGUUUUUUNNNNNNNNNNNNNNNNNNNNNNNNNNNNNNNNNNNNNNNNNNNNNNNNNNNNNNNNNNNNNNNNNNNNNNNNNNNNNNNNNNNNNNNNNNNNNNNNNNNNNNNNNNNNNNNNNNNNNNNNNNNNNNNNNNNNNNNNNNNNNNNNNNNNNNNNNNNNNNNNNNNNNNNNNNNNNNNNNNNNNNNNNNNNNNNNNNNNNNNNNNNNNNNNNNNNNNNNNNNNNNNNNNNNNNNNNNNNNNNNNNNNNNNNNNNNNNNNNNNNNNNNNNNNNNNNNNNNNNNNNNNNNNNNNNNNNNNNNNNNNNNNNNNNNNNNNNNNNNNNNNNNNNNNNNNNNNNNNNNNNNNNNNNNNNNNNNNNNNNNNNNNNNNNNNNNNNNNNNNNNNNNNNNNNNNNNNNNNNNNNNNNNNNNNNNNNNNNNNNNNNNNNNNNNNNNNNNNNNNNNNNNNNNNNNNNNNNNNNNNNNNNNNNNNNNNNNNNNNNNNNNNNNNNNNNNNNNNNNNNNNNNNNNNNNNNNNNNNNNNNNNNNNNNNNNNNNNNNNNNNNNNNNNNNNNNNNNNNNNNNNNNNNNNNNNNNNNNNNNNNNNNNNNNNNNNNNNNNNNNNNNNNNNNNNNNNNNGCCGCCACCGCUCGACAAAAAAGGUCACUUUUGUAGCUCCCCCGUCGAUUGCGGGCCGUACGUCGACGGCAGCCACUCCGACCUCCCCGUCAACACAAGGUAUCGAUCUGUUUCGUCUGUCUCUUCCAGCGAUUCAAUGCACAUAAAUCCGAGAGGCAGACCCAUCUCCAUGCUAGCUGCACGGAUCAGGAGGGUCAGGCAUCAGAAUUCAGCUGGGAAGCCUGACACUAAUGUACAUUUGUGGCUUUAGUAGCUGAAUAUAACUAUGUGUUUUCUGAGAAUUUCACUUCAAAAGUUCCAAUAAUCAUCAAAUUUCCGCCUAUGCGCGCUAAGCAGGUGGACCAUAUAUUUCUCAUGUCGACGAACGAAAAAACAAAACUCCACAACUAGAAGUCUAUGAUAUUGACACGGAACCGUGCUGUAGGGUCGCAAGUAAAAAUAUGAAAAGCAUGCCUAACACUACUAGGAAAAGGGCUAUAGAUGGAAUUGACACUAAUGACGCACCAGACAUGUGGUGCGCCAUUAGUAUAUACUAAUGGCGCACCAUCUUCUGAUGCGCCAUUAGUGUUGAAAUUACUAAUGGCGCACCCUGCCCACGGUGCGCCAUUAGUACCAAUUUUUUUUUGAACUAGUGCGCCUGUCCAAACAUACUAAUGGCGCAUCCGCUGGUGGUGCGCCAUUACUAGUUGUAACUAGUAAUGGUGCACCAGCCAGAGGGUGCGCCACUAAAGUUAUUUUUUUUAUUAUUGUUUUUAUUCCUUUUUUUGCAAAAGUACUAAUGGCGCACUCACACGCGGUGCGCCAUUACUAGUUCAAACUAGUAAUGGCGCACCGUGGCAGAGUGCGCCAUUAGUAUGUUUUUUUUUCAAAACUACUAAUGGCGCACCACCUGGUGGUGCGCCAUUAGUAACCUGGAUUACUAAUGGCGCAUUUGUUGCUGGUGCGCCAUUAGUAAGUGGGCAGCAACAAGAUAUUUUGGACAGCCUCUCCUCCCACACUCACUUUCUCCCCAUUUCAUUCUCUCCACCGCCUCCUCAUGUCUCGGGUGCCUCCUCUUUUUCACCUCAUUUCCACCAUAGAUUCAUUCAAAUUAAGUGGUUAAGUUACCUUGUUUUGCUAGGUAAGUAAGGGGGGAAGCUAUAUUUAUGUUGUUCUCCCUACAACAGUGUGCACAUGCACUUUUUAUGGCCUAGCUAGAUCUAUGUAUGUUCGUGGUGUUGCAUAUGUUUGUGGUGUUGCAUAUGUGUUUGUGUUUGAAGGUGUACCGGUAUUUGAAAUGCGAUAGUUGCCAAUAUUUUGCCGGAAUGUUGAUUCAUUUCCGUUUCGGCGAGAAUUUUGGCAUUAAGCAUUCUUUUUGGUCCUAUUUUUAGGGAAAGUCAUGCCAAAUUUUUUCUUGGUUCUAAAAUAUCGUUUUGCUCUACCCCGCAGGCGACCAUGGUCCGCACGAUGACCGAAGGCAUCGUGAAUAGGUUUUUGAGGUCCACGAAGGCCGAGAUGCUUCAAAAGAACGAGACGGAGAUAAGAUGUCCGUGUCGAAGAUGCAAGCUGAAUAGCCUUAUUGCGGACCCGGAUUCCGGGCAGGUGCGGGACCACCUGCUCUUGCGUGGUUUCAUGGAUGGCUGUCGGUGGCAAGGUGAUGAAGAUGACUACGAAGUCGUCCAUGGGGGCCGGGCAAGAAAUGAGGAAGGGCAGCAAGACAACCACCGCGGCUCGGGGGGGCGAGAAGAAGAAGAAUCCCCAGGAGAUGAUCACGACGGUGAUGUUGUACACAGUCAUCAUGUAGAAGAUGCAGGACAUGAUGAUGAUGCCGGCGGAGCAGACGACGCUGGACCAUCGAUGGGCUGGGUGCAGGACCCUCAUAUUCAAGAGCUGCUUCUCAAGCAGACGGAUAACGCAAGAGCUGCCGCCCGAGAGAAAGCCAAGAUGGAUCAACUUGAGUUAGACGCGGUUACUCCAUUGUAUGAAGGAUGCAGGCCCGAGGAUACCCGCCUGAAAGUAACACUCAUGGCUCUGGAGAUGAAGGUAAAACACAAAAUGACCGACGCAUGCUUCGACGAGAACAUGUCAUUCUGGCACGAACGUCUUCCCAAAGGGAACAAGUGCCCGACCAGUUUGGAGGAGGCGAAGAAAAUCGUGUGUCCUCUGGAUUUACCGCACGUGAAAUACCAUGUGUGCAUGAACAAUUGCAUCAUUUAUCGGGACGAGCACGCGGAGUCUACCAUAUGUCCGGUGUGCGGUGUCACUCGAUACAAGAAGGGGAAGAAAGCUCCUCGAAAAGUGGUGUGGUACUUUCCGAUCACUCCUCGUCUGCAGCGGUAUUUCGCGGACCCUAAGGUAGCAAAGCUCCUGCGUUGGCACGCGGAUAGGGAGGAGAAGAAGCGAGAAGAUGACGCAAAUGAUACGGAGAUAGAUAAAAAAGACAAGAUGCUGAGUCACCCUAAGGAUGCGAGCCAGUGGCAAGCGUUGAACUUCGAAUAACCAGAAUUUGGGAACGAUCCAAGGAACAUCGUGCUGGGCGCGAGCACCGGUGGAGUCAAUCCGUUUGGCAGCCAGAGAAGCACACAUAGCACCUGGCCUGUGUUUGUGUGGAUGUACAACCUUCCCCCCUGGUUGUGCAUGAAGAGGAAGUACAUUCACAUGAGUAUGCUAAUUGAAGGGCCGAAACAACCAGGGAACGACAUCAAUCUGUAUCUGGGGCUGCUGAAAGAGGAGCUUGACACGCUGUGGAAAACGCCCACCAAUACGUGGGACGCCGCAGAGAAAGAAUAUUUCCCUAUGAGAGCCGCACUGCUCACGACGGUGCACGACUAUCUCGGUUACGGAUAUCUUGCGGGGCAGGUAGUCCACGGAUUUUCUGGAUGCGUAAGGUGCAUGGAUGACACAACGUAUCGCCAGCUAGAUAGAGACGAUGACCCGUGGAGGAAACGCAAGGAUCUGUUCGAUGGUGAAACCAAACCCCGAAAACGCCCGUGUACGAGGAGCGGCGAGGAAAUAGACAAGCUGUUGAAAAAUCGGAAAGACUGCCCACUGCCGGGAAAGAAGCAAAAGGUGCCAGAGCCGGGAAAGAAGCGAAAGGCGCCAGAGCCGCUGCUGAAGCUAUGGAAAACGAGGUCUGUUUUCUGGGACUUGCCGUACUGGAAGAUCCACCGUGUGCCUCACAGCCUUGAUGUCAUGCAUAUCACGAAGAACGUGUGCGAGAGUCUGCUUGGUACCCUGCUCAACAUGCCAGAGAGGACCAAAGAUGGGCCGAAAGCGAGGGCAGACUUGAAAUCAAUGGGCAUCAGGCAGGAGCUUCACGCUAUAUAUGAUGAUGAUGAUGAUGAUGAUGAUGAUGAUGAGGCGAAGCAGGACACAGAAAGUCGUCGCAAAGGCAAAAAGGCCAAGAAGACCGGAAAUGACUACCCUCCCGCGUGCUUCACUCUAAGUCAGGAGGAGAUCGAGCAGUUUUUCACCUGCCUCCUAGGAGUAAAACUUCCUUACGGUUACGCGGGGAAGAUAAGCAGAUACCUAGACCCAGCGAAGCAGAAGUUCAGCGGGAUGAAGUCUCACGAUUGUCACAUGCUGAUGACGCAGAUACUUCCAGUUGCAAUCCGUGGGAUCAUGGACGCGCACGUCCGUGAAACGCUAUUUGGCCUAUGCAACUUCUUCGACGUCAUCUCUCAGAAGUCGAUUGGCAUGAGGCAACUCAGAAGGCUACAGGAAGAGAUCGUGGUGAUACUAUGCGAGCUUGAGAUGUACUUCCCGCCCGCAUUCUUCGAUGUUAUGGUGCAUCUGCUGGUCCAUAUAGUGGGGGAUAUCAUCCAACUCGGGCCGAUGUUCCUGCACAGCAUGAUGCCGUUCGAAAGGAUGAAUGGUGUCAUCAAAGGAUACGUUCGCAACAUGUCACGUCCAGAAGGAAGCAUAGCCAGGGGCUUUCUGACCGAAGAGUGCAUCUACUAGUGCGCGAAUUAUCUAGGCAUCGAGAACCCCGUUGGUCUGCCCGUCAACAGGCACCUCGGCAGGCUCGCUGGAUGGGGUCACCGUGAGGGUCGCCGCGAAAUGCAUGUCGACUUCGAGGGUCGACUCGCCGACUUUGAAAGAGCAAACCUAGUCGCGCUACAACACAUAGACGUGGUCGAUGCUUGGGUGGUAGAGCACAAAACCUUUAUUAAGAAGACGUACAAUGACCGAGGCCAACAGAGGACGGACGGAGAUAUACUCAAAGAGCACAACUCAUGUUUCACGCGUUGGUUCAAGCAGAAGCUUCUGUCGUACCCUUUACAUGAGGAUUCUUCCGCGGAAGAACAACUCAUAUUCGCCUUGUCACAGGGCGCCGAGCACAACCUGAUGACCUAUGAGGCGUACGAUAUCAACGGCUACACAUUCUACACCGAGGCCAAGGACAUGAAGAGCGAUGGUUAUCAGAACUCCGGGGUAACGAUGGAAUCCUACACCGGUAACGACAAGGACAGAUACUACGGAAGGAUCGAGGAGAUCUGGGAGCUGAGCUAUGCUGGAGAGAAGGUCCCGAUGUUCCGUGUCAGAUGGGCCAAGAACGUCAUAAAAGAAGACCGGUAUUUCACCACCAUGGUUAUACCCGGAGCCAAAUCCAAGACCGCGAGCGCAAACGUCACCGCGAAAAAUGAGCCAUGGGUACUGGCUUCCCAAGUGGACCAAUGCUUCUUCAUUACCGACCCGCCAAAGCCCAGUCGUGUUGUCGUGAGGAGAGGCAAAAGGAAGAUCAUCGGAAUGGAUGGAGUAGCCAAUGAGCAAGACUUCGACAAGUACGGCGACCCGAGGAUCGAACAUGACGACGAUGAUGAAGUAGCAGCAUACACCACAAGAAGAAGCAGGACCACCCUACCUAAAGGACGUCCGUUCCACAGAAGAACUCCAUUUGCGAAAAAGAAGGGCAAGAAGAUUGUGAACAGAUAGCUAGCUAAGAUCGAUUGUAUUUAAAUCGUAGCCUUCAUUUCUCGAUUGUAUUUCAUGGGUACUUUUUGAACUAUCAUGAAUAUUUUUAAAUUUAAUGGACACUCGAUCUCGAUCCCCCUCCAUCUCGAUCGCUAUCCCACCUCGCCAGAUCCGGUCCCCCUCGCCGCCAAGCACCCCCCCAGCCCACCGGCCGCCGCCGCCGACCCCCCGCACCCUCGAUUCCCCUACCCAACCGCCGCCGCCGACCCACCGCACCCCGCGCACCCUCCCCUGCUCCACCAGCAUUACUGUUUGAUGAUAUUUUUAAAAAAAUUAUUAUUGUCUUAUAAAAAAAUAUUACUGUUAUGAUUUAAACAAGUUUGAACAUAUUUAAACACAAAUAAGUAUCAAACAGGUUUUUAAAUGCUAAAAAAAAUUUGUGGAGCCUGGGAGUCGAACCCAGGACCUCCUGGUGUGAGAACUGGCUGCUGACCAGUCGAGCUAGUAGAGGGGACUUGAUGUGGAUCAAUUCUGGUGGUACAUAACCUGUUGGCUCGAGUUGAAAUAAAAAAAAUACUAAUGGCGCACCACGGUGAGGUGCGCCAUUAGUAUGGAUGUACUUAUGGCGCACCGAGGGGUGGUGCGCCAUUAGUAUUGUGCCCGAUCCCUUCCCUCUCCCCCUUCGCCCGAUCCCCCCUUCCCUCUCCCCCUUGCCAGUUCCCUCUCCCUCGAUCCACCGCCGCCGCCGCCGCUGCCCUGACCCACUGCGCCGCAGCCGCCCACGCGCCCCCGCCGCCUCCCUCUCCCCUUCCUCCCCCUCGAGCCCGCGCCGUCCGCCCAAACCUAACCCGACGCCGUCCGCCGCGCCCGCUCCACCGCCGCCGCCCUGCCUCUCCGCCCUCUCCCUCCCUCNNNNNNNNNNNNNNNNNNNNNNNNNNNNNNNNNNNNNNNNNNNNNNNNNNNNNNNNNNNNNNNNNNNNNNNNNNNNNNNNNNNNNNNNNNNNNNNNNNNNNNNNNNNNNNNNNNNNNNNNNNNNNNNNNNNNNNNNNNNNNNNNNNNNNNCGUCGCCCCGCCGCCCCGACACCACCGUCCGUCGCCCCGCCGCCCCGCCGCCCCUCUCGCAGCAAGGUAUGCGGCUGGUUCGUCCCCUGUCAUGGUUCUCUCUUCGUUUAUUUUCCUGAAAUCUCUGCUGUUCAUUGGCCGAUGAUGUCUUACAAGUAAAAUAUCUGGCAAACUUGUGCUGUAAACUGUACAUUGCUGAGGCUGUGGGCAACCUGUUCUUCUCUUUGCCAUACUAGUGCUUUUGUUCAUUGGCCGAUGAUGUCUCUGUUGGUUUACGUCCCCGGCAAAUUAGGUACCCGUGAACCAUUUAUAGGCCCAACUUUCUUACUCUCAAUGACCACAAUGUGCUUAUUUUGUUAGGAUUGUGCAUUUGCGCGAUUUGUGCAGUGCUUAUUUGUUGGCACCUCACCAGCUUUCAAAUUCAGCAUUUGUAACACAGUUCAAUUUGAUCUAAGGGCCUAUCUUGUCUCAUUUCCAACAUGUAAUAAACUUCCCCCGAGGCCAUAGAUGAGAAUACUUCUUUCAGUACAUUUUGCUGAUUUCUCACUGUUGAAUACUUCAUUUCUGUUUGCCUUUGGCCAAAGAUGCAUUCAGUUCUUUCUGCCCUUAGCGGUUUGAUUCAAGUUUGUCAGGUUCUGUUAACUAAAAAGGUUCAGAUUCAGAAACAUUGUUGGACUACUAGGAAGUUGGACUACUAGGAACAUGUUUAGAUUCAGGUUCUGUUAACUAAAAAAGUUCAGGUUCUGUUAACUAAAAAAGUUCAGAUUCAGAAACCUGUAAUUUCUACUUUUAUGCCUCUGUUACUCCAGUCAAAAUUUUAUGUUUGAUGCCCAUGGUAGUUGAGCUCUCACCUCACCUCACGCAACAUGCAUGAUGCCACAAUGUCUAGUAUGUACUGCCAAGCAACUGGCAAAUAAUUAUAACUUAGAAUAAAUAAAUCUGAUGUAAGAUAAGCAUGGCAUGAGCUUUAAUUAAAUAGCAUAAUACACGUUGGUAGUCCAUCUCUCUCAAAAAAAAUACAUGUUGGUAGCAGAAAAAAAUACAUGUUGGUAGCAGAAAUUUUUUUGAGCCCUUAUUAGCUACUCACACUAUUUGCCCCGCAGUUUCUCUGUCAUGGCUACCAAGUGAUUGACGGUGGGCUAGAAAAAUAAAACCACCAAACUAUCAGUAAAAGAUGUGAACCAACAUCUUUCAUUGUUAUGCAUAUCAAACACCAAGGGUUAUUUUCACUUAAAGUUUUAGAAUGGGUGCAUUACAAUUCAGUCUGAUAUCUAAUAAGACACUCUGGGCUGAUAUAAUUAUGGAACAGAACCAACCAUGAUAAAUAAAAGGUGAUGUUGUCUAUGCAUUACCAAAAAUGUAUCUUUGUGAACAAAUAAAUUGGUACCAACAGCAAUGCCAUCUUACUGUAGAAUUAGAAUACAUGGACAUGAUCAGCUCAGCUCCCAAACUGCCAUUCAUCACAUCAAUUUCCCCUUAUGUAACUCCAGUCAAAAUUUUAUGUUGGUCUACCUAGUAGAUGCCCAUGGUUUGAUUUUAUGUUUGUUCCUAUCAAUACAAAUGCUGAGCUAUGUUCCAUUUUUACUGUUCUUUGUGAUAGUUUUUGCAACUUUACUUCCCAUCUUAAGGCAAGCCCCAUUUUUACUGUUCUUUGUUAGCAGAGCUGCUUGUUUCUAAGAACUUUGAUACUAUUUGGAUCAAAGUUAAAUGAGCACAUAGAUGACAAAAAAAAGUUCAGAUUGUAAAAUGUUCAUUUUGCUGCUAGUGCCCAUUUUGAGUAAUUGCUUAGAGGGAUGAUCCUGUGUGAGCUGGUGGAGUGAUUUGUUUUCUACAUAAAGCUCUUUAGUCAGGCUGGUUUUCGUGAAAUACACAUGAAGCUUCACCAGCUCCUGUGGGUGUGGGAUCCAUGUGACAUGUGACAUUGCAUCCAUGUCCACCUGGGAUAAUGAUUUUGCAUGUACCCCGAGAGGCCCUUAAGUUUGCCGGAAUGUCGAUUAACUUCCGUUCCGGCAAAUUCGGGUACUCCAUAUGUCCUAUUUUCAGCAAAGGUCAUGCUGAAAUUUUCCGUGAAUUUUAGCAUGACUUUGCAAAAAAUAGGACAUAUGGGGUACUUGUGACUAAUGCAUGGGCCGGGGUAUCAUAGUAGUUAAUUAAGUAGGAUCAAGUGCCCCGGCGUACUUGUGACUGAUGCAUGGCUUUUAGGGUGCCUCGGUGUUGAUAAAAACCGAAAUGAUGAAAGCUUAGGCUUUUAGGGUGCCUCGGCGUCGAAAAACCCUCAAUGAUAAAAGCUUAGGUCUUAGGAUGCCUCGGUGUCGACAAACCCUAAAUGAUGAGACCAUGUCUUGUUCCUUGACAAUAACCAACUUUUUGACCAAACUUUGUUUCUAUUUAGAGAGAAACAUGGCCCACAACGAUGAGGCCGGGGGUUCGGGCGGCAAGGCAUUCUGGGAGCUGUCCCAGGAGAUGGAGGAACAACCUCACUUGUAUGAGGCCGCCGCCUUCCCCACCGAUCCUGAGACCACUGAUGGUGCCGCCGAGGAUGACCACACUGAUGCCACCACUGAUGGUGCCGCCGAGGAUGCCACCACUGAUGAUGGCAGCGCCCGCACAGAUGGCAGCCAACCGAAGAGGCAACGGAAGGACCGACGCCCGAUCGUGCUCCUCACCCUCAAGGAGGAAGUUACUGAAGUGGACUCCAACGGGUAUCCAACGGCGCCCGAACGAAUAGUCAAGGGGUACUCGCUUCAGCUCGGGUGCAUUGUCCGGAGCACCGUCUCGAUCAACACCGAGAACCUGAGGCAUCCUGACCGAGGGAAUUUGUGCCACCUCCUCUUCACGAAGCUGCACGAAUGAUACAAGUUCCCCGCUGAAUUUGCAAACAGAAGCCUCAAAGGGAAUAAAGUGAACAAUGCUGCCCUCACGAAGAUGAGCAAGGCCCUGUCUACUUGGAAAAGCAAUGUGAAGAAAAUGAUCGAUAAAGGUGAGAGUUAUCAGAAGAUCAAGGAGAAAAAUCCUUCGAUCACCAAAGAUGACUACAAUGACUUCAAGAUCAAUUGCUCGAGCACCGCAAGCUCCCAAUCAAGUGAGUGGGGGAAACAAAUGCGGGAGCUGAACAUAGGGGAACACACACUCGGUCCCGACGGUUACAGAGUGGCGGAGCCUAUAUGGGACAAGGAGGAGGCGGACCGUGCCGAGCAAGGCCUACCGCCCCUCUUCGAGAAAUACAGCGGUAACAAGCAGACCAGGAACUUUGUCAGGGCCCGGUACAAGAAGGACCCGAAAACAAAGGAGCUUACCACGGAUCCGAAGACCAGGCAGCUUGAGCUUGUUCUGGUAAGGAAUACACCCCCGCGUAAUUAGCUCCAUAUGGUUGCAUUCUAAUUAAUGAAGCCAAAUUUCUAAAUGGUUCACAUUCCUUCCGCAGGCGACUGAAAGCAGUAGCGCGGGGUCGACUAAGAGCAACCCUUGGGACACCACUCUAAAUAGGGCGAUGAAUGUAAUGAAGAAGAAGGAUAAGCUCAGUAAGCCGACGUCAGCUGGUCGUGUGGCCGGCAAAGGCUUGUCGACAAAAUGGGGGUCAUACUAUACCGCUGGUGUGCGGAAGGAGAAAAAGACCAGCUCGGAAAGCCAGGCGCGAGAGGAUCAAGAACUCAAGGAACAGGUGACGCGGAUUCCGGAGAUUGUCCAAGAGCAAGUGGAACAAUGACUCGGAGCGACGAUCACCGCCAUUGUGCCUACCUUGAUCUCGGGGUUGAGUGCGUGGAUUGCGGGCGGCCAACAGGGGCCGCCCCCGAUUCCUAGCUUCACGGCCAGCAACUCGCAUAAUGCGAUGGCGGGGCCAUUGGUGCCUCCGGCGGAGGCGGCAUUGGUGUCUCCGACGCCGGCACGGGAGCUUAAUGCACCCGGGUGUACGCCGGCCGGCACCUCUGCAGCAAGCGGCCCCUCCGUCAACUGCACGCCCGCCGUUGGCGGUGCGUCGACAUUAGCCGAGCUCGACGCCAUCAACACGGUAACUAAUUAAGCCUCUCUCGGCCGAGGACUUCAUCUCCUUGCCUUUGACUAGGCAUCCCUGACGCCCUACAUGUUUUCGCAGGGCGCCGCCGACGUUCCGUGCACUCUCCUCCACUUCGUGAACAACGAGUUGGUCGAUGUCGCCAAGGGCAAAAUCGUUCAACCGGCAACCCCUUGUUCCACGGUACCCAGAUGCCACCCAACUUGUUUAGGGUUCAACUGGUUCGGGUGUUGCCAGGCUGCGACGACUUGUUACCUCUGAUUCGACCCGUUGGGGCCGACGAUGAAGACGUGAUGACCCUCAGCGCCUGCCUGAGCUGGCCCCUAGUUUGGCCGAAGAGCCAGAUUCGUUUGGGGGCGGGGGACACCACCCCAAAGACAACACCGCCAGUCGUGCUGGUGCCAAGUCGGCCCCAUGGCAAGACCGCCGUAACGGUGCCGGACAUCCCUAUGCCACUGGAUCCAAACAUGCAUAUGGCACAGGAUCAGAAUGACGACGACAACGACGAUGAUACAUUUGGCAACGUCGAUCAGUACUUUGCCGAUCAUGGGUACGAUGGCGACUUCAUGGGGCCUCCUUCUCAAGAACCAAACCCAACAAAAGACGUGUGCGAUCUAGCUGGUACCGCAGAGAAGCCAAGUUGCAACAGGCGCCGUCUGGCGUUCAGCUCUCAGGAGACGCCUCCAGCUGCCGACUUCACCGAUCCUCAGAUAGGCGAGGUGCGAAAUAUUAUCAGCCCCAACACACUCAAGAAGGCGGUCUGUGAGCAGAACUCGGUCCCAUUACAGGAGAAGAAGAAGGCACGCAAAAGAAAGACUAAGAAGGGUGCGAGCCAGCCGGCACCGAGUACGAUCCGUGCUCAGGACGGGCCACCUUCACCGCAGGAUAUCUCGAGGAGGGUGCAUGUGGCGGGUAGGGCGAUGCUACCGACAAAUAUGCUCAAUGCUGCAACCGGUGCUAUGCGGAGUCUGCAUGACAGUGUUCUUGCUUUGGAGAAGCGGCGUCUCAGAGAGAAGGAUGUGGCAUACCCGGUUUUCGCGGCCAAGGUGCCAAAGGGCAAGGGCUUUGUGGAUAACUCCAUCGGGCGUACGAUCGUCCUGCGUUUUGAUGACAUCCACGCUAUGUUGAACCUUCAUCCGCUGCACUACACCUUCGUUCGGCUAUUUUCGCUGAGUAUGGAGAUGCGGAUCAUUCGCGACAAGACCCCGGACAUCGUGAUAGUCGACCCCUUCUACAUGCGUGCCAAGAUCUUGGGCAGCGCUGGGGACCGGCAAGUCGCGAGUUCUUACCUCGAAGGCAUCAUUCUGGCAAACCAAGAUAAGGAUAACUUCCUCGUGCCUUACUUUCCCGAGUAAGUCCUCCCCUCAACCGGCCCGUAACAUAUGAAUUCUUACAUUUCGAUCGUUUUUCUUUUAACAUUCCGUGUUUUUUGCAGUGACACACGUUGCACGCUCAUCCUCCUAAGCCCCAAAUAUUCCAUGGCCACAUAUUUCGACCCGGACUGUUAGUCGAACGUAGACUACACAAAUGUCAAGAAGGUUCUUGAUGAUGUUCUCCCCGGCUAUGCCAAAUCUGGAGGCACCUUCACCAGGCCUAAUCGUAAGUACGGCAAGCAUGUUUUCUCCCACAAUACGAUGUUCUACUGCGUCAAGCAGCCGCCUGGUGGUCAGAAGGGUGCCUACUACGCCAUCCAUCACAUGCGGGCGAUCGUACGGGACCAUCAUCAACUUCUGCUACCGAGUAAACUCAAAGAUUGGGCAAAGAGCGUGUCGGCAAUCGAGGACGCGGACCUCCGACAAGAAUUCUUUCGCAUCCAGUCGGAGUUUGCGGAAAUCAUCCAUCAAGAUGUCCUUCGUACCUCGGGGCAGUUCUACCUCAACAAUCAACCGUCCAAUAGUGACAUCGACAUAAUGCUACAAAUGCAGGCUGACAACGACCGUUAUUUCAUGACUCCCACGAUAGACGGCGGCUUCAUCCACGCUCCGGUCCCUUGAGUCGAGUCGAAAGCAGUGAUGCUGUGUCUAGUUCUGAAACAUCGAUUGGCUCAUGUUGUAAUUAAACUUUAAUGAACUUGUAGUAUGUCUCUUUGGUUUCGAGAGUCGUUCAACUUAGAUGUAAUCGAUGCUAUUAAUGUCUUGCUUUUCUCUUCCGAUUGUUCUGUUGCAUACUUAUAUAUUGCUUAUGUAUUGUCUGUGAAUUGGUACUAACGUUUCGUUUGGCUAGUGCAUAGCGAUGCCGACGUAUGUCGUGUACAAGGGUAAGGUUCCCGUAGUCUACGAUGACUGGGAGGAGUGUCGGAGACAGGUUCACCGAUUCAGCGGUAACAGUUACAAAGGGUACACCACUAGGGCCGAGGCCGAAUCUAGAUACGCCCGCUAUCUAGCGGGAGAGGGGAGGGAGCGUUGGAGGAACCGGAUGAAGACGAGUUUCAUCGUGAUGAUGCUCAUCGUGAUGACCGCAGCUCUCUUCUAUGUGAUGGUAGUUUAGAUGAUCGAUAUCGACUUGUAAUGUGAAGACAAACUCGCUACUCGCGGUCUCGAGACUUGUAAUAUAAUGUUCUAUCUUUGUUCGGUCUUUUUAAUUCGGAGACUAAUAUGAUGAAUUGUAUUCGGAGACUAAUAUGAUGAAUUGUAUUCAAAGACUAAUCUUCUAUUGUAUUCGAUGAAUCUGUUGUUGAUGUGUGCUGUCUAUAUUUUGUCAAAUUAUACAUUUUGUAACCUGUGCAAAAAACAGAAAAUAAAAAAUAAAAAAAACCUAAUAUUCAUACUAAUGACGCAUCACAUGAUAGUGCGCCAUUAGUAUGACAGUGCAUACUAAUGGCGCAUCACUGGGCAGUGCGCCAUUAGUAUGCCGCGGUUACUAAUGGCGCAUCCAGCGGUGGUGCGCCAUUAGUAUGCCAAAGCACCUGGGUAUACAUGGCCCCUGGGAGGCAUACUAAUGGCGCACCCUUGCCUAUACUAAUGGCGCACGCGCGGUGCGCCAUUAGUAUACCAGAUACUAAUGGCGCACCAGGUGGUGCGCCAUUAGUAAAAAUUACUAAUGGCGUGCUAUUAAUGGCGCACCACAGAUGCGCCAUUAAUGGCCAUUUUAGGUGCGCCAUUAGUAGGGGUUUUUCUAGUAGUGUAAUAAGCGAGAUGACGCAGUUCCUGACCGCCCCGCUACCACUACUGGUUCCAGCGUGGCGUUUGAAUUAUGCCGCGCUAGAUGCCUUUUGUCCAGCGAGGAACAAGUGGGGUCAAGCGUGCUUUGGCAAUUCCCGCCGUCAGAAGACUUCCUUGUAGUCCGGUGUAGAGGUGAGGUUGUAGGGAGAUGCAUCGACUAGGAAGGAGUGGCCACAUGAACGAGCAUAUGUAUGAUGUGAUUAAGUCUCUCGAUCGGGUAUCUGGUGCCUUACGUACGGUGUCUUAUUUUUGUCAAGCUAUGACAUCUUUCAGUUUGAGUGUCUGAUAUUAGGGUUGCAUACGUUUUGUUAUUCAGUUGCCUGUUGUCAACUCUAUGGUUAUAUCACCUCGAUGUGUGAGUCAAUGUGUUUGAACCAAUGUAGAGUUUCAUGUGAAUGUUACAAGUGUGAUUGAUAUCUUCAUGUUAUAACCGCAGUUGCCUUGGUAAGAAAUUGAAAGAGCAAACCGUUAUCGUGUUAGGAAAAAAGUCAUCGCUCAAUAUAAGUUGCUUCUCUAGAACAACCACACCUUUCCCUCAAAAAAAAGAACAACCACACCUUGUGAAAGAAGAUGGCAAACACCCAAUUAUGUCUGGUUAGAUAUGGGCAUGGCUAUGGGUAGCUUAUAGCGACACGGAAGCUAGCAUCGCCUGAAGAAACACCCGGAUGGGCCGGCCUAGAGACAAAUUUCUUCAUUUCUACCCUUAGUUUUGUUUUUCUGCCCUUUUUUCUUUAUAUUUUAUAUUUUUCCCGACAUGUUCACUACUUGAUGCUCAACUGGGAUCUCAUCUGAUGCGGAGCAUCCUAUGGACAUCACCAUGUCAAGAGUCCGUUCGGCAAGUGACACGUGUGACAUCUACUUCUCAUACAUAAAGGUGAAUCUUCUCCUUUACACGUGUUUACUUGACCCCUUCGAGGAUGGUAUACUACUUGACACUUCUCCCGUGUGCAUGCAUAGGUAUUGUCGGAGCUUCAUGGAUGUCGAGGAGGAGUGCAAGCGCCAAGGAAUGACUACACCGUCCGCGAGGGAAGCAUGGAAGAGAAGGAGGAAGAGAACCUGGCUACUCCAGAACGAGCGGUACUACUGCCCACUCCAAGCGGUACUACCGCCGAGGCCACCCAAGCGGCACUACCGCCCAGCAUCCGCCCUUCUACUGCUCAACCCGACAAACUCCAGUGAUCGAGCGGUGUAAGUCCGGUACUACUGCCCCUCCAAGCGGUACUACCGCUCAAGCGGUACUACCACCCAUGAGUCCGGUACUACCGCCCUGCCUCUGCCCAGCCGUGGGCCUUUGGCCUUGUAUCCCUCUCCCACUUACCCCUUCGUGGCUUAGACUAUAAAUAGGCCACCUCCACCUCCUUUCUAGGGUUAGCACAGAUUUAGCUCAUUUUGAGAUAGAGCUUUGCUCAUCCAUACGGAUCUACUCCUCGUGAGAGACCGCGACCUCUUCGGAGAAGAUCCAUCUUGGAUUCAAGACCCCCUCGUGGGAAGAUCCGUCUAGGAUACCAACAAGACCUCCUCUUGGAGAUGAACCUUACCUUGUAUCUUUCCCUUUGUUGUUCAUGUACCCUUGUGGAUCUUGUGUGUUUGAUUGUCUAGUGGAUGUGUGAUUGGACUUGUACUUGAGUGUUUCCCCUUGUGAUUUCUCUCCGUUCUUCCACGUGUUCUUCAUAGGGAUCCGCUCCAAACGUGAAAGAUCGGCCUCUAGGGUUCUAGCCUACAUCAUCUUGGAUCAGAGCAAGGUUGAUCACGGAUUUGGAGCCCCUACCCCUCUUUUUCUAGCCUUCUUUUGCUUGCUUUCGUCCUAAAAUCCCCACAAAAAAUAGCCCCAAUUUUUUUGUGAUUUGUUCGUUUGAUGAUUUUUUGUUGAUUUUGAUCCAUGGAUUUGCUUGGUUUUGAGUGGAUCUAGCAUCUCUCCAAGUUUCCCCACCUUCCAUCCACGAAAUCCAUCCAAUUUUGCCCCUGAAAUCAUCCUUUUCCGCCCCAAAUUCGCCCCGAUUUCGAUCUGUGAAUUUUCCCGACACGAGCGGUACUACCGCCCUCGAAGCGGUACUACCGCCCUCGAAGCGGUACUACCGCUGAGCACCACAAGCGGUACUACCACCCUCCCAAGCUAUGACGCCCGGAUAAUUAAGCUACAGUAAUCCCCUUCUAAUGGUGCCAUGUCAUCACAUUACUGUUGCUAAUCCUCGCUUGAUCCAAAUCUUAGUUCAAACUCAAAUUCAAAUUAAAGACCAAAAUUCAAAUUUCUCAAGCAUGCAAAAUAAAAUGUUCAAAGUGUGGCAAAUAAUCGCUGGAUAUUUGUCAUGUUGCAAACAACCUCUUUUGAAUUCUCAAAAUGCCCCUGGGAAUUAAUUUUUGGUCCAGUAGUAAAUUAAAUGGCAUUUGCAAAAUAAAGAAUUGUUUAUUUAACUCCAAUUGCCUCCAAACUUUAUGUGCCACUCCAAAAUAUUUGUGGCUCUGUCUAAGAUCGCCAAGGAAUUAAAAGGGCACUUCCCAUAUUUUCCCUAAGUAAAUAGUGUGCCCAAAAUAUUCUCUUAACCAUCUCUAUUUUUUUAAAUAAAAAAAGGCGAAGAAGAACUCCCCCGGGCCUCGGGCCACUCCCACUUACCAGCCCACCUAAGCCGGCCCACUCCCCCGCUCCCCUAGCCUAUAGGCCACGGCCGACCGAACCCUAACCCCGCAUGAUCCCCCCACUCCCCACUCCUCUCCCCUCUCGAUCCGAUCUGGAUCGGACCGAAACCGGCGCAAUUGGUCGAUCCAUGUAUAAAGUAAAAAUAACUAGGCCCAAUUGGUCGAUCCAUGACAGUUUUCGUGACGGUACUUCCACGUCUGUCAUGAGGGGGCUACCCUACUUGGCCCCAAAUGGAUCUUGCUAAUUGGUGACGGUUUCCGUGAUAGAUUUCUGGAACGUCACCAGAAAUCCGUCAUUGAUUAACAGAUUUCCGCACAAUCCCCCCACUCCCCACUCCUCUUCCCUCCUGAUCCGAUCUGGAUCGGACCGAAAUCGGCGCCGCGACGCCAACCGCCGUCGCUGGAGGCGUCCCCGACUCCACGCCGGGCCGCCCCGUCACUGGACCUCCUCCCCGUCGCCACUCGUCACUCGCUGGACCGCCUCGUCCCCACCAAUGCCGCCCCCACCCCAACGUCCCCGACGCCUUCGCCGUCGGCACCGCCCCAAUGUCGCCGCCACCCGACGCCGGCGCCCUCGACAUCGCCACCCCGAGCCCACUGCCACCCCUACGCUCCGCUAUGAGCCCCUCGCUGAUUCCCCCUCCUUCCCGUCGUCGUAGGUGGCUGCGCGCGUCGUUGGCCAUCGUGGCCGCGCUCCGGCCGUUCCCCAUCCGUGCGCUGGCCUCGCCUUCCUCGGAUUGCAAACAUUGAACUUUUCCCCUCGGGUUCAUCUAUCUGACAGACGUUCGGGACCAGAAAAACUUUCCCGGAUGUUUCCCCCUUCGCCAGUAUCACCUAGCACCGCGUUAGAACACUUCUAGCCCCGCUUAUUGUCUUGUUAUGCAUAUGUUUGCGUGUAUUUACUGUUUCUUCCCCCUCUUCUUCUCCGGUAGACCUCGAGACCGUUGCUGAUGCCCCUGUGGUCGACUACGUCGACGGCGACCCUCCUUGUCUGAGCAACGAGGCAAGCCCCCCCUUUGAUCAUCCCGAUAUCGCCCAUUCCAUUCUCUAAUGCUUGCACUAGAUUUUCUACUGUAUUUGAUUGCUCCUAUUCUGAUGCAUAGCAUGCUUUUCUACCUGCUGUUGUACCUUACCUGCUUAUCCUAAACUGCUUAGUAUAGGUUGGCUAGUGAUCCAUCAGUGACCCCCACCUUGUCUUUGUUGCCCCUGCUUCAUCAUUGACGACUCGAUCAACGUGAUCGACGACCGGAGCCUGACACCUCACAUCACAUCACGCCCCUUUUUGUUGCUCGACUCUGCAGAGUUACCAUCGAGUGCCGAGGGUGGAACCUCAUACAUCACUCCUUAUGAGAUCUCUGUAGUGUAGCUAUUCGGUCGUGGUCAUCGAGGGUGGUUCCUCCUUCACCAUUCCUAAUACGGCUCUGUCGUGCAACACCUCAAGUGUGAACCUCGAGGGUGGUUCCUCUUACGUUCACCUUGAUGAUUACAUCGAGUGGAAUCCACCGGGGGUGAUUCCUCGGAUUUUCCCCUUUAUGUCUGGACACACAGUUACCUUGACUUCACUUGAGACCGUUUUGAAAGCCGGGCAGGCCCGGAGAGCACCCGUGCGGUGUGACGGUGGCGGCUGGCUGUUUAGCGGUAUCACCCGGGAGGGGGUGAUAGCUCCGGACUUGUCCCGACAGCCGUCACUUCUUUUAAUAAUGCACUAACAGGUUUGGGUAUUUUUUCUAAGUUCACUAACCACGACGCUAGAAUAGUUAUGGGUCUCGAUGUUGCAGUAUCAGCCGAAGCUUUCUCAGACGUCCAGUUCAGCAUUGUGGCCGGGCCGAAUCAUGCCAUCCACUUCACGGGUGGUGCUGGUAUCCCCUUGCGCACAACGACCCAGAGUGCAACGGGCGAUGGGCCCAGACCCCGGAGUGCUUAGGAUGUAGACCGGCAGGGACCUCUCUGCUGAGCCUAGGUAGGGCAGCUACGUGUUGAUCUUCCGAGGCCGGGCAUUGACCCCAGAAAGGUGUGUCCUUCCAGAGUGAUCGAGCGUGUUGGGUAACGUGGUGCCCCCCUGCAGGGAAGAUUAUCUAUUAAUAGCCGUGUCCACGGUAACGGACGUUCAAACUUAUAUCUUGAUCUUAUACAACUACAAAUGGAUACUUGAGAUAUGUGGCUCCGGGAUUGCUUUCUCGCAGGGAGUCGAGGAAGGAUCUCUGGGCGUUGUUGUCACAACAUGCUUGUUAAUUAAACUGCUAUUCUUUACUCUUCUACAUGCUGCAAGAUGCUUGGAGCUACUUGAAGAUGCUAGUCUUCAUGAGGCUAGGCCUUCCCCUCUAUUCUGGCAUUCUGCAGUUCAGUCCACAGAUACAACCCUUCCAUUUGAUACCAAUGCAUACUUAGUAUAGAUCUGAUGCUUGCGAGUACUUUGGAUGAGUACUCACGGUUGCUUUGCUACCCCAUUUCCCCCUUCUUUCUUCUUUCCGGUUGACGCAACCAAAUGGUGGAUCCCUGGAGCCAGAUGCCAGCGCUGAUAGAUGCUACUAUGUGAAGAUCGCCGACGACCAGGAGUAGUUAGGAGGUCCCAAGCAGGAGGCCUUGCCUCUUCGAUCAUUGUUGCUUUUGUGCUAGCCUUCUUAAGGCAUCUUUGUUUAACUUAUGUCUGUACUCAGAUAUUGUUGCUUCCGCUGACUCUUGUGUAUCGAGCUAUGUAUUCAAGCCCUCGAGGCCCCUGGCUUGUAAUAUAAAGCUUGUAUUAUUUUGAUUUGUGUCUAUAGUUGUGUUGUGAUAUCUUCCCGUGAGUCCCUGAUCUUGAUCAUACACAUUUGCGUGCAUGAUUAGUGUACGAUUGAAUCGGGGACGUCACAAGUUGGUAUCAGAGCCGACUGUUUGUAGGAUCCCCCUUUCCAACUCCUUGGCUGAAGUUGAGUCUAGUCUUUGAAAAAAAUUGUUUUACUAACAUGGUUGUGUGGCUUACGGGCCCAUGUCGCCAUUGGGUGGUAUUAGGAUCUUUUACUCCUCGACCUUUACUCUGGGACUCUAAUCGCUCUUCUAUUCGGGUUAAAUGGUCUCGCAAACUAUAACUCUAGGUUCUCGUAAAUACUUUCUCCCGGAGAGCCCCUUCAUUCCAGAUGAUGGCCUGCUUCACCAGAUGAUUUCGAAGAUACCCUUCUGUAAUUUCCUGAGACUUUUGUACUCAUUGCUUUUGCAGUUCCCUACCUCUGAUAUAUCCUUACGGAUAACUUCAUACACUUGUCAUUCAUACAAUCAUUCCUAGUUGCUCUUGUUUUUACAAGAUACAUUGAAUUAUUCUCCGACUUUUAAGAAUCCCUUGCUUACUGCCCUGCAGUUCCUUGCCGCAUGAAUACCCCUACGGAUAAUUACUCGCACUUGCCGAGUAUCCGUUCGUCCAUAGUUGUUCAUGUGUUUCACAACAUUCUUUGGAAAGCUAUUUGAUCUUUUCAAAAAUCCUCAGUAGCCUAUUACUCUUGUUCCUCCUUACCUACUUACAGUAUGGUUACUUCCAUUUGUCUAGCAAUAUUCUUUAAAAUCCUUUGCGAUUGACAUCCUUACCCUAUUGUUUCAACAUGUGUGUGAAUGCACGCAAUCAUCAAUUGUUCCCUGGAAUUGUCCUUCUGGCUCAGACGUUACCCCGGACACGAGCUGGUGUUCGACAAAACAAACCUUGAUUGAUUUUGAAUCUAUGUCUAUACAACUUAAUUGUCUUUGAUCAGAGCCUCUGCUUUUGAUCCCCCAUUUUGAAAAUCAUAAUCCCCUUUGCAUUCGAGCAUAGAAUUAGUCAGUUGUUUCUAUAACCUGACCUCCUUGAAUUCUUUCUUCUUCUGGUUGAGUAUCGAUACUCACAUCAGAUCCAUUGUGGACCUCCAGGUCCUUUGUUGGUUUUUAUCCGACAGCAUCCUUCAUAUUCAGUAACCUUGUGAGCCUUUCCUCGAAUACACAAUGCCUUUGGUAAAUUGUAUCCCCCACUCUCGUCAACCAUACUCUGCUUCCGGGCUUGAGUUAUUUACUCGUGAAGUUUGUGGUAUAUGUUCCUAAUAUGUCCCUAUGGGUUGAAUCUAUGUCUUCCCUAAAUCUGUGUGAACCCUACGACUCAUACUCUACUGGUGUUAUGCCAGAUAAAAUCUCAACAGUACGGCUUCGUUGAAAAUGAGAAGUGAAUGAAAGGUUAUGCAUCGAAGAAGUGGGAGUCGACCUUGAGCCUUGUGUUCAUGCCCAUGGACACGAUGUGGAACUUAACAUGGAAGCUUCUUUUUAUAAUAAUAGCCCCCUAGCGAUAAGUACAUCUUGUAUCCAUGUGUGGUCCAUUGCAAUCGUGGUUCCGACCAUAUUGUUCUUGUUUGAUCCAUUUAUCGGACAAGUUAAAGUACUUGUCUUCUUCAAAUUGUUUCACAUGUUCAACCUCUACAUUGAUAUACCUUCGAGCAUUAUCCUCUGGUAUCUCGAGAAUAUCACGGAACUACAUAACUUCUUAUGAGUUCUUGAUCAACUAUUAUUUCUCACUGAUUCAAAUUUUUCACUAGUUGGGAGUUGUUAGACACUCGAGAAUACAGUUAACUGAUUCAAGUCUACGCUUUCCUUUCCAUUGUUCUGUUUAAUCUUUCUGGUAACCUAUCUUAUCUGAGAACUGAUAAUUCCCUGCUUAUGUAAACACCUCGGUGUACAAGCUCUGUCUGUAAGACCUUGUUACUAUUGUUGAGGACAUUCCGAUAGCUACCGAUGGACGAGAACUUUGCCUAUUGGUCCGCCUCAUCUUAACGAGCAGGAAAAUGGUUCUCUUUGUCCCUCUCCCUUGGUACCAACGUUGUUGCCAACAUAACUGACAAGUUGUCCUCUGACCUGCCUUGCUAUCAUGACCAUGCAAAAUGCUAGCGCCCUUCCUGCUUUUAACCCACAAGGUGGGCCUGAGGGAGUCCUGGACUAGGCGGUGUCCGGACAGCCGGACUAUCAUCGUCCGCCGGACUCCAAGACUACGAAGAUACAAGAUUGAAGACUCCGUCCCGUGUCUGGAUGGGACUUUCCUUGGCGUGGAAGGCAAGCUUGGAAAUACGGAUAUGUAGAUCUCCUACCAUUGUAACCGACUCUGUGUAACCCUAGCCUCCUCCGGUGUCUAUAUAAACCGGAGGGCUUUAGUCCGUAGGACACAACAUACAUUACAACAAUCAUACCAUAGGCUAGCUUUAGGGUUUAGCCUCCUUGAUCUCGUGGUAGAUCCACUCUUGUACUACCCAUAUCAUCAAUAUUAAUCAAGCAGGAUGUAGGGUUUUACCUCCAUCGAGAGGGCCCGAACCUGGGUAAAACAUCGUGUCCCUCGUCUCCGGUUACCAUCCGCCUAGACGCACAGUUCGGGACCCCCUACCUGAGAUCCGCCGAUUUUGACACCGACAUUGGUGCUUUUAUUGAGAGUUCCUCUGUGUCGUCACCAAUAGGCUCGAUGGCAUCUUCAACCAACAACGCUGUCCAGGGUGAGACUUUUCUCCCCGGACAGAUCUUUGUAUUCGGCGGCUUCGCACUGCGGGCUAAUUCGUUUGGCCAUCGGAGCAGAUCGAAAGCUACGCCCCUGGCCGUCAGGUCAGAUUCGGAAGUCUCAACUUCACGGCCGACGUCCGCGGAGACUUGAUCUUCGACGGGCUCGAGCCACAGCCAAGCGCGCCGCACUGUUACGAUGGGCAUGAUCUAGCUCUGUCGCCGAACAGUGCCUUGGUGGCCGCCCACGAAUCCGCUUCGGCCUUUAGUCCGGGGCCGAUCGCCCAGACCGAGGAACGGUGGAUGGACACCGCCUCGGGGGCUUCAACUUCCACGGCGAUGGAGCCGAACACUAAUCUUGUCCCUCGCAAAACUCGUGAUUCCGAGGUGCCGGACUCCUUGCCGGACUCCGAAGCUCCCACGCCCCUACCAACCGAAUCGGAUUGGGCGCCGGUUAUGGAAUUCACCGCCGCGGACAUCUUCCAAUACUCGCCUUUUGGCGACAUCCUGAAUUCGCUAAAGCAUCUCUCGUUAUCAGGAGAGCCCUGGCCGGACUAUGGCCAGGAUGGUUGGGAUACGGACGACGAAGAAAUUCAGAGCCCACCCACCACCCACUUUGUAGCCACUGUCGACGAUCUAACCGACAUGCUAGACUACGACUCCGAAGACAUCAACGCUAUGGACGACAAUGCCAGAGACGAACAGGAACCAGCGCCUACAGGGCACUGGAAGACCACCUCGUCAUAUGACAUAUACAUGGUGGAUACCCCAAAAGACGGGGACGGCGAAGAAACAGCGGAGGCAUAUUCUUUAAAGAAACAGCCCAAGCGCCGGCAUCAGCGGCGCUGCUCUAAAUCCCGCCACGGCAAGAAUGGAGAUUCCAGCACAGGAGAUAAUAAUACCCCAGAAAGUGCCGAAGAUAACCCCCUCCAGCAAGACUCAGCGCAGGAGGAUGCAGAAGCAAGCCCUCACGAGAAGGCGGCAGACAAAGAGGUUGAGGAUUACAACUAUAUGCCUCCCUCCGAAGACGAGGCAAGCCUCAACGAUGACGAAUUCGUCGUGCCCGAGGAUCCCGUCGAACAAGAGCGUUUUAAACGCAGGCUUAUGACCACGGCAAAUAGCCUAAAGAAAAAGCAGCAGCAGCUUCAAGCUGAUCAGGACCUGCUGGCCGAUCGAUGGACCGAGGUCCUCGCGGCCGAAGAGUAUAAACUCGAAUGCCCCUCCAAAAGCUAUCCAGGACGCAAGCUGCUCCCCCGAUUAGAGGAGGAAGCAUACAUACCUCCAUCACCAGCGCACGAUACGGCUGACCGACCACCCCGUGGUCGUGACAGAGAGGCAUCCAGGCCCCCAACCAAGACCGUACCCCGGCAUCGCUCGAAAAGUAUGAAGCCAAGAGGGAACGCGCCGGACUUGCGAGAUAUAUUGGAGGACAAAGCAAGGCAAUCCAGAUCCAUCUACGGAUCACGGGGGUGCCCCACGACCCAUGACGAAUACCGUCGCGCCGGAUACAAUAACCCCGGCCGGGCCGAACACAGCAGACAACGCUCUCUCGAGUUGCAUCGUGAUAUUGCUCAAUAUAGAGGCGCCGCACACCCGCUAUGCUUCACAGACGAAGUAAUGGAUCAUCAAAUCCCUGAAGGGUUUAAACCCGUAAACAUCGAAUCCUACGAUGGCACAACAGACCCUGCGGUUUGGAUCGAAGAUUACCUUCUCCACAUCCAUAUGGCCCGCGGCGACGAUCUACAUACCAUCAAGUACCUCCCACUCAAGCUUAAAGGACCAGCUCGGCAUUGGCUCAACAGCUUGCUCGCAGAGUCAAUUGGGUGUUGGGAAGACCUAGAAGCCGCAUUCCUUGAUAACUUCCAGGGCACGUAUGUGCGACCACCAGACGCCGAUGACCUAAGUCACAUCAUUCAGCAGCCAGACGAAUCGGCCAGACAAUUCUGGACACGGUUCUUGACAAAGAAAAAUCAAAUCGUCGACUGUCCGGAUGCAGAGGCCCUUGCAGCCUUCAAACAUAACACCCGCGACGAAUGGCUAGCCCGGCACCUGGGGCGGGAAAAGCCGAAAUCCAUGGCAGCCCUCACAUCAUUAAUGACCCGCUUUUGCGUGGGAGAGGAUAGCUGGCUAGCUCGCAGCAACAAUCUCCGUAAAAAUUCUGGCAGUCCAGACACCAAGAACAAUAAUGGCAGGUCACGUCGAAACAAAAACAAACGCCGCAUCAACGGCAAUGAUAAGGAGGAUACGGCAGUCAACGCCGGAUUCCGAGGCUCUAAACCCGGUCAACGGAAGAAGCCAUUCAAAAGAACCACUCCGGGUCCGUCUAAUUUGGACCGAAUACUCGACCGCUUAUGCCAGAUACAUGGCACCCCUGAAAAGCCAGCUAAUCACACUAAUAGAGACUGCUGGGUGUUCAAGCAGGCAGGUAAGUUAAUUGCCGAAAACAAUGACAAGGGGCUAAACAGCGAGGACGAGGAGGAGACCCGACCGCCGAACAAUAGAGGACAAAAGGGUUUUCCCCCACAAGUGCGGACGGUGAACAUGAUCUACGCGACCCAUAUACCCAAUUGGGAGAGGAAGCGUGCACUAAGGGACGUCUAUGCGAUGGAGCCAGUCGCCCCGAAGUACAAUCCAUGGUCCUCUUGUCCGAUCACUUUCGAUCGAAGAGACCAUCCGACCAGCAUACGCCAUGGCGGAUUCGCCGCAUUGGUUCUAGACACAAUCGUCGAUGGAUUUCACCUCACGAGAGUCCUGAUGGACGGCGGUAGUAGCCUGAACCUGCUUUAUCAGGACACAGUGUGCAAAAUGGGCAUAGACCCCUCAAGGAUUAAACCUACAAAGACAACCUUUAACAGUGUCAUACCAGGUGUGGAAGCCAACUGUACAGGCUCAGUCACACUGGAAGUGGUCUUCGGAUCCCCGGACAAUUUCCGGAGCGAGGAGUUAAUCUUCGACAUAGUCCCGUUUCGCAGCGGCUAUCACGCUCUGCUCGGACGAAUCGCGUUCGCAAAAUUCAACGCGGUGCCGCAUUGUGCAUACCUCAAGCUCAAGAUGCCAGGCCCUCAUGGAGUCAUCACGGUCAAUGGGAAUACGGAACGCUCCCUCCGAACGGAGGAACAUACAGCGGCUCUCACGGCAGAAGUACAGAGCAGCCUUUUAAGGCAAUUCUCGAGUCCGGCCAUUAAACGGCCGGAUACAUCAAAGCGCGCCCGAAGCAAUACCAACCAAGACCACCUGGCGUGAUCAGAGCACGCGUAGCAAUGCGGCCCCAACCCCCGCCCGCGCGUGAUUGCAAGAAUAACCCUCCGCGUACAUCAUUACGCUUUGGAGAUACCAUGGGCGCAGGGGAAGGGGCACGAUCACAACGGACCCAGAGUGCAGUUCGACCGCACCAGGGGCUCGCAAGUGUGCCCCCUUUUUUUUAUUGUUAUUUUCCCUCUUUGUGUACACAGGACUCCGUUAGCCAGAGGCCCUAUCCGGCGGUGAACCUGCCGAACUCAUGAUGCAAUAACCAGGGAAGAAAGAACGCUGCGACGAACACUCAGGUGGUCUCAAUUACAAGCAUUAAAUUCGAUUAUAUACACCAAGUCCGCAGCUUACCCUUGGAGGGGGACAUGUUUAAUUAGUCCAAAUCCCUUGCUUACCACACUAUUUGUAUCAGUCCGCACUCAUAGCAGACUUUCUUUCAUAAAUAAUGCAGCACCUUUUUGACUGCAAUUACAUUACCUUUUAUAUAUAUAUGCUCAUUACAUGACAUCUUGCACCCGUAUAUUUUGGUACGGCCUAAUACACCAGGGGCUUAUGUUCCCCACAUUAUGGUGUGAUAAGUCCGAACACUUUCGUAAGUGCAGCACCCCGAACUUAUAGCACUAUAUGAAUCGGCUCCGAAUCAUGUCUUGGGUCAAUAGUUGGGUUUGCCCGGCUCCCACGUUUUGGUGCCUUACGUUCCGUUCUGUCGGCUAAGGUGGCACUGGGAGAACCACUGCGAUUGCGCCCCGGUUGAGCCGGGCGAGCACCUCAGUGGAGAAAGCUAAAACUGACCGGCAUGAUAAGGCGAGAGACUGGUCGCUGUUCGAGAGGUUUUUUCGGGUCCUUAAAGACUCACGCCACUUCGAGCGAAGUUCCGGACCAUGUCUGACGAAGGCGUGGAUAGCGCCCCGGAUUCGGCCUUUCGGAUACCAGGGGCUUCGCCGAAAUUUAAAAUUAUAGAAUUCUAUGGCUAAGUGAGAGUGUUCAAGCAUUAUAAGUCCGGUCGCCUUGUUCGUUGUGUUGAGCACCUCCCUAGAUGGACCCAAAAAUGGGAAUAAGAGUGCUCAAGUUUAUCCCGAACACCCCAGCACUCGUGGCUCGGGGGCUGAAGCCAAUGACUUUCCAUCUCUCAGAUUUUAUAAACGGCCGCACAGAAGGUAAUAUUUUAAAUUAAAACAAGCGUUGCUCAUGGCGCAUCUGAACGAAGUUUUCAGCGCACAGGAUAAUACAUAGCGAGUUCACUCAAAGAUUACAUUUCUAGGGCACUCAUCCGCAAUAUCGCGGGCUCCCUUCAGGACAGUUUUAUAAUACAUUUCAGGCGUGCGAUACUCCUUGCCCGGCGGCGGUGGGUCUGUGAGAAGCUUCUCCGCAUCCAACCUGCCCCAAUGCACCUUUGUGCGGGCAAGGGCCCGACGAGCACCUUCAAUACAGGCGGAGCGCUUGAUGACCUCCACCCAGGGGCAUGCAUCCACCAGCCGCCGCACGAGGCCGAAGUAGCUACCAAGCAUGACCUGUUCAGGCCACAGCCGGACUAUAAGGCCCUUCAUGGCCUCUUCAGCUACCUUGUGGAGUUCGACCAGCUGCUUCAGCUGGUCGCUUGGGGGCACCGGAUGGCCUGCCUCAGCGUACUAAGACCAGAAGACCUUCUCCGUUGAGCUCCCCUCCUCGCCACGAUAGAAUGCGGCGGCAUCGGAGGCACUACACGGCAGAUCUGCAAACACCCCUGGAGAGCUCCGAAUGCGGGUAAUUGUCAGGUAGUUUACAUUAACAUGCUUGCUUUGCAUGAAAAAUGCCUUACCCGCCGCUAUCUUCUUUACAUCUUCAACCUCCUGAAGGGCCUUACGGGCCUCGGCCUUGGCGGACUUGGCACUUUCGAGAGCCGAGGCAAGCUCGGACUCUCGAGUCUUGGAGCCUCCUGCUUUUCUCGCUCCGCCCGUUCCGCGACCGCACUGCGUUCAGCCGCGGACACAGCCUCCUUCAGGGCUGCCACCUCGUUCGUGGCCCCUGCAAUACCCAUAUUAUCCUUGUUAAUUUUAUUGCAACCAAAAUCCUUUUCCGUAAGGUGACUAUUCAAAGCGGUGUUACUCACCUUCUUUGUCCUCGAGCUGCUUCUUGGCAGUGCCGAGCUCUUGCUCGGACCGCUCGAGAUCCUGCUUCAACACAUCGACCUCCGCCGUCAGUGCGGCAGAGGUCAGUAGCGCAGCCUGCAAACCCAUAUUGACAUAUUUUAAGCAACCCUGCGUAUAUCUUGUUAGAUCCUCAGUCCGGCUUUUCUUUCCGAACACCGAACUGAGCAUCAAGGGCUACUGUCUAUGCGGUAUUACAUUACAUAAUUUUAACUUCUUACCUCAAAGCCUGUUAGAAGGCUGCUGCAGGCUUCGGUCAGCCCGCUCUUGGCGAGCUAAACCUUUUGAAUCACCGCACUCAUGUUAGUGCGAUGUUUUUCCUCGAUGGAAGCGCCUUCAAGCGCCUCCAACAAGUUAUCCGGCGCCUCCGGUUGGACGGAGGUCGCCGGUGUCAAGGUCUUGCCCUUCUUUCGAAGGGGCCGCCCGCCGGACUCUAGAACCACUGCGGGUUCCGAUGUAGAGUCCGGCACAAAGUCUGGGAGGCAGCCUGACGACGCCUCCGGAGCCUCCUCCUGAUGGGUCCCUCUCUGGGAUCCCACCUCGGCGUCCCCGUCGGCGCGGGGGGUAGAGGCGGUCGGAAGUGAAUCCACAUCUAACGGGGCCAACGACCCGCUCGAUGAAGCGGGGAGAUCAUCAUCGGCCGGACUACGGACAGAACGCGGCAUUAGAAGGACACUACGCGACACGAAAGAAAUUGCAUAUCAUGGAUCCGGAUACUUACGAUCUUGUCGGACGCCUGGCCCUUGGAGGCCACUCAUCCUCGCCAACGGUGGUGUUGGCGAAACUGUCCGGGGGGAUAGUCCUCCCCCUCUUGGACCCUUCGGCCUCCCCUAUUGGGAAAGCCUUCCACUUCUUCUCUCCCUCCUCCGAGAGAGAGUCCUCUUCCUCCUCCUCGUCUUUGGGGGAGGAGUCCGCCUCGUCGUCGGACGCCUAAUUGCGGGAACUCUUUCGAGUCCCCGCGGCCACCUUCUUGGCCUUCUUCUCCGGCACCACGUGCGGUGCCGGAACCAGCAGCCCUGCUAAACGGGCGUUCUCUGGGUCUUCAGGCAUGGGAGCCGGGCUGAUGAGCUGCUUGGCCUUCUCCAUCCAUUCCUAUCAAAGGAAAAGAGAGAUUGAAACCCUCUUAGAAUCAGUUUAAUUACCACAAGUGUCCCGUAACGUGGUUGAAUCACUUACCUCGUCAGCCGGAUGCUGCGAGCGAAAUCCGUGAUCUUCCGUCGCGGAUGCGGGGGCUUCGGCGCCCUUAAACAGCACCCUCCAGGCGCCUUCGUAUGUCGUAUCGAAGAGCCCGCUCAGCGCCUGGUGCUGUUCCGGAUUGAACUCCCACAGAUUGAAUACCCGUUCUUGGCAUGGGAGAAUCCGGCGGAUGAGCAUGACUUGGACCACGUCGACGAGCCUGAGCUUAUUGCUCACCAGCUUCUGGAUGCAGGCUCGGAGUCCCGUCACCUCCUUCGGAUUUCCCCACAGCAAGCCCUUCUCUUUCCAGGAGGUGAACUGCGUGGGGACGCCAGAUCUAAACUCGGGGGCCGCCGCCCAUGUGGGCUUGCGCAGCUCGGUGAUGUAGAACCAACCCGAUUGCCACCCCUUGACGGAGUCCACGAAGGCCCCUUCGAGCCAAAGGACGUUGGGCAACUUACCCAACAUGGCGCCUCCGCAUUCCGCUUGCGUGCCCUUCACAACCUUCGGCCUCCCCUAUUGGGGAAGCCUUCCUCUUCUUCUCUCCCUCCUCCGGGAGAGAGUCCUCUUCCUCCUCCUCGUCUUCGGGGGAGGAGUCCGCCUCGUCGUCAGACGCCUGAUUGCGGGAACUCUUUCGAGUCCCCGCGGCCACCUUCUUGGACUUCUUCUCCGGCACCACGUGCGGUGCCGGAACCAGCAGCCCUGCUAAACGGGCGUUCUCUGGGUCUUCAGGCAUGGGAGCCGGGCUGAUGAGCUGCUUGGCCUUCUCCAUCCAUUCCUGUCAAAGGAAAAGAGAGAUUGAAACCCUCUUAGAAUCAGUUUAAUUACCACAAGUGUCCCAUAACGGGGUUGAAUCACUUACCUCGUCAACCGGAUGCUGCGAGCGAAAUCCGUGAUCUUCCGUCGCGGAUGCGGGUGCUUCGGCGCCCUUAAACAGCACCCUCCAGGCGCCUUCGUAUGUCGUAUCGAAGAGCCCGCUCAGCGCCUGGUGCUGUUCCGGAUUGAACUCCCACAGAUUGAAUGCCCGUUCUUGGCAUGGGAGAAUCCGGCGGAUGAGCAUGACUUGGACCACGUCGACGAGCCUGAGCUUAUUGCUCACCAGCUUCUGGAUGCAGGCUCGGAGUCCCGUCACCUCCUUCGGAUUGCCCCACAGCAAGCCCUUCUCUUUCCAGGAGGUGAACUGCGUGGGGACGCCAGAUCUAAACUCGGGGGCCGCCGCCCAUGUGGGCUUGCGCAGCUCGGUGAUGUAGAACCAACCCGAUUGCCACCCCUUGACGGAGUCCACGAAGGCCCCUUCGAGCCAAAGGACGUUGGGCAACUUACCCAACAUGGCGCCUCCGCAUUCCGCUUGCGUGCCCUUCACAACCUUCGGCUUGACGUUGAAGGUCUUGAGCCACAGGCCGAAGUGGGGCCGGAUGCAGAGGAAGGCCUUGCACACGACGAUAAACGCCGAGAUGUUGAGGAUGAAGUUCGGCGCCAGAUCGUGGAAAUCCAGGCCGUAGUAAAACAUGAUCCCCCGGACGAAUGGGUGGAGUGGAAAGCCCAGUCCGCGGAGGAAGUGGGGAAGGAAGACGACCCUCUCAUGGGGCCCAGGGGUAGGGAUGAGCUGCCCCUCGUCGGGCAGCCGAUGCGCGAUAUCGCCGGAAAGGUAUCCGGCGCUGCGAAGCUUGGUGAUAUGCUCCUCCUUAACGGUGGAGUCCAACCAUUUGCCUCCCGCUCCGGACAUAUUCGGAGAAGGUCGGGGCGAGAUGCGCGAGCUUGGGCGUUGGAGCUUGAGUGCACGGAGAUGGAUAAGCAAAGGAGGAAGAAGGCGUAGGUGAGAAGGUAAAUCCUUAUCCCUUAUAUAUAGGCGGACGAAAACUAUGCGUCCCCACCGGCCUGAUAAAACUCGCUUAUCUCCCAAGCGCCACCAUCAAUGGCGCGGUUGGGUUACCCACGUCCGUAUUGAUGGGAAUCCCGGAAUAAGGGGAACACAAUCUCUGCUUCGACAAGACGUGCCAAGGAAACCGCUUCGCUAAACGUGCUGAGGUGGUAUAGUAAAAAACGAUUCAAACAAAGGCUUGGUAGCGGUGUGAUGUCACGCCGCAUAAUACGUCAGCAGAUUGGACUGGUGUACAUUUUAUUCUCUCUACGGUGGAAUGUGGAAUUUAUUUUGCAGAGCCGGACACUAUCCUGGUGUUCAUGAUCUUCUCUGGAUUAUUCAAGGGAGGAACCCGCCUUGCAAUGCCGAACAUUAUGCGCGCCGGACUUAUCGUCAUUGAAGCCUGGUUCAGGGGCUACUGAGGGAGUCCUGGACUAGGGGGUGUCCGGACAGCCGGACUAUCAUCGUCCGCCGGACUCCAAGACUACGAAGAUACAAGAUUGAAGACUCCGUCCCGUGUCCAGAUGAGAUUUUCCUUGGCGUGGAAGGCAAGCUUGGCAAUACGGAUAUGUAGAUCUCCUACCAUUGUAACCGACUCUGUGUAACCCUAGCCUCCUCCGGUGUCUAUAUAAACCGGAGGGCUUUAGUCCGUAGGACACAACAUACAUUACAACAAUCAUACCAUAGGCUAGCUUUAGGGUUUAGCCUCCUUGAUCUCGUGGUAGAUCCACUCUUGUACUACCCAUAUCAUCAAUAUUAAUCAAGCAGGACGUAGGGUUUUACCUCCAUCGAGAGGGCCCGAACCUAGGUAAAACAUCGUGUCCCUCGUCUCCUGUUACCAUCCGCCUAGAUGCACAGUUCGGGACCCCCUACCCGAGAUCCGCCGGUUUUGACACCGACAGGGCCCAUAACCCACAGUUCCACAGGAUCGAAACCUGACUCAUGUACAUCCCUGUUUUUCAAAGUUGUUCCUCGCGCUUGGAUUCGUAUGUAAUUCACGAGCCACCUUCCUUGUGAUCUGUUCUGGUAUCAGAUGCAAUACUUAUUCCCAUUGCUCUAAACCCCUUUCACCUUCUUACCUUGCUCUCGAUGACUAUCCUGAAUUCCAACUCAAGAGAUGCCUCUAUGCCAUGUUGAGGUACCUAUCUUGUGUUGAGCUCCAUCCCUCCCGAGUCUUUCCCCCUUACUCACCCCUUAAAUCUCGAGACGAUAUUUCUUGUAGUGGAGGAGAAUUGUGACGCCCAAAUAAUUAAGCUACAGUAAUCCCCUUUUAAUGGUUCCAUGUCAUCACAUUACUAUUGCUAAUCCUCGCUUGAUCCAAAUCUUAGUUCAAACUAAUAUUCAAAUUAAAGACCAAAAUUCAAAUUUCUCAAGCAUGCAUAAUAAAAUGUUCAAAGUGUGGCAAAUAAUCCCUGGAUAUUUGUCAUGUUGGAAACAACCUCCUUAGAAUUUUCAAAAUGCCCCUGGGAGUUAAUUUUUGGUCAAGUAGUAAAUUAAAUGGCAUUUGCAAAACAAAUAAUUAUUUAUUUAACUCCAAUUGCCUCCUGUCGUGGGAAACGAACACCUAUGGGGCAGGGCCCCUUUUCGGUCUGGCAAGGGAGCGGAGGGCACACGAAGAGCAGAUCGAGGCGAAGCACGCGGGGGAAUUUUACCCAGCUUCGGAGCUCUCCGGAGAGAUAAAACUCCUACUGCUGCUUUGUGUUUCUAUUCUGUUCUUGCUCAAGAGUGUGGGUGUGUUGUAGUUUCGAAUGAGUCGAACCCCUUCUACGUGCGCAUGGGCCUCCUUUUUAUAGUCUAAAGGGGUCACCGACAGGUGGCAGCAUAGAGAGAGGGGUAAAAAAGUAAAAACGCGGGUUGGUACAACCGCUAUCAACAGUGCCCCCUACCUAACUCUGACAGCAGGGGACAAGGGCAUUUAAUGCCCAUCCGGUCGCCCAAACAGUGCAGGAAGUGACCGUUAGGGGCGCCACCAAUCGCCACGAUGGCCUCCUAGUCAUCUUCACUUGCCACCUCGCACCGCUUGGCUGCACAGCUACCCGCCACGUGCACCGGGAGCGAUCCUGCGGCGACACGUCAUCGGAUGCGCUGGAGCAUGGGCGCAGAGUUGUGGCUUUGCCGCGGCAAGCGCCUUGCCGCGGUCACUAUCUUGUUGCACCCGCAAGCUUGCCGCUCGCCGGGUCUUGGUUGGCCUUCCCGGCAAGAUCCUCCUGCCGGGGUCUUGUCCUUCCCGGCAAGCUUCUCUUGCCGGGGCUUCGUCUUCACAGUUAACACUUUGUUCUUGAAUGGCAGUAAAUAGGAAUGACGAAGGAUCUUGGCGGACGCCCGGCAAGCCUUGCCGCAGGACGCUGCGCCUGCCCGUGCACAAGUUCGGGGUACUAAGGUACCCCUACUUUAGUACACCGACUGGAGCCCCCGGGCCUGGGCCAUACACGGUGCUGAGCGCUGUUGGGCCAGGCCCAAAACAGGACACGGGCACGCGCGGCCUGGGUCCUAACUAAAUCCACUCCGUAUCCACCGCGUCCUCCCGUAACGGCACGCGUCAAUCGCGGCGUCGUGGGAGAGAUCGUGGGUGGAAGACGUUCGCGCGUAUCCACAGCCUGAUGGAGGGGUUUACCCUCCAUUUUAAGUUAAUGGAGGGCGAUCUCCUCUCCGUCAAGGUCUUCGGGUGCUUCGACACUCGGGCGAAGUGCUGCGUGGACAGCUCCUCCGAUAGCAAAGGCUCCCCCUCGAGCGAGAGCGACAAGGAGGAGAGCAACAGCGAUGAUGAGGGUAGCGGGCGGCGGGAUGGCGGGCCCGACUAGGUGUCGGGCGCCGCUUCGUGCGUCACCGGUGACCCCAUCAUCCGUGUCGCCGGCUCCUUGAACUCCCCGGGGUCGUCUCCUUGGGCGGCUGGCGUAGGGAGGCUGCGGAAGGGGAAGAGGGCUGGCGACAAGGCCGUCAAAUCGGAGUACGAGGGCGUAGUGCCCUCGACAGCGUGCUGACGUCCUGCCGCCCCAUCUUCGAGCCCCGCUUCCAGCGCCGCCAUCACCGUCCGGCCUUCGGACGGCCCCCGGGAUGUUCUCUUGGUGUCUUCGCCUAGGCGCCUCUUUUGCCCUUUUCGCCUCCUUGACCUACAUCCUGAAGAGAGGGACAGGAAAGGGAUUACGGGCAUCUUAUCUUUUUAAUUUGUAAGCCUUCGGGCCCUAGUCGCAUCUAAAACUUGUAACCCUCUCUUUCAUGUUUUUCAUCCUCUAUGGACUGUACCUGAGUGUGAUGUUUUUUUAAUGAAAAAGGGAUGCUUGCCGGGUUAUUUGUCUCAUGGGUUGAACCCACGCCAAGGAGCAAAUCCUUGGUAUCCCUCGGACAGGCAUUUCAUCUCCCGCCAACAGGCCCUGCCGCCUUCCCACGUCGCUCGACCUUUCUCACGCCUUUGACGGAGGCGGGAACGAGGUGGGUGCGGCCUCCUCAUUUCAUCCCUUUGCUGCUGUGACUACGACCAAACUUGGCCCCGGGAACGAGCCCCAGGGCCUAGAGUUGAGGGAGCACGGCAGUUUUCGGGAAGAAACGCGGUUUCGCAUUCCCCAGUCCAUAAGAGGAUGCAUGAUGAGGGACGAAAGACUUAUCUGAUAUCGCAGCCCCCGGCAACUCUGGCUUGCCGUGGAUGAAUCUUGGUACUCGCAGCCCCCAGCAACACUGGCUUGCCGGGGCCCAGGUGCCGGCGCGCCCUUCUUCUCCUUUCCUUGUCGCUGUUAUUUCAGUUAUGAGAACAAUUUAGUCAGUGCCGCAAUAAGUUACUCUUGUAAUAUAACUUUAUUCUGGGCAAUGCUUGUUAUGUUACAUCCUUUAUUUGAUUCCAUUCCUUGUAUGUUUGUACCCUUACGCUUUUACGGAACUUGCCGGUGCAAACACGCUUGCCACGAGCGCUGAGUGCAAAACAUCAGCAGCCUUCUAGCGGUGUUGCCUCCGGCAAGAAACCUUGUCGGGGCUAGUCGCAGCACACUUUCAUUGUUGAGCGGACUCAAAACAAAGUAAGGGUGCAACUUAACCACGAGCCGGUUCCUCUGCGCACAGGUUUUCCAUACAAGGCAUGGUCGUUCAAGGAAUAUAACUUAAAAAUUUAAAACUGACUGUGCUUAAACUUCGGCAACUUAGCUUUUUUGUUGUUUGUGUCCNNNNNNNNNNNNNNNNNNNNNNNNNNNNNNNNNNNNNNNNNNNNNNNNNNNNNNNNNNNNNNNNNNNNNNNNNNNNNNNNNNNNNNNNNNNNNNNNNNNNNNNNNNNNNNNNNNNNNNNNNNNNNNNNNNNNNNNNNNNNNNNNNNNNNNNNNNNNNNNNNNNNNNNNNNNNNNNNNNNNNNNNNNNNNNNNNNNNNNNNNNNNNNNNNNNNNNNNNNNNNNNNNNNNNNNNNNNNNNNNNNNNNNNNNNNNNNNNNNNNNNNNNNNNNNNNNNNNNNNNNNNNNNNNNNNNNNNNNNNUGUGGGCGCAGGAAUCUUCUCUUUGAGAAAAAGGAAGAAGAGAAAAUAAAGUUAUGGAGCCUUAAGGCUUGUUAUUGCUUACCGGGGGCAAGUUCUGCACAAAGUGUCAGUGUAUACAUGCUAAAAAGAAAAAGGCAUGAAUUUUGACAAUAUGUACUAAACAUAUGAUCUUUAUUUAUGCACGGGAUCUGCGCCCGGCUUUGUACAAAGGGUUACAUGCAACAACGGCAAGGCUUGUACAAAAGGUGGUUGCCAGGACAGCAGGUUCCGGCAACCGCGCCUUAUGGGUAAAACUUACGAAGAUGAUCUAUGUUCUAGGAGUUGCUCACCGGAAUGCCAUCUUCGGUCUCAAGGCGGACAGCGCCAGGCCUAGUGACUCGCUUUACCCGAUAAGGGCCUUCCCACUUCGGCGUCAACUUGUUGGAAUUCUUGGCAGAUUGAACGCGCCGAAGAACAAGGUCACCUUCCUCGAAGCUUCUGGCAUUAACUUCGCGGCUAUGGUAGCGGCGCAAAGCUUGCUGGUAGCGAGCAGCUCGUACAGCAGCCUGAAGACGAUCCUCCUCGAGGAGCAGCGCGUCAUCUUGCCGCAGCUGCUCUUGCUCAAGCUCAUCAUAAGCGAGCACUCGAGGCGAUCCGUAUACGAGUUCUGUGGGGAGAACUGCCUCUGCUCCAUAGACAAGAGCAAAAGGUGUCUGGCCAGUGGCUCGAUUUGGCGUCGUCCUGAUCGACCAAAGAACCACCUGUAGCUCCUCGAUCCAAUUUCUUCCGCACUUGUGCAGCCUGUCGAAAGUUCUGGUCUUGAGCCCACGCAGCACUUCAGCGUUUGCCCUCUCCGCUUGACCGUUGCUUCUCGGGUGAGCAACAGAAGCGAAGCAGAUCUUGGCGCCAAGAUCUUGGACGUACUGCAUGAAGGUGCAGCUCGUGAAUUGUGUGUUGUUGUCGGUGAUGAUCCUAUUAGGGACUCCGGAACGGCAAACAAUUGACCUGAAGAACUUGACUGUUGACUGUGCUGUCACCUUCCUCACUGGCUCCACCUCCGGCCACUUCGUGAACUUGUCGAUGGCCACGUACAAGUACUCGAAGCCCCCGACAGCUCGGGGAAAAGGGCCAAGGAUAUCAAGCCCCCAGACUGAAAAUGGCCAGGAUAAAGGGAUUGUUUGGAGAGCUUGAGCUGGUUGAUGAAUCUGUUUGGAGUGGAACUGGCACGCUUCACACUUGGUUACUUGUGCAGUCGCAUCCUGGAGGGCUGUUGGCCAAAAGCAACCUUGCCGGAAGGCUUUACUGGCAAGUGCUCUUGCGCCAAUGUGGUGGCCACAUAUGCCUCCAUGUAUCUCCGCCAACAGCUCUUGUCCUUCUUCCCGGGAAAUGCACUUCAAUUUCACUCCGUUGAAUCUUCUUCUGUACAGUAUGUCAUCGACAAACUGAUACAUACUUGAUUGUCGGGCUACUUUCUCUGCUUCUUCUUGCUCUUCGGGAAGUUCUCCUGUUUGAAGGAAAUGGACGAUCUGCUGUGCCCAUGCCGGAGCUUGUGGCUCGACGACAAGGACUAAAGGCGCAAAUGCUGCUGCGGGAACAUCCGCUUCUACGGCAAGAAUAUGAGAUCCUGCCGGAGCGUGAUGCUCCCCGGCAAGCGUGCCGGGGCACAGCUUGUCGGGAGCGUCUGCUUCAACGAAACAAACCCUAGGGCUUGUCGGAGCAGACUGCUCCUCAGCACUUUCUAUGUUGAUCCUGGGGACCUUCUUGGCGGCGGCUUCGGGGAGCUCUGCCGGAAAGUAGUCGCCAGUAACCAACUUUCUCUUCUUGCUCUGUCCAGUUGAUGGUGUUACAGAUGGCUGAGUCAGCUUGAGCACAAAAAUACCUGGUUCCACAGGUAACUUGAGUGCGGUGCACUUUGACAGGCCGUCUGCAAUGUCAUUCUGAGCUCUUGGAACAUGUUCCAUCUGCAGGCCGUCAAAAUGCUCUUCCAGCUUCCUCACUUCAUCAAUGUAGGCCUCCAUCAGCGGACUCUGAUAAUCUGUGUUAACUUGGCGGACGACAAGCUGUGAGUCACCCCUGACAAUAAGCUUCUUGAUCCCAAGUUCUGUCGUGAUCCUGAGUCCGGCAAGCAGGCCCUCAUAUUCUGCAGUAUUGUUUGUUGCUUGCUCCUUGGGAAAGUGCAUUUGGAUCAUGUACUUGAGGUGCUCUCCGGUGGGUGCGACAAGUAACACACCCGCACCGGCGCCUUGCAGCGAGAAAGCACCAUCAAAGUACAUGAUCCAUUCCCUGUUUGCUUCCUUGACGGGGAUCCUCGUCUCCGGAGUUUCUUCAUCUGGUGUUGGCGUCCACUCCACUAUGAAUUCUGCCAAUGCUCGGCUCUGGAUAGUUGAAGUACUUUCAAACUUGAGGCCAAAGCUUGACAGUUCCAGUGCCCACUCGACAAUCCUGCCUGUUGCUUCUGGAUUUUGCAAUAUCCUCUUCAACGGAAAGCGAGUGACAACUGUGAUCUGAUGUGCUUGAAAAUAAUGGCGCAGCUUCCUCGAGGCCAUGAGAAGGCCGAAAAGCAACUUUUGCACUCCAGAGUAUCUUGAUCUAGCCACCUGCAGAAGGGAGCUGACAAAAUAAACUGGGUGCUGCACCAUCUUCUUUUGUUUCUCUGCCUGCGGCUGCACAGACUCAUCCUUGUCGGGACCAGAGCUUGACGGAGAAGCCCCCUGCUUGUCGCUGGACUCGCUUGCCGCGGCCGCUGGCUCAUCAUCUGCCUCCCUCUCUGCUACUAACGCAGCACUAACCACUUGAUUGGUUGCUGCUAGAUACAGCAGCAACUUCUCUUGCGGCUUAGGUGCGACAAGUACUGGAGUGGAGGAUAGGUAUCUCUUCAAGUCCUGUAGCGCAGCCUCCGCUUCUGGAGUCCAUUUCAUUGGACCUGCCUUUUUCAAAAUUUUGAAAAACGGCAGGGCGCGCUCAGCAGACUUAGAGAUGAACCUACUGAGAGCAGCAACGCAGCCGGCAAGCCUUCGCACAUCCUUGAGGCGCUUCGGGGCUUCAAUCUGCUCGAUGGCCUUGAUCUUGUCGGGGUUGGCUUCGAUCCCCCUCUGGGACACGAAGAACCCGAGAAGCUUGCCGGAAGGAACUCCAAACACGCACUUCUCAGGGUUCAACUUGAGAUUGAUCUUGCGCAGAUUUGCAAAAGUCUCAUCCAAAUCUUGGAUCAAAGUUUCUCUAUCUUUGCUCUUGACCACUAUAUCAUCCAUGUAUGCUUCUACAUUCCUGUGCAGCUGUGGCUCAAAAGCAUGACUGACUAGUCUUGCAAACGUUGAACCAGCAUUCUUUAGUCUGAAAGGCAUUCAUACAAAGCAGUACGUGCCACAUGGAGUAAUGAAUGCGGUGUUCUCUUCAUCCUCUUUUGCCAUGAAAAUCUGAUGGUAUCCUGAGUAUGCAUCAAGAAAUGAAAGCAGAUCACAUCCUGCCGUGGAGUCGACAAUCCGGUCAAUGCGCGGCAAGGGAAAUGGAUCUUUGGGACAAGCUUUAUUAACAUCCGUGAAGUCAAUACAAAGCCUCCACUUCCCAUUCACCUUGCGCACAAUUACUGGAUUGGCUAACCACGUUGGAUGGAGUACUCCUCGGACGAGGCCUGUUGCUUCCAACUUCUUGAUCUCUUCUGCUAUGAACUCUUGGCGUUCCGCCGCUUGCUUCUUGACUCUCUACUUGACGGGCCGCGCGUGAGGACAGACGGCAAGGUGGUGCUCAAUUACUUUCCUGGGAACACCGGGGAUGUCAGAUGGUUGCCAUGCAAACACAUUGACAUUCGCCCGCAGGAAAGCAACGAGCGCGCUUUCCUAUUUAGGGUCAAGCGUGGCACUGAUGGUGAAGGUACCACUAGUGCCGUCCUCCUUGGCGGCCACUUUCUUGGUAUCAGGUGUCGCUAUCUUUGCCCUCUUGCACUUGCCGGUGGAGCUCGAUGGUGCGUCCUCGACGGUAGCACAGCACUCCGAAGAGGUGCGCUUGCCGGAGUGGGCAUCAGAGCUACUCUUGCCGGACUUGGUCUUCUUCUUCUUCCCCCCGGGAGCUUCAGCGGCAAGUGGUUUGUGCUCUGCUGCGGCUGCUGCUUCCUGGUAGAUCUUGUCGGUGCAGAUAAGCGCAUCCUUCUUGUCGCCUUGGACAGAAAUGACGCUUAUCGGACCGGGCAUCUUGACCACGUUGUAAGCAUAAUGAGAGGCUGCCAUGAACUUGGAAAGCGCUGGACGGCCGAGUAUCCCAUUGUAGGGCAACGGGAAAUCAGCAACAUCAAAUGUGACUCUCUCUGUCCUGAAGUUCAGUUUGCUGCCAAAUGUCACUGGUAGUGUAAUCUUCCCCUUGGGCUUGCUCCUUCCCGGGUUGAUUCCUUGAAAGGUACCAGUUUCUUCGAGCUCGCUGUCGGGGAUCUGGAGCUUGUUGAGCACCGCGGAAGAGAUCAGAUUUAGGCCGGCCCCACCGUCAACCAACAUCUUCGUGACCUUGAGGUUGCGGAUGGUUGGCGAAACCAACAUCGGCAAGCACCCGACCGCAGUGAUGCGAUCAGGGUGAUCCUCAACAUCAAAGACGAUGGGCGUACUGGACCACUUCAGGGGCUUGCGCGAUUCGACUGAUGGUUCAGCUGCAUUUACCUCCCGCACCCACUGCUUGAGUUGGCGGUGCGAGGUGUGCAGAGAAGCACCGCCGUCAACGCACAAAACCUCUGUUGCCUUCUGAAACUCUUGCUCGUCGGUCUCAUCCUCGUCCAUCUCAUCAUCCUCAUCUUCAUCUUCGUCCUUGUCACGGCCACGGGGAGGUCUGUCUCCUUGCCGCUGCUUGGCCUUGCCGCGGCGCCCUCCCCGGGCGGGACGCUUCUUGCCGGAUCCUCCGCCACCUUCCUGGGCCUUCUCCUUGUCGCGACGCUCGUAUUCAGCUUUCUGUAGUUCUGCCAUUUGCUCAACCUUCUUGCAUGCUUGGAGGUCAUGGCCCUUGGUGCGAUGGAUCUUGCAGUACUGCUUGCCGGAACAAUCCUGCUUGUCGGCGGCCACCACAGCCUCGCCGGAGUCACCAGCUUUGGCCUUGUCGGCGCCGCCUCCGUUGCCGGACUGCUCAACAACUAGCACAUCCUUAGCCUUUCUCUUUCUAUUAUUCCGCCUCCGGUUCUUCUUUGCCGGAGGGACGUCCUCAUUGUCCGAUCCUUCUGCUCCUGCAUUCUCUCCGGGAAGUUUCCUCCCCUCUUCAGCUCGUGCACACUUGUCAGCCAGAGCAUAUAGCUCGCUGACAUCUCUAAUCUUGCACAUCGCCAUCUCCUCCCUCAUCCUGCGGUUACGCACGUUCUGAUGGAAUGCGCUGAUAACCGCGGCAGGGUGGACGUCUGGGAUGUUGCGCUGCACCUGGCUGAAUCUCUGUAUGUACUUGCGCAGGGGUUCUCCUUCUUUCUGGGCGAGCAGAUGAAGAUUGCUCUCCUGACCAUGGGGUUUGUGGCCGCCUGUGAAGGCGCCGACAAACUGAUGGCACAGGUCCGCCCACGAAGAGAUGGAGUUGUCCGGCAAGUGCAUGAGCCAAGAUCUGACGUUGGGCUUGAGCACCAGCGGGAAGUAGUUGGCGAGGAUCUUCUCGUCGCGCCCCCCGGCAGCCUGCACCGCGAUGGUGUAGACGCUGAGGAACUCUGAUGGAUGUAUCCUGCCAUCGUACUUCUCGGGUAUGUCCGGCUUGAAGUUCUUGGUACUGGGCCACUGGACUUGCCGCAGCUCACGGGUGAACGCAGGGUAACCUGCCGCGUACGGCAAGUCGCCUGGUUCCCCUGGCGCAUGCAUAUCGACAGUGGGCCCAGCGCACUGGUCAGAUUAAUGUCGCGCUUCUCUUCUGCGCUCGAUGCGAGUACGAGCGUCUCUGUGUCGUCGUUCUUGGAGAACUUGGCGUUGAUCGCGGCGAGCUCGCGGGUCCGACGACGCGGUGGAGUCGGUGUCGAGGUUGGAACGGCGAGUUGGCGAUCAUGGCCUUCGGGGCGGGGAGUGCACGGUGGUGGCACCCCCAGCGGUCUUGUCGGUGUCGGCUUGCGCCCGGGCGUCUUGCCGGGGCUUUCGAUGUGCUCGGUUGCCGGGGCUUGUCGCCGUUGGCGAAGCCGAUGAGGCUUUGGAUGGUGAUCCUCCAGUCGUCGAUCUUGUCUGGCGCUGGAGGGUAAUCUAGAAGCAGCUGGGCUCGGGCCAGCGCUUCCUCUGGAGUCUUGGGCGGCGGUGGCGAGCGACGCGAGGUGCGGGAUAUGCUCAAACUUCUAACAGUGUUAGAAGGAGCAACAUCUCGCCCAGGCGACCGUACUUCGCUCGUGCCAGCGUGUUGACGUGUAUGUUGGCCUUGAGCGUCCCGCGAUCCGCCGGCUUGGCCUUGUUCCAACACGAGCACGGUGCUAGGAGUACCGUGGCAUUGCCGAUCUUGCACCUCCUGGGAGGGGUACGGUGGAUGUACAGACGCUGAAGCUUGCGGGGCCUUGUCCUCGGACCUGGUGACGAUGUGAGUCCCCCCGUCGGCGCCCGCUCCUCCGCCGGCGUCCACCCCACCACCCGUUUGCUCCGGUGGCGGUAGGAUAGUCGCAAACGGAGUGGCCACCUCCGAAGCCUUCUUCUUCGGUGGCAUGUCGAUGAAGAUGUUGAUGUAGCGCGCAGAUGCCGGAUCAGGUACGCACAACCUCGACGCCCACCUACCUGGCGCGCCAAAGAUGUCGUGGGAAACGAACACCUAUGGGGCAGGGCCCCUUUUCGGUCCAGCAAGGGAGCGGAGGGCGCACGAAGAGCAGAUCGAGGCGGAGCACGCGGGGGAAUUUUACCCAGCUUCGGAGCUCUCCGGAGAGAUAAAACUCCUACUGCUGCUUUGUGUUUCUAUUCUGUUCUUGCUCAAGAGCGUGGGUGUGUUGUAGUUUUGAAUGUGUCGAACCCCUUCUACGUGUGCAUGGGCCUCCUUUUUAUAGUCUAAAGGGGUCAGCGACAGGUGGCAGCGUAGAGAGAGGGGUAAAAAAGUAAAAACGCGGGUUGGUACAACCGCUAUCAACAGUGGCCCCUACCUAACUCUGACGGCAGGGGACAAGGGCAUUUAAUGCCCGUCCGGUCGCCCAAACAGUGCAGGAAGCGACCGUUAGGGGCGCCACCGAUCGCCAUGAUGGCCUCCUAGUCAUCUUCACUUGCCACCUCGCACCGCUUGGCUGCACAGCUACCCGCCACGUGCACCGGGAGCGAUCCUGCGGCGACACGUCGUCGGAUGCGCUGGAGCGUGGGCGCAGAGUUGUGGCUUCGCUGUAGCAAGCGCCUUGCCGCGGUCACUAUCUUGUCGCACCCGCAAGCUUGCCGCUCGCCGGGUCUUGGUUGGCCUUCCCGGCAAGCUCCUCUUGCCGGGGUCUUGUCCUUCCCGGCAAGCUUCUCUUGUCGGGGCUUCGUCUUCACAGUUAACACUUUGUUCUUGAAUGGCAGUAAAUAGGAAUGACGAAGGAUCUUGGCGGACGCCCGGCAAGCCUUGCCGCAGGACGCUGCGACUGCCCGUGCACAAGUUCGGGGUACUAAGGUACCCCUACUUUAGUACACCGACACCUCCAAACUUUAUGUGGCACUGCAAAAUAUUUGUGGCUCUGUCUAAGAUUGCCAAGGAAUUAAAAGGGGAACUUAACAUAUUUUUCCUAAGUAAAUAGUGUGCCCAAAAUAUUCUCUUAACCAUCUCUGUUUUUUUUAAUAAAAAAAGGCGAAUAAGAACUCGCCCGGGCCUCGGCCUACUCCCACUUACCAGCCCACCUAAGCCGGCCCACUCCCCCGCUCCCAUGGCCUAUAGGCCAUGCUCAACCGAACCCUAACCCCGCACGAUCCCCCCACUCCCCACUUCUCUCCCCUCCCGAUCCAAUCUGGAUCGGACCGAAACUGGCGCCCCGACGCCAACCGCCGUCGCUGGAGGCAUCCCCGACUCCACGCUGGGCCACCCCAUCACCUGACCUCCUCCCCGUCGUCGCUCGUCACUCGCUGGACCGCCUCGUCCCCACCAACGCCGCCCCGAGCCCAACGUCCCUGUCGUCGUCGCCGUCGGCAUCGCCCCGAUGUCGCCACCACCCGACGCCGGCGCCCUCGACAUCGCCACCCCGAGCCCACUGCCACCCCUACGCUCCACUGUGAGCCCCUCGCCGAUUCCCCCUCCUUCCUGUCAUCGUAGGUGGCCGCAUGCGCUGUUGGCCACCGUGGCCGCGCUCCGGCCGUUCCCCAUCCGUGUGCUAGCCUCGCCUUCCCCGGCUGCGGCCACCAGCCUCCUCGUCGCGCUCCCGCCUUCGCCCACACCUGCCCCUGUACGCCCAGCCGCUGCUGCUCGCCGGAUCCGCAUGUUCGCCCCCUAGCUUCGUCUCCGGCCGUCGAGUCCGCACCCGAUGCCGGCGCCCCAGCGCGUCCAUGCGCCCGUACGGGCGGGCGCCCACGCCCAUGCCCCUCCGCCCGUUAGCCCGCCCCGCUAAGGCCUGGGCACCUAACCAAGGGGCCCCACGCCCCUGUGUAAUAAAAAAGAUUUAAAAAAAAUAAAUAUAAAUAUAAUUAGUUAAUUAGUUAAUUAAUUGUAUAGUUAAUUAACUAACUUAAUUAACCUUGCUUAGUUAGCCUAAUGAACUAGUUUAGUUAAUUUAAAUCUGUUAGAUAGGUCUAUGAGAGAACGACCCCACAUGUCAGUUUAACCAGUCAACACUCUUUUGACUGCUGACAUCAUGAUGACGUCAGGCUGACAUCAUAAUUCCAAUUUUGAAUUAAUAAUAAUUUCAGAAUAUUAUUAAAACUUUGAAAAAUCAUAGAAAAUAAACCGUAUCUCGGAUGGAAGUUGCUUGGAACGACGAGACAAAUCCGAAUGCGCAGUUCGUUCAUCUGUCACGCGUCCCUAGCAUAGCAAACGUUGAACUUUUCCCCUCCGGUUCAUCUGUCUGAUAGACGUCCGGAACCGGGAAAACUUUCCCGGAUGUUUCCCCCUUCGCCAGUAUCACCUAGCACCUCGUUAGAACACUUCUAGCCCCGCUUAUUGUCUUGUUAUGCAUAUGUUUGCGUGUAUUUACUGUUUCUUCCCCCUCUUCUUCUCCGGUAGACCUCGAGACCGCUGAUGAUGCCCCUGUGAUCGACUACGUCGACGACGACCCUCCUUGUUUGAGCAACCAGGCAAGCCCACCCUUUGAUCAUCCCGAUAUCGCCCAUUCCAUUCUCUCAUGCUUGCACUAGAUUUUGCUACUGUAUUUGACUGCUCCUAUUCUGAUGCAUAGCCUGCUUUUGUACCUGCUAUUGUAACUUACCUGCUUAUCCUAAAUUUCUUAGUACAGGUUGGCUAGUGAUCCAUCAGUGACCCCCACCUUGUCUUUGUUGCCCCUGCUUCAUCAUCGACGACUCGAUCAACGUGAUCGACGACCGGAGCCUGACACCUCACAUCACAUCACGCCCCUUUUUCUUGCUCGACUCUGCAGAGUUACCAUCGAGUGCCGAGGGUGGAACCUCAUACAUCGCUCCUGAUGAGAUCUCUGUAGUGUAGCUAUUCGGUCGUGGUCAUCGAGGGUGGUUCCUCCUUCACCAUUCCUAAUACGGCUCUGUCGUGCAACACCUCAAGUGUGAACCUCGAGGGUGGUUCCUCUUACGUUCACCUUGAUGAUUACAUCAACUGGAAUCCACCGGGGGUGAUUCCUCGGAUUUUCCCCUUGAUGUCUGGACACAUAGUUACCUUGAUACUUGAGACCGUUGUGAAAGCCGGGCGAGCCCGGAGAGCACCCGUGCGAUGUGACGGUGGCGGCUGGCUGUUUAGCGGUAUCACCCGGGAGGGGUGAUAGCUCCGGACUUGUCCCGACAUCCGUCACUUCUUUUAAUAAUGCACUAACACGUUUGUGUAUUUGUUCUGAGUUGGCCUCUGGCCUUUACGCACUAACCACCACGCGAGAAUAGUUAUGGGCCUCGACGUUGCAGUAUCUUUCGAAGCUUUGUCAGACGUCCAGUUCAGCAUUGUGGCCGGGCCGGAUCGUGCCAUCCACUUCACCGGUGGUGCUGGUAUCCCCUUGUGCACAACGACCCGGAGUGCAAUGGGCGAUGGGCCCAGACCCCGGAGUGCUUAGGAUGUAGACCGGCGGGGACCUCUCUACUGAGCCUAGGUAGGGCUGCGACGUGUUGAUCUUCCGAGGCUGGGCAUUGACCCCAGAAAGGUGUGUCCGGCCAGAGUGAUCGAGCGUGUUGGGUAACGUGGUGCGCCCCUGCAGGGAAGAUUAUCUAUUAAUAGCCGUGUCCAUGGUAACGUACCUUCAGACUUAUAUCUUGAUCUUAUACAACUACAAAUGGAUACUUGAGAUAUGUGGCUCCGGGAUUGCUUUCUCGCAGGGAGUCGAGGAAGGAUCUCUGGGCGUUGUUGUUAAAACAUGCUUGUUAAUUAAACUGCUAUUCUUUACUCUUCUACAUGCUGCAAGAUGCUUGGAGCUGCUUGAAGAUGCUAGUCUUUGUUUGGCUAGGCCUUCCCCUCUAUUCUGGCAUUCUGCAAUUCAGUCCACAGAUACAACCCUUCCAUUUGAUACCAAUGCAUACUUAGUAUAGAUCUGAUGCUUGCGAGUACUUUGGAUGUGUACUCGCGGUUGCUUUGCUACCCCUUUUCCCCCUUCUUUCUUCUUUCCGGUUGACGCAACCAUAUGGUGGAUCCUUGGAGCCAGAUGCCACCGCCGAUGGAUGCUAGUACGUGAAGAUCGCCGACGACCAGGAGUAGUUAGGAGGUCCUAGGCAGGAGGCCUUGCCUCUUCGAUCGUUGUUGCUUUUGUGCUAGCCUUCUUAAGGCAUCCUUAUUUAACUUAUGUCUGUACUCAGCUAUUGUUGCUUCCGCUAACUCUUGUGUAUCGAGCUAUGUAUUCGAGCUCUCGAGGCCCCUGGCUUGUAAUAUAAAGCUUGUAUUAUUUUGAUUUGUGUCUAGAGUUGUGUUGUGAUAUCUUCCCGUGAGUCCCUGAUCUUGAUCGUACAUAUUGGCGUGCAUGAUUAGUGUACGAUUGAAUCAGGGGCGUCACACAAGCGGUACUACUGCCCCACCCAGUUUCAGCAUUUCGAGUUUCACCGUUUUGCCCAUAACUUCCACAUCCGGAGUCCGAUUUUUGCAUUUUUUAGCUCGUUGAGUAGCUAUUGACAUCCCCCAUCCAUCUAUAUAGGUUCCAACACCAUUUGACUCCAUCAAAUUUUCCAAAAUUUGGAAAGUUUGCCUAGGCCGUCCACCAUAUCAUCUGCAUAGCCACCACCGACCACCGCAACCUAACCCAUUUUGUUCCCCUUAGCAUUUGAGGUUGUUUGAGUUGUGGCUUGUGUCUCCUAAGGUGUUUCGGCUACUUAGGGAUGGUAACUUCAACUCCAACACGUGUAUAGCCCAUCAUUCCACUUCCGCAUUGCCGAGUGCAAACCACCACCUCUUUCCACUACCACCAUUUGACAUUUACCUUUGUAGAUUUUGAGUUUGCGAUUUUUCCGUUUCCUAGGGUGUUUUGGCUAACUAGGAAUGGGUCGACAUCAGCAACAUCGCCUCUCAUCAUCGCCAAGGACGGUAACCUCGAUGACACCAUUGUAUAUUCCCUUGCCAUUGCAUUGAUAACCCCUAGCCCAUUUUGCGUCACUUGCCUAUCGAGACUAGCCGUUUGAGUAUUGCCGGCAACGUGACUUGUGCACAUUAGUGAUCAUACUUCCCAUAGCAUCAUACCAUAUCAUCGUGGUGCAUAUAUUGGUAGCAUAUCUUGCGUCACAAGUUUGUUGCCGCAUAUACACAAUUGCUAUCUUGGUUUGUGCAUUAUGCAGAAGUGGCCAUACAAAAAAGAGAAAUAAAGCUUUUAAGCAAAAGAAAGAGAGAAAAGAAGCUUGUAAGCAAGUGCCAUAGCAUCAUACCAUAUUGCACAUAAGAUUGUCAUAUCCGAUCAUCUUGGAUCAUCUUGAGAGAACAUCGGGAACCAUACAUACAUAGCAUACUUGGGAUAGAAAGUAUAUCCAUUUGGCAUCUUGUAGGUUGUGCACAAGUGUCCUAUCCGCCUAUUGAGCAAUCGUGCUAGCGUCUCUCUUGAGUUGUGCAACACGAGCGUUUUCUGUGGAUUCCACAUUUUGUGCUCAUUGCUUGGUUGCACGACCCCAUUUAUCUAUCCGUGUGUGUGUUUCCGUGUGUCAUUCUUUGCUAUUGGUCUACUUGUUUCACUUGCAAAUUUGUGAAUCUCUUUCAACAUUAUUGACUCUUGCUAACAUUUUGCAUCAAAUUUUUGUGCCACUAUCCUCACCGAGCUCCACCAUAAGCUUUACUUGAUAGGUGUGAGUGAACAAGUCCGGUACCAAUUCCACUAUUCUUUCAUUUCACAUUGAGUUAAACGGGAUACAUCCUCAACUUUGGGAAAGGUAACUUCCUAUUGUUUAUCUCAUUUCCUACUGGCAUUUCACCUUCGGUCUACAACAACAACGACGAGUUCGAUGCCACGAACAACUCCAACGACGCCAAGAUGCAAGCUCAAAUGGAGGAGAUCAAAGCCCUCAUCAAGUCCUACAAGCAAUCUUCCUCAUCUUCGAGAAGACACUCACGUGCACAUGUUUCCGAGCUACCAUCUCCGGUAAGAUCACAUCAGCAUCGACACCAUCACCAACAAGAACGUGAAGGUCAAGAGCUCAACACCAACUACCGCUCAACGACUUCACCAUCUCCCUUGGCAUCUUCGCCAAGCGACUUCAAGGCAUCUUUGAGUACGGAUAUACGGCAUCUUCGCCAACAAGAACCUCAAGGCUACGCUCAAGAGAAGCUCCCCAAGCUCAAGUCCACGACUUCCAUGAGCUACUACGACCUCGACACCGACCACAAGAUUCCUUUCUAUGGAACUCAAGAACCCGAGGAGUACCUCGAGUGGGAGCGUUUGAUGGACGACUACCUCAAGCUACAUCAAGUCCCUUCCGAAGAUCAAGUGAAGUGCGCCACAAGAAACUUCCACGACUACGCCUCGACAUGGUGGCUUCACACACCUUCGGAGAGCUACGAGAUGAGUUAGCCCAAGACGAAGAGAGCUUUGCAGCGAGAGCUCGUGCCUCCAACCUACAUGGAACAACUUCGACGCCAAUUGGAGAACACCAUCCAAGGAUCCAAGUCCAUCGACGCGUACUUCAAGGAGAUGAAGAAUGCCUUGCGACGAGACGGCGUGGAUGACCCCAUUUCGAUGAAGUUCCACUUCAUGAUGCGAUUGAACAACGACAUCUCCAAGACUAUCUUCCUCGAGAACUACAAGUCCCUGGACAACUACUACAUUGGUGCUCUCAAGGCGGAACAAGAACUCAUGAAAGCCAAGGCUUCUCCACCCCAAGCACACUUCGCGGCGACCAAGCUGUACGACAAGCAUGAGGCUAGUACCACCAUGAUGUCCAAGCCCGACGAGCUCCAAGACAAUGCUCCCAAGUUCGACUUCACCGCCAUCCCUCUUUGUGGCAUUGAUGACGCCGAGUCUACCUUGACUCUUUUUCAAGACGGUGCGGCGACGAGUACGACUACGGAGACCUUCAAGGACCAAGCUUUGGAGGCGAGCGACAAGGUGGCGAGCAAGGAUGGUGUUUCCAUCUUUGGAGGCGAGAGUGAUGAUGUGCCAUCUUCGUCCUUCAUCCACGGCGACGAUGACGAGAUGAUCGAGCAUGGGAUUUUCCCUUCGGUCAUGGAGGAGAGUGAUGAUGUGCCAUCUUCGGCCUUCAUCCACGGAGACGACGACGAGAUGGUUGAGCAUGGGAUUCUCCCUUCGACCACGGUGACGUAUGAUGACUUGAGUGACUUUUGCCACCAUAUUGAGAGUGAGAGUGACUUCACCACUAGCCCCAUAUAUGACGAGUUGCCCCAAUUCCUAUGUGAGGAGAGCCACAACCCCCACCACUUGAGUGAGAUGAGUGACUCCACCAUAUGCGACUUUGAGUGCACCUAUUUUGAGGGAGUGAGUGAACCACCACAUAGAGAGAGUGUGAUAGUUGAUAGGUCUCGUGAGGCCAUUUGCAUUUCUAACAACUUGACCUCUACCUCUAUUGUGUCUUCUCAUUUGGUGCUAGGUCCCAUUUAUGAUGACGCGCCGAUCCUCGACGACUUCGUCCUCCCUUUGGACAAGACGAUGGCCAUGGUGGAAUAUGAUGCACCCCCCACAUGGUUCCAUCAAGAUGAAGAUGACCACCAUUUGGUCUUUCCCACCUCACCUACACCACUUGAGUGGAAUGAAAAAGGUAACAUAGGUGAAGGUGAUGCUCUAGUCCCACUAGUGGACAUUCUUGACAUUGAUUGCUUGCAUGAUGUUGAUCCACCUAGUACCAUGCUUCAUGCUAGUAUGAUUUCCCCAUGUGAUGAUUUGGCCAUUUAUGAUGAGUAUGAUGAUUCUCAUGUGGAGUCUCUUAGUUGUGAUGUCAUGUUACAUAGGAUUUCUUGUGACAAUUCUUUAGGUCACAUCAUGUUUGAUAAUCCGCUUGACUUGUCGUAUGCUAUGCAUGACAUUCACCAUAUGUCAUAUUUGCAAUCUCAUUGUAGUGACUAUGCAUAUGCCAUUCAAAUUAACCCAAUUUGCACUUAUGGCAUAGAUGACAAGCCCAUGGUUAUUGGGAUUUGUUUUUCUUGUGAUGAUAUUGAUAUGGUCCCUUUGCAUCAUUUAUCUCAUAUGCCAUGUCAUGCCCACCUAGCUUCGGAUAUGCAUUGUUUUGGAUGUUGUCCAUUUUCUCCAUAUGAUGUUUCCAAUCUUGCUCAUGAGGAGACCCCCAUAGUUCCCUCAUACAUGUUAGGAGAUUUUGAUCCAUCCCAUCCAUUGCAUGAUCCCAACAAUUGUGUGCACCAUAUGCUCCCCAUGAAUAAACAUGCUAUUGAUGUGCCAUAUACUUGCAUUCUCAAUUUGUGUCCCCAUCGUGUCAUACAUAAUAACUAUUCUUUCAUGAUGGAUGACAUGUUCUUAUACCAUGCAUCAAAUUUCGUUGAGCGAUGCUUAUCUUGUGCUAACUCACACGUGCACAUACACAUCAUGAUGGAUGAUGUGUACAUUUACCACACACACAAUUUAUUUGGUUUGUGUCUCUUUUGUGUAGGUACCCAGGAAUACUUGUCAACCUCGCAAUCCCACGAGUUGACAAAACGAGCUCUAGAGAGCAACGAUGAUUUGGGAUCCCAUGGAUUGUCUUUCCCACCGCUCUCUUCGCGCAAAGACUUAGCGCAUUUCUUCUACAUGGCCCUCACUUGGCUAUGGGUUGUUUUCCAUUACAUAUUAUAUGCCCAUCUUGCCAUGUUCACUUUGCAUGAUAUGCCCAUUCCCAUGCAUUUGUGACCCAUACUUUGCUUUACACAUGAUGAUUGACUCUCAUACUUUUAUGUGUAUUUGCAAGCUUGGUGGAGAUAUUGCUUGUUGUUUCCCUAUUCCAUUUUUGACCCACCCCUAUGAUGAUACUAUGAUCUUGCUUUGUGUUCGUGCUUGUGAUAUGUCAUGUGCAUUGUCUAUCCCUAUUAUUUGCUCACAUGACAUGAUUGCCAUGAUUUACUCUGGUGUGUUGCAUCUUCGCUCCACUAGUUUGCACCACAUGAUUGAUAUGCUUGCUUGUAUUGCAUCCCCCAUGAUUCAUACUUGCUCAUUUCAUGCGAUUGAUGACAACCAUUUCCAUACUUUGCACGUGAUUGCUAUAGCUUCUUGUCACAUAUCUACAUAUGUUGCCUCUCUCAUGCUAGAUCACUUGCCAUGUAUUUAGUGCAACAAUGCUCUUAUUCUUGCUCAUGAGAUUGCCCCCAUAGCAUUCUCACAUAUGAUUGGAGUUGACAUAAUUCUUGUGAAGCAUGCUUGCCUUCCUUCUUUGCACCAUAUGCCUAGUGCCAUGAAUAUUGCCAUUGUUGCAUCAUAUUGUUCAUGCACUUGUGCUACUAAAGGUUAUGUGCAAGAGAUGAGAACCAUCAUGAUGGAUGAUGUGUUUCUCUACCAUGCGCAUAUACUCUUUGUUUUGUUGUGUGCAUGUGUAGGAUACUUGGACUUCGUCUCGACUUCCACUUCAUGUGAGUUGACCAUUCAAGCUCUUAAGAGCGAGCCUCACACAUUCUACCACUACUCGCUUCUACACCGCAUUUGCUUGCGCUUCGGCAUUGUGAAGAAUGCACAAGGACAUGCCUUCAAGGUGACAUCUUUCUUGAGCAUGGAUAUUGCGGAUCAUACUACUUGUGUAGCUUGCACUGUGAGACUUAUUGGUCAUCUUGGACCACUUGAUUGCGCACUUGCUAGAGAUCUUGCUUUGACUUGCCAUUUUCACAUUCCCAUGCAUCAUGAUAUAUAUGCCUUGUGUGUUGCAUCCAAUUCUUGGAUUACUAUCACAACCUAGCUAGUCCAUGCAUUAGAGUGUUGCAUCAUGUCUACCUUUUAUCAGAAACUUGAAUUGGGGAAGACAGAACCCCCCAGAACCCCUCUGAAUUCAACUAGUGCUUACUAAAAAUAUUUUCAAUGAACCUGAAAUGCCCUUCUAAAAAGUUCACCCUCUUUGUCUUGGGUUAGAACCUCUGGCAAAAUUGGUGCACAAUUUUCUAGGUCAACAAAAGGCCAUUGAAUUAAAUCAUAUCUACUUUGAGUUUGGGCAUUUAAACUAUAUAAAAUAUUUCAAAUGCUCAAAUAACUCCAAACUAAAAUGUUCCAUACUGGAUAUAUUCCAACUAGGGACCAUGUGCAGUUUGGUGAUUUUUGGAGUUGCCUAAGUAUUUUUAGAAAUGCAACAAACUUACAGAAACAAUUAAAAACAGAAACAAAUGGGAAAAACCCUUACCUGGCCGAACCAAGCCCCAGCCCAGCUGGCCGGCCCAGCACUGUGCUGGCCCAUGCCAGCCAGCUGCUUCGCCGUCGCCACGCAGGCACAGAGCUGACGCCGGCAAGCGUGAGCUCGCAACGGCGCCAGCUGCUUGCCGCCCGCGCCCCCGAGCACCUGGGUGAGCUCCACGUCGCCGCCCCGACCCCGUGGACACCUCAUUCGCCCCCUGCCUCUCUCCCUCGCUCUCCCGCACCAUGGCCGACGCACCCGCCGCCGCACCCCCGACGUAGUCGCGCCCUCCGUCGUCCUCGUGCUGCACCACCGUGUCCCUUCGCUCCGCCGUCAUCGACUACAUCGAGUAGGCCGAGCCCCGAGCGCUCGCUGGCCCUGUUUCAUCUUCUUCGAGCUCGUCUUCACCGAGCACCGCCACAGAUCCCCUUCGCCGUCGCCGCCGUACCAGCUCGUCCCCGACCUUGCCGACCACUCCGUUGUGACCGCCGUGAGCUCAGCCACCUCCCCAUCCUCCCCGUUUGCCUUCUCGUGCACCGUAGCAACCGCAUGGAGCUUCAUCGCACGCACCACCGACGAGCUCGUCGCCGACGUGCCUCCGGCCAUCCACCGUCCACACCACGGUGUCUAACAUGCUCACCGCAUCGUGUAGAGUCUAACGCCCCACUCCACGCGCCUCGCCGUGCCCCGUAGCCAUGGGUCCAUUUUCAUCCGACUCCGGCGACCGCCGUGGUCGUCGCCGGCGACGUUCCUGGCCACCUCGACCUCAACCACCACCACCAAACGCCGCGACUUGUUCCCGGCUACACGUAGAUGGUCUCCGUCGUCCAUUUGGUCGCCAGAACAUGCUAACCCACUUCCUCCGCCGCGUCUGGCCUCGCCGGCGGCUAGACACCGGCAUGUUUGACCCGUUGACAUUCACUGGGUGGGCCAGGUUGACUCCCCUGAGUCUAUGACAAGUGCCCCCCCCUCUGCUAAUUAACCUAGUUUAGCUCUUACUAAAAUCAGUUAGUUUAAAUAAGUGCUGACAUGCGGGACCCACUGGUCAGUUUGACCUGAACGACCCCUUUGACCACUGACGUCACCCUGAUGCACUGCUGACGCAAUAACCAAUUUCUGGAUUUAUUGUUAUAUAGGAAAUUCCAGAAAUUGUUGCAAACUUCAAAAAUUCAUAGAAAUUAAUCUGUAACUCCAAAUGCAAAGAUUUAUAUAUGAAUUUUGAUCAGAAAAAUUCAAUCUAUCCAUUGGUAAUGGUUUCAUGCAUGUCAGAACAAGUUAACCUUGCUGUUUAAUCAAAACAAGUUAAUGCACUAAUAUGACUAUGUUAAAUGAACUACCAUUUGCAUCUUUGAUUCAAAUGAGUUCAUACCUUUCUGUUCUAGCUUGCAUUAGGCCAGGACACAUUCAUGUUGCCAUGUCAUAGCAUGCAUCAUAUUGUUGUAUAUCGUCAUGUGUUGUUCAUGUUCGGUGUGUUUUCGUGAUAGGUUCUGCCUCCGAGGAUAACCCCGAAUAUCCGUCUGAAGGGCUGUAUCCUACUACCACUACAUCAGGCAAGCAACCCAUUGAUCAUUCCGAUACAAACCCAUGUUCUUGCCUCUGCUCUUGUUUACUGCAUUAAGACAAUGCGAUUCAAACUUUUGUGUGUUGUGGUAGUUGAACCCACUUCCUUUGCAUGACCUGUCAUUGCCACAGUAACUAGAUGAAACUCAGUAGCAUGUGUAGGAGUUGAUUGAGCCAUAUCUGUGUUACCUACCAUGCUAUGCUUGCUAUGCUUAGAGUUGUGUCAGGUCUGGCUCAUUGGGAUGAUGAACUAGAGUGAAAGGUUGUGUCGGUAAUGAAGUGUUGAACACGAUUUGGUAAAGGUAUCGAUGAGAGGCCAUGUAGGAGUACAUGGUGGGUUGUUUCAUUGAGGCCGUCCUUAAGCACUGAGAUCUGUGUGUGUGAUUUAAGAUUCAGCUACUACCACGCAUUGGGCCCGAAACCAAUGGACCCUCUCGACUUAUUAACCACUCUUGUCCUCUGUCCGGGAGUUGCAAGUAGUUUUUGGUGUUUGUAGCAUGAUGGGGGCCGCACGCAGUGCUGACCUUAGGGGUGGGUUGGGUUGCGGUAGGCAUGUGGCACGGUGUAUCGAUUCGCCCGUUUGGUGUCUCGGGAACCAUGUUCACAUCAUUCGGGGCCGUUAGUGGAAACCUCGGCCGGACUCCCUGCGGAUGGAACCCGAAUAGGCGAUAAACCUGGACUAGGGACUCGUGUGUUUAGUCAGGCCGUGGCCGACACCCUCGCUGGGCUUCCGCUUGAGGCUUGCCGAGUACACGUCAUGUAGCGGUGAUAAGUGGUGAGAGCGUGUGUGAAGAAGUACACCCCUGCAGGGUAUAAAACUAUUCGAAUAGCCGCGUCCGCGGUAAAGGACUACUUGGUCACCUAUGCAGUUCAUAGACAAGUAAAUGGAUACUUCUAAAAGCCUCAAGUUAAGUGUGAGUACCGAGGAUGGCCCUCUCGUAGGUUGACAAGAGAGGAUCCUCGGUGGAGUAUUGUGUUGGUGAGUAGUGGACUCGUGUGCGACAAAUGUUUUGCAAGUUGUGUCUAUCGUAGAAUAGCUUAGCCAAGAGUCAAAGCUGGCUUGCUGCAAUAACUCCACUACCUUCUUGAGAAUGUGCAUGUAUGAUAGGAUUCUGUUGUAAGACUUGCUGAGUACCUCUGUACUCAUGUUUGCUUAAAUGUUUUCAGACGACAACACCAACCCCUCCGAUGGGUUCUACGUAGACCUCGACGUUGACGAGUGACUAACCACCCAAGUGGUGAUCCGAGACUUGUGAAGGGCCGAUGUAGAUAGAAAGGCUUCGUCAAGCCCUCUUUCUUUCUAGUGUCUGUACUCAGACUAGUUGCUUCCGCAUGUGCUUGUAUGCUUGUAUGACUUGAGUCUCAGGUCAUGUGACCCCUAUCUGUAUGAACAUGUUAUGUAUGGCUCCUUGGAGCCACUUAAAUAAAGUACUUUGAGUUGUAGAGUUUUGUUGUGAUGCCAUGUUGUAUGUACUCAUAUCGGGCAUAUUGUGUGUAUGUUUGAAAUGCUUGGUAUGAGUGGGAUCCGACAAUCUAGUUGUUUAUCCUUGGCAGCCUCUCAUAUGGGGAAAUGUAGUCUAGUGCUUCCUGAGCGAUAGUAGUCCGCUACAGCCCGGUUCACCGGAGUCCUGCUAGCCCAGUACUACAGCUCUGGACACUUGACUGGACAGCAUGUGUUUCACUUCGUUCCUGUGUCUGUCCCUUUGCGGAAAUGUCACGCGGUGGCAUUCGGAGUCCUGCCUAGCCUGCUACAGCCCGGGUUACUGUUGGGAAACGUAGUAAUUUCAAAAUUUUCCUACGCACACACAAGAUCAUGGUGAUGGCAUAGCAACGAGAGGGGAGAGUGUUCGUCCACGUACCCUCGUAGACCGUAAGCGGAAGCGUUAGCACAACGCGGUUGAUGUAGUCGUACGUCUUCACGAUCCGACUAAUCCAAGCACUGAACGUACGUGGCCUCCGAGUUCAGCACACGUUCAGCUCGAUGAUGAUCUCCGGCCUCCAAUCCAGCGAAGCUCCGGAGAUGAGUUCCGUCAGCACGACAGCAUGGUGACGAUGAUGAUGUUCUACCUGCGCAGGGCUUCGCCUAAAAUCCGCGACGAUAUGACUGAGGUGGAAUAUGGUGGAGGGGGGCACCGCACACGGCUAAGGAACGAUCCAUAGAUCAACUUGUGUGUCUAUGGGGUGCCCCCCCCCCCCCGCCCCUGUAUAUAAAGGAGAAAGGGGGAGGCCGGCCGGCCCCUUGGGCGCGCCAAGGGAGGAGGAAUNNNNNNNNNNNNNNNNNNNNNNNNNNNNNNNNNNNNNNNNNNNNNNNNNNNNNNNNNNNNNNNNNNNNNNNNNNNNNNNNNNNNNNNNNNNNNNNNNNNNNNNNNNNNNNNNNNNNNNNNNNNNNNNNNNNNNNNNNNNNNNNNNNNNNNNNNNNNNNNNNNNNNNNNNNNNNNNNNNNNNNNNNNNNNNNNNNNNNNNNNNNNNNNNNNNNNNNNNNNNNNNNNNNNNNNNNNNNNNNNNNNNNNNNNNNNNNNNNNNNNNNNNNNNNNNNNNNNNNNNNNNNNNNNNNNNNNNNNNNNNNNNNNNNNNNNNNNNNNNNNNNNNNNNNNNNNNNNNNNNNNNNNNNNNNNNNNNNNNUCCGGUUUUCUCCGAAAUCACCCGGAACAAUUUCGGUGUCCGAAUAUAGUCGUCCAAUAUAUCAAUCUUUAUGACUCGACCAUUUCGAGAUUCCUCGUCAUGUCCGUGAUGACAUCCGGGACUCCGAACAAACUUCGGUACAUCAAAACUUAUAAACUCAUAAUAAAACUGUCAUCGUAACGUUAAGCGUGCGGACCCUACGGGUUCGAGAACUAUGUAGACAUGACCUAGAACCAUUCUUGGUCAAUAACCAAUAGCGGGACCUAGAUGCCCAUAUUGGUUCCUACAUAUUCUACGAAGAUCUUUAUCGGUCAAACCGCAUAACAACAUACGUUGUUCCCUUUGUCAUCGAUAUGUUACUUGCCCGAGAUUUGAUCGUCGGUAUCCAAUACCUAGUGCAAUCUCGUUACUGGCAAGUCUCUUUACUCGUUCCGUAAUACAUCAUCUCAUAACUAACUUAUUAGUUACAAUGCUUGCAAGGCUUAGGUGAUGAGUAUUACCAAGAGGACCCAGAGAUACCUCUCCGACAAUCGGAGUGACAAAACCUAAUCCCGAAUUAUGCCAACUCAACAUGUACCUUCGGAAACACCUAUAGAGCACCUUUAUAAUCACCCAGUUACGUUGUGACGUUUGGUAGCACACAAAGUGUUCUUCCGGUAAACGGGAGUUGCACAAUCUCAUAGUUGCAGGAACUUGUAUAAGUCAUGAAGAAAGCAAUAGCAGUAUACUAAACGAUCAAGUGCUAGGCUAACGGAAUGGGUCAUGUCAAUCACAUCAUUCUCCUAAUGAUGUGAUCCCGUCAAUCAAAUGACAACUCUUUUGUCCAUGGUUAGGAAACAUAACCAUCUUUGAUAAACGAGCUAGUCAAGUAGAGGCAUACUAGUGACACUAUGUUUGUCUAUGUAUUCACACAUGUAUCAUGUUUCCGGUUAAUAUAAUUCUAGCAUGAAUAAUAAACAUUUAUCAUGAUAUGAGGAAAUAAAUAAUAACUUUAUUAUUGCCUCUAUGGCAUAUUUCCUUCAGUCUCCCACUUGCACUAGAGUCAAUAAUCUAGAUUACAUGGUAAUGAUUUUGACACCCAUGGAGUCUUGGUGCUGAUCAUGUUUUGCUCGUGAGAGAGGCUUAGUCAACGGGUCUGCAACAUUCAGAUCCGUAUGUAUCUUGCAAAUCUCUAUGUCUCCCACUUGGACUUGGUCCCGAAUGGAAUUGAAGCGUCUCUUGAUGUGUUUGGUCCUCUUGUGAAAUUUGGAUUCCUUUGCCAAGGCAAUUGCACCAGUAUUGUCACAGAAGAUGUUCAUUGGUCCCGAUGCACUAGGUAUGACACCUAGAUCGGAAAUGAGAUCCUUCAUCCAGACUCCUUCAUUUGCUGCUUCUGAAGCAGCUAUGUACUCCGCUUCACAUGUAGAUCCCGCCACGAUGCUUUGUUUAGAACUGCACCAACUUACAGCUCCACCGUUUAAUAAAAACACGUAUCUGGUUUGCGAUUUAGAAUCGUCCGGAUCAGUGUCAAAGCUUGCAUCGACGUAACCGUUUACGACUAGCUCUUUGUCACCUCCAUAUAUGAGAAACAUAUCCUUAGUCCUUUUCAGGUAUUUCAGGAUGUUCUUGACCGCUGUCCAGUGAUCCACUCCUGGAUUACUUUGGUACCUUCCUGCCAAGCUUAUUGCUAAGCAUACGUCAGGCCUGGUACACAGCAUUGCAUACAUGAUAGAGCCUAUGGCUGAAGCAUAGGGAACAUUUUUCAUUUUCUCUCUAUCUUCUGCUGUGGUCGGGCAUUGAGUUUGACUCAACUUCACACCUUGUAGCACAGGUAAGAAUCCUUUCUUUGCCUGAUCCAUUUUGAACUUUUUCAAAAAAAAUUCAAGGUAUGUGCUUUGUGAAAGUCCUAUUAAGCGUCUUGAUCUAUCUCUAUAGAUCUUGAUGAGUAAUAUGUAAGCAGCUUCACCGAGGUCUUUCAUUGAAAAACUUUUAUUCAAGUAUCCCUUUAUGCUAUGCAGAAAUUCUAUAUCAUUUCCAAUUAAUAAUAUGGCAUCUACAUAUAAAAUUAGAAAUGCUACAGAGCUCCCACUCACUUUCUUGUAAAUACAGGCUUCUCCAAAUGUCUGUAUAAAACCAUAUGCUUUGAUCACACUAUCAAAGCGUUUAUUCCAACUCCGAAAUGCUUGCACCAGUCCAUAAAUGGAACGCUGGAGCUUGCAUACUUUGUCAGCACCUUUUGGAUCAACAAAACCUUCCGGCUGCAUCAUAUACAACUCUUCUUCUAGAAAUCCAUUCAAGAAUGCAGUCUUGACAUCCAUAUGCCAAAUUUCAUAAUCAUGAAAUGCAGCAAUAGCUAACAUGAUUCGGACAGACUUAAGCAUCGCUACGGGUGAGAAAGUCUCAUCGUAGUCAACCCCUUGAACUUGUCGAAAACCUUUUGCAACAAGUCGAGCUUUAUAGACAGUUACAUUACCAUCAGCGUCAGUCUUCUUCUUAAAGAUCCAUUUAUUCUCAAUGGCUUGCCAAUCAUCGGGCAAGUCAACCAAAGUCCAUACUUUGUUUUCAUACAUGGAUCCCAUCUCAGAUUUCAUGGCUUCUAGCCAUUUUGCGGAAUCUGGGCUCAUCAUCGCUUCCUCAUAGUUCGUAGGUUCACCAUGGUCAAGUAACAUGACUUCCAGAAUAGGAUUACCAUACAACUCUAGUGCGGAUCUUACUCUGGUAGACCUACGAGGUUCAGUAGAAACUUGAACUCCUCACUAAUUGGUGUAGUUGUCACAGGAACCGGUUCUCGUGAUGAACUACUUUCCAAUAAGGGAGUAGAUACAGUUAUCUCAUCAAGUUCUACUUUCCUCCCACUCACUUCUUUCGAGAGAAACUCCUUCUCUAGAAAGGAUCCAUUCUUAGCAACGAAUGUCUUGCCUUCAGAUCUGUGAUAGAAGGUGUACCCAACAGUCUCUUUUGGGUAUCCUAUGAAAACACAUUUCUCCGAUUUGGGUUCGAGCUUAUCUGGUUGAAGUUUCUUCACAUAAGCAUCGCAGCCCCAAACUUUAAGAAACGACAACUUUGGUUUCUUGCCAAACCACAGUUCAUAAGGCGUCGUCUCAACGGAUUUUGAUGGUGCCCUAUUUAACGUGAAUGCGGCCGUCUCUAAAGCAUAACCCCAAAACGAUAGCAGUAAAUCAGUAAGAGACAUCAUAGAUCGCACCAUAUCAAGUAAAGUACGAUUAUGACGUUCGGACACACCAUUUCGUUGUGGUGUUCCGGGUGGCGUGAGUUGCGAAACUAUUCCACAUUGUUUCAAGUGUAGGCCAAACUCGUAACUCAAAUAUUCUCCUCCACGAUCAGAUCGUAGAAACUUUAUUUUCUUGUUACGAUGAUUUUCCACUUCACUCUGAAAUUCUUUGAACUUUUCAAAUGUUUCAGACUUGUGUUUCAUCAAGUAGAUAUACCCAUAUCUGCUCAAAUCAUCUGUGAAGGUGAGAAAAUAACGAUACCCGCCGCGAGCCUCAACAUUCAUUGGGCCACAAACAUCAGUAUGUAUGAUUUCCAACAAAUUAGUUGCUCGCUCCAUAGUUCCGGAGAAUGGCGUUUUAGUCAUCUUGCCCAUAAGGCACAGUUCGCAAGUACCAAGUGAUUCAUAAUCAAGUGAUUCCAAAAGUCCAUCAGUAUGGAGUUUCUUCAUGCGUUUUACACCGAUAUGACCCAAAAGGCAGUGCCACAAGUAAGUUGCACUAUCGUUAUCAACUCUGCAUCUUUUGGUUUCAACACUAUGAACAUGUGUAUCACUACUAUCGAGAUUUAAUAAAAAUAAACCACUCUUCAAGGGUGCAUGACCAUAAAAGAUAUUACUCAUAUAAAUAGAACAACCAUUAUUCUUUGAUUUAAAUGAAUAACCGUCUCGCAUCAAACAAGAUCCAGAUAUAAUGUUCAUGCUUAACGCUGGCACCAAAUAACAAUUAUUCAGGUCUAAAACUAAUCCCGAAGGUAGAUGUAGAGGUAGCGUGCCGACCGCGAUCACAUCGACUUUGGAACCGUUUCCCACGCGCAUCGUCACCUCGUCCUUGGCCAGUGCUCGCUUAUUCCGUAGUCCCUAUUUCGAGUUGCAAAUAUUAGCAACAGAACCAGUAUCAAAUUCCCAGGUGCUACUACGAGCUCUAGUUAGGUACACAUCAAUAACAUGUAUAUCACAUGUAGCUUUGUUUACUUUGCCAUCCUUCUUAUCCGCCAAAUACUUGGGGCAGUUCCGCUUCCAGUGACCAGUCUGCUUGCAGUAGAAGCACUCAGUUUCAGGCUUAGGUCCAGACUUGGGUUUCUUCUCUUGAGCAGCAACUUGCUUGCUGUUCUUCUUGAAGUUCCCCUUCUUCUUCCCUUUGCCCUUUUUCUUGAAACUAGUGGUCUUGUUGACCAUCAACACUUGAUGCUCCUUCUUGAUUUCUACCUCCGCAGCUUUUAGCAUUGCGAAGAGCUCGGGAAUAGUCUUGUUCAUCCCUUGCAUAUUAUAGUUCAUCACAAAGCUCUUGUAUCUUGGUGGCAGUGAUUGGAGAACUCUGUCAAUGACGCUAUCAUCCGGAAGAUUAACUCCCAGUUGAAUCAAGUGAUUAUUAUACCCAGACAUUUUGAGUAUAUGCUCACUGACAGAACUAUUCUCCUCCAUCUUGCAGCUGUAGAACUUAUUGGAGACUUCAUAUCUCUCAAUCCGGGCAUUUGCUUGAAAUAUUAACUUCAACUCCUGGAACAUCUCAUAUGCUCCAUGACGUUCAAAACGUCGUUGAAGGCCCGGUUCUAAGCCGUAAAGCAUGGCACACUGAACUAUAGAGUAGUCAUCAGCUUUGCUCUGCCAGACGUUCUUAACGUCGUCAGUUGCAUCAGCAGCAAGCCUGGCACCCAGCGGUGCUUCCAGGACGUAACUUUUCUGUGCAGCAAUGAGGAUAAUCCUCAGGUUACGGACCCAGUCCGUGUAAUUGCUACCAUCAUCUUUCAACUUUUCUUUCUCAAGGAACGCAUUAAAAUUCAACGGAACAACAGCACGAGCCAUCUAUCUACAAACAAACAUAGACAAGCAAAAUACUAUCAGGUACUAAGUUCAUGAUAAAUUUUAAGUUCAAUUAAUCAUAUUACUUAAGAACUCCCACUUAGACAGACAUCUCUCUAGUCAUCUAAGUGAUUACGUGAUCCAAAUCAACUAAACCAUAACCGAUCAUCAUGUGAGAUGGAGUAGUUUUCACUGGUGAACAUCACUAUGUUGAUCAUAUCUACUAUAUGAUUCAUGCUCGACCUUUCGGUCUCCGUGUUCCGAGGCCAUAUCUGCAUAUGCUAGGCUCGUCAAGUUUAACCUGAGUAUUCUGCGUGUGCAAAACUGGCUUGUACCCGUUGUAGAUGGACGUAGAGCUUAUCACACCCUAUCAUCACGUGGUGUCUGGGCACGACAAACUUUGGCAAUGGUGCAUACUCAGGGAGAACACUUCUUGAUAAUUUUUGUGAGAGAUCAUCUUAAAAUGCUACCGUCAAUCAAAGCAAGAUAAGAUGCAUAAAGGAUAAACAUCACAUGCAAUCAAUAUAAGUGAUAUGAUAUGGCCCUCAUCAUCUUGUGCUUGUGAUCUCCAUCUUUGAAGCACCAUCGUGAUCACCAUCGUCACCGGCGCGACACCUUGAUCUCCAUCGUAGCAUCGUUGUCGUUACGCCAUCUAUUGCUUCUACGACUAUCUAUACCGCUUAGUGAUAAAGUAAAGCAAUUACAGGGUGUUUGCAUUUCAUACAAUAAAGCGACAACCAUAUGGCUCCUGCCAGUUGCCGAUAACUUCGGUUACAAAACAUGAUCAUCUCAUACAAUAAAAUAUAUCAUCACGUCUUGACCAUAUCACAUCACAACAUGCCCUGAAAAACAAGUUAGACGUCCUCUACUUUGUUGUUGCAAGUUUUACGUGGCUGCUAUGGGCUUAGCAAGAACUGUUCUUACCUACGCAUCAAAACCACAACGAUAGUUCGUCAAGUUGGUGCUGUUUUAACCUUCGCAAGGACCGGGCGUAGCCACACUCGAUUCAGCUAAAGUGAGAGAGACAGACACCCGCCAGCCACCUUUAAGCACGAGUGCUCGUAACGGUGAAACCAGUCUCACGUAAGCGUACGCGUAAUGUCGGUCCGGGCCGCUUCAUCUCACAAUACCGCCGAACCAAAGUAUGAAAUGCUGGUAAGCAGUAUGACUUGUAUCGCCCACAACUCACUUGUGUUCUACUCGUGCAUAUAACAUCAACGCAUAAAACCUAGGCUCGGAUGCCACUGUUGGGAAACGUAGUAAUUUCAAAAUUUUCCUACGCACACGCAAGAUCAUGGUGAUGGCAUAGCAACGAGAGAGGAGAGUGUUCGUCCAUGUACCCUCGUAGACCGUAAGCGGAAGCGUUAGCACAACGCGGUUGAUGUAGUUGUACGUCUUCACGAUCCGACCGAUCCAAGCACCGAACGUACGGGGCCUCCGAGUUCAGCACACGUUCAGCUCGAUGACGAUCUCCGGCCUCCGAUCCAGUGAAGCUCCGGAGAUGAGUUCCGUCAGCACGACGGCGUGGUGACGAUGAUGAUGUUCUACCGGCACAGGGCUUCGCCUAAACUCCGCGACAAUAUGACCGAGGUGGAAUAUGGUGGAGGGGGGGCACCGCACACGGCUAAGGAACGAUCCGUAGAUCAACUUGUGUGUCUAUGGGGUGCCCCCCGCCCCUGUAUAUAAAGGAGCAAGGGGGAGAGGCCGGCCGGCCCCUUGGGCGCGCCAAGGGAGGAGGAAUCCUCCUCCUAGUAGGAGUAGGACUCCUCCUUUCCUACUCCUACUAGGAGGGGGAAGGAAGGAGGAGAGGGGGAAGGAAAGGGGGGGCGCCGCCCCCCUCGUAGUCCAAUUCGGACCAGAGGGGGGGAGGGGGCGUGCGGCCCAUGCUGGCCGCCCCUCUCUCCUUUCCCCUAAGGCCCAUAAGGCCCAAUACUCUCCCGGGGGGUUCCGGUAACCCCCGGCACUCCGGUUUUCUCCGAAAUCACCCGGAACAAUUCCGGUGUCCGAAUAUAGUCGUCCAAUAUAUCAAUCUUUAUGUCUCGACCAUUUCGAGAUUCCUCGUCAUGUCCGUGAUGACAUCCGGGACUCCGAACAAACUUCGGUACAUCAAAAGAUAUAAACUCAUAAUAAAACUGUCAUCGUAACGUUAAGCGUGCGGACCCUACAGGUUCGAGAACUAUGUAGACAUGACCUAGAACCAUUCUCGGUCAAUAACCAAUAGCGGGACCUGGAUGCCCAUAUUGGUUCCUACAUAUUCUACGAAGAUCUUUAUCGGUCAAACCGCAUAACAACAUACGUUGUUCCCUUUGUCAUGGGUACGUUACUUGCCCGAGAUUUGAUCGUCGGUAUCCAAUACCUAGUUCAAUCUCGUUACUGGCAAGUCUCUUUACUCGUUCCGUAAUAUAUCAUCUCAUAACUAACUUAUUAGUUACAAUGCUUGCAAGGCUUAGGUGAUGAGUAUUACCGAGAGGGCCCAGAGAUACCUCUCCGACAAUCGGAGUGACAAAACCUAAUCUCGAAUUAUGCCAACUCAACAUGUACCUUCGGAAACACCUGUAGAGCACCUUUAUAAUCACCCAGUUACGUUGUGACGUUUGGUAGCACACAAAGUGUUCUUCCGGUAAACGGGAGUUGCACAAUCUCAUAGUUGCAGGAACUUGUAUAAGUCAUGAAGAAAGCAAUAGCAGUAUACUAAACGAUCAAGUGCUAGGCUAACGGAAUGGGUCAUGUCAAUCACAUCAUUCUCCUAAUGAUGUGAUCCCGUCAAUCAAAUGACAACUCUUUUGUCCAUGGUUAGGAAACAUAACCAUCUUUGAUAAACGAGCUAGUCAAGUAGAGGCAUACUACUGACACUAUGUUUGUCUAUGUAUUCACACAUGUAUCAUGUUUCCGGUUAAUAUAAUUCUAGCAUGAAUAAUAAACAUUUAUCAUGAUAUGAGGAAAUAAAUAAUAACUUUAUUAUUGCCUCUAGGGCAUAUUUCCUUCAGUUACCGGAGUCCUGUUAGCCCAGUGUUACAGCCCGGAUGUAUACGUUGAUGACCGACAUGCUCGAUGUGACUCAUGUAUGCCUGUCCCCAUAGGUUAGCGCCGCUUUGGGUUCAUGACUAGCCAUGUCAGCCCGGGUUCUCUGUCAUAUGGAUGCUAGCGACACUAUCAUAUACGUGAGCCAAAAGGCGCAAACAGUCCCGGCCAUGGUAAGGCGACACCCGUGGGAUUACCGUGCGUGAGGCCGCAAAGUGAUAUGAGGUGUUACCGGCUAGAUCAAUGUGACUUGGAAUCAUGGUCCAGACAGCAUUGGCAUCAGAGCCGGACUGCCUGUAGGUUCCUAAGCCAAACUGGUCGAUGUCGAGUCUAGAAAUGCUUUAGUUAUAUGUAGGGGAAUUUAUUGUGGGAGGAAACGUAAGGCUCUUUUUACCCCUUUACCUUAUGCCCUCUGAUCUGUGUCAUCCUCUUCUCAUUCUACGUGGGUUAAGGACUAGGCUCUCUUCUCUCUAUCAGGUUCACGUGUUACUAAUCCGUAGUAACUUAUAGGAUUGUUGGUUACCAGUCUCAGUACAGUUCCUACUACUUUAGUAUGUUAUCAGUUGAACCUGAACCUUGAUAUGAUGUUGUUGAGUGGUUUUGCAAUCCGUUGUGAAUGUCUCAAAUCUGCUCCUGAGCAUUUACAGCUGUUAUGUUGUCCAAUUUUCCCUAGGAAUUCUAAUGUCUUUGCAUUGUGGUUGUGCUUUCAGAUGGCCACUCGCGCUCAGAACCAAGUGGUUCGCCUGACGCGGUGCCUCAAUGUGCCCGGUCAUACUGCUAUGUUAGUCCGGGUCAUGAUCGAGACAGGUUACCGUUGGUAUCCCGAAUACAUUGCCGAAGAGCAAUUCCAAGACUUUAAUCAAAGCCAAUACUUCUGCACUGUCAGGAUAUUUCCUUCAUAUCCUGGAUCCACCGAGCCCCUUCACUGCUCCUAUGGACUCGGGGUCACCAUUGAGAUGGCUGUACAGGAUGCGGCCUAUUCUAUGAUGACCAUCAUGCGAGUCAGGACUGGUCUGCUUCGGAACACCGACUUCCGUUAUAUGCCAGCAUCGCUCCCAGGAGCGCAAGGGUAUCUCCAGGCUAUCUAUGCUGAUUCCACCCAUGAGGACUCACUAACUCGCACCAUUGCGGAGAUGCUCGAGGAUAAGGACCGAGAGAAUCAGGCCUUGAGGUUGGAGCUUUUCAACACCUGCGCCGAUCAUUGGGCCACUUUGACUCGGUUUGCACCGGCUGUGCAAGCUGGAUGUAUGGAUAUGAGGGAUCUGUUUCCUGUGAGAUCUGCUCUGCCAGACAUGGUGGAUUGGCGUGAUGUGGGAGGCAUCAUCCCACCCCGUGGUCCCCGUAGGCCAUCGUUUGUUGGUCCAAGACCUCAUCCUAGCCCCUAUGGUCCACAGGCUCCUCAGGACCGUCUGUUCCCGGAUGAUCACGUUGAGCUUCCAAGCUAUGGAGGGGACUUCUAUGAGGACUACUACGGAGCUGUCUGAGUUAGUAGUAGUAUCUUUAGUAUUGUAAUAGUUGUAAUUCCAUCGUCCUGCGUGACCUGUGGAAUAUGACUUAGUGUGUAUCAGUUCCGGAGGUGUAGAAAAAUAAUGUAUCGGAGCUUGGAAUGCCUCCGAUGAGAUGUAACUUCUUCCACCGUAGUUGUACUAUAGUCGGGCUUGUACUAAACUAUGUAUGGUGUGUAUGACUGUUGGUGCAUAUAUGGCAGUUUCUGUAUUACCAUGUCAUACAGAUGAACAUCUCUGCAUUCCUUGUUAUCCAUUACAUUCUGCACUUCCUUGUCCAGAUUUGCCAUCCUUGUCUAAAGCGAUGUCUUGUUUUCCUAGGAUGGUCAACACCCGUAACAACCCUGCUACUCCGGAGCAGGGUGAAGCCAGUGCAGCUAGGAAUGAAAAUCUGCCUCAACCACCUUCUCUGGUCGAAGUUAUGCUGGAGGCAGAGCGAAAUAAGCGUGAGACCAAUCGCUUGCUGGAGCGGAUUGAGCAGAAUACCGCACGCCAGCCGAGGAACGACCUGGUGUCACUUAAUGACUUUGUCAAGCUGUAUCCACCGAAGUUUAAACAUUCCGUCGAGCCCCUUGAUGCGGAUGAAUGGCUUCGCAGCAUUACCCACAAGCUACGUUCUGUCAAUGUGGCCGAAGCUGAUAAGGUUAACUUUGCUACCUAUCACCUCGAAGGCCCUGCUAGCCUUUGGUGGGAAAACUUUGAGGCUAUGCGCCCGGUCGGCCAAAUUACUACUUGGGCUGAAUUCAGUAUGGAGCAUCACAUUCCGGAAGGUCUUAUGGAUCGCAAGCGUGAAGAGUUCUGCAACUUCACCCAGGGUAGACUGACUGUGGAUGCAUACAGUCGCGAGUUUGGAUAUCUAGCACGAUAUGCUCCUAAAGAGGUAUCCACCGACGCCAAGAAGCAGGCAAGGUUCCGCAAGGGACUUAGCCCCGAGCUUCGUCGUGAUCUUCGUCUGCACGAGUGCACCUCCUUCCAGAAGUUAGUCAACAAGGCCAUCAGUGCUGAGACAGGGCAGUCGGACUUUGAAGCUUCACGCAAGCACUCCCGUGACUUUGGACUUCAUCCGGCUGUGCAUCUCAGAAGCGCCGGGUCUGGAUUCCAAGCACUGCUCUGCCACCCAGGUUCACCCCGAGGCCAUCCUUUGACGCGCCUCGCCCCAACCAAUAGUAUACACCGCCCAAGGCCUAUGGUGGCCCCACUGCUAAUGCUACUCCAUGCCCCAAUGUGAUAACUUGUUUCAAGUGUGGGGAGACGGGUCACUACAUUCGUGAGUGUCCCCAAAACAACCCCAACCAGAUUGGAAAGUCUGUUGGCCGUGGCAAGCCAGCAGGAAAGGUGCUCUACGCCAAGCCAGCCACCACUGCCCGUGGCCAUGUCAACUAUGUCUCAGCAGAGGAGACUCAUGAGGAUCCCAACGUCGUUCUCGGUACGCUUCUUGUUAAUUGCCACCCGGCAACCAUUCUCUUUGAUACUGGAGCAUCUCAUUCAUUUAUAUCUGAAAGCUAUGCUCGAUUGCACAACACCACAUUUUGUGACAUGCCCACCUCCAUGGUAAUUCAAACCCCUGGUUCUAAGUGGCAAACCUCUAAAAUCAGCCAUGGAAAUGAAAUCCUUGUCGACAGAUUAGUCUUCCUUGCAUCACUAAUAGCUCUCAAGUCCUCGGACAUAAACAUCAUCUUGGGUAUGGACUGGAUGUCAGCCCAUUACGCUAAGAUCGAUUGCUCCACUAGAACUGUUCAACUCACCCACCCUUCGGGCAAGACAGCCAAUGUUUUGACCCGAGUGUCUAAGCGUCAGCUUUACUCUUUAAAUGCCAACCCCCUUCCAGACCUUGAAGAUAUUCCGGUAGUCCGUGACUUCCCGGAUGUCUUUCCAGAGGAACUGUCAGGUGUUCCACCUAACAGAGAUGUCAAGUUCGUGAUAGACCUUGUUCCAGGAACCAUGCCAACAUCUAGGAGACCUUAUAAGAUGGCACCCCUAGAACUAGCUGAGCUUAAGAAACAACUCGAUGAGUCCUUGCAAAAGGGUUUCAUCCAUCCUAGCUCUUCUCCAUGGGCUUGCCCCGUCCUUUUCGUCAAGAAGAAGGAUGGAACGGAUCGGAUGGUUGUAGAUUACCGGCCAGUCAACUUGGUCACUAUCAAGAACAAGUAUCCGCUCCCCAAGAUCAACGACCUGUAUGAUCAGCUCGCUGGAUCCUCAGUCUUUUCUAAAAUGGAUUUGAGGUUGGGCUACCAUCAAAUCAAAAUUAAGAACGGGGACAUUCCUAAAACGGCCUUUGUUACUCGAUAUGGCCAAUACGAGUACACCGUCAUGUCCUUCGGUCUAACCAAUGCCCCAGCCACCUUCUCUCGGUUAUUGAACUCGAUCUUCAUGGAGUAUUUUGAUAAAUUCGUCGUGGUUUACCUUGAUGAUAUACUCAUCUACUCCAAGAAUGAAGAAGAACAUGCCGAACAUCUAAGGCUAGUGUUGAUGAAACUUUGAGAGCAUUGUCUUUAUGCCAAAUUCUCUAGGUGUGAGUUUUGGUUGCCAGAAGUAACCUAUCUAGGACAUGUAAUCUCUGGUAAGGGCAUUGCUGUCAAUCCCAAGCGAGUUCAAGCCAUCCUUGACUGGACUCCACCUGAAACGGUCAAGCAAGUUCAGAGUUUUGUUGGUUUAGCGAGCUAUUGCCGCUGCUUCAUCGAGAAUUUCUCCAAGGUUGCUAAGCCUCUAACCGAACUCCUCAAGAAAGAUAAAAAGUUCGAAUGGACGCCAUAGUGCGAGUUCAGUUUUCAGGAACUGAAAAGACGCCUGACAUCUGCUCCUGUACUUGUUCCACCAGAUUUCUCUAAGGACUUCGUUAUCUACUGCGACGCCUCGCGACAAGGACUAGGUUGCAUACUCAUGCAAGAUCGUCAUGUGAUUGCCUACGCUUCUCGACAGCUGCGUCCACAUGAGGAUAACUAUCCCACACAUGAUCUACAGCUUGCAGCAGUGGUCCAUGCACUCAAAACCUGGCGACAUUACCUUCUCGGUAAUCGUUGCGAGAUUUACACCGAUCACCAAAGUCUGAAAUACAUCUUCACCAAACCGGAUUUGAAUCUCAGACAAAGACGUUGGGUCGAGUUGAUUACGGAUUACGAUCUAGGAAUAACCUACACCCCAGGAAAAGCCAAUGUCAUGGCUGAUGCAUUAAGCCGUAAAUCUUAUUGUAACAACCUGAUGUUACAACAAAGCCAACCAUUUCUCCACGAGGAAUUUCGUAAGCUUAACCUUCACAUCGUUCCUCGAGGUUUUCUUUCCACCCUGGUGGCGAAACCUACCCUUACGGAUCAGAUCAUCAAGGCACAGAAGGUAGAUCCGGGAAUAUCCCGUAUCAAGAGAAACAUCAAAAGGGAGUUGGACUGUUUCUCCAUAGAUGAUCAAGGUGUUGUGUUCUUUGGAGGCCAUCUAGUGGUUCCCAAGGUAUGCAACCUGAGGCGAUUGAUCCUUAAGGAAGCUCAUGAAUCCCCUCUCACUAUUCAUCCCAGUAGUACUAAAAUGUAUCAAGACCUACGCCAGAGGUUUUGGUGGACUAGGAUGAAGAGAGAAAUCGCUCAAUACAUUACCAAUUGCGACGUCUGUCGUCGAGUUAAAGAAGAGCAUCAACGACCUGCUGGCACCCUGCAACCUUUGGAAAUUCCCGAAUGGAAAUGGGAUAAAAUCGGUAUGGAUUUCAUUACCGGGUUUCCCAGGACCAAGAGGGGGAAUAAUGCUAUCUUCGUUGUUGUCGAUCGUCUUUCCAAAGUAGCCCACUUCCUACACGUUCGUGAGAGUUUAACCGCUAGCCAGCUAGCUGACUUAUACAUCUCCCGAAUAGUGUCUCUUCAUGGUGUUCCAUUGGAGACUAACUCAGACCGUGGAAGUCUCUUCACCUCUCGAUUUCGGGAAAGUUUCCAAAAUGCGAUGGGAACUCGUCUUUCUUUUAGCACCGCUUUCCAUCCUCAAUCAAGUGGUCAAGUAGAACGAGUCAAUCAAAUUCUAGAGGAUAUGCUUCGAGCUUCUGUCAUCUCUUUUGGUAUGAAUUGGGAGAAGUGCCUUCCAUUCGCUGAGUUCGCUUAUAACAAUAGUUAUCAAGCUAGCUUGGACAAAGCUCCUUUCAAAGUUCUCUAUGGAUGAAAAUGUCGAACACCUCUUAACUGGUCAGAAACCGGGUAAAGACAACUCUUUGGCCCGGAUAUGAUCCAGGAAGCAGAGGAGCAGGUUCACGUUAUUCGUGAGAAAUUGAAAACAGCCCAAUCUCAUCAAAAGAGCCAAUAUGACCGCAAACAUACACUAGUAGAAAAGGGGCCAAUGGUCCAGGCCGGUCCAGCCCAUUAGUCCCGGUUCAAUCCAGAACCGGGACCAAUGGGGGCAUUGGACCCGGUUCGUGAGCCCUGGGGGCCGGCCGGGCCACGUGGGCCAUUGGUCCCGGUUCGUCCUGACCUUUCGGUCCCGGUUGGUGGGACGAACCGGGACCAAUGGGCCUCGCUCCUGGCCCACCAACAUUGGUCCCGGUUGGUGGCUUGAACCGGGACCAAAGGCGUCCCUUUAGUCCCGGUUCAAGUCACCAACCGGGACCAAUUAGUUGCCUAUAUAUACCCCUCGCCUGCGAGCAGAGCACUCCCAGUGCUCUGUUUUUCGUGGCUGGCGAGGGGAGAGCUUUGUGGUGCUCUAGCUCACGUCCUAUGCACACAAGGUGUUCGAUGGAAUGCCCGAGCCACACUACUUAAGCUUUCUCCUCUCCAAGCUCGACCUCCAAGCUCCAUUUUCCUUCAUAUUUGUCUAGGUUUAGCGGUUCGUCACGUCCCGUCCCCAUCUUCACCACCGUUGAUCGCCCGCGCCGAUCUCGUCGCCGGCACCACCGUGGUGAGCCUCUUGUUCUUAUCUUCUUUCUGAAAGGAAAAAAAAUUCUUACUUGUAUGUUUAUAUAGAUACUUGUAUAAUUUUCUUACUUUUAUUAUUGCAUCUUAUAUAGUGCGAUGGUUUUGGUAUCCGCCCCCGUCGGCCCUCGUCCUGUCUAUGAUUCAGAUGUGGUAUAUAUAUAUUAUCUUUUCAUAACUAGUGGUUCAUUUAUUGUUUAUGACAAUUAUGCCGACCAACGUGACAUAGAUUUUAUUUAUCUAGGAGGUUGUUGAACCGGAAAUUCCAACCGACCCUAUUGUCGAGAGGUUAAAUUUAGUUGAAGAAAACAAUUUGUUGAAGGGAAAAAUUAGAAAAAUUGAGGAGGAGAAGAUGAUAUUGGAGUUGCAUGUUGCGGAUGUCAUCGAUGAUCACAAGAUCAAGAUGGAUGCAAUGCGCUUGAAGAUUAGAAAGAUUAGAAAAUAUGCCAUUCAUACCGAGGCUUGGUAUCAUUAUGUCGUUGGAUCAGUUGUUACAUUGGUUGCGAUUAUGAUCGUAUUUGUUUUCGCAUUGAAAUGUUUUACAUAGUUUCAGUGUAUGGUUUAAUUAAUUUAGAUGCCCUGCAGAGCUUUAUGUUGUUAGAUGAGAACUAUGUAUGUACUUUGGUUUUAAUGUGAUGAUGAACUUCUAUUAAUUUCGUCACUUAAUUAUCUAUUCAUGAUGUUCUGUAAUGAUUUUUGACACACUUAAUUAUAUAUAAUGCACGCAGAUGAACCGGCAAUGGAUGUACGGUUCAAGACACACCUCCGAGUACAUUAAGGGCGUGCAUGAUUUUCUCGAAGUGCCUGAGGCAACAAGAAGAAUGGUUUUAUGUGUUGUCCAUGCCCUAUAUGUGGGAAUACGAAGUCUUACUCUGACUGGAAAAUCCUCCACACCCACCUUCUUUACAAGGGUUUCAUGCCACACUAUAAUGUUUGGACGAGGCACGGAGAAAUAGGGGUUAUGAUGGAAGACGGCGAAGAAGAAGAGUACGAUGACAACUAUGUGCCCCCUGAAUACGGUGAUGCUACUGAAGAUCAAGAGGAACCAGACGAUGUGCCCGAUGAUGAUGAUCUCCGCCGGGUCAUUGUCGAUGCAAGGACGCAAUGCGAAAGUCAAAAGGAGAAGCUGAAGUUCGAUCGCAUGUUAGAGGACCACAAAAAAGGGUUGUACCCCAAUUGUGAAGAUGGCAACACAAAGCUCGGUACCGUACUGGAAUUGCUGCAGUGGAAGGCAGAGAAUGUUGUGCCUGACAAAGGAUUUGAGAAGCUACUGAAAAUAUUGAAGAAGAAGCUUCCAAAGGAUAACGAAUUGCCCGACAGUACAUACACAGCAAAGAAGUUCGUAUGCCCUCUAGGAUUGGAGGUGCAGAAGAUACAUGCAUGCCCUAAUGACUGCAUCCUCUACCGCGGUGCGUACAAGGAUCUGAACGCAUGCCCGGUAUGCGGUGCAUUACGGUAUAAGAUCAGACGAGAUGACCCUGGUGAUGUUGACGGCGAGCCCCCCAGGAAGAGGGUUCCUGCGAAGGUGAUGUGGUAUGCUCCCAUAAUACCACGGUUGAAACGUCUGUUCAGAAACGGAGAGCAUGCCAAGUUGAUGCGAUGGCACAGUGAGGACCGUAAGAAAGACGGGAAGUUGAGAGCACCCGCUGACGGGUCGCAGUGGAGAAAAAUCGAGGGAAAGUACUGGGAUGAGUUUGCAAGUGAGCCAAGGAACGUAUGGUUUGCUUUAAGCGCGGAUGGCAUUAAUCCUUUCGGGGAGCAGAGCAGCAAUCACAGCACCUGGCCCGUGACUCUAUGUAUGUAUAACCUUCCUCCUUUGAUGUGCAUGAAGCAGAAGUUCAUUAUGAUGCCAGUUCUCAUCCAAGGCCCUAAGCAACCCGGCGACGACAUUGAUGUGUACCUAAGGCCAUUAGUUGAAGAACUUUUAUAGCUGUGGAAUGGAAAUAGUGUACGUACGUGGGAUGAGCACAAACAGGAGGAAUUUAACCUAAAGGCGUUGCUGUUCGUGACCAUCAACAAUUGGCCCGCUCUCAGUAACCUUUCAGGACAGACAAACAAGGGAUACCACGCAUGCACGCACUGUUUACUUGACACCGAUAGUAUAUACCUAGCAAGUUGUAGGAAGAAUGUGUACCUGGGCCAUCAUCGAUUUCUUUCGACCAACCAUCAAUGUUGAAAGAAAGGCAAGCAUUUCAAAGGCGAGGCAGAUCACCGGAAGAAGCCCUCCAUGCGUACUGGUAUCACGUACUUGCUAUGGUAGUGAUUUACACGUAAUCUUUGGAAAGUGUCCCGGCGGACUAGCUGUUCCGAAUGACGCUGAGAAUCACGCACCCAUGUGGAAGAAGAAAUCUAUAUUUUGGGACCUACCCUACUAGAAAGACCUAGAGGUCCGCUCUUCGAUCGACGUGAUGCACGUGACGAAGAACCUUUGCGUGAACCUGCUAGGCUUCUUGGGCAUGUAUGGGAAGACAAAAGAUACAACUGAGGCACGGGAGGACCUGCAACGCUUGCACGAAAAAGUGGGCAUGCCUCCGAAGCAGUAUGAAGGUCCUGCCAGCUACGCUCUUACGAAAGAAGAGAAAUAAAUCUUCUUUGAAUGCCUGCUCAGUAUGAAGGUCCCGACUGGCUUCUCUUCGAAUAUAAAGGGAAUAAUAAAUAUGCCAGACAAAAAGUUCUAGAACCUAAAGUCUCAUGACUGCCACGUGAUUAUGACGCAACUGCUUCCGGUUGCAUUGAGGGGGCUUCUACCGGAAAACGUCCGAUUAGCCAUUGUGAACCUAUGUGCAUUCCUCAAUGCAAUCUCUCAGAAGGUGAUCGAUCCAGAAAUCAUACCAAGGCUAAGGACUGAUGUGGUGCAAUGUCUUGUCAGUUUCGAGCUGGUGUUCCCACCAUCCUUCUUCAAUAUCAUGACGCACGUCCUAGUUCAUCUAGUUGACGAGAUUGUCAUUCUGGGCCCCGUAUUUCUACACAAUAUGUACUUCUUUGAGAGGUUCAUGGGAGUCCUAAAGAAAUAUGUCUGUAACCGCGCUAGGCCAAAAGGAAGCAUCUCCAUGGGCUAUCAAACAGAGGAUGUCAUCGGGUUUUGUGUUGACUUCAUUCCUGGCCUUAAGAAUAUAGGUCUCCCUAAAUCGCGGUAUGAGGGGAGACUGACUGGAAAAGGCACGCUUGGAAGGGACUCAAUUAUAUGCAGGGACGGAUAUUCUUGGUCUCAAGCACACUACACAGUUCUACAGAACUCUACCUUGGUGACCCCGUAUGUCGAUGAACACAAGAACAGUCUGCGCUCCAAACACCCGGAGCAGUGCGACGACUAGAUUACAUGUGAACACAUCAGGACUUUCAGUAGUUGGUUGGAAGCACAUAUCAGAGGUGACAACACUGUUUGUGAUGAGUUGUACUUGUUGUCCAGGGGACCAUCUUUGACUGUAUUGAUUUGGAAAGGAUACGAGAUAAAUGGGAAUACAUUUUACACGAUUGACCAAGAUCAAAAGAGCACCAACCAAAACAGCGGUGUCCGCUUUGAUGAAACAACCGAGAGGGGAAAGGACACAUAUUGUGGUUACAUAGUGGACAUAUGGGAACUUGACUACGGACACGAUUUUAAGGUCCCUUUGUUUAAGUGCAAAUGGGUCAAUCUGUCAGGUGGCAGGGUACAGGUAGACCCACAGUACGGAAUGACAAUAGUGGAUCUGGAAAAUCUUGGAUACACUGACGAACUGUUCGUCCUAGCCAAUGAUGUGGCACAGGUUAUCUAUGUGAAGGACAUGUCUACCAGACCAAGAAAGAGAAAAGAUAAGGAAGCGAAUACAUCAUACGAUGAGCCAAAGUGCCACAUAGUUCUUUCAGGAAAAAGGGACAUCGUGGGAGUGGAGGACAAGACAGACAUGUCUGAAGAUUAUGAAAAGUUUCAUGAAAUUCCUCCCUUUAAUGUCAAGGCUGACCCCAGCAUCCUGAUAGACGAUGAAGAUUAUCCAUGGUUACGGCGCAAUAAGCAAAUGACACAAGCGAAGAAAAAGUGAAGACUUUCUCCCGCAACUAUUAUGAUGAUACCAUGCCAAAUUUGUAACUGACGAGUAUGAUACCAUUGUCCGUUUUGUACAUGCACAUGCUAUGUGGGUCAAUUUAUGAUACCAUGCCAACUUUCAACUUUUUCAGAGUUCAUUUGAAAUGCUUUAAUGUCUUAUGGUUCGGCCCUCGUAAUGAUUAAAAAUAGCAACAAUAAGUAUUUUGUUGUAAGUAGAAACAAAAUAAAAUAAAUAAAGCAAGAAAGAAAACAAAAAAAACAAAAAAAGUGUUUUCAAAUUUGAAAACUAAUGGUACUAACAGAAAGUUUAUAAUUUUCCUAAAACUAAAAGCAAAAAGAAUUGAAAAAUAAAGCAAAAAACAAAAGACAAUAAAUAAUGCAGAAAUCAAAACAAAAAACAACAAUAAGUAUUUUGUUGUAUGUAGAAACAAAACAAAAUAAAUAAAGCAAGAAAGAAAACAAAAAAACAAAAAAAGUGUUUUCAAAUUUGAAAACUAGGGCACUAACAGAAAGUUUAUAAUUUUCCUAAAACUAAAAGCAAAAAGAAUUAAAAAAUAAAGCAAAAAACAAAAGAAAAUAAAUAAUGCGGAAAACAAAACAAAAAAACUGGAAAAAAAAUAAAAUAGCAAAAAUAAGUAAAGAAAACAAAAAAAUGCCUCCUACUGGGCCCCCACGGCCUGAAUACGACUAGAAACCCUACUAUGGGCCAGGAUUCAGGCCCGCAGUAGGCCCAGAAGGCCCAUCAGGCAAAGCAAUAGCAAGUAGGCCCGAAAGCCUGCGGUGGAGAGGAGCUCGAGAGGGGUGCGGCAGUGGGGCUUAUAAACCACUGCACGCCCCUCUCAACUAGCGAGGUGGGACUAAACUUUGGCCCCGACGCGGGAAGCACAGGGGCCUUUGGUCCCGGUUGGUGGCACCAACCGGGACUAAAGGGGGGGGCAUUGGUACCGGUUCGUGGCACCAACCGGUACCAAAGGCCGCCGCUUCCCGCCCUUUGGGCUGCCGAAAAGGAGGCCUUUGGUCCUAGUUGGUGGCACUAACCGGGACUAAAGGGUGCAUUAGUCCCGGUUGAUUUCACGAACCGGGACCAAUGCCUUUGCUAUAUAAGCAAACACUUUGCAAAAUUUCAGAAUCCCAUCGCCAGUUGCCCCCGACGACGCCGACCCUCCUCGACGCUGCCAGGCUGCUCCACCUCGCCGUCGUCGCCGCCACCGCCAAGCCGUCGCCUCCCCGAGCCCGCGCCAUCCUCGUCGCCGGCCUCCCUGAGCCCGCGCCGUCCUCGUCGCCGGUCUCCUCGAGCCCGCUCCCCGUCCCGCCCCCGCGCGCCGCCGCCCCGAGCCCCUGCCCCGUCCUGCCCCCAUGCGCNNNNNNNNNNNNNNNNNNNNNNNNNNNNNNNNNNNNNNNNNNNNNNNNNNNNNNNNNNNNNNNNNNNNNNNNNNNNNNNNNNNNNNNNNNNNNNNNNNNNNNNNNNNNNNNNNNNNNNNNNNNNNNNNNNNNNNNNNNNNNNNNNNNNNNNNNNNNNNNNNNNNNNNNNNNNNNNNNNNNNNNNNNNNNNNNNNNNNNNNNNNNNNNNNNNNNNNNNNNNNNNNNNNNNNNNNNNNNNNNNNNNNNNNNNNNNNNNNNNNNNNNNNNNNNNNNNNNNNNNNNNNNNNNNNNNNNNNNNNNNNNNNNNNNNNNNNNNNNNNNNNNNNNNNNNNNNNNNNNNNNNNNNNNNNNNNNNNNNNNNNNNNNNNNNNNNNNNNNNNNNNNNNNNNNNNNNNNNNNNNNNNNNNNNNNNNNNNNNNNNNNNNNNNNNNNNNNNNNNNNNNNNNNNNNNNNNNNNNNNNNNNNNNNNNNNNNNNNNNNNNNNNNNNNNNNNNNNNNNNNNNNNNNNNNNNNNNNNNNNNNNNNNNNNNNNNNNNNNNNNNNNNNNNNNNNNNNNNNNNNNNNNNNNNNNNNNNNNNNNNNNNNNNNNNNNNNNNNNNNNNNNNNNNNNNNNNNNNNNNNNNNNNNNNNNNNNNNNNNNNNNNNNNNNNNNNNNNNNNNNNNNNNNNNNNNNNNNNNNNNNNNNNNNNNNNNNNNNNNNNNNNNNNNNNCGCUGCAUUGGCUCUGUUUUUUUUUCAUUUUUAUUAGUUUAAUUAUUUUUUUGUUCAUAUAUAUAUAUAUAUAUAUAAUGUAUAUGUGUAUGUAUGUGGCUAUAUAUGUGUAUGUAGAUGUUCAAAAAUUAUUCAGAGCACGUUUUUAUUCAUAUAUGUAUUUUUUGUUCAUAUGUGUAUUAAUGUUUUCAUAUAUGCAAAAGAUAGAUUUUUAGAAAAGUUAGGGUUUUUUUUUCUAUUCAUAGAUUUUUUUGGUGAUAUUAAUUAUUGUAGAAUAUGCAAAUGUUUGUAUAUUCAUAUGAACAAUGCAUUAGGCAAAACCUUUGUUUUUUUUGAAAUUUUUUAUUUGAACAUUUUUUAAAAACAAGCAAUACUAAAAGAAUGAGAGGAAAAAGGAAAAUAAGAAGAGGAAGAAAGGAGAAGAAGAGGAGAGGAAGAAGAGGAGAAAUAAAUAAGAAGAGGAAAAAAGAAGAGGGGAAGAAGAAAGGAAUAGAGGAGAAGAAGAAAAAUAGAAAUUUUCUAUUUUUCUUCUUCUCCUCUAUUCCUUUCUUCUUCUCCUCUUUAUUUUCUUCUUUUUUUUCUUCUUCCUUCUUCCUCUUUUCUUCCUUUUCCUUAUUUUCCUUUCUCGAGGGAGAAGAAGAAAAAGAAGAGUAAAAGAAGAAGAAAGGAAUAGAGGAGAAAGAAGAAACUUCAACACAAGGGGGGGUUACCGAUACCCCCUCCCCGAUAACAUUAUUUUCCCAUGUAUAUGUAUGUCGCGUCAUUGUCGAUAUAACCCCCUCGAGAUAACUUCGACAUGAGGGGCGGUCGAUAUAUAUACCCCCUCUCGACCGUGAUAACUUAUACAACGGCAGCACCCCCCUCGGCCCUCUCGCUCGACCAAAACUCUUGAGGACACCCAAACCCUAGAGAGAAAACGAUGUUGGUCUCCUACCCCCUCCCGCCGCGCCCCUACCCGACAUAUUAACUCUCUCGAGGCCACCCAAAUUUACCAAGUUAAAAGAGCGUUGUCGUCGAGGCCACCCCAAACCCUUGAAGCGUUGUGUCGAGGAGACCCCAAACCCUAGAGAAGCAGCGUCGAGGCCACUAACAUGGAUCGAUCCAUCUGUAAUAAUAAUUGACAUGGUGUAAAUAUUUGCAGAAACUAUGGAGCACUCCCGAGACGAAGAAACAGAAGCGAUGUUGGGGGACAUUAUCGCACAAGGAAGUGAUGAAGUUGCGUCAUUUCUCAACGACACCGAUGGUCAGGAACGACUGGGUGAAGAAGAGGGCUAUGUUCAUGAUGGCUUCGACCCAUUAAUGCCGGUACAAGAAGAGGACUAUGUUCAUGAUGGCUCUGGUGACACAAUGGAGGUACAAGAAGGAGACCGUGCUGACUGCUCCGGUGACCGAACCGAGUCCGGCCAGGUAUAUAUAUAUAUAUUAGUUAAGCCCGUGCUGACUAGUUAAUUGAUGCAUCCAUUGUUUUGGUAUAUGUACACAUAUUAAUUACUCUCGUCUUUCUUCCUUAUAAUUUCUAGCCCUCCGGAUCGAGCACAACUUCGGUAAGAAGACGAAGCCCGAAGAAAAAGUUGAGCUCGGAUGAAAAGUUUGAGAUCAUAGAAAUCGCGCCCGACGGCGAACCGAUUGAACCCAUCCGGACAAGGAAGGCAUUUUCUGCUCAGUGCGGGGUUCUUGUUAGGGACAAGAUCCCGAUCAGCAUCCAUCAAUGGUAUAAGCCUAAGGAGGAAGACCCCGAGGUGUCUUAUGUCAAUGAUAUGCAGAAAGAAGAUCUUUGGACUGAGCUAAAGGCAAAUUUCACCCUACCGCUAGAGGAGGAUCCGGAGAAGCCAGUUAUAGAGCAAUUAAUCAAUUCUUGUGCUCUUAAGAAGAUGGCAACCCUAAUGAGGAGGUGGAGGAAAGAGGUGAACCAGUUUGUCGAGAAAGAUAAGACACCAGAAUUCAUCGGCAAAUAUGAGAAGAUCAAAGAUCACUGGCCCGCAUUUGUGGCCCACAAGACAUCGGAAAAGAGUAAGAAGAUGUCGGCAACAAACAAGAAAAAUUCUGCAAAGAAGAAGCUUCACCAUCGCACGGGGUCAGGUGGCUACCUCAAAGCCCGGCCUAAGUGGUCCAAGGCUGAGCAUGAUCUGCUUGAAAAAGGGAUCGAACCAGAGACAAUGUACUGGCCAGACCGUUGUCGGACUUGGUUCUUCGGGGCUGGCGGAACCUUGGACCCUGUAACAGGGAAGUGCCAGUGGACGGAUGAGCAACUACAAAUACCAGUCAAGAAACUUCGACACUAUAUCGAUGCAGCGUAGCGAGGGACGCUCCUUCCAAACAGGGAGAAGGACGAGCUCACAAUGGCCCUUGGGAAUCCUGAGCACCCUGGAUGGACACGAGGCACGCCAGGCUCCAUUCCAUGGAAGGUUGGUCUUCCGCACACAGGGGGUUACAAAACCCACGAGAGGAGGAAGAAACUGGAGCAGGACCAAAUGCAGGCGCUGCACGAAAGGGUAAUGGGGCUAGAGGAACGAGAAGCAGCAGAUCGCAGCAAACGACAUGCCGAAGCUUCCCCCGAAGCUACCUCGCCAUCUCAGCGGAGAAGCAGCGUGGCUUCCACCGAGCUGCUUCAGCCGGAGCAUGUCUUGACGUCUCCUGCCAGCUAUCCCGUGGAUGGUAUCACGGAGUCUCAAAGUUGCCACAUUAUGACGCAAUGUAUGAAUUUGAAGGUCAAGGCGGCUGUUGGCCAAGUUUAUCCUAGUGGACCCGGCACAACUUAUCACUGCCAGCCGAUUCCAGAAGGAUUUGCUAAGGUGAUGGUGGAUGAAAUAACGGAGGGAUUUGAGGACCUCCUGCUUGAGCACCCUACCGGUGAAGGGGAGACUAGGCUGGGUUCUGCUCUGAAGACUCCAUGCCUAUGGCGGAAGGAGCUCAUCAACCUUCCGAACUGGACGCCUCCGCCUCCUCCUCCUCCUCCGGCGAGUCAGGGCACUCCGCCUCCUCCACCGCCUCCUCCUCCGGCGAGUGAUGAUCAGGGCACACGUGGCAGCACUCCGCCUCCUUCUCCGCCUGCGCCGGCGCGCCCGAGCAGCCAGCCUCCUCCUUCUCCGCCUCGUCAGCAAGGGCGAAAGAGACCCGCCGCUGCUCCGGCUGCUCCGGCGCGUCGUAAUCCUUCUCCUCCGCCUCACAAAAAGCAAGCAAAGAAGACAUCCACUCCGUCUGCUCUGUCGGUGUCUAGCAGUACAGCCAAAGGCGGGAAGAAAUACAGAUUUGGUCCUUCUCCGAAGACUCCAGAGAAGUUACCGUACGAGAGGACCGAGGAGGAAAACGCGGAGAUCACGCAGAACGAACUGGAUGGCUGGUUUGCAGGGUUGAAAGCAAAGAGACAUCCACCUCCGGAGGAGAAGGUAGAUCCGGUGAAAGUGAAGCGCACUCUGGCUGCCCUGAGGAAACCGGCAAAGUCUCCGCCGAGAACCAACUAUGAGCGCAUUACUGAACAGACAUAUCUCCAAGCGGAGCAGUCGGGAAGUACUGUCAGACAUCAAAGAGCAAAAGAACGAGCAGCUGCGAAAAAAGUUGACCAGCUCGGCGAACAACCAAACCAAUCGUGCCCCCCGCUCAAUGUGUCUAGCGGCAACAUCGUCGCUAAUGUUCCGGGGAUCAUGGACGGUUAUGGCAAUCCACAAUAUUACCUGCCUGACGAUGCACUUCCUGAAUUCAUGAUGGUGGAAGAACGCAGAUACGAGUACGGGAAGCCUCUCAUCAAAGAUGUAAAAUCUCUAACAACGAUGAUGCGAAGAUUCCAUACUUGGUACAUGAAAACCUGCAGAGAGUCUGGGGGGACGAAUAGUUUGUAUCUACACAUUAAAGAGGAGCACGACCUCGUUGGAACUGAUCUGUUGUGUGUUCCAUUUGAGGAGUUCUUCGCGUUCUUCAAUCAAAUAGCCCUCGAUAAAUUAACGGUCUUUUGCUACUGCCUGUAAGUACUAUUUCUGUCAUUAAGUCUCUAUAUAUAGCUUGGCUUUCAUUACAUGUAUUUAUAAUUAAUUAUCCUCAAUAUAUUAUGCAGAUUGAAGAUCGUCGAGUGCAAAAAAAUGAAAUCUAUGAUAUUGGGUUCAUUAACACAAAUAUCAUAGAUGUAUUUCUGGUUGAAAAGCACAUCGAAGAGGCCGAGGACAACUUGCUACGAUCAUUGAUCAAAAAUCAAAACAAAGAUACCAUACUCUUUCCUUACAACACCAAGUGAGUGUUACUGAUCAUUUGCAUAUUCGGUUUCCCUUAUUACUCGAGCGAGGUUAUAGUAAUGUAAUUGAUGAGUUAUGCAUGUGUGCGCAGGUACCACUAUAUUCUUCUGGAGAUUAAGCUUGAGCGUGGACUAGUAACCGUCUUAGACUCGAGACGGAAAGAUCCCAGCACCUAUGCGGACAUGACUGAAAUGCUCAGCAAGUAAGUUCAAUCGAUCAUUAUCGCACCAUAGCGGCAACUUUUUGUUCAUUUCCUGAUAUCUCAAGUAAUAAUAAUUAUUUUCUUUGUCUUGCAGGGUUUGGAAACAGUUCACCACAGUAGCUCGGGGACUGCCGAAGGAGCUGCGAUAUAUAUACCCGAAAGUAAGUACUACUGGCUAGCUAGUUGUGUGCAUCUCCUGUUGAUUCUAUAGCUAUACUUUCAUCACAUUUAUAAUGCUUCAUUAUCAGUUUGAUAGACCUCUAUUUCUCGUAAAGUGCUUGUGGUAGGAACAAGGGAAUGAUUUCUAUAGAUACUACGUGUGCGAGUUCAUCUACAACGCGACUUUGAAAAAUAAGCGGGGCUACUCUCAAAGACAAUAUGAAGUGCGUAAGCAAUUAAUAAUAUUCACAAUUUCUGUUGAGUUUCAUUCAUAUAUAUAUAUAUAUAUAUAUAUAUAUAUAUAUAUGUAUUAAUUAACCCCCUUCUUCAAAUUAGACGUGGCAGAUGCGGAAUGAACUCCUAGAACCAGAUCGCAUGAAAGGAAUUCAAGAGGAAUUGGCGGGAUUCUUUCUUGACCACGUCAUCAAUAAAGCCGGAGAAUACCAUGUGGAACUUGAUUUCAAAUGCUAGGGGACUGUAAUUGAGAGAUCUUAUAUAUUGUACAUGUUGUAUGUAGCCAGUAGCGUCGGACAUACAUGAUACAAAAACUUGUUGUUUGACCAAUCUCUCGGAGAAGGAGACGUCGAUCGAUCACUUCUCUCGGUAUGCAUGACGAACUUCUGUACUUAAUGGUUUCCUUCAUUUUCUUACUAGCUAGCGUGUCGAGAGCCUCUCUAUGUAUAGUACGUAGCGUCGACCAAGCACGGACAUAAGAGAGGACACUUCUCUCUAUUAAUUAGCUAGCUAACACAAUAUAUGAAACACCUAAAUUAACCCCCAAAACCNNNNNNNNNNNNNNNNNNNNNNNNNNNNNNNNNNNNNNNNNNNNNNNNNNNNNNNNNNNNNNNNNNNNNNNNNNNNNNNNNNNNNNNNNNNNNNNNNNNNNNNNNNNNNNNNNNNNNNNNNNNNNNNNNNNNNNNNNNNNNNNNNNNNNNNNNNNNNNNNNNNNNNNNNNNNNNNNNNNNNNNNNNNNNNNNNNNNNNNNNNNNNNNNNNNNNNNNNNNNNNNNNNNNNNNNNNNNNNNNNNNNNNNNNNNNNNNNNNNNNNNNNNNNNNNNNNNNNNNNNNNNNNNNNNNNNNNNNNNNNNNNNNNNNNNNNNNNNNNNNNNNNNNNNNNNNNNNNNNNNNNNNNNNNNNNNNNNNNNNNNNNNNNNNNNNNNNNNNNNNNNNNNNNNNNNNNNNNNNNNNNNCCCCCUGCCUGGGCUCGGCGCGUGGAUGCCUUUUGGUCCCGGUUGGUGCCACCAACCGGGACCAAAGGCCCCCCUGCCUGGGCUCGGCGCACAGGCCACGUGGAGGACCAUCUAUCCCGGUUCGUGUUACAACCGGGACUAAAGGGGGGAGGUAUUAGUAACGACCCAUUAGUCCCGGUUCAUGAACCGGGAGUAAAGGCCCUCACGAACCGGGACUAAUAGGUGUUUGUCUACUAGUGAUAAGCCUAUGACUUAUGAAGUUGGUGAGAAGGCUUACCUUCGGGUUACACCUUUAAAGGGAACCCAUCGAUUCGGUAUCAAGGGCAAGUUGGCCCCUUGUUACAUUGGACCCUUUUGCAUUCUUGCCAAACGAGGGGAAGUUGCCUACCAGUUGGAACUACCUCCACAUCUUUCUAGAGUUCAUGAUGUCUUCCACGUCUCUCAACUCAGGCAUUGCUUCUCGAAUCAUAUCCGCGAAGUAGACCAUGAAACGCGUGAUCUCCAAGAAAAUCUCACUUAUCGAGAAUAUCCAAUUCGCAUCCUUGAUCAAGCCGAGCGUACCACUCGACGCCAGAAUAUCAAGUUUCUCAAGGUUCAAUGGUCACACCACUCCGAUCAAGAAGCAACUUGGGAAAGGGAGGAUCAUCUACGACUUGAGUAUCCCACCUUCUUCCCGAUAGACCCUAAAUCUCGGGAUGAGAUUCUUUUGAGUGGGGGUGAGUUGUCACAACCUAGCUAGUCCAUGCAUUAGAGUGUUGCAUCAUGUCUACCUUUUAUCAGAAACUUGAAUUGGGGAAGACAGAACCCCCCCAGAACCCCUCUAAAUUCAACUAGUGCUUACUAAAAAUAUUUUCAAUGAACCUGAAAUGCCCUUCUAAAAAGUUCACCCUCUUUGUCUUGGGUUAGAACCUCUGGCAAAAUUGGUGCACAAUUUUCUAGGUCAACAGAAGGCCAUUGAAUUAAAUCAUAUCUACUUUGAGUUUGGGCAUUUAAACUAUAUAAAAUAUUUCAAAUGCUCAAAUAACUCCAAACUAAAAUGUUCCAUACUGGAUAUAUUCCAACUAGCGACCAUGUGCAGUUUGGUGAUUUUUGGAGUUGCCUAAGUAUUUUUAGAAAUGCAACAAACUUACAGAAACAAUUAAAAACAGAAACAAAUGGGGAAAAAACCCUUACCUGGCCGAACCAAGCCCCAGCCCAGCUGGCCGGCCCAGCACUGUGCUGGCCCAUGCCAGCCAGCUGCUUUGCCAUCGCCACGCAGGCACAGAGCUGACGCCAGCGAGUGUGAGCUCGCCACGGCGCCAACUGCUUGCCGCCCGCGCCACCGAGCACCUGGGUGAGCUCCACGUCGCCACCCCGACCCCGUGGACACCUCAUUCGCCCCCCUGCCUCUUCCCUCGCUCUCCCGCACCAUGGCCGACGCACCCGUCGCCGCACCGCCGACGUAGUCGCGCCCUCCAUCGUCCCCGUGCUGCACCACCGUGUCCCUUCGCUCCGUCGUCAUCAACUACAUCGAGCAGGCCGAGCCCCGAGCGCUCGUGGGCCUUGCUUCGUCUUCUUUGACCUCAUCUUCACCGAGCACCACCGCAGAUCCCCUUCGCCGUCGCCGCUGCACCAGCUCGUCCCCGACCUCGCCGACCACUCCGUUGUGACCGCCGUGAGCUCAGCCACCUCCCCAUCCUCCCCGUUUGCCUUCUCGUGCACCGUAGCAGCCGCAUGGAGCUUCAUCGCACGCACCACCGCCGAGCUCGUCGCCGACGUGCCUCCGGCCAUCCACCGUCCACACCACGGUAUCUAACAUGCUCAUUGCAUCGCGUAGAGUCUAACGCCCCACUCCACGCGCCUCGCCGUGCCCCGUAGCCACGGGUCAAUUUUCACCCGACUCCGGCGACCGUCGCGGUCGUCGCUGCCGACGUUCCUGGCCACCUCGACCUCAACCACCACCACCAAACGCCGCGGCUUGUUCCUGGCUACACGUAGAUGGUCUUCGCCGUCCAUUUGGUCGCCGGAACGUGCUAACCCACUUCCUCUGCCGCAUCUGGCCUCGCCAGCGGCUAGACGCCGGCGUGUUUGACCCGUUGACGUUGACUGGGUGGGCCAGGUUGACUCCCCUGAGUCUAUGACAAGUGGGCCCCCCCCUCUGCUAAUUAACCUAGUUUAGUUCUUACUAAAAUCAGUUAGUUUAAAUAAGUGCUGACAUGCGGGACCCACUGGUCAGUUUGACCUGAACGACCCCUUUGACCAUUGACGUCACCCUGAUGCACUGCUGACGCAAUAACCAAUUUCUGGAUUUAUUGUUAUAUAGGAAAUUCCAGAAAUUGUUGCAAACUUCAAAAAUUCAUAGAAAUUAAUCUGUAACUCCAAAUGCAAAGAUUUAUAUAUGAAUUUCGAUCAAAAAAAUUCAAUAUAUCCAUUGGUAAUGGUUUCAUGCAUGUCAGAACAAGUUAACCUUGUUGUUUAAUCAAAACAAGUUAAUGCACUAAUAUGACUAUGUUAAAUGAACUACCAUUUGCAUCUUUGAUUCAAAUGAGUUCAUACCUUUCUGUUCUAGCUUGCAUUAGGCCAGGACACAUUCAUGUUGCCAUGUCAUAGCAUGCAUCAUAUUGUUGCAUAUCGUCAUGUGUGGUUCAUGUUCGGUGUGUUUUCGUGAUAGGUUCUGCCUCCGAGGAUAACCCCGAAUAUCCGUCUGAAGGGCAGUAUCCUACUACCACUACAUCAGGCAAGCAACCCAUUGAUCAUUCUGAUACAAACCCAUGUUCUCGCCUCUGCUCUUGUUUACUGCAUUAAGAUAACGCGAUUCAAACUGUUGUGUGUUGUGGUAGUUGAACCCACUUCCUUUGCAUGACCUGUCAUUGCCACGGUAACUAGAUGAAACCCACUAGCAUGUGUAGGAGUUGAUUGAGCCAUAUCUGUGUUACCUACCAUGCUAUGCUUGCUAUGCUUAGAGUUGUGUCAGGUCUGGCUCAUCAGGAUGAUGAACUAGAGUGAAAGGUUGUGUCGGUAACGAGAGUGAAGUGUUGAACACGAUUUGGUAAAGGUAUCGAUGAGAGGCCAUGUAGGAGUACAUGGUGGGUUGUUUCAUUGAGGCCGUCCUUAAGCACUGAGAUCUGUGUGUGUGAUUUAAGAUUCAGCUACUACCACGCAUUGGGCCCAAAACCAAUGGACCCUCUCGACUUAUUAACCACUCUUGUCCUCAGUCCGGGAGUUGCAAGUAGUUUCUGGUGUUUGUAGCAUGCUGGGGGCCGCACGCAGCGCUGACCUUAGGGGUGGGUUGUGUUGCGGUAGGCACGUGGCACGGUGUAUCGAUUCGCCCGUUUGGUGUCUCGGGAACCCUGUUCACAUCGUUCGGGGCCGUUAGUGGAAACCUCGGCCGGACUCCCUGCGGAUGGAACCCAAAUAGGCGAUAAACCUGGACUAGGGACUCGUGUGUUUAGUCAGGCCAUGGCCGACACCCUUGCUGGGCUUCCGCUUGAAGGUUGCCGAGUACACGUCAUGUAGUGGCGAUAAGUGGUGAGAGCGUGUGUGAAGAAGUACACCCCUGCAGGGUACAAAACUAUUCGAAUAGCCGCGUCCACGGUAAAGGACUACUUGGUCACCUAUACAGUUCAUAGACAAGUAAAUGGAUACUUCUAAAAGCCUCAAGAUAAGUGUGAGUGCCGCGGAUGGCCCUGUCGUAGGUUGACGAGAGAGGAUCCACGGUGGAGUAUUGUGUUGGUGAGUAGUGGACUCGUGUGCGACAAAUGUUUUGCAAGUUGUGUCUAUCGUUGGAUAGCUUAGCCAAGAGUCAAAGCUGGCUUGCUGCAAUAACUCCACUACCUUCUUGAGAAUGUGCAUGUAUGAUAGGAUUCUGUUGUAAGACUUGCUGAGUACCUCUGUACUCAUGUUUGCUUAAUUAAUGUUUUCAGACGACAACACCAACCCCUCCGAUGGGUUCUACGUAGACCUCGACGUUGACGAGUGACUAGCCACCCAAGUGGUGAUCCAAGACUUGUGAAGGGCCGAUGUAGAUAGAAAGGCUUCAUCAAGCCCUCUUUCUUUCUAGUGUCUGUACUCAGACUAGUUGCUUCCGCAUGUGCUUGUAUGCUUGUAUGACUUGAGUGUCAGGUCAUGUGACCCCUAUCUGUAUGAACAUGUUAUGUAUGGCUCCUCGGAGCCACUUAAAUAAAGUACUUUGAGUUGUAGAGUUUUGUUGUGAUGCCAUGUUGUAUGUACUCAUAUCGGGCAUAUUGUGUGUAUGUUUGAAAUGCUUGGUAUGAGUGGGAUCCGACAAUCUAGUUGUUUAUCCUUGGCAGCCUCUCAUAUGGGGAAAUGUAGUCUAGUGCUUCUUGAGCGAUAGUAGUCCGCUACAGCCCGGUUCACCGGAGUCCUGCUAGCCCAGUACUACUGCUCUGGACACUUGACUGGCCGGCAUGUGUUUCACUUUGUUCCUGUGUCUGUCCCUUCGGGGAAAUGUCAAGCGGUGGCAUCCGGAGUCCUGCCUAGCCUGCUACAGCCCGGGUUACCGGAGUCCUGUUAGCCCAGCGUUACAUCCCGGAUGUAUACGUUGAUGACCAACAUGCUCGAUGUGAUUCAUGUAUGCAUGUCCCCAUAGGUUAGCGCCGCUUGGGUUCACGACUAGCCAUGUCGGCCCGGGUUCUCAGUCAUGUGGAUGCUAGCGACACUAUCAUAUACGUGAGCCAAAAGGCGCAAACGGUCUCGGGCCAUGGUAAGGCGCCACCCGUGGGAUUACCGUGCGUGAGGCCGCAAAGUGAUAUGAGGUGUUACCGGCUGGAUCAAUGUGACUUGGAAUCGGGGUCCUGACAAUUACUUGCUCCUAUCAUAUGUUUGGUUGCAACAAUGUCACUUCUUCACAUAUGCCAUGUCCCAUUGCUUGUCUCAUGCUUGACUUCAUUGCCUCACACAUGAUGAACAAUUGCUCUUUAUAUUGUGUUGAGUGUUACACUAUAUUCACUACAUCCUAUGCACGUUAUGUUUGGAUUGUCUUGCACUUGACCCAUGUGUUUAGACACUUCAUUUUAUUUGGUGUUGUGAAUCCUUCCUAUGCCUACCAUAGACCUUUCAUUGAGCAAUUUGUGAAUGCUUGCUAUGACCUCGAGGUAGAUGCUUAUGCUCUUGUCACACAUAUUUGCAUCUCUACCUCACAUUUACAUGCUUGUUCCCAUGAUAUUUUUGCUUGUGCUCGAUUGAUAUGCUUACAUGCCAUGUCACAAUCCUUUGUCACACCCUAUGCUAUGCUUGAUGACAACACUUGUUUGGUGAAUCACCUCUUGAAUGCUUGGUUUUGCACGAACGCAAACCACAUUUGUUUUUCCACGGGUUUGUUCUAUUUGCUCCUUUUGAAGGAAUCACAAGAUGGUGCGACACUGGAGAGUGCCCACUUCGAGCUACUAGACGAUGAGUGCUUGGUGAUCGACCACUUCGAUAUGGCACCGCCAUCUCUUUCCUAUGGUGAUUUGGUUUUCGAUCCGAGGUCGAAUCCUUCUCAAGGGGGAGGGGAUGAUGCGGAGCAUCCUAUGGACAUCACCAUGUCAAGAGUCCAUUCGGCAAGUGACACGUGCGACAUCUACUUCUCAUACAUAAAGGUGAAUCUUCUCCUUUACACGUGUUCACUUGACCCCUUCGAGGAUGGUAUACUACUUGACACUUCUCCCGUGUGCAUGCAUAGGUAUUGUCAGAGCUUUACGGAUGUCGAGGAGUGCAAGCGCCAAGGAACGACUACACCGUCCGCGAGGGAAGCAUGGAAGAGAAGGAGGAAGAGAACCUGGUGUUGGGGAACGUAGUAAUUUCAAAAUUUUCCUACGCACAUGCAAGAUCAUGGUGAUGAUAUAGCAACGAGGGGAGAGUGUUGUCUACGUACCCUCGUAGACCGAAGCGGAAGCGUUGACGCAGCGUAGAGGAAGUAGUCCUACGUCCUCCCGGUCCGACCGAUCCAAGCACCGUUACUCCGGCACCUCUGAGUUCUUGACACACGUACAGCUCGAUGACGCACCCUCGAUCUCCAAUCCAGUAGAGGCUCCAAGGGGGAGUUCCGUCAGCACGACGGCGUGGUGACUAUCUUGAUGUUCUCCUGUCGCAGGGCUUCGCCUAAGCACCGCUACAAUAUGACCGAGGUGUAAUAUCGUGGAGGGGGGCACCGCACACGGCUAAGGAACGAUCAAUGAUCAACUUGUGUGUUCUAGGGUGCCCCCUACCCCCGUAUAUAAAGGAGGGAGGGAGGAGGUGGCCGACCCAAGGAGGGGGCGCGCCAUGGGAGGAGGAAACCUACUCCAAGUAGGUUUCCCCUCUUUUUCCUUAUCUUAUUUGGAGGGGGAAGGAAGGAGUACUAGUAGUAGGAAGGAGUACUAGUAGUAGGAAAGGAAGAGGGGGAAGGAGAAAGGAAAGGGGGGGCCGGCCCCCCUCCCCAAUUCGGAUUGGGCUUGGGGGGGCGCGCCCCCCUCCCUUGCUCCUUCUCCCUUCCUCCUACAUGGGCCCAAUAAGGCCCAUAUACCUCCCGGGGGGGUUUCGGUAACCUCCCGGAGCUCCAAACUCUUCCGGAACCUUUCCGGUGUCCAAAUAUAUCCGUCCAAUAUAUCGAUCUUUAUGUAUCGACCAUUUCGAGACUCCUCGUCAUGUCCGUGAUCAUAUCCGGGACUCCGAACAAACUUCGGUACAUCAAAAUACAUAAACUCAUAAUAUAACUGUCAUCGAAACCUUAAGCGUGCGGACCCUACGGUUCGAGAACGAUGUAGACAUGACCGAGACAUGUCUCUGGUCAAUAACCAAUAGCGGGACCUGGAUGCCCAUAUUGGUUCCUACAUAUUCUACGAAGAUCUUUAUCGGUCAAACCGCAUAACAGCAUACGUUGUUCCCUUUGUCAUUGGUAUGUUACUUGUCCGAGAUUUGAUCGUCGGUAUCCAAUACCUAGUUCAAUCUCGUUACCGACAAGUCUCUUUACUCGUUCUGUAAUACUUCAUCUCAUAACUAACUCAUUAGUUAUAUGCUUGCAAGGCUUAUGUGAUGAGCAUUACCGAGAGGGCCCAGAGAUACCUCUCCGACAAUCGGAGUGACAAAACCUAAUCUCGAAUUAUGCUAACUCAACAUGUACCUUCGGAGACACCUGUAGUACUCCUUUAUAAUCACCCAGUUACGUUGUGACGUUUGGUAGUACCCAAAGUGUUCCUCCGAUAAACGGGAGUUACACAAUUCUCAUAGUUACAGGAACAUGUAUAAGUCAUGAAGGAAGCAAUAGCAGAAUACUAAACGAUCAAGUGCUAAGCUAACGGGAUGGGUCAUGUCAAUCACAUCAUUCUCCUAAUGAUGUGAUCCCAUUAAUCAAAUGACAACACAUGUCUAUGGUUAGGAAACAUAACCAUCUUUGACUAAUGAGCUAGUCAAGUAGAGGCAUACUAGUGACUAUAUGUUUGUCUAUGUAUUCACACAUGUAUCAUGUUUCCGGUUAAUACAAUUCUAGCAUGAAUAAUAAACAUUUAUCAUGAUAUGAGGAAAUAAAUAAUAACUUUAUUAUUGCCUCUAGGGCAUAUUUCCUUCAGUCUCCCACUUGCACUAGAGUCAAUAAUCUAGUUCACAUCGCCAUGUGAUUUAACACCAAUAUUCAUAUCUGUAUAUGAUUAACACCCAUAGUUCACAUCAUCAUGUGACCAACAUCCAAAGUGUUUACUAGAGUCAAUAAUCUAGUUCACAUCGCUAUGUGAUUAACACCCAAAGAGUACUAAGGUGUGAUCAUGUUUUGCUCGUGAGAGAAGCUCAGUCAACGGGUCUGUCACAUUCAGAGCCAUAUGUAUUUUGCAAAUAUUCUAUGUCUACAAUGCUCUGCACGGAGCUACUCUAGCUAAUCGCUCCCACUUUCAAUAUGUAUCCAGAUUGAGACUUAGAGUCAUCUGGAUCGGUGUGAAAACUUGCACCGAGAUAACUUUUACGACGGGCUCUUUUAUCACCUCCAUAAUCGAGAAAUAUUUCCUUAGUCCUCACUAAGGAUAUUCUUGACCAAUGUCCAGUGAUCUACUCCUAGAUCACUAUUGUACUCCCUUGUCAAAUACAGAGCAAGGUAUACAAUAGGUCUGGUACAUAGCAUGGCAUACUUUAUAGAACCUAUGACUGAGGCAUAGGGAAUGACUUUUCAUUCUCUUUCUAUUUUCUGCUGUGGUCGGGAUUUGAGUCUUACUCAAUUUCAUACCUUUGCAACACAGGCAAGAACUCUUUCUUUGACUGUUCCAUUUUGAACUACUUCAAAAUCUUGUCAAGGUAUGUACUCAUUGAAAAUCUUAUCAAGCGUCUUGAUCUAUCUCAAUAGAUCUUGAUGCUCAAUAUGUAUGUAGUUUUACUGAGGUCUUUCUUUGAAAAAACUCUUAUUCAAGUAUCCUUUAAUGCUUUGCAGAAUAAUUCUACAUUAUUUCCGAUCAGCAAUAUGUCAUUCACAUAUACUUAUCAGAAAUGCUGUAGUGCUCCCACUCACUUUCUUGUAAAUACAGGCUUCACCGCAAGUCUGUAUAAUACUAUAUGCUUUGAUCAACUUAUCAAAGCGUAUAUUCCAACUCUGAGAUGCUUGCACCAGUCCAUAGAUGGAUUGCUGGAGCUUGCACAUUUUGUUAGCACCUUUAGGAUUGACAAAACCUUCUGGUUGUAUCAUAUACAACUCUUCUUUAAUAAAUUCAUUAAGGAAUGUAGUUUUGACAUCCAUUUGCCAAAUUUCAUAAAAUGUGGCAAUUGCUAACAUGAUUCGGACAAACUUUUAAGCAUCGAUACGAGUAAGAAAAUCUCAUCGUAUUCAACACCUUGAACUUUGUCAAAAACCUUUUUUCGACAAGUCUAGCUUUGUAGAUAGUAACACUACUAUCAACGUCCGUCUUCCUCUUGAAGAUCCAUUUAUUCUUAAUGACUCACUGAUCAUCGGGCAAGUCAAUCAAAGUCUACACUUUGUUCUCAUACAUGGAUCAUAUCUCAGAUUUCAUGGCCCCAAGCCAUUUCGUGGAAUCUGGGCUCAUCAUCGCUUCCUCAUAGUUCGUAGGUUCAUCAUGGUCUAGUAACAUGACUUCCAGAACAUGAUUACCGUACCACUCUGGUGCGGAUCUUACUCUGGAAGACCUACGAGGUUUGGUAGCAACUUGAUCUGAAGUUUGAUGAUCAUCAUCAUUAACUUCCUCACUAAUUGGUGUAGGAAUCACUGGAACUGAUUUCUGUGAUGAACUACUUUCCAAUAAGGGAGAAGGUACAAUUACCUCAUCAAGUUUUACUCUCCUCCCACUCACUUCUUUCGAGAGAAACUCCUUCUCUGGAAAGGAUCCAUUUUAGCAACGAAUGUCUUGCCUUCGGAUCUGUGAUAGAAGGUGUACCCAACAAUUUCCUUUGGGUAUUCUAUGAAGACGCACUUCUCCGAUUUGGGUUCGAGCUUAUCAGGAUGAAACUUUUUCACAUAAGCAUCGCAGCCCCAAACUUUAAGAAACAACAGCUUAGGUUUACUGCUAAACCAUAGUUCAUACGGUGUCGUCUCAACGGAUUUAAAUGGUGCCCUAUUUUAAAACGUGAAUGCAGCUGUCUCUAAUGCAUAACCCCAAAACGAUAGUGGUAAAGAGACAUCAUAGAUCGCACCAUAUCAAAUAAAGUGCGGUUACGACGUUCGGACACACCAUAACGAUGUGGUGUUCCAGGUGGUGUGAGCUGUGAAACUAUUCCACAUUGUUUUAAUUGAAGACCAAACUCGUAACUCAAAUAUUUGUCUCCGCUAUCAGAUCGCAGAAACUUUAUUUUCUUGUUACGAUGAUUUUUCCACUUCACUCUGAAAUUCUUUGAACCUUUCAACUAUUUCAGACUUAUGUUUCAUCAAGUAGAUAUACCCAUAUCUGCUCAAAUCAUCUUGUGAAGGUCAGAAAAUAACGAUACUUGCCACGAGCCUCAACACUCAUUGGAUCGCAUACAUCGGUAUGUAUUAUUUCCAAUAAGUCAGUAGCUUGUUCCAUUAUUCCGGAGAACGGAGUUUUAGUCAUCUUGCCCAAAAGGCACGGUCCGCAAGCAUCAAAUGAUUCAUAACCAAGUGAUUCCGAAAAUCCAUCUUUAUGGAGUUUCUUCAUGCGCUUUACACCGAUAUGACCCAAACGGCAGUGCCACAAAUAAGUUGCACUAUCAUUAUUAACUUUGCAUCUUUUGGCUUCAAUAUUAUGAAUGUGUGUAUCACACGAUCGAGAUCCAACAAACCAUUUUCAUUGGGUGUAUAACCAUAGAAAGUUUUAUUCAUGAAAACAGAACAACAAUUAUUCUCUAACUUACAUGAAUAACCGUAUUGCAAUAAACAUGAUCAAAUCAUAUUCAUUCUCAACGCAAACACCAAAUAACACUUAUUUAGGUUUAACACUAAUCCCGGAAGUAUAGGGAGUGUGCGAUGAUGAUCAUAUCAAUCUUGGAACUAUUUCCAACACACAUCGUCACUACACUCUUAACUAGUCUCUGUUUAUUCUGCAACUCCCGUUUCGAGUUACUAAUCUUAGCAACCGAACAAGUAUCAAAUACUUAGGGGCUACUAUAAACACUAGUAUGGAACACAUCAAUAAUCUGUAUAUCAAAUAUACCCUUGUUCACUUUGCCAUCCUUCUUAUCAACCAAAUAUUCAGGGCAUUUCCGCUUCCAGUGACCAUUUCCUUUGCAGUGUAAACACUCAGUUUCAGGCUAUGGUCCAGCUUUGGGCUUGUCUUUCCACUUGAAGUUCCCUUUCUUUCCCUUUGCCCUUCUCUUGAAACUAGUGGUCUUGUCAAUCAUCAACACUUGAUGCUCUUUCUUGAUUUCUACCUUCGUCGAUUUCAACAUCACGAAGAGCUCGGGAAUCAUUUUUUCGUCAUCCCUUGCAUACUAUAGUUCAUCACGAAGUUCUAGUAACUUAGUGAUGGUGACUAGAGAAUUCUGUCAAUCACUAUCUUAUCUGGAAGAUUAACUCCCACUUGAUUCAAGCGAUUGAAGUACCCAGACAAUCUGAGCACAUGCUCACUAGUUGAGCGAUUCUCCUCCAUCUUUUAGCUAUAGAACUUGUUGGAGACUUCAUAUCUCUCAACUCGGGUAUUUGCUUGAAAUAUUAACUUCAAUUCCUGGAACAUCUCAUAUGGUCCAUGAUGUUCAAAACAUCUUUGAAGUCCCGAUUCUAAGCCGUUAAGCAUGGUGCACAAAACUAUCAAGUAGUCAUCAUAUUGAGCUAGCCAAACGUUCAUAACGUCUACAUUUGCUCCUGCAUUAGGUCUUUCACCUAGCGGUGCAUUAAGGACAUAAUUCUUCUGUGCAGCAAUGAGGAUAAACCUCAGAUCACGGAUCCAAUCCGCAUCAUUGCUACUAACAUCUUUCAACACAGUUUUCUCUAGGAACAUAUCAAAAUAAACAUAUGAAAGCAACAACGCGAGCUAUUGAUCUAUAACACAAUUUGCAAAAUACUACCAGGACUAAGUUCAUGAUAAAUUAAAGUUCAAUUAAUCAUAUUACUAAAGAACUCCCACUUAGACAGACAUCUCUCUAGUCAUCUAAGUGAUCACGUGAUCCAAAUCAACUAAACCAUGUCCGAUCAUCACGUGAGAUGGAGUAGUUUCAAUGGUGAACAUCGCUAUGUUGAUCAUAUCUACUAUAUGAUUCACGCUCGACCUUUCGGUCUCCGUGUUCCGAGGCCAUAUCUGUAUAUGCUAGGCUCGUCAAGUAUAACCUGAGUAUUCCGCAUGUGCAACUGUUUUGCACCCGUUGUAUUUGAACGUAGAGCCUAUCACACCCGAUCAUCACGUGGUGUCUCAGCACGAAGAACUUUCGCAACGGUGCAUACUCAGGGAGAACACUUCUUGAUAAUUAGUGAUAGAUCAUCUUAAAAUGCUACCGUCAAUCAAAGCAAGAUAAGAUGCAUAAAGGAUAAACAUCACAUGCAAUCAAUAUAAGUGAUAUGAUAUGGCCAUCAUCAUCUUGUGCUUGUGAUCUCCAUCUCCGAAGCACCGUCGUGAUCACCAUCGUCACCGGCGCGACACCUUGAUCUCCAUCGUAGCAUCGUUGUCGAUUACGCCAUCUAUUGCUUCUACGACUAUCGCUACCGCUUAGUGAUAAAGUAAAGCAAUUACAGGGCGUUUCCAUUUCAUACAAUAAAGUGACAACCAUAUGGCUCCUGCCAGUUGCCGAUAACUUCGGUUACAAAACAUGAUCAUCUCAUACAAUAAAAUAUAGCAUCACGUCUUGGCCAUAUCACAUCACAACAUGCCCUGCAAAAACAAGUUAGACGUCCUCUACUUUGUUGUUGCAAAUUUUACGUGGCUGCUACGGGCUUAGCAAGAACCGUUCUUACCUACGCAUCAAAACCACAACGAUAGUUUGUCAAAUAGACUCCGUUUUAACCUUCACAAGGACCGGGCGUAGCCACACUCGGUUCAACUAAAGUUGGAGAAACAGACACCCGCCAGUCACCUGUGUGCAAAGCAUGGCGGUAAAACCAGUCUCGCGUAAGCGUACGCGUAAUGUCGGUCCGGGCCGCUUCAUCCAACAAUACCGCUGAACCAAAGUAUAACAUGCUGGUAGGCAGUAUGACUUAUAUCGUCCACAACUCACUUGUGGUCUACUCGUGCAUAUAACAUCAACGAAUAAAACCUAGGCUCUGAUGCCACUGUUGGGGAACGUAGUAAUUUCAAAAUUUUCCUACGCACAUGCAAGAUCAUGGUGAUGAUAUAGCAACGAGGGGAGAGUGUUGUCUACGUACCCUCGUAGACCGAAGCGGAAGCGUUGACGCAACGUAGAGGAAGUAGUCGUACGUCCUCCCGGUUCGACCGAUCCAAGCACCGUUACUCCGGCACCUCCGAGUUCUUGACACACGUACAGCUCGAUGACGCACCCUCGAUCUCCAAUCCAGUAGAGGCUCCGAGGGGGAGUUCCGUCAGCACAACAGCGUGGUGACUAUAUUGAUGUUCUCCUGUCGCAGGGCUUCGCCUAAGCACCGCUACAAUAUGACCGAGGUGUAAUAUCGUGGAGGGGGGCACCGCACACGGCUAAGGAACGAUCAAUGAUCAACUUGUGUGUUCUAGGGUGCCCCCCUACCCCCGUAUAUAAAGGAGGGAGGGAGGAGGUGGCCGGCCCAAGGAGGGGGCGCGCCAUGGGAGGAGGAAACCUACUCCAAGUAGGUUUCCCCUCUUUUUCCUUAUCUUAUUUGGAGGGGGAAGGAAGGAGUACUAGUAGUAGGAAGGAGUACUAGUAGUAGGAAAGGAAGAGGGGGAAGGAGAAAGGAAAGGGGGGGCCGGCCCCCUCCCCAAUUCGGAUUGGGCUUGGGGGGGCGCGCCCCCCUCCCUUGCUCCUUCUCCCUUCCUCCUACAUGGGCCCAAUAAGGCCCAUAUACCUCCCGGGGGGUUCCGGUAACCUCCCGAAGCUCCAAACUCUUCCGGAACCUUUCCGGUGUCCAAAUAUAUCCGUCCAAUAUAUCAAUCUUUAUGUCUCGACCAUUUCGAGACUCCUCGUCAUGUCCGUGAUCACAUCCGGGACUCCGAACAAACUUUGGUACAUCAAAAUACAUAAACUCAUAAUAUAACUAUCAUCGAAAACUUAAGCGUGCGGACCCUACGGUUCGAGAACGAUGUAGACAUGACCGAGACAUGUCUCUGGUCAAUAACCAAUAGUGGGACCUGGAUGCCCAUAUUGGUUCCUACAUAUUCUACGAAGAUCUUUAUCGGUCAAACCGCAUAACAGCAUACGUUGUUCCCUUUGUCAUCGGUAUGUUACUUGUCCGAGAUUUGAUCGUCGGUAUCCAAUACCUAGUUCAAUCUCGUUACCGACAAGUCUCUUUACUCAUUCUGUAAUACUUCAUCUCAUAACUAACUCAUUAGUUAUAUGCUUGCAAGGCUUAUGUGAUGAGCAUUACCGAGAGGGCCCAGAGAUACCCCUCCGACAAUCGGAGUGACAAAACCUAAUCUCGAAUUAUGCUAACUCAACAUGUACCUUCGGAGACACCUGUAGUACUCCUUGAUAAUCACCCAGUUACGUUGUGACGUUUGGUAGUACCCAAAGUGUUCCUCCGGUAAACGGGAGUUACACAAUUCUCAUAGUUACAGGAACAUGUAUAAGUCAUGAAGGAAGCAAUAGCAGAAUACUAAACGAUCAAGUGCUAAGCUAACGGGAUGGGUCAUGUCAAUCACAUCAUUCUCCUAAUGAUGUGAUCCCAUUAAUCAAAUGACAACACAUGUCUAUGGUUAGGAAACAUAAUCAUCUUUGACUAAUGAGCUAGUCAAGUAGAGGCAUACUAGUGACUAUAUGUUUGUCUAUGUAUUCACACAUGUAUCAUGUUUCCGGUUAAUACAAUUCUAGCAUGAAUAAUAAACAUUUAUCAUGAUAUGAGGAAAUAAAUAAUAACUUUAUUAUUGCCUCUAGGGCAUAUUUCCUUCACCUGGCCGCUCCAGAACGAGCGGUACUACCGCCCACUCCAAGCGGUACUACCGCUGAGGCCACCCAAGAGGCACUACCGCCCAGCAUCCGCCCUACUACCGCUCAACCCGACAAACUCCAGUGAUCGAGCGGUAUAAGCCCGGUACUACCGCCCCUCCAAGCGGUACUACCGCUCAAGCGGUACUACCACCCAUGAGUCCGGUACUACCGCCCUGCUUGUGAGCAGCCGCGGGCCUUUGGCCUUGUAUCCCUCUCCCACUUACCCCUUCGUGGCUUAGACUAUAAAUAGACCACCUCCACCUCCUUUCUAGGGUUAGAACAGAUUGAGCUUAUUUUGAGAUAGAGCUUUACUCAUCCAUACGGAUCUACUCCUCGUGAGAGACUGCGGCCUCUUCGGAGAAGAUCGAUCUUGGAUUCAAGACCCCUCGUGGGAAGAUCCGUCUAGGAUCAUCAAGACCUCCUCUUGGAGAUGAACCUUACCUUGUAUCUUUCCCUUUGUUGUUCAUGUACCCUUGUGGAUCUUGUGUGUUUGAUUGUCUAGUGGAUGUGUGAUUGGACUUGUUCUUGAGUGUUUCCCCUUGUGAUUUCUCUCCGUUCUUCCCUGUGUUCUUCGUGUUCUUCGUGGGGAUCCACUCCAAACGUGAAAAAUCGGCCUCUAGGGUUCUACCCUACAUCAUCAUCCUUCAAAAAUAUGGAGGGCCAUUAUUGACGGAAGGGAUAUUAUAUGGCGCAAGGUAUAAUCAGACGCAUCGGGGAUGGAGCGACUACACACAUAUGGGAUCACAACUGGAUUAUGAUGGAAAGCUAUAAGAGGCCAAUAACUAAGUUAGUGCAGAACCCCCCUCAGAAACAUUUUAUGUAUACACGUUAACAUUUCCCAGAUAUAUGAUUAAUAUUUUUGGAAAACUUCUAUUUUUUAUGUGUACUUUUUUAUACAUUUUGUAAUAUCAGAAAUAGUUUUUAUAGAAGGUUUAACAUUUUUCAAAUACAUGAUUACCUUUUUGUAAACUUAUAUUGUUUGACGUUUACUUUUUUUCAUAGACAUAGUGAGGGGUUAUAUCUAAGGAAUAGGCCCAAGUACAUGUAUGGCACAACCAAAUGCCCAUGUUAAUCAAGGAUGUUCCACAAGACAAAUGGGGAAACACACCAAGGCCAAUGGAGCUACAAGGCCAAGGCAUCGGAUACAAGGGGAGAGUCAACUAUGUACAGUCGGAUUACACAGCCCUUAACAGACAAGACUCAUCAGUUGGUCCACUAUUGGAAUCAGGUCAUUUGCCGUCAGCCCAGAAUAGACGCGAAGACUUUGCCGUGAGCAAGUUGACGACAAACACAAUCAGCAAAGACUAUAUCGGCAGAGAGCUAAUUUGACGUCAACUUUUCAUCGCGCUGAUGACAAAGACUUUGCCGUCAAUUAAACUAUGUGUUUGUAGUCUGUAGAGAAAACACAAACGGCAAAGAAAUUAAAAAAAUGGUCAUUUUAAAAUAAUUUUUAGAAAUCUAUAUACUGUUUUUUAAAAUGUUUAAUAUGUACCAAGAAUUAUUUCGUAAGUAUACAAAAGAUGUAUAACGUGUAUGAAAAUUACGUAGACAUCAGAACAUAUUAUAGAAAUGUUAAUCUUGUAUUUAAAAAUUUUAAAUACACAUGCAUAAAAAUGUUUUUGAUGUACAUAAAAAAAUUGUACAUAGUGUGUGAACAAAGUAUGCAUUGAAAAAACAAAAAUCUUGUUGGAAAAAAAUCUCGUGUUGUAUACGAAAAUGUAAAAGGUGUAUGAAAAUAAUUAGAUAUAUGUUUAAUGAAAAAAGGAAAGAAGGCGCAAAAAAUCCGAUUAACACCAAGAUAGGAACAAGAAAACCUGAAGAAGACCAUUGAAAAAAAGAAAUGAAUACAAGAAAGAGGAAGAAAAACAAAAAAAAUGAAGAAGCUGAUGCAGAACAGGGAACUUAGUGAAAACGAAUAAAAAUUGAUGAAAACCGAGAAGAAAAACAAGAAAACUGAAGCAAAAAUUAAGAAAAAUAUGUAAAAAAAAUGAUGAAACAUUGCGAAACAGUGAAAUACUAUGAAAACCAAAGGAAAAAAAGACUCAAAAAUAAGAACGUACAGCAAGCGAAUGAACAACAACUGAGUGAACGAGCGAACAUGCGAGAAUACGUUAAUUGUCUGGCCCAUACUUGUGGAUUCCAGAGGCGAGCCAGAAUAGGCGAGAUAUAGCUAUGACGAUUUGAUACCCUUCAUAGCUUCACGAAUGCUAUAUCUCGCUCACAGCGAAAGUAUUUUUUGUCUGGCCUGAAGGUGAAAGAAUAGCAUCAGGUCGCUGUAAGUUUUGUGAUCCUACAAUCAGAGCUCGAUAAGAUUAAAAUUCAUGUUUCUGACAACCAGUCAUUCGCUCACUCAAUUCCACGUACUAGUUUGGUUAGGUUUUUUUUUCAUUUUUUUCUGUUUUUUAUUUCUUCACUGGCUUUCUUUGGUUUUUUUAUCGGUUUUCUUUGUUUCCUUCACGUUUUACUCUUUCUUUUCCUUUUUACUGGUUUAUCUAUUCCUUUUUUCUUUGUUUCUUUCUUGGUUUUCUUUGUUUUUUCUUUCUUUUGAUGUCAACCUUUUUACAUACACAUUCAACAAUUUUCGUAUACAUCAGAAACAUUUUAUGUAUACACGUUAACAAUUCCCAGGUACAUGAUUAAUAUUUUUGGAAAACUUCUAUUUUUUAUGUGUACUUUUUGAUACAUUUUGUAUAUAUCAGAAAUAUUUUUUAUAGAAGGUUUAACAUUUUUUAAAUACAUGAUUACCUUUUUGUAAACUUAUAUUGUUUGACGUUUACUUUUUUUCAUAGACAUAGUGAGGGGUUAUAUCUAAGGAAUAGGCCCAAGUACAUAUAUGGCCCAAGUACAUUUAAUCAAGGAUGUAGUCCACAAGACAAAUGGGGAAACAGACGGGGGCCAAUGGAGCUACAAGGCCAAAGCAUCGGAUACAAGGGGAGAAUCUACAGUCGGAUUACACAACCCUUGACAGACAAGACUCAUUAGUUGGUCCGCUAUAGGAAUCGGGUAAUUUGCCGUCAGCCGAGAACAUACUCAAAGACUUUGCCGUCAGCAAGUUGAUGACAACUUUUCAUCACGUUGAUGACAAAGACUUUGCCGUCAAUUAAACUAUGUGUUUAUCGUCUAUAGAAAAAACACAAACGGCAAAGGAAAGCACCUUUGCCAUCAGCGGCUAAUCUGCAUGUGUCUUCAACAAGACUCGUCUUGUCACUAGCCUCAAACAUCACAGAUGGAAAAGAAAUUUUUUAUUUUAAAAAAUCUGCGUCGACCACCCUACUUCGCACAUGUAGCCACCGCCUGGCCGCGCUCGCUGAUCACCCACAAGUGUAGGGGAUCUAUCGUAGUCCUUUCGAUAAGUAAGAGUGUCGAACCGAACGAGGAGUAGAAGGAAAUGACAAGCGGUUUUUAGUAAGGUAUUCUCUGCAAGCACUGAAAUUAUCGGUAACAGAUAGUUUUGUGAUAAGGUAAUUCGUAACGGGUAACAAGUAACAACAGUAAAUAAAGUGCAGCAAGGUGGCACAAUCCUUUUUGUAGCAAACGACAAGCCUGGACAAAUUCUUAUAUGAAGGAAAACGCUCCCGAGGACACAUGGGAAUUAUCGUCAAGCUAGUUUUCAUCACGCUCAUAUGAUUCACGUUCAUUACUUUGAUAAUUUAAUAUGUGGAUGGACCGGUGCUUGGAUACUGCUCUUUCUUGGAUAAGCAUCCCACUUAUGAUUAACCCCUAUUGCAAGCAUCCGCAACUCAAAAGAAAUAUUAAGGUAAACCUAAUCAUAGCAUGAAACAUUGACACGGCACAUUAUAAAGAGUUCAACCCAAAUUUUGUAGUAACACUAUUAUAUUUAAAUAGUGAUUAUUCCAACACAUGGAUAAUUAAUUAAGGCACCAGGUUGCGCUUGUGACCAGGAAAGACAAACUUAUGAACUUGCAAGCAUGACAAUCAGAUCGACAUCCACACAAUGUCAAUAUGAACAUUGUCUUGAUACAACUUUAUUUGUAUUUUAUUUCAGAAUUUAAACAACUAGUUUGGGCGGGUCACACACGACGUUGUGUGACACUUUAUUUGUCACCGCUGCAUCGACAUAUCCAUCGACUAAACAACGGUGAUCCAACUAUAUAUUACUAGAGACCUUUCCUUAUCAGUAGGCACCAACUCCAGUGCCAACGCCAAAUGGCACACUAGUGGUGGUCCUAUACAACGGCACAUUGACACGGCACAUCAUUGGCAGGGUACGGAGCGCAAUGGAAGUCAUCACCUCAAGCUGAGCUAUCUGGUGUGGCUGCAAAAAGGUACCCUGUGCCAAUUGUUGUUGUUGAGGUUGUUGCCCGAGUUGCUGCUGUGACUGCUGUUGGGGUUGGGAAACGCAUUGGCCCAACUGUUGCGGUUGCUGCUGCUGAGUUUGGAUGGAACCCCGAACCUGUUGUUGUUCUUGCAGGACGAUGGAGUAGAUGAUAGCACGGAUUGCCUCAUAGCGGGAUUGCUGGGGGAUUUGCGGCAACUGCUGGCAACAUUGUUGUUGCAUCACAUGGCAACUACUCUGCUGCAACAUUUGCGACCUAGCAAGACUUUGUGGCAUUGCCACAGGGCUGCAUUGCUGCUGGAGGAAUACCUUGCAUGGGUUCAGCUGCUGCAAGAUAGAUGGAUGAACAAAUGGUAUUUGUUGUUGCGGUAGAACUAGUUGUUGUUGUUGUUGCGAAAAUGAUGGUUGUUGUGGUAGAAUUGGUUGUUGUUGUUGUUGUUGCGAAAAUGGUGGUUGUUGCGGUAGUACUGGUUGUUGUUGUUGUGAAAACGGUGGUUGUUGUUGUGAAAAUGGUGGUAGUUGUUGCUGCGAAAAUGAUGGCUGUUGCGGUAGAACUGGUUGUUGUUGCUGCGAAAAUGGUGGUUGUUGCUGUGAAAAUGGUGGUUGUUGUUGCUGUGAAAAUGGUGGUUGUUGUUGCUGCGAUAAUGGUUGUUGUUGUUGUUGUUGUUGUUGUUGUUGUUGUUGUUGUUGUUGUUGUUGUUGUUGUUGUUGUUGUUGUUGUGAACAUGGUUGCUGUUGUGGAAAUUGUUGUGGUUGUUGUUGGAUGGGUUGUUGUGGUUGUUGGUGCGAUAAUGUUUGUUGUGGUGGUAAUGGUUGUUGCUGCGAUGGUCUCUCCAAACCAGGGAUGUGGCUAUUCUCCAUUUGUGCAAUGGCACUUGUCGCCGCAACGGCGAGGAGGGCAAAGAUGAGGAAGGUCUUCAUGGUGGACUAGUGUUAACUAGUAUUUCCUGGUUUUGAUGCUUGUGUUUGUGAUGAUCUUUAUACUUCAUGCCUAUUUAUAGUAGCCAGGGCACCACCUCUUUUCUUCUUUGCAUUAGCUUUAAUAAUUCUGUUUGGAUGCAUCUAAAAUGAUUUUUGAUACAGUGUGUUAGGUUGCACUAGCUACACGCAUACUUUUGGAUUGAUCAUCAAAGUUUCUUUUUAGUUGUGCAUAUGAUCAUACACAAAGUAUAGAAAUCCUGAUGCUUGCUAAAGAUGACUUGCCUUAUUCACUUUACAUGUCACACACUUAUCUGUAUAGUAUCACUUUUGCAACCGAGUUUGGAACCUUGUAUAGGUUGUCAGCCAUAAACAAGAAAGGCAAAACUUGUGUAGGACUAAGUUGCAAUCGUGUGUGGGCUGUUAAGAUAUGCUCGAUUGUUAAAGCCUUGCGUCUGGAGGGUUCUUCUAGACUCGGUUGCUUUUCAUAAAACUAACUUUGUAUUUUCCUCUAAGAUGAUAAGAUGAAAUGACGCCUGUAGAGCAUGACAUGACUCAUUGAAUUCCCUUUACACGUAAAGGAUGGUAAUUGCUUACAAGCUACUCCUACUAGCAUAUAUCCGGUCCUAACUCUAGACACGUCAUCACCAGUUCCAUCUUUUUUUUUUAGAUAAAUCAUCAGUUCCGUGUUUUUUUUUUUUGAGACAAUCAGUUCCAUCUAUGUUUUUUUUUGAGAGAAAUAGUUCCAUCUAUGGGUGAAGGAUUUUUUUGGGGGCAAAUGAUAGAUGGGGCUGGAACAGAGGCCCCAGCCUGGAACGAGAGAUUAGGCCCAACGUAAGCGAUGUGUGUGUUAGGGCACCAAAUUCGAACUGGGCUAUAGUUUUCGGAGGCCCCAACGUCAGAAGCCCAGCCCACACUCCGCCGAUCUGCGUCGUCUUCGUCUCCCCUUCCCCGUCCUCCUCGCCGGCCGGAUCGCUCGCCGGCGCACGACGUCUCCCGGACCCCACCGCCCGCGGCCGCUCCACGUACGCGCGCGGCGGCGGAGGCGUCGGCCUCCCUCCCACCCUCCGCAUCCGGCCCCCCACCACCACCGCCACCGCCACCGCUCGAGGUACCCACUCGUUCCCCUUCCCAUUCCUCCCUACCCUCAACCUCUCUCGUAUCCUCUUCUAACAGCUCUUUUUACUUCCGUUGCAGAUGGUCUCUGAGCUCCCCCGUCGGCUGCGCGCCGUAGGCCUCCCCUCCCGGUCGACACAAGGUAUCGAUCCUGUCCGUCCGUCUCUUCCAGCGAUUCGAUUCACAUGAAUUCGAGAGGCGUGCCCAUCUCCAUGCUAGCUGCGUGGAUCAGGAGGGUCAGGAAGCAGAAUUCAGAUGCCUGACAGUGACAUACUACUACAUUUGUGGCUUUGGAAGCUGAGCAACUCCGUGCUUUAUGUGGAUGUCACUUCAAGUAAUCAUCAAAUUUCCGCCUACGCGCGCUACCCAGGUGGAGUGGAGGAGAAGCAGUUGGCAUGGGCAUUCCGUUUCUCUCCCAUGUCUGAGAAGAAAGUUCGUCUCCGGUGCAGCGAUAUCCAAGUUAGUUACAGCAUCCAGUCAUCUAUAUAAUCUCAGUGUUUAUUCUGUUUUGUACUGUCGUAUUUCAUAUGUGCAUCAGAGCAAAUGUGCUUUCUAGAGGCAUGUUGCAGCUGGCCGAGUCCCAGAUCUCGUUUCAUGUAUAUGGCCAUAGGCAGCGAUCAAUAAAAGGGUACUGGAAUUGAUCUUCUAACGUCACUGUUGUUUCUAGCUCCCUGUCUUUGUUUUUGUUGCUUCCGUCGUAUGGUUGCAAAGUUAGGCUUCAUCUGAUUUUAGUUAGUUAAUCUGAUCUCGUUAACCUGAUAAAGAGAAUUCCACCCUGCCCUUUAUUCCGCUCUUCACUGUCUCACAAUAAGGGAACAUAUUAAGCUCACCAAAUUGUGUCCCUCAAAAAUAAAAAAUAAACUCACCAAAUUGUAUCACAGGAGAUUGUCAAGUUGUGUUUUAUCAUAUCAGUAUAGUAAGUGUAUCAUUUGUCCAUAUCAACAAGGGAUAGUCAUCUGCCAGCUUAUUAUGCUCAUCUCUGAGCUCGAUCAUGCCCUUCAAUGUUAGUUAGAGGUGUCAUUAAAACAGGACAAGAAAUUAACCACUUUCCACCGGGUCUUCUCUCUUGAGCAGGAAGCAUGUGAUGCAUUCAAGAUUCGAUGAAUUCACGAAAACCAAUAUCGUGGUCCUCCCUGUGCAGCAGGUACCUGAGAUGAAUUGUAUUUUGUAAGUGCUCUGUAUGCGUGCUGUCAGCCGGCAGUGGAGGUAAUUGUUUAAUUUGCAUUCCUGCAACUUCUUGUAUUUGUAAAGAAAAUUCUUACUAUUUGCUGAGUGCACAGCCAUUGCAUUGUCACUUUUGAAAAACCGCAUUGGAUGUACUGAGAUAAAUAAUAGUAUAAUCUCUACUUGCAUACUACGAACGAGAAAUCUUCAUUCUGACUUGCAAUAAGGGAGUUUGUUUAGCUGUGCCUUAUUAGGAAAUGAAGAUACCCCCAGCUGUUAACGUGGUAUCCAAGCUAUCCUUAUUAUAUGUCAGCUCAAAAGGAAUGCCAAGUGCCGAGCUGUUGUGAGAGUUGAUGGUUGUGAUUGGUUACCAAAAAUCAAAGUCACCCACUCAAGAGAGAAAGUCAAUGCUCACGUUGGCUUCCAUUUUUCUCACACGCAAACCAAACACAUCUUGCUCACACCAUUAUCUUCUCCAUUUUGCACUGUGCUUGUGCUAAUCUGUGUAGUAUUGUUGGCAAUUUGGGAUAUGUUGGUCUCGCCAGGAGGCCUGUGCUAAUCUGUGCUAUUUCUGAAAAUAUGCUCCCCUAAUCUCCAAUUAUAUUAUGCGUAAAACCAAAAAGGUCAGACUUCUUGAGAACAUGCCAGUGCUGAUUUGUGUUUUUCCUGCUGAUAUGCACUUUAGUAUAUCAAAAUGUACACUUAAUUAGAUGUUUUAAUUUUAAAGUCACAGUUAGAGAGAGGGACAGUGCACCAACCAGCUGGUGCAAACGAAUGACCUGUGUGACGACCUGAGCGUAUUCUUGAAAAAGAAACCCGAAAUACCACCUAGAUCCAUCCACCAUUAUUGCCAGUGUUAAAAAAAAAUACAGGCGUCUUCUGGGCUCUAAAAGCCAUUUCUGGGUCUUAUCUCUUGAAGAAGCAUUUGAUGCAUUUAAGAUUCAACCAAUUAAGAAAACCAAUGUUCUGGCCUUCCAUCCGUGGCAGGAACUCAGAGAUGAAUUGUCUUUUGCACAAGUAUGCUGACACACGUCUAGUCAGUCGAGGUAAUUUUUGGAUUUGCAUUCCUGUGACCUCUGGUAUUUGGAAAAAGUAAAUCAUAUUUGCUAAGUUCACAGCCAAUGGAGCGAAAAUUUUGAAAAACUGCUUUGGAUUUACUGGCAUAAAUAUCUAGAGAGAAUUCCUUAUUAGACACUCCCUUAAAAUCAUGUUCCUUAUUUGACACUAGAAAAAAUUUCUUCCCUAUAUGACCUAUAGUCUUAAUUUCUUUCCCUAUAUGACACUCUAGUGCAUUUUGUUCACGUGAAAAGACCAUUUUACCCAUAUGUAUAAUGUGACCGCAAAUAUGUACAAGAUAAUAGUUGUUCCAAAAAAAUCAGUCGAGUUAUCCAUAUGUGACAUCAUAUAUGCUGGUAUUGUCAUGUCAGUCGAUUUACUAUUGUGCUAAGAAAUCAUGACCGAGGCCUUCGAUGGUUCAUGUGCUAAUUGACCUCAGCUAGUUGUCUAUACGUAUUUGUGUACAUAUACGUGGCCAGCUUGCCGGCCGGAGCGUAGAUAUUUAAAUACGUACGCGCACCCUGACGAUCAAGCGAAUACAUGUAUUCUAGCUUCGUAUGACCCGGUUCAUAUACAUACGUAUGUUGGCUGCACCGAACCGGGCCUACAUUCGUGCUAGCACGCAACUUCCUUCCAUACUUGCAAAUACGUGCACAUGCACUAAUGGCAUGCACGUAGGCGAUCACGGAAGCACACACAAAAAUGCUUAAAAAAUUCAUUCAUUUUUAAGAAUGCAUUUUAGUGUUAAAGCACACGUACAAAAGUACGUCAAACAAUCACACUCACAAACCAUACCGCAUGAACUAGACCCACAGCUGAAUACGUUCUAAAUACAUUGGAUGCAUGCGCUCAGGUAUACAGAAUACACAUGCAUCCCAAAAAAGACCAACGGAGGAGAUAACAUGUUCAGCUGUGCUCACUCUUAGAAACGAUUUUUUCCUAAUUAGGCUCAAUGCUACAUAUUUCUGGUCACAUUAUGUACAGGGGCAAAAAGGUCUUUUCACGUGUACAAAAUGAACUAGAGUGUCAUAUAGGGAAAGAAAUUAAGACUAUAAGUCAUAUAGGGAAGAAAUUUUUUCCCGUGUCAAAUAAGGAACACAAUUUUAAGAGAAUGUCAAAUAAGGAAUUCUCUCAAAUAUCUAAUACAAUGACCCACUUGCAGAAUUCAGCUGCGUAGCCUGACAGUGAUGUACGUACAUUUGUGGCUUUGCUAGCUGAGUAACUCUGUGCUUUAUGUGGAUGCCACUUCAAAUAAGCAUCAAAUUUGUGCCUAUGCGUGCUAUGCAGGUGGACGAGAAGCAGUUGGCAUGGACAUUCCUUUUCUCUCUGAUGUCUGGCAAGAAAGUCCGUCUUCUGUGCAGCGAUAUCCAUGUUAGUUACAAUAUCCAAUCAUCUCUAUAAUUAUAAUCUCAGUGUUUAUUCUGUUUUGUAUUGUCGUAUUUCAUAUGUGCAUCAGAGGAAAUGUGCUUUCUAGCUAGAGGCAUGUUGCAGCUGGCCGAGUCGCAGAUCUCAUUUAUAUGGCCAUAGGCGGUGACCAAUACAAGGGCACUGGAAUUUAUCUUCGAAUGCCACUGUUGUUCUAGCUCUUUGUCUUUACUUUUGUUGCUUCUGUUGUAUGGCUGCAAAGUUAGGCUUCAUCUGAUUUUAGUUAGUCAAGCGAUCUCGUUAAGAUGAUAAAAAGAAUUCCACACGAUGACACGACCCUUUAUUCCGCUCUUCACCGUCUCACAAUAACGGAACAUAUUAAGCUCAACAAAUCGUAUCCCUCAAAAAUAAAAAAGCUCACCAAAUUGUAUCGCAUACUCAUACAUAUCUUUCAUCGUCAAAUAACAGGAGAUUGUCAAGUUGUGUUUUAUCAUAUCAGUAUAUUAAGUGUAUCUUUUGUCCAUAUGAGCAAGGGAUAAUCAUCUGCCAGCUUAUUAUAUGCUCAUCUCUGAGAUCGAUCAUACCUCUUCAAUCUUAUUAGAGGUGUCAUUAAGAAAUGACAAGAAAUUAACUACUUGCCACCGGGUCUUCUCUCUUCAGCAGGAAGCAUGUGAUGCAUUCAAGAUUCACGAAAACCAAUAUUGUGGUCCUCCCUAUGCAGCAGGUACUUGUGAUGAAUUGUAUUUUGUAAGUGCACUGUAUGUGUGCUGUCAGCCAGCAGUGGAGGUAAUUGUUUAGCUUGCAUUCCUGCAACUUCUUGUAUCUGGAAAGGACACUCUUACUAUUUGCUGAGUUCACCGCCAAUGUAUCUUCACUUUGGAAAAACUGCAUUCGAUGUACCCACAUAAAUAUAUAAUAUAAUGAUGAUCUAAUAGCAAAUUAUAUGGCCAUAGGCAGUGAUGAUCAAUAAAAGGGCACUGGAAUUUAUCUUCUAAUGUAUACGUCACUAUUUUUUUAGCUCUCUGUCUUCAUUUUUGCUUCCUCUGUUGUAUGGUUAAAAAGUUAGGUUUCAGCUGAUUUUAGUUAGUUAUAAGCGGAUCUCGUUAAGCUCUUUAUCUUUAUUUUUGCUGCCUCCGUUGUAUGGUUAAAAAUUUAGGUUACAUCUGAUUUUAGUUUGUUAGGCGGAUCGCGUUAAACUGAUAAGAACUCCGUAUAGUCCUUUAUUCUGGUCUUCACUGCCUCAAAAUAACAGAACCUAUUAAGUGUCGAAAUUGUAUCUCACAAUCAUACAUAUCUUUCAUCGUUGAAUAACACAAAUUAUCAUAUCAGUACAAAAGUAUAUAUCGUUUGUCCAUAUGCACAAGAGAUAAUCAUCUGCCAGCUGAUUAUUCUUAUCUUUGAGAUCCGAUCCUGUACUCAAUGUUAAUUAGGGGUGUCAUUAAAAAAGACAAGAAAAUAACCACUUGCCCUCGGGUCUUCUCUUGUCAGCAGAAAGCAUGUGAUGCAUUCAAGUUUCAAUGAAUUCACGAAAACCAAUAUUGUGGUCCUCGAGAUGAAUUGUAUUUUGUAGGUGUACUGUAUGUGUGCUGUCACCCGUCAGUUGAGGUAAUUGUUUAAUUUGCAUUCCUGCAACCUCUUGUAUGUAUUCGGAAAGAAAAUUCUUACUAUUUUCCGAGUUCACAGCCAAUCCAUUAUCACUUCCGAAAAACUGCAUUGGAUCUACUGACGUAAAUAUAUAAUAGAGUGAUCUACUUGCAAUAUUAAGAACGAGAAAUCUUCAUUCUGACUUGCAAUAAGAGGGGUUAGUCUAGCUUUUUCCUGCUAAUAAAUGAAGGUACCCAUUACUGUCACCAGUUAAUGUGGUAUGCUAGUUGUCCUUAUUAUAUAUCAGCCCCAAAAAAGAAUGCCCAGUGCUGAGCUAUUGCAAGAUCGGAUAGUUUGUGAUUGGUUCCCAGAAAUCAAGCUCAUGCACUUGGCUCCCAGAAAGUCAACACUCACGUUCGCUUCCAGUUUCCUGACCAGCAAGACGUGCUUCUGCUAAUGUAGGCUUGUGCUCCAAAAUUCCCCAUCAAGCUGGCUCCUGCUCCCCCGAAUCCUACCCCCACCCAUCCAAAAGCUUCAAGAUCUCACAGAAAUCUCACAACUUCCGUUCGUCGGAGUAGAGCCUUCAAACAGCCCCGCCCACACAUCCACGCGGCGGCUGCUGCCAUAACUUCACCGGAGUCGCCUUCUCCUUCCGCGCCACGUCACCGGUGCCGGCCAGGCUCUGAAUCUUCUGCUGCUGCCGCCGAUACGAUGCUGGAGCUGGCAUCGACAUGCUUGUGAGGGCCACUUCUUCCGUGCUGUUACUGUGCUGCUGGUUCUGGGUGCUGCUGAUCAGGGGCAAGCUCGUGAAGGUAACUAUGCCUGCAAGAUUGGGAUUUUACUUGUAAUUCGUUCAAGAUCUACCUAUGAACGUCUUGCUCACACCAUUCUCUUCAUUAAUUUCUGCAGUGCACCUGUGUUGGAGGAGUUUCCUCCGAGAGUUCCAAUGGCAGAGCUGGUGGUCACCAUGGCGCUCCGGCCACUGGUCGCCAUGCUCAGGGACAAGGCGUCCAGCUAUCUCCUUGACCAGUACAAUGUGAUGGAGGGAAUGGAGAAGCAGCACAUGAUUCUGAAACGCAGACUUCCUAUCGUCCUGGACGUCAUCACUGACGCCGAGGAGCAGGCGACAGCCAACAGAGAAGGGGCGAAAGCCUGGCUCCAGGAGCUCAAGAGAGUAGCCUAUGAGGCAAAUGAAGUCUUCGAUGAAUUCAAAUAUGAAGCACUUCGCCGUGAAGCCAAGAAGAAUGGACACUACAAAAAGCUUGGAUUUGAUGUGAUAAAACUCUUCCCCACUCACAACCGUGUUGUCUUCGUUCAGAGAAUGGGUAGCAAGCUUUGCAGGAUUCUGGAGGAUAUCAAUGUCCUCAUUGCAGAGAUGCAUGACUUUGGGCUGAGGCAGACAUUUUUGGUGUCUAAUCAGUUGAGGCAGACACCAGUGUCCAAGGAGUGGAGACAGACAGAUUACGUCAUCAUCGACCCACAAAAGAUUGCCAGCAGAUCCAGACAUGAAGAUAAGAAUAAUAUUGUUGGUAAACUACUUGGUGAAGCUAGCAAUGCAGAUCUCACAGUAGUUCCCAUCGUUGGAAUGGGGGGCCUUGGCAAGACCACAUUAGCGCAACUCAUAUACAAUGAACCUGAAAUUCAGAAGCAUUUUCCGUUGAAGCUCUGGGUCUGCGUCUCUGAUACCUUCGAUGUGAAUUCGGUGGCUAAGAGUAUAGUUGAAGCAUCCCCCAAGAAAAAUGAUGAUACAGACAAACCACCACUGGAUAGACUUCAGAAACUGGUCAGCGGGCAAAGGUAUCUCCUUGUAUUGGAUGAUGUCUGGAAUAGAGAGGUUCAUAAGUGGGAAAGGCUGAAGGUCUGUCUUCAGCAUGGCAGCGUGGGUAGUGCUGUGUUGACAACAACCCGUGAUAAACAAGUUGCUGAAAUUAUGGGUGCAACUAGAACCUACAAUCUCAAUGUUUUGAAGGAUGACUUCAUAAAGGAGAUUAUUUUGGAUAGAGCAUUCAGUUCAGAGAAUGAAAAGCCUCCCGAGCUACUCGAGAUGGUUGGUGAGAUUGUGAAGAGAUGCCGUGGCUCUCCUUUAGCUGCAACUGCACUGGAUCUGUACUUCGUACCAAGAUCAGCGUGGAAGAAUGGAAGGCUAUAUCAUCUAGAAGCAGUAUUUGCACUGAGGAAACUGGAAUUUUGCCAAUACUCAAGCUUAGCUACAACGAUUUGCCAGCACACAUGAAGCAGUGCUUUGCUUUCUGUGCCAUAUUCCCCAAGGAUUACAAGAUUAAUGUGCAGAGGCUUAUCCAACUAUGGAUCGCAAAUGGCUUUAUCCCUGAACACAAGGAAGAUAGUCUUGAAACCAUUGGACAACUUAUUUUUGAUGAGCUUGCUUCAAGGUCAUUCUUUCUGGAUAUAGAGAAGAGUAAAGAAGACUGGGAGUAUUAUUCCAGAAAUACAUGUAAAAUCCACGAUCUUAUGCAUGAUAUUGCAAUGUCUGUUAUGGAAAAGGAAUGUGUUGCUGUGACUAUGGAUACAAGUGAAAUUGAGUGGCUUGGAGAUACUGCUCGGCAUUUGUUUUUAUCAUGUAAAGGAACAGAAGGUAGUUUGAAUGAUUCUUUGGAGAAAAGAUCUCCUGCCAUUCAAACACUGAUAUGCCAAAGUCAUAUGCGAAGCUCAUUGAAGCAUCUGUCAAAAUAUAGCUCUUUGCACGCCUUGAAGCUCUGUAUUAGAGGCAAAGAAUCAUUUCUUCUGAAAUCAAUGUAUCUGCAUCACCUGAGGUACCUUGAUCUCUCAAACAGUUCUAUCAAAUCACUUCCUGAAGAUAUAAGUAUUCUAUAUAACCUUCAAAUGUUGGACCUUUCCUACUGUUGUUAUCUUUAUCGACUUCCAAUGCAAAUGAAGCAUAUGACUUUCCUCCGUCACCUCUACACUCAUGGAUGUCAGAAGUUGAAGAGCAUGCCUCCAGAACUAGGAAAACUCACUAACCUGCAGACGUUGACAUGGUUUGUGGCAGGAGUUCCUGGCCCUGAUUGCAGUGAUGUUGCAGAGCUGCAGCAUUUAAACCUUGGUGGUUAUCUAGAGCUACGUCAGAUAGAGAAUGUUAAAGAAGCAGAGGCAAAAGUGGCAAACCUUGGAAACAAGAAGGAUCUCAGAGAACUGUCAUUAAGAUGGACUGAGGUUGGCGACAGCAAGGUGCUCGACAAGUUCAAACCUCAUGGUGGGCUGCAGGUUCUGAAGAUAUAUUCCUAUGGAGGAGAGUGCAUGGGUAUGCUGCAAAACAUGGUUGAGAUCCAUCUUUUUCAUUGUGAAAGAUUGCAAAUUUUGUUCAGAUGCAGUGCAAUCUUCACUUUUCCAAAACUGAAGGUGCUUAUGCUAAUACAUCUGUUGGAUUUUGAGAGAUGGUGGGAAAUAGAUGAGAGGCAAGAAGAACAGACAAUAUUUCCUGUGCUUGAGAAGUUGUUUAUUAGUAAUUGUGGAAAGUUGGUAGCAUUACCUGAAGCACCAUUGCUGCAAGGACCUUGUGGUCAAGGUGGUUAUACAUUGGUUUGCUCAGCAUUUCCUGCCCUAAAGGUGCUCAAAAUGAAAAACUUGGAGAGCUUUCAGAGAUGGGCUGCAGUGGAAGAGACUCAAGGAGAACACAUACUGUUUCCUUGUCUGGAGGAACUAUCAAUUGAGAAAUGCCCAAAGUUGACGGCGUUACCUGAAGCACCAUUGCUUCAAGAACCAUGUAUUGAAGGUGGUUACAGAUUGGUACGCUCAGCGUUUCCUGCCUUAAAGGUGCUCAAAAUGGAAAACUUGGAGCGGUUUCAAAGAUGGGGUGUGGUCGAAGGGACAUUGUUUCCUCAGCUUGAGAAACUAUCAGUUCAGAAGUGCCCCAAGAUGAUAGAUUUACCAGAGGCACCAAAACUCAGUGUCUUAAAAAUUAAAGAUGGUAGGCAAGAGAUCUCCGAUUUUGCAGAUAGAUAUUUUUCUUCAUUGACCAAACUGAUAUUGAAUCUAGAAAACACAGAAACAACAUCAGAGGUUGAGUGCACUUCAAUUGUAUCUGUGGACAGCAAGGAGAAAUGGAACGAGAAAUCCCCUCUUACAGUGAUGGAGCUAAGAUGCUGCAACUCAUUCUUUGGACCAGGUGCACUAGAGCCGUGGGACUAUUUUGUACACCUUGAAAAGUUGGAAAUUGAUAGAUGUGAUGUGCUUGUCCACUGGCCAGAGAAAGUGUUCCAAAGCUUGGUAUCCUUGAGGACAUUAGUGAUUACAAGCUGCGAAAAUCUGACUGGAUAUGCACAAGCUCCUCUUGAGCCAUUGGCAUCCGAAAGGAGUCAGCACCUGAGAGUUCUGGAGUCUCUUUGCUUAGAAAACUGCCCAAGUUUAGUAGAGAUGUUCAACGUCCCGACAUCUCUCAAGAAAAUGUAUAUUAAUGGGUGCAUUAAGCUUGAGUCCAUAUUCGGCAAGCAGCAGGGCAUGGCUGAGUUAGUCCAAGGAUCUUCUAGCAGUGAGGCAAUCAUGCCUGCAGCUGUAUCAGAGUUGUCAUCCUCACCCAUGAAUCACUUUUGUCCAUGCCUAGAAUAUCUACAGUUAUCUGAUUGUGGAAGCUUACCAGCGGUUCUACAUCUGCCUCUGUCCUUAAAGACCUUAGAAAUUUAUAACUGCAGUAGUAUUCAAGUCCUAUCAUGCCAGCUGGGUGGGCUCCAGAAACCAAAAGUCACUACCUCCAUAAGCAGAAGUCCUGUCAUGCCAGAGCCACCACCACCAGCAGCAGCUGCUGCAAGAGAGCAUUUACUUCCUCCCCAUCUCGAAUCUCUAGUAAUACUGAACUGUGCUGGCAUGUUGGGUGGGACUCUCCGUCUGCGUGCACCCCUCAAGAGACUGCGCAUUAUUGGCAACAGUGGGUUGACAUCGCUGGAGUGUCUGUCAGGAGAGCACCCCCCAUUGCUGGAAGUCCUUGAUCUUCAAAAGUGCAGUACCCUAGCUUCCCUGCCGAAUGAGCCGCAAGUAUACAUGUCUCUCUGGAAUCUUGAAAUUAGAGGCUGCCCUGCUAUAAAGAAGCUCCCUAGAUGCCUGCAGCAGCAACUGGGCAGCAUUGAUGACGAGUACAAAGAACUAGAUGCCCAUUAUGAAGGUAUGCUUGGAGCACGUCCUUCUAUCUUUGCCACAUUUAAUAAACAGAUGCAGUCAUCCAUUCCAUUAAAUCUACCACGCCAGCAUGUCUGUACAAGUUUGUUCUCCAUUAUUUUACUUUCGAAUGUUACAUUAGUUUGUAUGUGUUUGUUCUGACGCCAUUUGCAAUAUGUGCAGUGAUGGCACUUAAACCGAAGACAUGGAAGGAGAUGCCAAGGCUAGUCCGUGAGCGGAGGAAGGCCGCUCGAGAAGCCAAGGAGCGCCAGCAAUCCGCCAUGCAGGAGUAAACAGGUUGGAAACCAUGUAGAAAGGGCAUGGAUUCCAAUUGCUCUGAACAAUGUACAAGAUUAUGUCGUGACUGUAAUCAAUCGGCUUUGUUGAGCUUUGGCCUCUACCUAGUUCAGAUAUUUGUAAUGCGAAUCAAAUGAAUCUGCCCGGUUCAGUAGAAGUUAGGAUAAUAUACUCACAUGUGUGUCUGUGAGCUAUCUAUCGUAUCUAUCUGUUUUUGCUUUGCUUAGUUAACUGCGAAGACACUAGCCUUUAAUUGUUCAAUAAAGUUUUUCAACUGUGGCUUUUAUCUGUCGAUUUUCGUGGUUGACAGGCCUAAUCCCUGAUUGUUGCUCUUCUCUGCUCUGCUCUGCUAGGGGAAUGAGCUGUUAUUGCUUCUGCAACUUAACUGUGCCGCAGUCCGCUCUCCGUCGAGAACUGUCAGGGCCUGCGGUGUAGGGCGGCUGCUGCUUGGCGUCGAGUGGAGCAUAUCUGAAUCAACAUCCUAGGCUGAGACCAUCUCAUCUUGAUCUGGUUUGCUGUUGUCCAGUCAAGCGAGGAAACACAGGGAAGAAACAACAUAGAAAGGGCAUGGUAGUUUAUUUUAUUUUGCUUCAGAAACUGUACCAAUUUAUGUCAUGAUUGUUACCUGCUCCGUUAAACUCUGACCUUGAUCUUGUUAUUAAAGAUUCAGACACUUGCCUCGUUUAGUAGAAGCUGGGGUACUUGUAAUGUGUGCCAUAUAUAUUUCUAGUUUCAGCCAUUUCCAUAUCAAGUACAAGCUCGGAAAGGCUUAGGUGGUCUGUGAACUUUCUGGCCCUGCUUGCUUGACGCAAGUUUUACAGACAUAUAAAACAUAAGUUUAUAUAUAUAUAAUAUACAGUUAAGCAGCAGUUUCCUCGCAUGUAAGAUGGUUAAGUAGCAGCCGCAGGUAUCAGUCAGUCCGGUACUUGUUGAAUGGGAUCGACAGUUGAAUUGCUCUGCUCUGCUGCAAAACUCUGUGUUUGCCUGUGGAGGAAUGAAUAUUUCAGUUUCAGAAUUUGUGAGCUACUCCUAUUUAGUUUCUAGUCUGGUUGUGGUACUAUCUAGUUUCAGCACUGUUUAUUUAGUUUAGAAGAAAUUUACUGUUGACCUUUUUAACGUGUUUACAACACGUGCUAUUUGAAAUAUAAUUCUUUUUUUACCUGUUUCGAUACUUGUACAGAUCAAGUAGUACAAGUUGGGAGGAAAAAACCUCAGGUCCGUGAACUGUUUGGUCCUGUCUGUCUGUACAAAAUCAAGUUUGUUCGCUGUAGCCAGUAUAGUGUUGUAGAUAUCUGAAUAACUUGGUGUCUGCUUACGAGAGCAGAGGACGUGGAUGGAUGUUUGCUGCCGGCUGAUGCUGCAGGAACCGAAAGAGCCUUCUCAGUAUGCACUUCAAUGAAGAAGCAACGGACAGAUGUUCAGAUACAUCCGUUUGAGCUGACCGCUAUUUCUGGACGGAGGGAGUAUUAUGUAAGAUUUUGUGUACUUUCCCUUUAUUACUUUUGGUGCAGCUUCAGUUGAUGGUUUGCAUGCUCUUCUUAAGGAUUUACAUUCUCUUAGUGUCUUUGUUUCGUAUGUUUCUUUAGAGCCUCCUGUAGUUAAUCAGGCACUUCUCUGCUUUUAUAGACUAGUGUUAUUAUUGGUUUAUUAUUCAUGUUACUUAGGAAUUAGGGUCAAACAAGCACCUCCUGCUCUGCUGGUAGCUAGCUUAAUUCCCAGGUUUGGUAUAUAUCUAUGUUGUGAUGCAUACUCAUGUUUGUGAGCUAGUAUAUAUCUAUUUUCAGUGUCGUUUAAUGGUUCAGAGAGUGGGCUGUAACUUGUUCAGAUACUUUGUGUUAAACUGUAGAAUUGACCUGCUGCAGUAAUUUUGACAGCUGAGGUGGGAUGAGCUGCAUAUCAUUCUCUGAUUGGGAGUAACAGGUUGUUGUUGUUUGGUUCUGAUGUUGCUAAGCUGUGGUGGUGGUCACAAUUAUCUUCCUAAUCCGGCAA
Molecule: long non-coding RNA, 182063 nt
Filed under: Triticum aestivum (bread wheat)
Lineage: Eukaryota; Viridiplantae; Streptophyta; Magnoliopsida; Poales; Poaceae
Description: long non-coding RNA (TAES_LNC028382)
Source: RNAcentral